This 290614-nucleotide long non-coding RNA is filed under the name Hordeum vulgare. Its description in RNAcentral is "long non-coding RNA (HVUL_LNC007665)". The record is from RNAcentral. Lineage: Eukaryota; Viridiplantae; Streptophyta; Magnoliopsida; Poales; Poaceae.
GGUCCCUUUCUUUUCUUUUCCUUUUUCUCAGCAAUGGGAGUAAAUUCUGAUACAAAAUGAGGUCAAUCUACACUUCUACACUACUGGAAUUGACGCAAGUGGAACCACUUUUCCAACUCUUUUUUUCCCUUCCUUUUUCUACCUUUGCUACCCAGUACCUAAACCAAGUCACACGAUAAGUGGUUUGCUUCCCAGCACAUUAGCAAUGGAACUACCAGAGACAUUAGACAACGAUAUCAGAAGAAACGACAACAAUUAGAAAAAUGAUUAAAACACUCCCUCCUCCUAGCUGAAAAAUACUAGAACAGCAAUGUUGUUUCUCUACCAUGAUACGCCUCAGAACCUUUUUUUUUUCCCGGUCACUGAAUGUCUCUCACGGGAAGACGGCGGCUCCAAGGCUUCUCGUUUUCGACUUGAUCAAAUGGAGGAGAUUCCAGGAUGAUUGACCAUCCAUCGUCAGUGUUCCGCGCAGCAAGUUUAUUGUCGCUGUUCAAGUGCGUCCUGUCAUCAGCCUGCCGUAGCAACGCUGCUCGUCUGCUCCUCGCUUCUCUUGGCCGUAUCAAGCUCCACGGCGACCUUGUUGCUCUGUUCCUCGCUUCCUUUGGACACAUCCAGGUCUGCUGCAACACCAUUGCUCUCCUCGCUUCUCUUGGCUGUGUCAACAUCUGUUGCAACCACUUUGCUCUGCUCAAUUGUCUUGGCAUCUGCUGCAUCCACGUUGCUCUGAUCCUGACCUCUCUUGGCUGUAUCAACAUCUGCUGUAACAUCCUUGCUCUGCUCCUCAAUUCUCUUGGCAAUAUGAUGCUCUAUGGUACUUGCAGCUUGAGCCUGCUUUUCAAGCUCUGCAGGUUUCUCAUCCUUUGGCUGCAAAAAUUAAUUUACAUCAAACACAUUGUAAAAUUGUGACCCCUCUAUCACCGAUCAAUGAACAAGAAUCAUAUUAUCCCCAAUCUUUAUGGUCAUUCAACACGUAAAUCUAGUUUAUUCAAGUCCAGAAAUACGGCAAAGCAAAACUGGGUCUUUCCAUGAUGCCACAAAGCGAAAGUGCAAAUGGCAAACUGGCACAUCACUAUUGGCAGGUAAUAAAAUUUAGCAAACCGUGUGUUUAAUAACAAGACAGACACUGCCUUGUUAAAGUAAAUGCAGAGAAACAAGCAGUUCACUAUAUACCGUGAGGUGAUCCAAUGAUGUAGCGAGCGGCUUGCCUCUUCUGUCCUGCAUUACUUUCUGCCUAUUCUCAUAGAAGUCAAAGUCAUCCAAUAUUGACGUUUUACAUGAGAAGUUCUUGAAAAUGUUCAGCAUUUCUCCACCUUGCAGAAACUUCACCUGGGAUUCACAGUCAUUUAGUUAUGAUGAGUCAAACUAAAUAAAAAUAUCAAUAAUAAAGUGUGAGUAUACAUGGUUGACAUAAGAAAAUGUCGAGAGUAAAAUUAAACAUUAAUUGGUCAUUGGAAGAACACACAAGAGAGCAGCAUGGACAAAGAUCUGCACUGGUUGUAAGCUAUCAGCAUUUAUUUCAUGACAAAGAACAUGAGGAAUCAAGUAAAGGUGAUAAGAAAUAGGUUAACAAUUUUGUAUGUAGGUCAAACAUUCAUUACAAAAUAAGUCAUUUGUUGCACGGUGCAGAAAUAGGAUUGCAUAUUCCUCUAGUAAGAAGAAUGACGGGGAAAAAUAAAAUGAAAUUUAUGUACCAACAAAUUUAUUCGGAUGUUGUCAAGAUAAUUGACCAACAGAGGUCUAAAUCCUAGCUUUGAUCAUACCGGGAUUCUCUAGUUAGAUAUGGAAGCAAUACCUCUUGAGUGUCCCUGCUGUUUGUAACAGGCUUGUUCUCAUUAUUCUCCAAUAUUAUGUGUCGAAAUUGAGGAUUAGGCACAUCCUUGAUAAUGUGCCAUUUUACUGGGAAGAAUCCAUUCCACUUGUCCUGUUGCCAGAAGUUCAUACUCUUGUUGAAAUCUACUGGGCCAAGCAUCUCAGCCACACCACAGAACUGACCACUAGCAUUAACCUGAUCAUUAUAGUAACAGUCAAUAGAGCAAACAAACCAAAAUUUAUCAUAAUGAAGCAGCAGUAUCCUUUCCCCAAGAGAUACAUAACUAACUAGUUGCAACAGCAAAGCAAGAAACUUUGAACUAUAGCUGAAGGGAACCAAAAAAAGCUUUGAAGCAGAUACAUGUUAAACCUAAUUCAAUGAACCAGAGAAACAAAACAAUCAAAUUGGAUGCUCUCACACAUCAUUAUCGCAAAUUUAAACAAAAUAGCAUGUCUAACCAAGGAAACUAAAUAUGCAUUAUUACGUACUCAAUAACAGUCAGAUACAACAAAAACAAAGAAAAAAGGAUUGAAUAUCACACUACUCUGAUGAUAUUCAGGAUAAGAUGCUUGAGGAACAAGUGUUAUUCACUUACAGAAAAGAAGAGGAAAACAGGGCAUUUGGUUCCUUUUCCUGCCAUUCUUUCUUGUGCAAUUUUAUAGGCAUUGUCAAGCCUUUUAUUUCCAUUAGGAGUACUUGCCCAAACAUUGUACUUGAUACUCUUGUGAAUAUCAUCUUCACUAUAAGAUUUAAUCACGAAGAACAAAGCUUGCUCAUACUUCGUAACAAAAUCAGGAAGAUUAUAUGAAUCUCUGCUUACUGCAACAAGUGAAGGUAUGACAUCAUUAACCUCCUGUACACCCGACAACCCAAAACGAUCUGCUCCUGGGCUCAAAUUGUUUUUUGAAUGAUCAUUGUGUUUAUCUGAUCUAUCACAGUCACCAAAUUCAUUUAGCUUGCUUCUGGCCUUCAGCUUCUCACCACCAUUGCAGUUUCUACCACUUUCAUUCAAAUUAGUGCCUUUACUUUGAUAAAGGCUUCCUUUUCCUUGGUUAGUAUGCGCCACAAACUUGCUAGACGGAAGAUGCCCUUUCGUUAUGGAAGCACCAGAUGCCUAGCAUAACAACAAGCGUAUAAAAUUAUAAGUUUCCUACUUUAUGCUCAGAGUAAUUUGUCCUGUUUUACAGGAAUUUUUCAGUACCUUAUUUGCAAACUUUGAUGAUGGAUAGUUAUUGGCAGAGGUUGGCACUGUGUCUACAGCUGAUGAUGAUCCUUUGGUGGUACCCAAUGCAUACUUUGUGCUGCGUGAAGCUUUUGAAGAUGGAACAGCAUGCUUAUUAGAAGGGUAGUUUGAUCUUGUAGGGUAGCUCGUUUGGUGCACACCAACAGGAUGUCCCUGAACCCCAUCCAUAAGAACAUAAGAAGGGUCCCAUGUGUAUGCAGGGACUAGUUCAGGUCCAUAAGCAAUUGGUUGAGCAUACAUGCCAGGUGUAGAAGGGUCCUGCACGGGAAUCACAGCGGAGUAAUAUGGCUCUUUGCUGACAAACUGACCAUCCACGCCAGUUCCAGGAACAACUUGACUAUAAGCAGUAUAUCCAUUUUCGUAACCCGGAACAUAACACAAAUAAGACCCAUUCUCAGCAUGAACCGCCUGAAACAGAUUACAGAAAAGGUAUAAGCUCAGUUCUAUAGUGGUAUGUCAGCUUCCACAGCUGUAUCUUCAAGAAGCAGUUCGCUCUAGAAUUGCUGAGACCAAGGACUCAAUAGUAACUUAAUAAGGAACAAAACAAAAAAGUGCAAUGCAAAAGUCAACUGUUAAAUCGAGUCCUCUGAAGUCUGCACAGCCCUUUUGUAAUUGGCUCUUCGUCAUUUAAGAUCUCAAUCAAACUAAAUUAGCUAUGGUGCUUGACCACAAUUCUUUGUACAGCAUGGAAUAUCAAAAACAUCCCCUGAAAUAGACAUUCCAUACACUGGCAAUCAUUUAAAUUUGUUUAUCUCAGUCACCAGAAUAAAAUAAUCAUCAAUUCAUGACAGCAUAUUGUGUGGUGACAACUAAAGCAAAAAAGAUAAAACAUAUAGUAUUUUUUUUAUAAAGGUUUGCAAAGAUUUUUUUUAGGCAUGAAGAUAGUAAUGGAAGAAUAAAAGCUGACACUUUCCCCAACAUGGCAAAGGAAAGGCAAGAAAAAGAUGGGAGCAAAUAAGUGCAAAGCUAGCUGGUACCACUAUACCACCAUAGAUGCACUAAGUGCAGCAUUUUUGGGGUUUACACAGGACCACUUGUGACUACUACUGUAGGGAAGGCAUAUAACAUGGUUGAUAAAGUACAUUGUUUGAUAACUUACUGUCGGGUGCAUCUCCAGUCCAUUCGAUCCAGCAUAGUAGCUAUUCUCAUCCCAUCCUCCAAAUGAGCCUAGAAUAACGAUCAAACCAUCAAACUCAAAGAACAGCACCUCUGUUUUCAGGACUUCAGGUGAUAGUACUGAUCAGUUCUACCCACCUGGAUAAUAGUACCCGUAGUAAUACAUCCCUUGGUCCCCCAUAUAAGUUCCUUGGUUCAAUUCAGUGUCCUUGGCAGCAGUACUAGCUGCAUCUGCUGAGGAAAUGCAUGAUAUUGCAUCCGAAGAACUUGCGUCUUUUGCAGCACGCUGCAGAGUUUGGGCACGAAAGGAAUCAGCAAGGGCACGAUAGGUGUAGCCCAACCAACCAAACAAGGAACAAUUCCUUGUACGCUGAGAUAAGCAAGCGGUAUACUAGUAUAUAUGUAUAGAGGAAUGAGAAUCUUACCAAGUUGCCGUUGCUUGCCUUCGUGCUAGCAUCAAUCUUCAAGUUCUCUACUGCCUCUUCUAUAGCUGGAAGAUGCAAAAGUCAAGGCUUGCAAACAGAAUAUAUACUUGAAAGGUCAUUGCCCAUGAGUGAGAACAAAAUAAGCCAACAAGCCCAGAUUGAUGGAUUGAAAUGUUCUUGGUCCAAUAAUGCACAAUAAUUGCCUUGAAUGAGCCCGUUAGAGAUCAGAAGAUCUACAGCGAUCAUCUUUCUGAUUAAGUGCAAGAGACCGUUACAUGAGCAACUUCGUGGUUCGCAAACACCAUGCAGCAGCAGCAGAUCAAUAAGGGCAUACAGCAACCGUAUUCCUAAGUAUACAAACCAUAUUAUUGGCGCAGCUGCUAAUAAAUGGGAGUUGGCUCAGCUCUCACCAUCUCUGAAAAUCCGACAUGUGAGGGAUACCUAACAAAUCUAAUUGUGAAUAUAAAACAACAGAGACCUGCCCUGGCAUGGUAAUGGUAGGACGGCAAAACUGAAUUAUGUCGACAGCAGAUUGAACUGUUUCGAAGUUUUCAUGAAAAAUGCUACGCGCCCAACGACAAUUCAGCAACAUAAUCGACGAUUUAUUUAUGUAUUUUCAGACCGCGAUCUGAUCAGAGAUCAAAAAGUCCCUUAAAGCCAGAUCAGAGGAAAAGCUUUUCCAACCCUUUAAAUUAAACAAGUGUAAAGAAAGAUGAGAAAUCAGGCUGAGUACACACGCCUGUCGUCCAUGAAAAAAAGAAGAGGCAGAAACACUGGUACCAAACUGAAGAAAAUACCCAAAAAAAAUCGAGAAUUUUGAUCAAAUACAGUAGUGGCAUCUCUGACGGAUAAAAGAGAGAGAGAGAGAGAAAAAAAAUGGAGUUGGAUGGCAAUGGAACCGCUCAACUCAGCAGCACUGGGAAAGUUAGCAAAUCAAAACAAAUUUGAAAACACGGAGAAAUCCCAUUGAUCGAAUCCAAGAAGAAAGACAAGCCCGAUAUCAUGUGUCAGAUCCAGCUCCCGGCGGAUGGACAAGGAGCAAAGGAUACGCUUGUGGGUGAGCGCGGGCUUUGGCUUGGGCUCCAUGAGGCCGCACCAGAGGUCGCCGCAGAAGAAGCCGGGGCUACGCGUGUCCUCCAGCUCGACCGUGGGUUGGGCCGGGAGGGACUCGCCGGAACCCUAGGCUGCUCCGGCCGCCUGUGCCGGAGGAGAAAAAGGAGCCGCGUCGGCGUCGGCGGCGUGGCGUGUGGUGUAGGGCGGGGGGCGCGGCCACGUGUGCGCGAUCGGACGGCUGGGGAGCGGGGGUGGCGCGGUGUGGGGGCGGAGCAGCGAAGCGAAGCGAAGCGACGCGGCCGAAGCGGGCUCCUGAAAUCUAGCGGGGGCGGGGGCGGGGGCUGGAGCAAAAGCAAAGCAAGGCAGCCGCUCCGCCUGUUGCGGCCGAAUAUUUGUAGCCUUUCAGCACUAUGCGUUUCGCCUUUUUCUCUUGUGAGAUGAGCUCGAAAGCUAACCAUCGCGUUCCACAUCGGUGCAAUUUCAUUUCUUGGUGCGUGAUCAGUGUAUUUGUGGUACGAGCGGCAGUUUUGUGAUGUGAAGAAAAAGGGAGGCGAAAUGUUGGUGGAUGCCGCUGUCAACGUGAAGGUGCCGUCCGUACGGCCGUAAAAACGUGUCGUCAACUAAUUCUGAUGGCGUAAACUCUGUGAUUUUCUUGAUCUUAGCAAGUCAAGGUGGCGUGCGGUUUUUUAUUUUUUUGGUUGAUAGCAAUCGGCGAGGAGCUACACCGGUUUGGAUCGUGGAGAAUAAGCGUCCAACCAACAUGAACAUUGAACUGUGUGCUCGCGGUCUACUAGAUGUGUCGCGAUAGCUUGACGGCAGUUAAGAGUGCCGGUCGGGGGGAGGGGGGGGCAGAGGAUACAUGCUGCGUUUUUCCAAGGUGAGGAAUAUUUGUGAAGGGCGACCCAUAUUUGGGUUGGGUCUAAAAGAAGAGGUGAAGAAUUUCUGGUGGUCCAGAUCACGAUCGCUCGAAAAUCAAUCGUUUCCUGAUGUGGGUGCGACCUGACCGCACCUGACCUGGCCGCGAAGGGAGAAAUGAAGCGAAACAAGCCGGGAGCCCAACGACACCCAGGGGAAUUCGGUGUCAAGCGCGGGCGGGCGGUUCAAUUUGCGCGGGGUGCUGAUCGCCGGUGCGGCAGGCAGGAGGCGACCAGAAUAGUUGGCCUUUGGCAUCAGGACAGGACCGCACGCGUUAUCUUGGAGGAUCAGUUGCGGAGUGGCGUCGGUGCAGGUGCGGUCUGGUGGCGCCCGUGCCCGCGUCAAUAGUCGCCCGGGUUAUCAACCAGACCGACGGCAACUAUAUUUUCGAAAAAUUUCGAUCUACUCCCUCCGUUCCGAAAUAUAAGACAUUUUAAAGAUUUGAUUAUAGACUACAUACGGAGUAAAAUGAGUUAACUUAUUUUCUAAAAUAUGACUACAUACAUCUGUAUGUAGUAUAUAGUGGAAUCUCUAAAAGAUCUUAUAUUUAGGAAAGGAGGGAGUAUUUAUCUUCAGUCAUAAUAUUAUAAUAAACAUCAGAAAUAAUAAUAAAAAUUACAUUCAGAUUUGUAUAUCAUUUAACGAUGACUACGAUCACGGAAGCGAGUCGAAGACGUGUCGCCGUCAUCGCCCCUCCCUCGCCGGAGCCACGCGUAACUUAUUGUAGUAUACGGUCGAUAAGUCGUCGUGCUAAGGCCUUAUAAGACCAACGCACCGGAACAACAAUCGCCGCCGAUGAGAAAGCUUUGAUCGAAAGAUUCAAUCUAAAGACACGUGAACAAAGACGAACAAGGACCGGAUCCAAACACAUCCACCAAAGACAACCACCGACCAAAUCUCGCGAAAUCCACUGGUAACACACCUUCACACGUCCUCUAAUGAUACUAAACGCAACACCAAAACAGGGGAUAGACGGAAAGAAUCUUAUCCCAUCUCCAAGAAGUCGUCUUCGUCUCGUCUUUCUGAACAUGAUACAAACCCUGUCAAAACUUGAAGAAACACCUAGAAACAGAGUCGUGCCGCCAACAAAGGUCGGGAUACACCGCGCACGCAUGACCCUAAGAGCAUAUACAACCACGGUUUGCAAAUUCGAACCCUCAAACAUCCGCAGAUGUUAGAGCAUAUAUCUCCAUAUGUGGUUUUGGUAAUUGAUGACAAUUCCUAUGGACUAAUGGUUGCCUUAAGUUAUAUUUAUAGGAUUUGUCCAUAGGCACUUCUUGAAGUCCAUCUGUUGGGUUCAAGGAGUUUAUAUGAUGACCAAGAUGGUAUUCAAGGUAUUAUCCAAAGAAUGGUCAUAGAGACACAAGGUUGAUCAAGAUCUCAGACAAAGAGUAAAUCAAGAUGAUCAACACACAAAGCGUACAAGAUGUACCAAGAGGGAUCAAGUGAUCCCAUGGUAUGGUAAGCAUUGUCCAUUACGUGUUUAUGUACUAACUCAUGGUCUUCAUGAGAGUUCUAUGUGUGGUUAGGUGUGUUUCCAUGGGCUUGCGUCAAAAGGAAGAUCUCAUACAACCCAUGAAGGAUGACGUCAAGUGGUGAUCAUCAUCAAGAUUGCGGUGUGCAAGUUCAAGAGGAUCAGCACGAAUAUAUCGUGCUUGAAGCAUGCCGUCCAUUGUGGUGGCAAUGGACUUGUGAAGGUAUGCUAAAGAGUGGCUCACCCAUAGUGAGUAUGGGGGAGCAAUCAACUAAUCUUCAUCAAGCCAACGCAAUCAAGAAAGGUGGUCCAUCUUGAGGAAGCCAAGAUCAUCAUCAUCUAUCUCAAGAGGUCGAGGUGCGAGGUAUAGGUUUGCCCUUGAUAGGUUUUCUGUUUAGGAUAGAAUGUUGUACUCUCAAGGGGGGCUCUCAAGUGAUUAGCUUGAUCGUAUCGUUCGUUGAGAGCUCAAACCAUUUGCAUCCUUGCAUCAUACUUCUUGGUUCUUAUUUGGUGUUUCUCUUUGUGAUUUUUAGAGCUUAUGGUCAUCUUCAUGACAAGCUUGAGUUCAUCGAAAACGGAGUCCAUAUGCAACUACUAUGAUGUUUUCUAUGUUGGAGUUUUUGUCGGUUCUUCAUUCAUAGAGGUCUCACAUCUCUAGAUCAUUGACAUUUUCAUAUCAGCAUGGUCUUAAGAUUUUUAUAUCUGUUUGGAUUGCUCUUGUCGUCCUGAAUCCAACAAGCUUGGGUUUGCUCGAUUCGGAGCUCGUAUGCGAAAGUUAUGGCUGUUUCAGUGGCGAACAGUAGUACCGCUGGCCCUAGCGGUAGUACCGUUUGAGCUGGCGGUAGUACCGCUGGCCCAGCGGUAGUACCGCCUCGGGUCAGCGGUAGUACCGCUCCAGGACUUUAGUACCGUCAUCUUUGCGGUUGUACCGCGUCGGACCUUUUUGCGAAGACUUUCUUGGCGGUGGUUGGCCCGGUAGUAUCUUUGCGCUACCAUGGGCUCAGCGGUAGUACCGCUGGAGGGUCAGCGGUAGUACCGCUACAGCCAGCGGUAGUACCGCUAGAGGGUCAGCGGUAGUACCGCUGGGCUCGGGCUGUAAGUGGGGGUAACGGUCUGAUUCCUUCCCCCACUAUAUAAAGGGGGUCUUCUUCCCCCUUGGUCUUAUCCAUCCGUUGAGCUCUUGUUCUACCUCCAUUGUUGAAUUCUUAGAGCUUGCUAACUCUCAAUCCCUCAAAUGAUUCUUGCUUGUUCUUGAGGGAAAAGAGAGAGGAGAUCUAGAUCCACAUCCACCAAUCACUUUCUCCUCUAUGUGAGGGGAACCCCUUGGAUCUAGAUCUUGGAGUUCUUUGUGAGCUCCUUGUUCUUCCUCUCAUAUUUCUCCAUAGCUUUCGUUGUUGUGGAUGGAUUUGAGUGUGAGGGACUUGACCACUUCGUGUGUUCUUGCCAUUGCAUUAAUUGCAUCGGUUUGAGUUCUCCACGGUGAUACGUGGAAGUGAGAAGUUGAGAAGCUUAUUACCUUUGGUACUUAGUACCCUAGAUAUUGUUCUUCGUGGAUGCUUUGGCGUCCUAGAAGUUUGGUGGUGUCUCGGGGCUCAAUCAUUGUGGUGUGAAGCUCCAGGCAAGCGUCGGGGUCUCCAAUUAGGUUGCGAGAUUGCCCCGAGCAAUUUGUACGGGUACCGGUAACCGCCCAAGGGUUGCCACGUGUACGGGUUCGGUGACCGCCCCCAAGGGUUGCCAUUUGUACGGGUUCGGUGACCGCCCUCAAGGGUCCCUUAGUGGAAUCACGGCAUCUUGCAUUGUGCGAGGGCGUGAGGAGAUUACGGUGGCCUUAGUGGCAUCUUGGGGAGCAUUGUGCCUCCACACCGCUCCAACGGAGAUUAGCAUCCGCAAGGGUGUGAACUUCGGGAUACAUCCUCAUCUCCCCGUGCCUCGGUUAUCUCUUACCCGAACCCUUUACUUAUGCACUUUACUUUGUGAUAGCCAUAUUGUUUAUUGUCAUAUAUCUUGCUAUCACUUAGUUGUUUAUCUUGCUUAGCAUAAGUUGUUGGUGCACAUAGGUGAGCCUAGUUGUUGUAGGUUUUGUGCUUGACAAAUUAAACGUUAGUUUUAUUCCGCAUUUGUUCAAGCCUAAACCGUAAUUAUUUUAAAGCGCCUAUUCACCCCCCCCUCUAGGCGACAUCCACGUCCUUUCAGCAGAUGCGUCCGCGCGCACCGAUCGGUCACCCCUCAAAUCUGCUUGUCCACAUUCAACUCUCUUAUAUUUGAUCCCCUAGAUCGACACAAAGAAUGUAAAAAAAUCAUAUGUACCAUGUACUAUCCUAGUCUUCGUCGUCGGAGAUGGCCUCUAGCUCAUCCUUGUCCGCCGCUGCAUGCACCACCUCUAACGCAGCCCGUGUCGCCUCCAUCUCCUGCCAACGAAGACGACUGGCCUUCAUAGCCGACUCCGAGUGGAUGGAGUUCAUGAUGGCCUGCUGCUCCGCCCGCGGAUUCACGUCCUACUCCGACGCCAGCUCCUCCUCCCCACAUCUUCCUCCAUCGACUCCUGCUCCUUCACUUCCUCCUCCAGCUCCUCCUCCAAAUCCUCCUUCGGAUACAGAGGCAGCCCCACAGCCCUCCGGAUCCGAACCUGCUCAAUGAGCCAAAGCUGUUGUUAGAUCGUGUAGUGGCGGCGACAUGGGGGCAUGGCUGACGACCGCGACGAACAGAGGAGGAAAAUAUGAAGGGAUAAGGUUUGGGUGUUGACGGUCGGCUUAAAUAGUCGGGCUAGGAUUAUGCGGCCCGUCGGCGCGGCGCCACGCGAUGUUCACACUCCGAUGAUGGAGGAGGCGUCCGUCGGACCACUGGGUUUCCGGGCGAAUCCGUAUGGGUCCACACUGUCAGGCUGACGUGGUGGGCGUGCCCACGCGUCCCCAUAUAUGCUCCAUAUUUGAGCUGGAUAUGAGGGGUGCCCGUCAGCUCGGGCGUUUGAGGCCGGUUUGAGAGGUGGGGGAGUUCCGGAUUAAGGGGUCCUCGGGCAGUCGGGUUGUCUCUGAUGGGCCGAUCAUAUGGGUUGCAUCAUUGAAGAACCGAAUUAUUUGACAGCUGCGUGAUCAAGAUUGAAAGCUCCGAAGACAGGCGUGCACUCCAAGGCUGGAUGACCAGUUCAGCCCGUCUGCUACCGAUCUAUGUCGGUAAUAUGUAACCCUAGGGGUCCUGGUGUCUAUAUAAACCAGAGGCCCUUAUACGUAGAGGGGGAGAUCUCAUCUAAGGUUAGCUCAUACGAUCUCGAGGUAGAUCAACUCCGUAACCAUCAUUCCCCAUCAAUAUAAUUAAGCAGGACGUAGGGUUUUACCUCCUCAAGAGGGCCCGAACCUGGGUAAACACCGUCCCCCCUCUCUCCUGCAACCCAUCGAUCUAACCUCCAUAGUUCGGGACCCCCUAACCGAGAACUGUCGGUUUUGACGCCGACAUUGGUGCUUUCAUUGAGAGUUCUGCCGUUGGAUCGCCGCAAAGAUCGAUGGCUCGCUUGAUGAGUCCGCGAUGAGGGCAUCUUCGCCCCCGAACACGUCUCUGUGCUCGGCUGCUUCACGCCGAGUACAGACCUAACCGUCCAUCCUGGCCUGUGGUUUUGUCCCCGGUCACCGGAUAAAGUUUGGAGAGUUCGAAGUCUCCACCGACUCGUGGGGCAAUAUGUUCCCCGCUAACCUCACGGCCUCGGCCGAUGAAGAACAAAACCCCGAAUCCUUGUUUUUCGGGUCCCCUGUCCGACCAUGGUCUUGGUCCUCUCCUCCUCAGAGAGAAGGCUUCGAUCUUGGAACCGACCACUGUGUCCAAACUCCAAACAAAGGGAAAUGGCUACUGCCGAAUUGAUUUCCUUCCCGAAAGUUGCGGAGGUUAACUCCAAAAACAUACAAAGGAUUGGUCAGGUUAGCCUCUCGAUGUUAAACGAAACGCUCGACCAAAUCCAGUCGCUUCAAAUAUCGCUUACCCGAAGUUCGACUUGUUCAAAGAUCGGCUCCGAGGUGGAUUAUGGGGACUUUUACGACCCACCCACCCCACUUGAUCGCCACCCUCGAAGAUCUAACCGACGCGUUGGACUACGCCUCCGAAGAGCUUGAGGAUAUGGACGAAGAGGCCUACUACCCCACCCCCAUAAAUACAGGGAAGUGGACCACAAUUUCAACUUACGAUGUCUACAUGGUAGACACGCCUCGCGGUCCAAAUAAUGAUACACCCAAGCAGAACGGUGAUAAGCCCACAGAAGAUCCCUCAAAAUGUUGAAAGUCGCGUAAACGCUCGAAGGCAAACAAGGGAAGGGGCUCCACAUAGGGCACACGAGAAAACGUGACCCUUGAAGGACACGGCAACCCCGAGGCUCCCAAAUACGAACCAGAGGAACCGGCCAAUGACGAUCCCGACGGUGCGACAAUUCAGACGAUGAGGACGAUUACCUCCCUCCCGUCAACGACCUAAAUGGCCUUGAAGCCAAAGAGUUCGUAAUUCCCGAAGACCUUGGAGGCGAGGAGCAAUUUUGGCAACAGCUUAUAGCCAUCGCCCAAAUCUUAAAAGCAAAGCAACAACAACUCCAGGAUGAACAAGAUACCAUGAAUAACAGGUGGACCAAAAUCCUAGCGACUGAAGAACUAUACGACACGGCAUGGCCGAACGAGAAGAAAAAAUACCCGUGCCGACGACUGCUCCCACAAUUCGAUGACGAGGCCCCAGAACAUGUGUCCCCCCGACGCACCGACUACGACCUGCCUGACCGCCCACCCAGAGGGCGCGAUAGAACGACCGGAGAGAACGGGUAUAAACUCGAACCUUCGCCAAAAAGGUAAACAACAUAUGCACCAUGGGGACAGAACCGACCCAUGAUUUGAUAAAUCGGGUCGCAGCAGGUCCAUCUAUGGAUCAAAGAGGUACUCUCCCACUCGAUGGGAUGACGAACCACCUCUGGUCGCUUACAAGAGCAGAGGCCGCGAAGUGUACCGGGCUCAACCCGGAGUCAAUCUGCAACACAACAUAGCACGGAUCAGAGGCAUUGCUCACCCACUAUGUUUUACAGAUGAGGUCAUGCAGCACCAGUUUUCAGAAGGGUUUAAACCCGAAAGCAUUGAGCAAUACGACGGGAAAACAGAUCCCGCAGUGUGGAUAGAAGAUUUCCUUCUCCACAUUCAUAUGGCUAGAGGAGAUGAUCUCCACGCCAUAAAAUAUUUACCAUUAAAACUCAAAGGACCAGCAUGGCAUUGGCUAAACAGCCUACCGGAAGAUUCCAUCAGAUGCUAGGAAGACCUUGAGGAGGCUUUCCUAUCCAACUUUCAAGGAACAUAUGUUCGGCCACCGGAUUCAUUCGAUCGGAGCAAUGUCGUCCAGAAGACAGGGGAAUCGGCCAGAGAAUUCUGGAACCGUUUCCUCACCAAGAAGAACCAAGUUGUAGAUUGUCCGGACGCUGAAGCAAUUGCCCCUUUUCGACGCAACACUCGGGACGAAUGGCUCGCUAGACAGCUCGGCCAGGACAGGCCGAGAACAAUUUCCGCCCUUACCUCACUCAUGACCCAAUUUUGUGUGAGUGAGGAUAAUUGGCUUGCUCGGCGCAGCCACAAUGCGGAGGACCCCGUAACCUUUGAGGUUCGGGACGGAAAGGGCAAGCCAAGGAGCAGCCCUGCCAGAUUCACGACACACAAGAUAAGCCCGCCACCCACACCAACCAUAAUUAUUGGGUGUUCAAACAGGCAGGCAAGCUCACCAUCGAUGAUAAAAACAGGGGCCCACGAAGUGAAGACAACGAGGAGCCCCACGAACAAUGAAGGCCAAAAGCAGUUCCCUCUCGAGGUCAAGACUGUGAACAUGAUCUAUGUCACCCAUAUACCCAAGAAGGAGAGGAAACGGGCACUACGGGAGGUAUACACCGUAGAGCCCUUAGCACCCAAAUACAAACCGUGGCCGGCUUGCCCGAUCACUUUCGACCACAAGGAUCAUCCGACUAGCAUCCGUCAUGGAGGGUCGGCCGCCCUAGUCCUCGACCCUAUCAUCGAUGGUUUCCACCUCACUCGAGUCCUCAUGGAUGGAGGAAGUAACCUCAGUCUGAUCUAUUCGGAUACGAUGAAAAAGAUGGGCAUAGACCCAUCAUGCAUCAAGCCAAGCCGCACUGCCUUUAAAAGAGUGAUACCACGCGUGGAAGCCUGCUGCUCAGGCAGAAUAACACUGGAAGUCGUGUUCGGUUCUCCCAACAACUUCCAUAGUGAGGACUUGAUCUUCGACAUCGUCCCCUUUCACAGUGGAUACCACGCAUUGCUCGGCCGCACAACCUUUGCCCGCUUUAACACCGUACCUCUCUACGCCUACAUGAAGCGCAAAAUGCCCCGGACCCAAGGGAGUAAUCACGGUCAAUGGAAACACAAAGCAUUCUCUCCGGACCGAGGAGCACACGAUCAUGCUAGUAGUCGAAUGUCAACAUGACAACGACACUUCAAGCCACAAGCCGACAACAAAGGAGCGAAUGGGGGGCAAACGGGGCUGAGCUCAAAUAGACUAGCUAGAUAAUUCUUUGGCCAAGAGCAUAUAGGGAUACAUUUCCCAUGGCAUGGCCAGAACACCACCAAGGUAUGUCAUUCUACAACACAAUUUCAUCCUUACAAUUCCAUGGGUAGCCAUGGGAGCGACCCACUAGGGAUCAUAGGGGCGGGUAAACCGAGCUAUGGUUCAAUGAAUGAACGAUAUGGCAUCAUGAAGAGCCCAAGCAUCAAGCUUCUCUGCGUCAUCGGCAGCUUCUCAAAACCCUCCACUCAAGGUUCGCUCGCUGAUCGCAACUUCCUGCAAAGGAUCGUACCCCCACCCCGAGAAGGGGCGAUAUAUAUAGUGCGUACGAACACAGGACGAAUGUCAAGUCACCCCAUGCAAGGUCGUUUGCAAAGUUGUCUCAACAUGGGGAGAAGAUAUAACUCAUCAUCCGAGAGAAGGUCGGAGCAGCAUUGGCGAGACCAAAAGACAUCACUGUGUACUCAUAAGAGCCAAAGCUUGUCCUGAAAGCAGUCUAGGGAAUGUCUUCUUCGCGAAUGCGGAUCUGAUGAUAGCCCAUCCGGAGAUCAAGCUUAGAGAAAAUCUUGGGCCCUUUAAAUUGCUCGAACAAUUCAUUGAUGUUGGGAAGUGGAUACUUGUUUCUGAUUGUCUUCUUAUUCAAUGGACGGUAAUCGAUUCAGAGUCCGUCCGUGCCAUCCUUAUUAUUGACAAAUAGAACACCACAACCCCAAGGAGAUGAACUUGGUCUUAUCAGACCCAGACGCUCUUGCUCAUCAAGAUGCUUAUUCAACUCUUUCAGCUCUUCGGGGCCAAGUUUAUACGGCCGCUUGCAGACCGGUUCAGUUCCAGGUUCAAGCUCAAUUACGUACUCAACUGGUGGUGCGGAGGCAUUCCUAGCAGUUCUUCUAGAAAGAUAUAUUCGUACUCACAGACCACUGGAACUUGACAAAUUGGAGAGAUUUCACCCUUCUCAUUGAGGGAAAACAGACAGAUCGUGUCAUCGUGAGCAGCGAAGAUAAUCACGUCCUCUGAUGGAUGAGUCAACUUGACUUCCUUUGCUUCACAAUCAAUAUACGCCUUGGUCAUUGCCAGCCAAUCCAUCCCAAGGAUCAGAUCAAUAUCCGACUGGCCAAGGACAAUUGGAGAAGCCAGAAAGGAAUAGUCGCCCAUCUUGACAGAGACAUCAGGAACUAACCCACUUGAACUCAUCUGCAUGCCCGCAUAAAUGAUUUUAAAUGGCAUAGGAGUGUCUUAUGUCACUAGAUCAUGCUUAGCAACAAAAGGCCUUGAAAUGAAUGAAUGUGAUGCACCAGAAUCAAAUAAAACCUUUGCAGGAAUAUCAUUAACUGUGAUAUUACCCACGAUCACGUCUGAGGAGUUCUCCGCUUCAGCUGCGUUCACCAUAUUGACCCUUGCUGACGUGGGAUUGAACUUCACCAUAGCAUUGCCUGGAGGCUUGACUGCAGGAGGAGGUGGAAGACGCUGCUGGUUGGUGCACUUGUUAGACUAAUGACCCUUCUGACCACACCUGUGACAAGUCACCUUUGACAGCGGACAUAAUUGCACUUGAGGAUCCCUUGCUUCUGCUGCUGCUAAAAUCUCCAUUGGAAAGCUGGGUUGGGUGGGUGGGAAGAACCAAGACCACCAGACUGCUUGAACUGCUAAGGCUGCAGAGGAGGAGGAGACACCCAAUAUUUUUGUUGCUUCUGAACCACCUGAGUUGAGGACGAGGAACUAGAAUCUCUGAAAUGCUUCCUUGAGUUCUCCACUUUGAGCAAAGCCGCCUCAGCCCUGAGAGCCAAAUUGUAAAACUGAUCGAACUCGAGAGGAUCGUUCAAGUAAAGGGCCAGCUACAAGUCUUCCUUCACACCACCUCAGAACUGAUAAAUAUUCCUCUUCCGAUCUGGAAUGCCCUGUUUAGCAUAGUGAGCCAGCUCCUAGAACUCCACAUUAUACUUGUACAUAGACGAACCUCCUUGCUUCAAGGGCCUGAAUUUCUCACGCAUCUCUUCCACAAAACUUGUUGGAAUAUAGUGAGCCCUGCAGAAAUCAUCCCAACUAAUCAUUUUGUCGCAUGUGGAAUCCUUCAAUUUCUGCCACCACUCUCUUGCCUGCCCCUUGAGCUGAAAUGUUGCGAACUUGACGAAGUCCUCUGGUCACACAUUACUGCACUCGAAGUGCUUGUUCAUGUCACGGAUACAGUCAUCUGCAUCUAAUGUCUAGUCAUAGGAAGUGAAGGACUUCAGCUGGUUCGCCAGGAAUUGAUUCAGAGUUGCAAACUACUGUCCACCAUUGUUGAAAUUACCCUGAUGUUGCUGGUUCCUCUCUUGCAACAACUGGAGCAACAUCUGAGUGUUUGCAUUGGUUGCCGCCAUUAUAGCUUGCCAUGUCUCACGAGGAGGAGGCGGUGGCGGAGGGGGUGGUGGAUGGUCAGCACUCUCACGACCCGGAUUCUGGCGAGUUGGUGGAUCCAUCCUGGAGACGGACAACAACGUUAGACCAUAUAUGAAAAUUCAAAGAUUAAUCUGAUUCAACGGGCAACAAUAUCUGAACAAGAAUUCUUAGCAAUUUCACUCAAACUAUAAUUAGUAAGAAUGCUUCCUCAAAAUAACCGCCGACAACAUCUGAUUGAAAAGCCACUUGUAAAUGCCAAGUAUGAGCUAGGAUUGCUCAGAACAAAUGUAUAUACCUAACAUACAUCUGAUGAAAGAAUUCCUAGUUGCUAAUGGAAUUCCCACCUAAGAAUUUCCAAAAUUUCUAGUCAUGCAAUCUGGUCCAUGGAUACAAGGAGUAAUAUAUCACUCAACUCCUAUUCUAACCCGUCCAGUGUAUCACAUCCAUCAACACAUAACCAGAAUCUCGAAACUUCAUCUAUCUCAGACCCUCGUAAUCACAACGAUACUAAGUAUGGCGAUACCCCCAAACUCUCUGCACGAGUACUGGGGAUGCCGGGCUUAUCGCGCCACUACUAGUAUUGCAGCAAUUUCGAAGAUCCCCCGUCAUGAGAUACUAAGAAAUCUGAAUGAUAAUGAUGUGCUCAAGAAUCCCCUGGAGCUCAACUCCCCGAAUAAAAUCAACACAACAGGAGGCACCAAGAGAGAAAUCCGUCACAUAGGUAUCAUAUAGAUUCCAAAAUAUCCGCGUGAUCCAAAAAAAAUUGAGCGAAAAGAGGAAUAGAAUUAAAAUUUCCUAAGUGAUGAACCUCACCACAGCAUAGAAGAGGAGAAAAAAGAAACCUACUCUCCGAUAUAACUAAGACUCAAAAUAGUUUUUGCUAGACUCGACUCGGCCAAGUUCGAUCAAUCAAAGGGUCCUAUGGUCGUAAGGCUCUGAUUACCAACUUGUAACGACUAAGAUGCGACCCUUUCCCUAUUUGGGAGCGAGGCCUCAAAAGGGAAAAGAGGCGCAUCUCAGCAUUUCGCAAGCAGGAUAACAUUGCCAUUACAUAAAUAGAGAGAUGAGUAUUAAGAUUCAGCUUACACUCGCCACAUGCUAGAUUACAAUCCACACAAGCAUUCAUUAUUCAUACAUAAGACAUGGUCCGACUAUGGACAAGAUAAACGGAAAAAUAAUGCUAUCCCGCCUUGCUAGGCCCACGAUCACGACCAAGUGCCUCUAAUCCUCGGGAUACGUCACGUAUAGCCUGCGACUAGCCUUGUCGAACUCCCACCUCAGCUGAGUAUCCUCUAAUUUGUUGUUGCAUGUUUUACGUGGCUGAUAUAGGUAUCUAGUAUGAUCGCAUCUUACUUACGCAAAUCCACAACGGUGAUAUGAAAUUUGCUAUUUAACCUUCUCCAAGGACCGCCUCGGUCAAAUUCGAUUCAACUAAAGUUGAAGAAACAGACACCCGCCACUCAUCUUUAUGCAACAAGUUGCAUGUUAGUCGAUGAAACCGGUCUCUCAUAAGCGUACGAGUAAGGUUGGUCUAGGCUGCUUCAAUCCAACAAUACAGUCGAAUCAAGAAAAGACUAAGGAGGACAACAAAUUGUACAUCAACGCCCACAAACUCUUUUGUGUUCUACUCGAGAUUUCAUCUACGCGUGAACCUAGCUCAUGAUUGCCACUGUUGGGGAACGUUGCAUGAGAAACAAAAAAAUUCCUACGCACACGAAGACCUAUCAUGGUGAUGAUCAUCUACGAGAGGGAGAUCGUAUCUACAUACCCUUGUAGAUCGCUAAGCGGGAAGCGUUAAGAAACGCGGUUGAUGGAGUGGAACGUCUUCGCGAUCCAAAUAGCCGUUGUUCCACGAUCCAUCCCGAUCUGGCACCGAACACACGACACCUCCGCGUUCAGCACACGUACAUCUCGAUGACAAUCUCCGCCUUUUCUUGAUAGAACAAGAGAGACGGGGAAGUAGAUGAGUUCUCUGGCAGCGUGACGGCGUGCCAGUGAUGGUGGUGAUCUAUUCCUGAAGGGCUUCGCCUAAGCACCGCAGAAAUCCGAUCCAUAGAAAGAACUACGAACUAGAGGAGAGGGUAGCACGUGGCUGAAUAUUGUGUCUCAAAAACCCUCAGACCUCUAGUAUAUAUAGGAGGAAGGAGGAGGCAGGCUUGCACACCAAGGGAGCCUCCCUUGGGCUCGGCCGAACUAGGAGGGGAGGAGUCCUCCUCCAAUCCUACUUGGAUUAGGACUCCUCUCCAAGUUGUCCACCUCUUUUGGAUUUUCCACCUUUUUACUCAUGGGCUUUCUUUGGUUGACUAGUCAGCCCAUCAAGGGCUGUUGCGCCACCAUCAAGUCCAUGUGUCCCCCUUGGGGAGUGGUGGGCCCACCUGGUGGACCCUCGGAACCCAUUCGUCACUCCCGGUACACUCCCGUAAUGCGUGAAAUCCUUCCGGAAUCUAAACACCAACUUCCUAUAUAUCAAUCUUUGUUUUCGGACCAUUCCAAAACUCCUCGUGACGUUCGAUAUCUCAUCCAGGACUCCGAACAAAACUUCGGUCACCAGCACCUACAACUCAACUAUACUGAAACGUCACCGAACCUUAAGUGUGCAGACCGUGCGGGUUCGAGAACUAUGUAGACAUGACCGAGACACUCUCUAGCCAAUAUCCAAUAGCAGGACCUGGACGUCCAUAUUGGAUCCUACAUAUUCUACAAAGAUCUUAUCGAUUGAACCUCUAUGUCAAGGAUUCACACAAUCCCGUAUAUCAUUCCCUUUGUCCUUCGGUAUGUUACUUGCCCGAGAUUCGAUCGUCGGUAUCUCCAUACCUAUUUCAAUCUCAUUACCGACAAGUCUCUUUACUUGUUUUGUAAUACAAGAUCCCGCAACUAACUCUUUAGUCACAUUGCUUGCAAGGCUUUGUAUGUGAUGUUGUAUUACCGAGUGGGCCCCGAGAUACCUCUUCGUCAUACGGAGUGACAAAUCCCAGUCUUGAUCCAUGCUAACUCAACGGAUACCUUCGGAGAUGCUUGUAUAGUACCUUUAUAGUCACCCAGUAACGUUGCAACGCUUGAUACACACAAGACAUUCCUCCGGUGUUAGUGAGUUACAUGAUCUCAUGGUCAUAGGAAUGAAUACUUGACAUGUAGAAAACAAUAGCAACAAAAUUACACGAUCAUAUGCUACGUUCAUAGUUUGGGUCUUGUCCAUCACAUCAUUCUCCUAAAGAUGUGAUCUCAUUAUCAAGUGACAACACUUGUUUAUGGAUAUGAAACACUAACCAUCCUUGAUCAACGAGCUAGUCAACUAGAGGUUUACUAGGGACAUUAUUUUGUCUAUGUAUCCACACAUGCAUUUGUGUUUCCGCUCAAUACAGUUAUAACAUGGAUAAUAAACGGUUAACUUGAAACAGGAAAUAUAAUAAUAAUUAUUUUAUUAUUGCCUCUAGGGCAUAUUUCCAACACUUACGGCCUUCAUAACCCCACAGUGUUCUCGAUCAGAGAAGGAGCUCUGAAAGAAACAAUCAAGGUUAGCCACACAGUUGGCAGGUUUUAUUUAAGUUACUUUAAGUUAUCUUGAACUGGAUGUUAAAAAAAUAUCCAUGUUUACCACAUAACCGCGGGCACAACUUUCCGAAAGAUUAAACCCUGCAGGGGUGCUCCAACAAUCCUACUCAGAUAAACAAGUGCCACCUCACCACAAAGUGCCACUUUUGCAGAACUGCUCAACUCUGGAAUCCAGUGCCACCAUUGGAUUCCUUGGGUUUUUCUACCCCAAAUCCAUAUGUCAUACUGGUAUAUUUGCAUGCAAAAAAACACCAUAAAUAACAAAAGAAAAACUACACGUGAUCAAACUAUACUAAUGUGAAGAAUAGGGGUUGUUCUUGUCUUCUUGAUAUGCCAGAUUAGGCAGAUUCCAUUUCAGGAAUUAUUCCAAAAAUGGAAUUUAACACACUAAGAGAAAUAAAAAGAAAAACCACAAUUUAAUUGACAAGGGGGCCCCACUGGUCAUAUGCAACAGGGCCCCCUAGCGCAUGACAGGUGGGCCCUCUGGCCCACUUGUGAGUGGCACAACUCCAACUGAGUGAACACAAAGAAAAAAUAAAGGUGCACACGGGGGACUCGAACCCACAACCUCUUUGUUGCACCAUACCACAGCUAUCACUAGGCUACAAGUGUGUAUCUGCACUACUAGGGGUAGCAACGCAGAUAUACCUACUCUGCUACUUAACAACACCAGGAAAUAACAAUGCAAAAGGGGUGCACCAGGGUGGACUCGAACCCGAGACCUCACGGUCAUGCGCGCAACGUACGAACCGGUCGGGCUAGCGUGGUGAGUCUGUCCAAAGGGGGAUCUCACCCGAGACGAUAUGCAAAAGGGGGCGCCUUCUCUGUUUAAUAGAGAGGCGCCGACGAUGAUGCAGCUCGUUGAUGCAACGCAUCACGCGCACACGCAAGGGAAACGCUAGCGGGGGGAACUCAAACUAAGCUGCUGCUACUCUGCAAUGUGAGCUGCGACUGUUACUGCUUGCUGCUACGAAGCGAUGCAAGUGCUGAUGUUGCAUACUUGAUGACCCACAAGUGUAAGGGAUUUAUCGUGGCCUUUUCGAUAAGUAAGAGUGUCGAACCCAACGGGGAGCAGAAGGUAUUAACAAGCGAUCUUGAGCAAGGAAUAACUGCAAGUACUAAAAGGUAACUUUUUAUGGGUUUUCUGGUAUAACCAACAAGGAAAUAAAUGCAGGGAAAGUAAAUGGUCCUGAGGUGAAGCAAGUGGCCCAAUCCUUUUGAACACAAAGGAUAAGCUGAGGGACUAAACUUAUAAAGACUAAGGCGUUCUUGAGGACAUACAGGAGAGAUAGUAAAGUGAUGUCGCCAUGUUCCGUCUAGUACUAUGUUCUAGUACUAUGUUUUUAUGGGUUCAGGUUUGUGUCACUCCGGCAACCCACCAUAAGCAUUCUUUAUACACGAUGCAUUCUCCUAGGCCCUUAAAAAUGUGAAGUGUUAUGUAGUCAACAUUCACAUAACACCACUAGAAGAAUAACACCAUAACUUAAAUACCAAUCAACACAUAUUACUUCAACAUCAUAUGACUAAUAUCAACUAGACUUCUCCCAUGUCGUGAAGAACUAAAGUAACUACUCACAAGACAUAAAAGAGAUCAUGAUCAGAGGUGAUGAAAAAUAUGAUGAACAAUCUGGUCAUAAUGAUAAUUCUCCAACAAUACUCGAUAGCAUUCACCACAAAAGAGUAAUCAACACCUGUAGAGUAAAGGGUAUGAAUAGUGCAAGAUACAACUCCGACUGCAAUGGAAAAGUGAGAUGGGGUGAAUAUGGAGAUGGUGCUGGUGUUGAGGGUGAUGGUGAUGAUGAUAUCGAUGAUGCCCGUGACGAUGGUGAUGACGAUGAGGAUGAUCUCCCCUUCCGGGAGGAGUUCUCCCCGGCGGAAUCUGCCCGCCGGAAAGGUCUUUUCUUCUUUGUAGGUUUUCGCCCCGGAGCAGCGGCGGAACUCCAGAAAAACUUUUGUUCCCGUAACUUUUAGGUCACGAGGGUCAUAUAGGCCAAAGGAGAGCACCGGAGGCGGGAUCCACCACCCAGGCGGCCUGUGGGCGCGGCCUAGGGGUGACCCGCGCCAACAGGUUGCCUGGGUGCCUGGUGGCCCCCUCCGGCCCUUCUUCAACCUGUCUUUGUGUUCUGUUCAAAAACUCCUUCCCCGUAAAUUUCAGCUCAAUUGGAGUUGUUCUGAUUUGGCAACUCUUCAUUCUAUUUUCUCCGAUGAAUCCUGUGUCUGCUGUUUCGGCACCGGAAAGUUGUAAACUAUGUAAAAUAAGCCAAAAACACUAUAAGAACAACAUCAUAAUGUGGAAUAUAUCAAUGAAUAGAGACAAAUUAUGAUACAAAUAGUGAUGCAUUUUGGAUGUAUCAACUCCCCCAAGCUUAGACCUCCCUUGUCCCCAAGCGAAUACUGAACUCGGUAAACCUGUCCACAAGUUUAGGGAGUGAAGUGUCGAUAAAUAAGAAUACGGACUAGAAGCAUCAUAGUUUCUCUACUAAACUCAACCAUCCUCAACAGCAAUCUCAACUCAUAAGGCCCAAAUGAAUGAAUAAUAUCAAUUACAAUCAAAAGUAGGGCUAAUGAAACUCAUCAAACCAUGGCAAACAUGUGCUUGGUCAAAGAACAACUAAUAACUUUUAACUUUUGCUCUUCCUCUUAUAUUUUGAUGAGAUCAAUUGAAGCUUCUUUUGAAAGAACAUGUUAUCAGUCAAGAAGUGAAAAUGCUAACACAAAGGAAGAUGUUUGCUUUAGCUAGGCUUAAUAAACAACUUACUCAUCUUAAUGAUAACGCAUCUUUGUCAACAUAAGGUGUCUGCUCUUUUAUAGGAUAGAAAUAAGUAGGUUUACUGACUCAACAUAAAAGUAAAUAUUAGCCCUUCACAGAGGGAAGUAGGGAAAACUCAUGUGUUAGAGCUUUUAGAGAUUUUGAAAUCAAUAAGAUUGUAAAAACAAGCUUUUGAGAGGUGCAUAAUCUAUCAACGAAUGCUAGCAGAUAGCCCAAUACUUCUCAUGCUGGACAAGUUUUGAGGAACGACUCCCAAAGUGGGGACGAUCACAUCCCCUUAGUCUCCUUUGUUUACCACUACCAAAGUUUUCUGAUUUCUCAUAAACAAAGCGUGAAGGAGGUUUUGUUUGUUGUUAUUAUCUUUUACGAACUGGGCGCACUCAUGCCAGCUCCUCCUUGUAUUAGGGGUUUGCAGAUUAGACAUGCAAACCCAGGAUAAAGCUUGUCCAGUAUGAGAAGAUCAUGAAUUAUCUACUACUUCCUCAUGAGCUAAAACAGAGGCACAAAACAGGGAGUAAUAUUUGAAGGUUUAAAGAUAGCACAUGAGUAAUUUACUUUAGGAGUGGCGGUGAAAUACCACAUGUAGGGAAGGUAUGGUGGACUCUUGGGAAGGUUGAGGUUUCAAGGUAUAGAUGCACAAGCAGUAUUCCCGCUUAGUACAAGGGUUGGCUAGCAAAGGCUUUAGAGAGCAGGCAAAUGAUGUUGACUUGGAUGCAAAACAAUAUAAAGUUUAACAUAAAGAAUUGGCAUAAAUCAUCAAGUUGUCUUCCUUGUCAGCAUAACACUUCAAGCAUAGAACAUAAAGGUUUUGGCUAUGUCGCUGCUAGCAAAACUCAUGCUUGUUGUUAUGACCAAUGCUAUAUUUUCCAAGAUUAAAUAAAGUUUUCGAAGCCAUACCUGAUAUAUAAGAUCAAUACUCCCAUAAGAAUCAGCAUAUAUGGUUGAUUGCAUGAAGAGAAUACCAGGUGCAGCAAAGAAAGCAAUAGACUUCUCAUUAAUAUUCCAUCAUAGACAACUGCACACUCACGGAUACAAGACUCCCCACAAAGGAGUGAUAGACCUCAAUGCAAACACCUAUUUCAUAAAAUAACUUCCCUAGACAUGAUACGACACUAAACUUGACCAUAAAAGUUAAAGGAUAAAUAUAAAGAUACCGGGCACUCCCCCAAGCUUGGAACAAGCUAAGGGAAUGCCAUUACCCAAGAAGAUUUCACUUUUCAUCCUACUUGUUGUUCUUCAAGUCCGCUAUUAUGCGCCAGAGAGUUUGGUUUUCAGCUUCCAGUAUGGUGAUGACCCACAAGUAUAGGGGAUCAAUCAUAGUCCUUUCGAUAAGUAAGAGUGUCGAACCCAACGAGGAGCAGAAGGAUCUGACAAGUGGUUUUCAGCAAGGUAAAAUCUGCAGGCACUAAAAUUGUCGGUAACAAGUGAUUGUGUGGUGAGAUGAUUCGUAGCGAGCAACAAGUAACAAAAGUAGCAAGGGUGCAGCAAAGUGGCCCAAUCCCUUUUGUAGAAAGGGACAAGCCUGGACAAAGUCUUAUAGAAGGAAAAACGCCCCCGAGGACACACGGGAAUUUCUGUCAUGCUAGUUUCAUCAUGUUCAUAUGAUUCACGUUCGUUACUUUGAUAGUUUGAUAUGUGGGUGGACUGGCGCUUGGGUACUGCCCUUACUUAGACAAGCAUCCCACUUAUGAUUAACCCCUCUUGCAAGCAUCCGCAACUACGAAAGAAGAAUUAAGACAAAGUCUAACCAUAUCAUUAAACUAGUGGAUCCAAAUCAGCCCCUUACGAAGCAACGCAUAAACUAGGGUUUAAGCUUAUGUUACUCUAGCAACCCAUCAUCUACUUACUACUUCCCAAUGCCUUCCUCUAGUCCCAAAAAUGGUGAAGUGUUAUGUAGUCGACGUUCACAUAACACCACUAGAGGAAAAACAACAUACAACACAUCAAAUUACCGAACGAAUACCAAAUUCACAUGACUACUAUUAGCAUGACUUAUCCCAUGUCCUCAGUAACAAAAGUAACUACUCACAAAGGAUAAUCAUAUUCAUGACCAGAGAGGUAAUGAGUAGCAUCAAGGAUCUGAACAUAAACUCUUCCACCAAAUAAUCCAACUAGCAUCAACUACAAAGAGUAAUCAACAUUACUAGCAACCUUACAAGUACCAUUCGGAGUCGCGAGACGGAGAUUGGUUGCAAGUGAUGAACUAGGGUUUGGAGAUGAGAUGGUGCUGAUGAAGAUGUUGAUGUUGACGAGUCCCCUCCGAUGAGAGGAGUGUUGGUGAUGACGAUGGCGAUGAUUUCCGCCUCCGGGAGGGAAGUUUCCCCGACAGGAUCGUCCUACCGGAGCUCUAGAUUGGUUCUGCUCAAGUUCCGCCUCGUGGCGGCGGCAAAUCCACGAAAAAGCUCCUCCCUGAUUUUUUCCUGGUCGAAACACUUCAUAUAGCAAAAGAGGGGGCAAGUGGGCCAGCAGGUUGCCCACAAGCCCUCAUGGCGCGGCCUGGGGGGUGGCCGCGCCUUGCAGGCUUGUGGCCAACCCGUGGCGCCCCUGUGGCACUUCUUCGGCCCAGUAUUUUUGAUAAAUCCGGAAAAAAAUCCUCGUUGAUUUUCACGGCGUUUGGAGUUGCGUAGAAUAGGUAUCUCAACUUUGCUCCACUUUCAGGCCAGAAUUCCAAUUGCCGGCAUUCUCCCUCUUCAUGUAAACCUUGCAAAAUAAGAGAGAAAAGGCAGAAGAAUUGUACCGUGAAGUGAAAUAACAGCCCAAGAAGCGAUAAAUAUCAACAUGAUAACAUGAUGCAAAAUGGACGUAUCAACUCCCCCAAGCUUAGACCUCGCUUGUCCUCAAGCGAAAGCCUAGCUCAAUAAAUAUGUCCACAUGUUUAGGGAGAGAGGUGUCGACAAAACAAGAUACGAACAUGCAUACAUCAUGAUCAAGAUCAGGACAACAAUACCAACAUAUAAUCUCUCAUGCUAAAGUGAUAAGUCCUUCACAAAGUAAAGCAUAGAUCAAGAACCUUACCGAGAAGUAACAACCGAUAGCCUUUAGUCAUUGAAGCAAUUGCAAUUUAUCACAACAUCAGAAAGAGUCAAAUAAGAGCUUGUAAAGCAAAUCCACAUACUCAAUCAUUCUUUCGUUCUCUACAAUUGCUACAACUCACGUGGUACUCAUGAGAUCAAAGUUUCAGCUGGACAGAGAGAAAGAUAGGGGCUUAGAGUUUUGCCUCCCAACUACUUACCUCAAGGGUAAUGUCAACAAUAAUAAUUCAUGAAUACUUACCUCCAAGUUGACAUAUGAAUAUAGAUCUUUCCCAAGCAUGUGACGGUAGCCAAGACAAAGGCGAAAUAGGGAAUUGGUGAAGAUCACCAUGACUCUUUCAGGGACAAAAAGUAAAGGUACAAGAUAGGCCCUUCGCAGAGGGAAGCAGAGGUUGUCAUGCGCUUUUGAGGUUUGGAUGCGUGUCCUCUUAGUGCGGAGGAACGUCACUUUAUAUUGCCUCCUGCGAUAAAGAACUUUAUUAUGCAGUCUGUCGCUUUUAUGUCUUCCUCAUCACAGGUUCAUACAAAGCUUAUUUUCCACACACUAAUAGAUCAUACAUAUUAGAGAGCAAUUUUUAUUGCUUGCACCGAUGAAAACUUACUUGAGGGAUCUUAUUCAAUCCAUAGGUAGGUAUGGUGGACACUUAUGGCAAAACUGGUUUGAAGGUUUAUGGAUGCACAAGUAGUAUCUCUACUUGGUGCGGGAGGUUUUGGCUAAUAUGAGGUGGAAGCAAUCGUCACAUGCUAAGGGAUCUCUAAUCAUAUAACAUUGUUCGGAGCCAAGCAAACACAAUUCAUUAUGCUGUCUUCCUUGUCCAACAUCUACUUAUAGGCAUGCAAUAGUUUAGUGAUUGUUCACAAUCAUAGAUGGUGUCGGAGAUGAUAUAUUUAUAUGUGAACCUCUCCUUCUUUAUCAUUUCCUAUUAAUUGCAACCAUGACCAAGGUCUACGUUUGCCUACCCUCAACAAGUUUCAAUCCUCAUCCUUUUAAUAUGUGAAGCCAUCACUUCCCAUAAGAUCAUUACAUGACCUUUCAUGCUUUUGUUCUAUAUUCUCACUCUUUUGAUCAUGGCAAGAGGCAAAGCCCUUCAACUAAGACACUCUUUAUUAUAUGGCUCACGAGCUCGAAUACAUCGGGGGUGACACAAAGAAAAACUCAAGACUAAAACACUAAGACUUUUAAACUACUAGAGAAAAAGAAAACUGAAAAGGAACAAACUAAAACAAAGGUAAAGGCAAAAGAUGUGAUGGUGAUACGAUACCGGGGCAACUCCCCCAAGCUUGGCACAAGCCAAGGGGAUUGCCCAUACCAAUGCUCAAUUGUCUUCCUUUGGUGGUGAUGGUGGUGGAUUUGUCGCAACAUGAGUUUGAUCCUCCGUCUUCCAAGGCAUAGGUGCUCCAUCAUGGAAAGAUGAACGAGUCUCCGAAAUCCUCAAAUCUGCAGCCAACCGUAUUGAUUUAAAUCUAUACUCAUACUCACAGUUUUGGUUUGCAGGUCAUAGAUCUGGGCCUGGAGUUGAUCAAUCCUGUCAUAGAGCCUGGAGAGAUGCUUCCCAAUGUCAUUGGCAUCAAUCAUGUGCUUGUAGGUGAACUCCGUGAUCAUCAUGUGGUUGGCGUUGAGUCCACGCUCCACCAUCCCUUGGCACUUGAAGACUUGUUGCUCCAUUGCUUCGAGCCUCGUCUCCAUGCUUCCAGUCUCCUUAGGCUCCUCAACAUCACGGAUGUGCAACAUCCUCUCACGCAUCUCGAUAGAUUGAGGGUGUUUCAGCACUCCCAUGAGGUAGGGAUUGAUGACCUUCUCGAAGAUCUUGUCCUUCGGAGAUUUUGGGGAAGUCAUAGCGAUCUAGGUCUGCAACAGAAACAGGCUCGAAACGAAAAACAGAGGAAAUCUGCGUGAUUCAGGGGUCAGACCAAACGGAAGUAUAUAUAAUGAUUUUUUUUCAGACCAGAAGGAGUACCCCGCACGAAAACGGAGUCCGGGAGGUGCACGAGGUGGCCACAAGCCCUCACGGCACGGCCAGGGGGUGGGCCCGCGCCGUGCAGGCUUGUCGCGUCCUCGCGCACUUUCCGAACUACUUCCAAUUUUUGUAUUUUUUCAAAUAAUCCAAAACAGAGAAAAUUUCCUAUUGGAAAAGUUUUGGACUCUGUUUUCUUACUGAAUCACAUACCUCUUCGUUUUCGGAGUCUGAAACAGGUUGAUAAACAUCCCUUAGGUAUUCCUCCGGAGUUAUGGUAUUGAUAAUAUUGCUUUCAACAUUUAUGGGAGUACCUGAGAUAUAAUGCUUGAUUCUCUGCCCAUUUACCACUCUCGGACAAUUACCUUCCGUGUUGUUGAUCUUGAUAGCACCGGAACGAUAUACUUCCUCAACAACAUAGGGACCUUCCCAUUUAGAGAGAAGCUUGCCUGCAAAGAAUCUUAAACGAGAGUUAUAUAGCAAGACAUAAUCACCUACAUUGAACUCACGCUUCUGUAUCCUCUUAUCAUGCCACCUCUUAACCUUCUCUUUGAACAGCUUGGCAUUCUCAUAUGCCUGAGUUCUCCACUCAUCAAGCGAGCUAAUAUCAAAUAACCUCUUCUCACCGGCAAGUUUGAAAUCAAAGUUGAGCUCUUUGAUUGCCUAAUAAGCUUUAUGCUCUAGCUCAAGAGGUAAACGACAUGCUUUACCGUACACCAUUUUGCACGGAGACAUGCCCAUGGGAUUCUUAUAGGCAGUUCUAUAAGCCCACAGUGCAUCAUCGAGCUUCUUAGACCAAUUCUUUCUAGACCUGUUGUUAGUCUUUUGCAGAAUCAGUUUAAUCUCUCUAUUACUUACCUCUACUUGACCACUGGACUGAGGGUGAUAGGGAGACGCAAUUCUAUGGUUGACAUCGUACUUAGCAAGCAUUUUACGAAAAGCACCAUGAACGAAGUGUGAACCACCGUCGGUCAUUAGAUAUCUAGGGACUCCAAAUCUAGGGAAGAUAACUUCUUUAAACAUCUUGAUAGAAGUGUUGUGAUCAGCACUACUAGCGGGGAUAGCUUCUACCCACUUAGUGACGUAAUCAACAACAACUAGGAUAUGAGUAUACCCGUUGGAUUUUGGAAAAGGUCCCAUAUAAUCAAAGCCCCAAACAUCAAAUGGUUCAAUGACAAGUGAAUAGUUCAUAGGAAUUUCCUGACGUUUACCGAUAUUACCUAUUCUUUGAUAUUCGUCACAAGACAAGACAAACUUACGGGCAUCCUUGAAGAGAGUGGGCGUAUCAUAUGGCCACCUGUACUUUAAGCACACAAAAGUCCAAGAAGCGAUAAAUAUCAACAUGAAAACAUGAUGCAAAAUGGACGUAUCAUAUGGCCACCUGUACUUUAAGCACACAAAAGUCCUCACACAAUUGGCCAGAGGGACACAUGUGGAGCUUCAGUCAGAGGAACAGUUCCUGAAAGGUUUAGAUAAAGAUCAUGUUGAGGGUUAAUAAACCCCACGAGGAUGGGGUUGUUGGAGCUGGAUCCCCGUGAUGAAGGAUCUCCUUCUUGCUGGAUGGUGACCAUUGACAACCCACAAGCGUAUGGGAUCGCAACAAUUUUCGAGGGUAGAGUAUUCAACCCAAAUUUGUUGGUUCGCCAAGGAGAAGCGAAAUAAUAUUCUCAAGUAUUAGCAGCUGAGUGUGUAAGAUUCAACCACACCUGAAAGAUUAGUGUCUGCAAGCAAAGUAUCAGUUGCAAAGUAGUAUGAUAACCACGGUGUCAGAAACGAUCCGUUGACAAGGCAGACUAUUCCUAACUGUUGUAUCAAUGGCGCAAGUAAAAAGCACGUUGACGGGGGACUAUUCUUCCCCAACAACUGCUCCAGAAAAGGUCUUGCACUAAGUAGCAGCGGAGUAGCAGUAGCAGCAGCAGCAAACUAACAACAGUAGCAACAAUAGCAGCAAAGUGACAGCAGUAGCAACAGUAGCAGCAAAGUGGCCCAAUCCCUUUUGCAGCAAGGGACAAGCCUAGACAAAGUAACAUAGCGAGGACCAGUAGUAAAAGACUCAUAGGCAGUGGAUCGGUGAUGGAUGAGUAUGACAUAUGUGAUUCAUCAUGUAACAGCUAUAACACAGAGAGAUAUGUAACUAGCUCCCGUUCAUCAAUCUAAUGUAGGCAUGUAUUCCAUAUGUAGUCAUACGUGCUUAGGGAAAAGAACUUGCAUGACAUCUAUUGUCCAUCCCUCCCGUGGCAGCGGGGUCCUAAUGGAAACUACGGGAUAUUAAGGUUCUCCUUUUAAUAAAGAACCGGACCAACGCAUUAACAUGCGAUGAAUACAUGAACUCCUCAUACUAUGGUCAUCUCCCGGAGUGGUUCGGGCUAUUGUCACUCCGGGGUUGCCGGGUCAUAACACAUAGUAGGUGACUACAACAUGCAAGAUAUGAUCUAAAACACACAUAUAUUGGCGACAACAUAAUAGGUUCAUAUCUGAAAUCAUGGCACUCGGGCCCUAGUGACAAGCAUUAAGCAUAGCCAAGUAGUAGCAACAUCAAUCUAGAACAUAGUGGAUACUAGGGAUCAAUCCCCGUCAAGAACUAACUCGAUUACAUGAUAGAUCUCAUCCAACUCAUCACCGUCCAGCAAGCCUAUGAUGAGAUUACUCACGAAAGAUGAAGAGCAUCAUGCAAUUGUCGAUGGAGAAAGGUUGGUGAUGACGAUGGCGACGAUUUCCCCUCUCCGGAGCCCGAAACGGACUCCAGAUCUGCCUUCCAGAUGAAGAACAAGAUGUGGCGGCGCCUCCGUAUUGUAAAACGCAAUGAAACCUUCUCUCUGAUUUUUUUCCAGGCGAAACGGAAGAUAUAGAGGUGAGUUUGGGGGCGGUGGUGCCACGUGGGCCCCACAAGCCUGCACGGCGCGGCCUAGGGGGGUGGCCGCGGCCUGUGGGCUUGUGGCCCACUGGCACGCCCCCUCCGGUGGAUCUUUGUGCAGGUAUUUUUCUUUUAUUCCAAAAAAAAUCUCCGUAAAUUUCAAGACAUUUCGAGAACUUUUAUUUCUGCACAAAAACAACACCAUGGAAUUCUACUAAAAACAACGUCAGUCCGGGUUAGUUCCAUUCAAAUCAUGCAAAUUAGAGUCCAAAACAAGGGCAAAAGAGUUUGGAAAAGUAGAUACGACGGAGACGUAUCAACUCCCCCAAUCUUAAAGCCUUGAUUGUCCUCAAGCAAUUCAGUUGACAAACUGAAAGAGAUAAAAGAAAAACUUUGACGAACUCUGUUUGAUCUUGUUGUUGCAACUAUGUCUAACUCAUAUCCAGAGUUUCAGCAAGAUCACAAGCAAACCACAUAAGCAAAUGACAUCUAGGUCUCACGGUAAACUCAUAUCAAUGGCAUAAUCAACUAGCGAGCAAAUAAUAAUAAGCCUCAAAUGUCAAUACUUUAAUCAAAACAACAUGAAGCAGUACGAAUAGAUGGUAUCUCGCUAGCUCUUUCUGAGACCGCAAAACAUAAAUGCAGAGCACCUUCAAAGACCAAGGGCUGACUAAACAUUGUAAUUCAUGGCAAUGAAGAUCCAGUCAUAGUCAUACUCAACACAGUUAAAAGAAAAGCAAUGACAUAGGUGCUCUCUAAUUGGUGCUUUUGUAAGAGGAGGAUGACACAACAGGAACAUAAAUAGACAGGCCCUUCGCAGAGGGAAUCAUUGAUUUGCAGAGGUGCCAGAGCUCAAGCUUUGAAAACAGAGAUAAUAAUUUUGGGUGGAAUGAUUUCAUUGUCAAUGCAAUGACUAAGAGUUCUCAACAUCUUCCACGCUACACAUGCUAUAGGCAGUUCCCAAACCGAAAAGUAAAGUUUUGACUCCCCCACCACCAGUCAAUCACACUCCAUGGCUAGCCGAAUCCUCGGGUACCGUCCAUACCAACAUCAAUCCCGGGGGAGUUUUGUUUGCAAUUAUCUUUUCGAUUUGAGCAUGGAACUGGGAAUUCCAAUUAUCAGCCCCUUUCUAGUGAAUGAUAGUGAAUAAACACAUAUCGAGGAUAACACUCCUAGCAUGGAAGAUACCAAUAGCCCCCUGUCACCACAUGAGCGAUUCGGGCAUGCAAAACAGAUUAUUUCUUCAGGAUUUAGAGAGUGGCACAUGCAAAUUUACUUGGAACGGCAGGUAGAUACCGCACAUAGGUAGGUAUGGUGGACUCAUAUGGAACAACUUUGGGUUUAUGGAGGUGGAUGCACAAGCAGUAUUCCCGCUUAGUACAAGUGAAGGCUAGCAAAAGACUGGGAAGCGACCAACUAGAGAGCGACAACAAUCAUCGAAAUGCAUUGAGAUUAACUAACAUUGAGUGCAAGCAUGAGUAGGACACAAAUCACCUUGAACACGAACAUCAUAGACGCUAUGUUGAUUUUGUUUCAACUACAUGCGUGAACAUGCGCCAAGUCAAGCCACUUGAAUCAUUCAAAGGAGGAUACCAUCCUAUCAUACUGCAUCAUAGUCAUCUCAACAUUCAUGUUGGCAACCAAUACAAACCAUUAUAAGCUCCUUGCUAAGUAAGCAUGGCGUAAGCAACUAUGAUCUCUAAGUUGUCAUUGCAAACAUGUUUGUCUCACAGCAAAGCUGAAUCAGGCAUGAUGAGCUAGUCAUAUUUACAAAAACAAAAUAGAUCGAGUUCAUACCAUCUUUUCCAGGCUCAGUCACUUUAUCAUAUAUCGUCAUUAUUGCCUUUCACUUGCACGACCGAACGAUGUGAACAAUAAUAAGCAUGCUCGUGCAUUGGACUAAAGCUAGAAUCUGCAGGCAAACCCAAAGGAGAAGACAAAGUAAUAUGGAUCUUUGAAAGCUAAACAUGUAUGCAUGCAAGAGCCACUAAACAUUGUAACCAAUAUCUUCUACCUUGACCCAAAGAAAAAAGAAAACUAUCUACACAGAAAAGCUCCCAACAAGCAAAAGAAGAAAAAGAAAAUCUUUUUGGGUUUUCUCAAACUAGACAGACACACGAAAAGAAAACGAGAAAAAGAAAAUAAACUAGCAUGGAUGAUACAGUGGCAAAGUGUGAACACCAGCUAACAAAGUGAAAGCAUAAGCAAGAAUGUAAAGUCGAUGAGAACACGUAUUCCCCCAAGCUUAGGCUUUUGGCCUAAGUUGGUCUACUCCCAAGGAGGGAAANNNNNNNNNNNNNNNNNNNNNNNNNNNNNNNNNNNNNNNNNNNNNNNNNNNNNNNNNNNNNNNNNNNNNNNNNNNNNNNNNNNNNNNNNNNNNNNNNNNNNNNNNNNNNNNNNNNNNNNNNNNNNNNNNNNNNNNNNNNNNNNNNNNNNNNNNNNNNNNNNNNNNNNNNNNNNNNNNNNNNNNNNNNNNNNNNNNNNNNNNNNNNNNNNNNNNNNNNNNNNNNNNNNNNNNNNNNNNNNNNNNNNNNNNNNNNNNNNUACUCCCAAGGAGGGAAAUGACCAGCUCCGGGGUACUCAGGAGUGGACUGAGGAUGCCACUGCUGUGUGAGCUCCUCUGGCUCCCACUGAUAAACUGGCGUCAGGUACUCGACUGGCGGCUCGCGCACGGGCACCUGUGGUUGGGCUAAGCCCCAAUAUGCGUAGAUGUCCGAGGGCAUAAUAGUGUACCUGCCUGCAUGAAGAUUGAACAAAGAAGGAGCAGGCAAAGUAAUAGUCUCAUGAGUACCCUGACUAAAGACCAGGUUAUAAAUCAUCCUUCUACUUAUAUCUCUAUCAAGAAAGUCAUGGCGAACCAUGCUAUCGUAAUCUAGAGAUCUCUCGGGAAGAAGAAUCUCUUCUUCCUCCUCUAGUCUAAUAGGUAUCUCAAAGUCUCUAGCAAGACGAGUAGCAUAGAUACCUCCAUAGACAACACCCUUAGAACGGUUCUGGUUCAACCAUUGAGCUACUAUAGCGCCCAAGCUAUAAGUUGUAUCGUUAUAAAGGGCUUCACGCAAGACCGCAAGAUCCGGGGAACUAAGUGACCCAGCUUUCCCACGGCCAAUCAAACAUUUUCCCACAAAUAGUGAGAAGUACCGAAGCACGGGAAAAUGUAUGCUAGCAUCUCUAGCGCAAGACACUCCUCUCUCCUCUCCUACAACAAUUGUACUGAUGAAAGCUUCCAGGUCUCGUGGACGAGGUUCAUGAAUAUCCCCAACGUAAGGCAAUUUGCAAACAUUGCAAAAAUCCUGGAGUGACAUGCGCUGGGGGAUAUCAUAAAGUUUAAACUCAAUCAUAGGAGGAUUCUUCCUUGGAUAUAAGUUAAAGCUUUGUACGAAGAUAUUAGUGAGGAGGAGAUAUUGCGGACACUUAUCUUCAACGAAGGCGGUAAGGCCUGCGUUCUCCACCAAGUGAUAAAAGUCCUCAUAAAUUCCAGCAGCGCGUAAGAACACGUCGCUUGGCCACUCGCAUGCUCGAACUUCUACGACUCGAGGGACCAAAUACUUGGGCUUCUUCUCACUCCCAUCAUCCUUGGGGUCACGGCUUGACGAGCCUCUUAAGAACCUCCUCAUCUUUUCCCUUUUCUAUCUCCGAAAAUUUCUGAAAUUUUUAGUGAUUCUAAGAAAAGUGAAUAAGGCUCAACAAAACUCGUAGCAACUACUCCCACAAGUUCCUAGAGGCCAUAUUACGCAUCAAAACUACUUGGGACCAGCUAAAAUCAGCAUGCAAAGCUCAAGAACAUGGUCACCAAGGCAGCAAAAAUACGCGGAGUAUAAGGCACUAGAGCAAAAACUAAUUGGACCAAUGGAGGAGUCACUUACCAAGGAGUAAUUUCCCCAAAACACUUCGGAGAACGGUGGUUUGAGCAAAGAGAUCGAAAAUCCCAGCAAGAGGAGCAAGAACAUGGGUUUGAGCUGCGAAACGAUUUUUUCUGGAGGUAGGAGAAGCGGAUGAGAGCAAUAAUGAGUGAGGGGGUGCUUGUGGGCCCCACAAGCCUGUGUGGCGCGGCCAGGGGGUGCCCGCGCCCCUAUGGCUUGUGGCCCACUGGUGUGGCCCCCAGACAGACUCUUUGUCCUAGAAUUUUUCAAAAGAUCCAGAAAAAAUCAUACUUGAUUUUCACAGCGUUCGGAGAACUUUGAUUUUCGGGGUAUUUUUCUACCGGACGCUAAAACAGAGAACAGGGAAAACUAAACUAAAUCUAUCAUUUUUCUUCUAAGCAACCUAAAGUGAAAGCUUGGAACAGAGGUUUGUGACUCCUCGAGUCAUCCAUCUCAUGGUCAUCGAAAGAAAUCCGUCAAUGGGGUUGAUCAAAUCCCCUCGACAAAGCUUUCUCGAAUCGCAAAAGAGAACGGAGAAUUUUCGAAUACUCACUAGGUCACCUCAAUGGGGAUGUGUAUCUCCCCAACAAGCAAGUCAUACUUCAUCCUGACACGAGGAAUAGGGCAUUCAAAGCUUCCAAUAAGAAUCGAUGAAGUCUUUUCGAUAGCAUUGAUGCAAUGUACUCGAUAUUGUUUCUUCAGAAAGUGCACUGUAUGCUCAUUACCAUUGACAUGGAAAGUGACAUUGCCUUUGUUGCAAUCUAUAACAGCCCCUGCAGUGUUUAAAAAGGGUCUUCCGAGGAUGACAGCCAUGGCAUCGUCCUCGAGAAUAUCCGAGAUAACAAAGUCUGUUAAGAUAGUGGUGUUAGCCACCACAACAGGCACAUCCUCGCAAAUGCCGAUAGGGAAAGCAGUUGAUUUGUCGACCAUUUGCAGAGAGAUUUUAGUGGGUGUCAACUUAUCCAGUUCAAGUCUACAAUAAAGAGAGAGAGAGAGGCAUAACACUAACACCGGCUCCAAGGUCGCAUAAAGCAGUUCUAGCGUAGUUACCUUUAAUGGAGCAAGGUAUAGUGGGCACACCGGGAUCACCUAGUUUCUUAGGAGUUCCACCUUUGAAAGUGUAAUUGGCAAGCAUGGCGGAGAUCUCAAGAUCAGGUAUCCUCCUCUUAUUAGUCACAAUAUCUUUCAUGUACUUAGCAUACAGAGACAUCUUGAGCAUAUCAGUCAAACGCAUCUGCAGAAAGACAGGUCUGAUCAUUUCAACGAAGCGCUCAAAAUCCUCAUCAUCCUUUUUCUUGGAUGGUUUGGGAGGAAAGGGCAUAUGUUUCUGAACCCAUGGCUCCCUUUCUUUACCGUGCUUCCUAGCAGUGAAGUCAUUCUUAUCGUAUCUUCUAUUCUUAGGCUGCGGGUUAUCAAGAUCAACACUAGGUUCAAUCUCCACAUCCCUAUCAUUGCUAGGUUGAGCAUCAACAUGAACAUCACUAUUGAUAUUAUCAUUAAGCUCAUGUUCAUCACCAGAUUGUGUUUCAGCAUCAGAGACAUAGACAUUGUUUGGACUCUCAGGUGUAGCAGCAACAGGGUUGCUAGCGUGCAGGUUCCUAUCAUCUUUCUUCUUCUUUCUAGGAUGACUAGGUGCAUCAGUGCUAACUCCUUGAGAAUCUUGUUCAAUUCUCUUCGGAUGACCCUCAGGAUACAGAGGUUCCUAGGUCAUUCUACCGCCUCUAUUGAUGACUCUGACGGAAUUGUCAUUCAACUCAUUGAGCAAGUCAUUUUGAGCUUUAAGUACUUGUUCUACCUGAGUAGUAACCAUAGAAGCAUGUUUACUCAGAAGCUUAAGAUCAUUGACAUUUCUGUCCACACAAGCACUUAAAUGACUAAGCAUACGAGCAUUCUUUUCCAAUUGUCUGCUAACAUAAUCAUUGAAACUCUGUUGUUUGGCAACAAAGUUAUCAAAUUCAUCCAUGCAUAAGCUAGCAGGUUUAUCAAAAGGAAUAUCACUCUCAUCAAACCUACGCAGAGAAUUUACUUCUACUACCUGUAUCGGGUUAUCGAGACCAUGGAUCUCUUCGAUAGGUGGUAGAUUUUUGACAUCUUCAGAUUUAAUGCCUUUCUCUCGCAUAGAUUUCUUAGCUUCUUGCAUAUCUUCAGGACUGAGGAAUAGAAUACCUCUUUUCUUCGGAGUUGGCUUAGGAGGUGGUUCGGGAAUAGUCCAAGCAUUCUCAUUGCACAAGAUGUUAUUCAGUAGAAUCUCAGCUUGUUCUAUAGUUCGUUCCCUAAAAACACUACCGACACAACUAUCUAGGUGGUCUUUAGAAGCAUCGGUAAGUCCAUUAUAGAAGAUAUCAAGUAUUUCAUUCUUCUCAAGAGGGUGAUCAGGCAAAGCAUUCAGUAGCUGGAUAAGCCUCCCCCAAGCUUGUGGGAGACUCUCUUCUUCAGCUUGAGCAAAGUUGCAUAUUUCCUGCAAGGCAGCUUGCUUCUUAUGGGCAGGGAAAUAUUUUUCAGAGAAGUAGUAGACCAUAUCCUGGGGGCUACGCACACAACCAGGAGCAAGAGAAGUGAACCAAGUCUUAGCAUCAUCCUUUAGCGAGAAAGGAAACAGCUUGAGCAUAUAGUAGUGGCAAAUCUUUUCCUCACUAGUGAAUAGGGUGGCUAUAUCAUGCAGUUUGGUAAGAUGGGCUACAACCGUUUCAGACUCAUAACCGUGAAAAGGAUCAGAUUCGACCAGAGUGAUUAACUCAGGGUCGACAGAGAAUUCAUAAUCCUUAUCGGUCACAAAGAUAGGCGAAGUGGCUAACUUUGGGCCGUAAUUCAUCCUAGCGUUCAGAGAUUUUUCUUUCCACUUGCGCAAAAGUUUCUCAACAUCAUAGCUAUCCUUACAUGCAAGAAAGUCCUCAGCUAUCUCUCCCUCCAUAACAUAGCGCGUAUCAGGCAUAAAAGGCAUAGUAGCAAGUUCUACUUCAAUAAUAUCAGCAGUUUCAGAAGUAUCAUCACGUCUAGCAGCAACUCUAGCAAGUUGUGCAUCAAGGAAUGCACCUAGUGGCAAAGCAGUAUCAGGCAUAACAUCAUCAGGCAUAGUAUNNNNNNNNNNNNNNNNNNNNNNNNNNNNNNNNNNNNNNNNNNNNNNNNNNNNNNNNNNNNNNNNNNNNNNNNNNNNNNNNNNNNNNNNNNNNNNNNNNNNNNNNNNNNNNNNNNNNNNNNNNNNNNNNNNNNNNNNNNNNNNNNNNNNNNNNNNNNNNNNNNNNNNNNNNNNNNNNNNNNNNNNNNNNNNNNNNNNNNNNNNNNNNNNNNNNNNNNNNNNNNNNNNNNNNNNNNNNNNNNNNNNNNNNNNNNNNNNNNNNNNNNNNNNNNNNNNNNNNNNNNNNNNNNNNNNNNNNNNNNNNNNNNNNNNNNNNNNNNNNNNNNNNNNNNNNNNNNNNNNNNNNNNNNNNNNUAUCAAGCAUAGCAUCAUUAGGCAUAGUAUCAAGCAUAGCAUCAUGGGUAGCAGAAGUAGCAUCAUCAAGCACAGGCGACAUAUCAAGAUUUCUAGCAGGAGGUGAUGUUGCAAACUUACUCAAAACUCAAGGUGAAUCAAGUGUAGAGCUAGAUGGCAGUUCCUUACCUCUCCUCGUAGUGGAAGGUAGGAUUUUAGUUCUUGGAUCUUUCGGAUUCCUCAUAGUGAUCAGCAGACGUCAAUCCCAAGUGACUCAGAGAAUAUAGCUGUGCUUCCCCGGCAACGGCGCGAGAAAAAGCCUUGACAACCCACAAGCGUAUGGGAUCGCAUCAGUUUUCGAGGGUAGAGUAUUCAAUCCGAAUUUGUUGGUUCGAUAAGGAGAAGCGUUAGAAUAUUCUCAAGUAUUAGCAGCUGAGUGUGUCAGAUUCAACCACACCUGAAAGAUUAGUGCCUGCAAGCAAAGUAUCAGUAGCCAAGUAGUAUGAUAACAACGGUGCCAGAAAUGAUCUAUUGACAAGGCAGACUAUUCCUAACUGUUGUAUCAAUGGCGCCAGUAAAAAGCACGUUGAUGGGGGACUAUUCUUCCCCACCAACUGCUCCAGAAAAGGUCUUGCACUAAGUAGCAGCGGAGUAGCAAGGAACAACAGUAGAAGCAGCAGCAAAGUAACAACAGUAGCAACAGUAGCAGCAAAGUGACAGCAGUAGCAACAGUAGUAGCAAAGUGACAGCAGUAGCAACAGUAGUAGCAAAGUGGCCCAAUCCCUUUUGUAGCAAGGGACAAGCCUAGACAAAGUAACGUAGCGAGGACCAGUAGUAAAAGACUCGUAGGCAGUGGAUCGGUGAUGGAUGAGUAUGAUAGAUGUGAUUCAUCAUGUAAGAGCUAUAACACGGAGAGAUAUGUAACUAGCUCCCGUUCAUCAAUCUAAUGUAGGCAUGUAUUCCGUAUGUAGUCAUACGUGCUUAGGGAAAAGAACUUGCAUGACAUCUAUUGUCCAUCCCUCCCGUGGCAACGGGGUCCUAAUGGAAACUACAGGAUAUUAAGGUUCUCCUUUUAAUAAAGAACCGGACCAACACAUUAACACGCGGUGAAUACAUGAACUCCUCAUACUAUGGUCAUCUCCGGGAGUGGUUCGGGCUAUUGUCACUUCGGGGUUGCCGGGUCAUAACACAUAGUAGGUGACUACAACUUGCAAGAUAGGAUCAAGAACACACAUAUAUUGGCGACAACAUAAUAGGUUCAGAUCUGAAAUCAUGGCACUCGGGCCCUAGUGACAAGCAUUAAGCAUAGCCAAGUAGUAGCAACAUCAAUCUAGAACAUAGUGGAUACUAGGGAUCAAUCCCCGUCAAGAACUAACUCGAUUACAUGAUAGAUCUCAUCCAACUCAUCACCGUCCAGCAAGCCUACGAUGAGAUUACUCACGAACAAUGAAGAGCAUCAUGGAAUUAUCGAUGGAGAAAGGUUGGUGAUGAUGAUGGCGACGAUUUCCCCUCUCCGGAGCCCGAAACGGACUCCAGAUCUGCCCUCCAGAUGAAGAACAGGAUGUGGCGGCGCCUCCGCAUCGCAAAACGCGAUGAAACCUUCUCUCUGAUUUUUUUUCUAGACGAAACGGAAGAUAUAGAGCUGAGUUUGGGGGCGGUGGUGUCAUGUGGGCCCCACAAGCCUACACGACGCGGCCUAGGGGGGUGGAUGCGGCUUGUGGGCUUGUGGCCCACUGGCACGCCCCGUGCGGUGGAUCUUUGCGCAGGUAUUUUUAUUUUAUUCCAGAAAAAAUCUCCGUAAAUUUUCAGGACAUUCCGAGAACUUUUAUUUCUGCACAAAAACAACACCAUGGCAAUUGUGCUGAAAACAGCGUCAGUCCGGGUUAGUUCCAUUCAAAUCAUGCAAAUUAGAGUCCAAAACAAGGGCAAAAGAGUUCGGAAAAGUAGAUACGAUGGAGACGUAUCAACGAUCUUGACUUCCUCUCUUAUGGAGCGCUCCUUCUAUGUUUGUCUUGCGGCAAUUCUUCAUAAGUAGCCCAUCUGGUGACCUUCCCUUGGUUGAUAUCUUGCUGGACACGGCGGAGAUGAUGACGUGUGUAGGCUUCCCCGCUUGAGUCGCAAGAAGACAUCUCGAACAAUAGCUUCUUAGCUUGGCAGAAAAAGAUCAAAAGAGAAAACACACGGAAUCGCAAGAUAGAAUACCGGGACGAUCCGGGAAAAUAUAUAGCAAAAAUUUCCGCAUCAAAAGGAAUGUAACAAGCCAAAGUGGGGUCGGAGACGGACUCCGGGUGGUCCAGGCAGCCUCCUGGCGCGGCCAGGAGGUAGCCCGCGCCACCAGGUCGCCUGGAACCCCUGGAGCUCCUCUCCGGCUCCACUCCGGCUCGGAAUUUUCCUAAUUUUGCAAAAACACAUAAUACAUAACUUUUAUUGAUGUUCGUGAAGUUUCCUUACCGAAUUUCAUACCUAUUCUUAUUCUGCUUCUGCUGGUAUUUGACACGGUAUUGCAAUAUGUUCUUCAUGAGUAGCUACAUGUAUCACAUCCACCUCUAUAUUGAUGGGGUCUCCUGCCAUGUAAUGCUUGAUUCUUUGCCCAUUCACAACAUGUGGUUUGGUGCCUUCAAAAUUGUUAAUCUUGAUUGCACCGGAGCGGUAGACUUCGUCGAUAUGGUACGGUCCUUCACACUUGGAAAGUAAUUUAUCUGGAGAAAACCUGAAACGAGAUCUAUACAUCAAAACUUUAUCACCAACAUUAAAUUCACGUUUCAAAAUUCUCUUGUGAUGCCACUUCUUUACUUUUUCUUUGAACAUUUUUGCGCUCUCGUAAGCUUCACUUCUCCACUCAUCUAGAGAAGUCAAGUUCAUUAGGCGCUUUUAACCAGCAAGCUUUGGGUCAGCAUUAAGCUCUCUAAUAGCCCAGAAAGCUUUGUGCUCUAACUCUAAAGGUAAAUUGCAUGCCUUGCCAUAGACCAUCUUAUACGGAUACAUUCCCAUGGGAUUUUUGUAAGCAGUUCUAUACGCCCACAAGGCAUCUCCUAACUUUUUGGACCAGUCCUUUCUAGAACUGUUCACUGUCUUUUGCAAGAUCAACUUGAUCUCCCUAUUUGUGAGUUCAACUUUCCCACUUGUUUGAGGGUCGUAAGGUGAAGCAAUUCUAUGAUUAACAUCAUAUUUGGCUAGAGCUUUUCUAAAAGCACCAUGUGUAAAAUGUGAUCCUCCGUCAGUCAUGAGGUACCUAGGUACACCAAACCUAGGGAAGAUUACAUCCUUGAGCAUUUUCAAAGAUGUCUUGUGAUCAACACUUUCAGUGGGGAAUGCUUCAACCCACUUGGUCACAUAAUCAACAGCCACUAAGAUGUGAGCGUACUUGUGUGAAGGAGGAAAAGGACCCAUAAAAUCAAAACCCCAGCAAUCAAAAGGCUCAAUGACUAGAGAAUAAUUCAUAGGCAUCUCAUUGCUCCUACUCAUAUUACCAACUCUUUGACACUUAUCACAAGAUAAAACAUAAUUUCUAGCGUCUUUAAAGAGAGUAGGCCAAUAAAAACCUGACUAGAGAACCUUGUGUGCGGUCCUCUCACCAGCAUGAUGUCCUCCAUAAGGAUUGUUAUGACAUUGUCUCAAGAUAUACUUCUUCCUUUGUUGUGUGUCUCCUCACGAUCCCAUCCGCACCUUCUCUAAAAAGUUGUGUGUCAUCCCAAAAGUAAUACCUCAAAUCGCGGAAGAAUUUCUUCCUUUGUUGGAAUGUUAAGCCUGGAGGCAAAAACUUUGCAACAAUAAAGUUAGCAUAAUCUUCAUACCAUGGAUCGGAAUUAGAUUUUACCUUCAAAACAGCUAAGUGUUCAUCAGGAAAACAUCGUUGAUCGGAAUAGGAUCAUGUGGUAUGUCUUCCAUCCUGGAAAUGUUGUCUGCUACAGGAUUGUCUGCUCCCUUCCUAUCAACAAUCUGCAUAUCAAAUUCUUGAAGAAGAAGGACCCAUCUGAUAAGCCUUGGUUUGGCAUCCUUCUUUUCCAUAAGAUACUUAAUAGCAGCAUGAUCAUUAUGAAUGGUGACUUUUGAAUCAACAAUGUAAGGCCUAAACUUAUCACAAGCAAACACUAUCGCUAAAAACUCUUUCUUCGUAGUAGCAUAAUUCUUUUGAGCACUAUCAAGGGUUUUGCUAGCAUAAUGUAUAACAUUCAAUUUCUUAUCAACCCUUUGUCCUAACACCACUCCAAUAGCAAAAUCACUAGCAUCACACAUGAUUUCAAAAGGCAAAUUCCAAUUAGGUGGUUGGACUAAAGGGGCGGUUAUCAAGGCUUUCUUAAGGACUUCGAAGGCUUCCUUACAAUCUUCAUCAAACACAAAUGGAAUAUCCUUGUGGAGAAGAUUAGUGAGGGGUUUCGAAGUCUUAGAAAAGAGUUCAAUAUAUCUUCUAUAGAAACCAGCAUGAUCGAGGAAACUACGAAUACCUCUGAUGUCCUUUGGAUAGGGCAUCCUCUUGAUUGCUUUGACCUUUGCCCUGUCCACCUCGAUUCCCUUUUCAGAAAACUUGUGCCCAGGAACAGUCCCCUCAUUGACCAUGAAGUGGCACUUCUCCCAGUUGAGUACCAAGUUCGUCUCCUCACAUCUCUGCAAAACUUUAUUAAGGUUGUGGAGAUAGUGGUCAAAAGAGGUUCCAUAGACGGAGAAAUCGUCCAUGAAGACCUCCACAAUUUCCUCACAAAAACCAUGAAAGAUAGCAUACAUACACCUUUGAAAAGUAGCAGGAGCAUUGCAUAAACCAAAAGGCAUACGUCUAUAAGCAUAAGUACCAAAGGGACAAGUAAAAGUGGUCUUCUCUUGAUCGGCAGUGUUAACAUGAAUUUGAGAGAAGCCAGAAUACCCAUCAAGAUAUCAAAAGUGAGUGUUUUUGGAUAACCUUUCAAGCAUUUGGUCGAUGAACGGCAACAGGUAGUGGUCCUUCCUAGUUGCUUUGUUCAGCUUCUUGUAACCAAUACACAUUCUAUAUCCAAUAGUAAUUCUUUGAGGUAUUAGUUCAUUCUUAUCGUUAGGAACCACAGUCGUACCUCCUUUCUUGGGAACACAAUGUACCAGACGUACCCACUUACUAUCAGCUAUAGGGUAGAUAAUACCUGCGGCUAGAAGCUUGAGGAUUUCGGUCCUCACAAUGAUGACCCACAAGUAUAGGGGAUCAAUCGUAGUCCUUUCGAUAAGUAAGAGUGUCGAAACCAACGAGGAGCAGAAGGCUCUGAUAAACGGUUUUCAACAAGGUAAUAACUGCAAGCACUGAAAGUAGCGGUAACAAGUGAUGGUGUAGUGAGGUGAAACGUAGCAAGUGAAAAGUAACAAGUAACGAGUAGUACCAACGGUGCAGAAAAGUGGCCCAAUCCCUUUUGUAGCAAGGGACAAGCCUGAACAAAGUCUUAUAGGAGGAAAAACGCUCCCGAGGACACACGGGAAUUUCUGUCAUGCUAGUUUCAUCAUGUUCAUGUGAUUCACGUUCGUUAAUUUGAUAGUUUGAUAUGUGGGUGGACCGGCGCUUGGGUACUGCCCUUACUUGGACAAGCAUCCCACUUAUGAUUAACCCCUCUCGCAAGCAUCCGCAACUACGAAAGAAUAAUUAAGACAACGUCUAACCAUAACAUUAAACUAGUGGAUCCAAAUCAGCCCCUUACGAAGCAACACAUAGACUGGGGUUCAAGCUUCUGUCACUCUAGCAACCCAUCAUCUACUUACUACUCCCGAAUGCCUUCCUCUAGGCCCAAAUAUGGUGAAGUGUUAUGUAGUCGACGUUCAAAUAACACCACUAGAGGAAAAUACAACAUACAACAUAUCAAAAUACCGAACGAAUACCAAAUUCACAUGACUAUUAUUAGCAAGACUUAUCCCAUGUCCUCAGGAACAAAAGUAACUACUCACAAAGCAUAAUCAUAAUCAUGAUUAGAGGUGUAAUGAGUAGCAUCAAGGAUCUGUACAUAAACUCUUCCACCAAGUAAUCCAACUAGCAUCAACUACAAAGAGUAAUCAACACUACUAGCAACCUUACAAGUACCAAUUGGAGUCGCGAGACGGAGAUUGGUUACAAGAUAUGAACUAGGGUUUGGAGAGGAGAUGGUGCUGAUGAAGAUGUUGAUGGAGAUGACUCCCCUCCGACGAGAGGAGUGUUGGUGAUGACGAUGGCGACGAUUUCCCCCUCCGGGAGGGAAGUUUCCCCGGCAAGAUCGUCCUGCCGGAGCUCUAGAUUGGUUCUGCUCAAGUUCCGCCUCGUGGCGGCGGAGAAUCCACGAAAAAGCUCCACCCUGAUUUUUUCUCGGACGAAACCAUUCAUAUAUGAAAAGAGGGGGGCCAGUGGGCCACCAGAGUGCCCACAAGCCCUGUAGCCGCCGCCAGGGGGUAGGUGGCGGCUACCAGGCUUGUGGGCCCCUGGUAGCUCCCCUCUGGCACUUCUUGCGCCCAUUAUUUUUUAUAUAUUCCCAAAAAAUUCCACGUUGAUUUUCAGGGCAUUUGGAGUUGCGCAGAAUAGAGGACUCAGACUUGCUCCUUUUCUAGUCCAGAAUUCCAGCUGCCGGUAUUCUCCCUCUUCAAAUAAACCUUGCAAAAUAAGAGAGAAAAGGCAUAAGUAUGGUGCCACAAAGUAAUAUAACAGUCCAUAAAGCGAUAAAUAUCAACAUGAAAGCAUGAUGCAAAAUGGACGUAUCACACAACAUCCUUCAUCUUCGGGUUCAACUGUCGUUGAUGAUCAACAACCGGUUUAGCAUCAGGCUCAAGAUUGAUAGUAUGCAGACAAAUAGAUGGACUAAUCCCCUUAAGAUCAUCAAGGGUAUAGCCAAUAGUGCAUCGGUGUUUACGAAGGACUUCCAAUAAUCGCUCCUCUUCAUAUCCGAAAAGGUUAGCAUUGAUAAUAACAUGAUAAAAUUUCUUUUCAUCUAAAUAAGCAUACUUGAGCGUAUUGGGAAGAGGUUUAAGAUCAAACACCGGGUCUUCUUUUGGUUUCGGUAAAAUUCCCAAAGGCUCAAUCGAAGGUUGUGCUUCAGGAUAGCAGGUUGUCUCAAGAAUAUGUCGUCUAGCUCAUUCCUUUCCUGCAUAUGCAUAUCAUUCUCGUGGCCCUCCAUAAAUUACUGCAAAUGAUCGUUAAGAGGAAUAGCAAUAGAAGCAAUCUCUUCAACAAUUUUAUCAUUACUAGGCAAAUCAGUACCAUGAGUUUGCUUCGAUAAUUUAGAAAAGUUAAAUUCAUAUGGAUCACCAUUAAAUUCAACAGAUACUUUUCCUGUCCUGCAAUCUAUAAUAGCUCCACAAGUUUUGUGAAAAGGCCUACCAAAGAUAAUAGGGCAAAAACUAUCUUGCACUGAACCAAGUACUAGAAAGUCGGUAGGAUAUUUUACCUUUCCAUAUAGGACUUCAACAUCUCGCACAAUUCCAAUAGGAGAGAUAGUUUCUUUAUUUGCAAGAUGAAUAGUAACAUCAACGUCUUAAAUUUCACAAGGUAGAAUCUGAUUCAUGAUCUCUUAAUAAAGUGAAAAAGGAAUAGCACCAGCAGUGGAUCCCAAAUCACAUAGCCCGUAAUAAUUAUGAUCUCCUAUUUUAACAGAUACAACUGGAGUACCUGAAAUUGGGCCUUUAUUCUUGGUUGUAACAAGGUUAGUAGAAACAACACAAAAAUUUAUAUUGGAAUCCUCAAUAUUACUAGUAACAAGAUCCUUGACUAAUGCAACUUGAGGAUUGACCUUAAUUAGGUCCUCAUGCUCAUCAGUCGUUCUGUCACUUUUAUUCAGUAUGCCCGUGACAAAAGAAUGCUCCCUCAUCCUUGUGGGAAAAGGGGGCUUUUCAUAUAAAACUGCAGGCAAGAUAGGGUCAACAACAUUGAUAUCAACAGGUAAUUCCUUAAAACGUUUAUGGUGUUGAUCCUCCCUCUUCUUAGAAGAAUCAAUAUGAGAGGCAAAGUCUUUGCAAAAAUCAAUUAGAAGCUGGGAAUCAAGACCAAUCUUAGCACAAAAGGUAUUGAAGUAAUCAGUUUUCACAUAGCUCUCAAUGUAAUCAUGCUCAUAAUUUAUAACGGGUUCAAUACCUUUAUCAAUCUCCCAAUCUUCAGUAUUCUUCUAGAUCCUUUCAAUAAGAUCCCACCUAGCUUUAGUGCUUUUCUUGGAGAAUGCCCCACUAGAGGAGGCAUCAAGCAUCUCUUUAACUUGACGAGAAAGCCUUGCAUAGAAAUUUGUAAGAAUAAUUUCCUUGGGGAGCUCAUGAUUGGGACAUUUGAGCAUUAGGGACUUCAAUCUCCCCCAAGCUUGAGCGAUGUUUUCUCCGUCACGAGACUAAAAGUUAUAAAUAUAAUUGAUGUCUCGAUGUAUUUCAUGAAGAGGAUAAAACUUUGCAUAAAAGAGAGGCAUAAGAUCUUGCCAAUUUAGCAAAUGAGAGUUAUCAAGAAGCCUAUACCAAUCCAAAUCCUUAUCUCUUAAUGAUAGAGAGAAUAGCUUUCUCAUAACAAAAUCCAUCGAUAUACAUGCAAGCUUAAAUAAGGAGCAUAGUUGUGAAAGAUAUAGCAAGUGUUCACUUGGAUGUCUAUCUCCUACAUAUCGAUUAGCCAAGACACAAUCAAUAAUAGCAGUUGGUAUUUUAAAGGGCACAAUUUCCGUAGGUGGAGGAGGCUUCUCCACCACAAUAGUGUUGGGGCGGUUCCUCACAAGCAACAAACCAAGAGCAGAGUUGCCCAUAGGGACAAAAAGCGGAAACAACAAAAUAAAAACAACACUUACAGCGUAAAGGUUUCCUUACCAGUAGCGCUACACUGCCCAGCAACGGCGCCAGAAAAUGGUCUUGAUGACCCACAAGUGUAGGGGAUCUAUCGUAGCCUUUUCGAUAAGUAAGAGUGUCGAACCCAACGAGGAGCAGAAGGUAUUGACAAGCGAUCUUGAGCAAGGAAUAACUGGAAGUACUAAAAGGUAACUUUUUAUGGGUUUUCUGGUAUAAGCAACAAGGAAAUAAAUGCAGGGAAAGUAAAUGGUGUUGAGGUGCAACAAGUGACCCAAUCCUUUUGAACACAAAGGAUAAGCUGAGGGACUAAACUUAUAAAGACUAAGGCGUUCCUGAGGACAUGCGGGAGAGAUAGUCAAGUGAUGUCGCCAUGUUUCGUCUAGUACUAUGUUUUGUAUUGAUAAGUGUUAUGUGGGUGGAUAUUAACUAGUGUACCGUCUAGGCUAAGACAAGUACACUCUUAUGAUUAAACUCCUUGAAAGCAUCCGCAAACACGGGAGAGAAAUUAAGGCAAAGCCUAACUGUUGGGGAUAUUACCUGCGGUGUAACCCGCCCUAGCUGGGCCGGGUCACUAAAGGGGCGACUCAUUCAUUGGUAAUGCAGACCUUGGCCCAAGGGUCCCAGGAGCCAGAUGGCGGUUCAGGAGCUAUACAGAGGAUAGACCGCCAAGGAGGUUUCCAGUCUUGGAAAGCACGGCGACUUAGAGAUAGGGAAAGCUACGAUCUGUAGCAUAGUCAGGACUCUUGUAAAUCCUAGGGUCUCAACCUGUAUAUAAAGGCGAGUCCCUGAGGAAGAUAGGGGCAAGUUAGAAAUCAUCGAGAGCUAGGUCAGCCGAGUUAUGCCCUCCUUGUAAUCGAAACCAUCAUCAAUCUACACAAAGCAGGACGUAGGCUUUUACCUCCACACGAGGGGCCGAACCUCGGUAAAUCUGAAUCUCGCUUUCGCUCACCCCCUUUGAGUCGCCACCAAGGUGCGAUGGCUCCAUCUUUAAGUCCUUUCAUGAGGACAUCUGCCGUGACAAAACCACGACAGUUGGUGCCCACCAUGGGGCUACCACACGGUGGAGUUGAGUUCUCAAAGGGAGCCCUACCAGGGUCAGAAAGCUAUGCGGUCGGCAUCAUGACGAAGAGCCGCUGCGGAAGGUACUACACCGACAACUCGGUGUGGGGGCCAGAAGCCGAUUCAGUCGAAUCUGGUUACAGAGUCCCCUUCAGCAAAAUCAACAUCUUCAUCGGCAUGGUUGGAACACCCGUGCCUGAGCCGGUCACCUGCACCGACAUCGUCGAGCCGGCCAGGUACGUCCUCCCCAUCACGCGAUAUGACAAGAGACGCCAUGUUUUUGUCGGUUUUACGCAGGGAGCCAGCGUACAAGACGAACCGGCAAUCCAGGAGGCCACCCCCGUCAAUUCUGACGGCGAGUCAUCCAUGGGCGAGACAGAUUCAAUUCAUCUUCUUCACGAAGGACAACUUGGAGGGUGUUCACUGGCGAUGGACCCCGAGAUUCUGGAAAGAUCCCGUCAACAAAUCGCCAUCUAUAUGACGGGGGUGGCACAACCUCAGCAAAACCCGGUCGGCAACAAUGAGACCGGCGAGACGUCAGAAACCCCGGCUCAAGCCAUGCUGGACUUAACGGCGGAGGUCACGAGACUCAUGACAACCGCUGUGACGCCAGAGAAUCAGGAAUCGAUCAACGCGAAGCCGGCGAAGCUGCGGGAGGCGAUGGCGAAAGCCCAGCGAGACGUGGAACCGGAAGCCGCGAGGAUGGCAACGUAGGAGCACAUGAUCGCUGCGGAGACAGAACGGCUGAACACCGAAGGCUGGCAGCUCGAGAGACAACAACGCGCGUCCGAUGCAAUUCACGAAAGGAGGCAUCACGGACGCCUCCCGGCCGACUUACAUCCAACUCGCCUCUUCGACACCCCGCGCACUCCUGAGGUGGGACCUGAUCGACCUUUGCAAGCCACUCCAGGGGGAGGUCCGGUUCAACCACCUAACCCGCCACCGCCUCAACCGAUGGAUGCCCAUGCAACUCGCUUCCAGACACCACGAGGCCACUUCUCAAAUCCCGUGGAUGAUGUGCCGGCGGCAACCCGCCACCUGGAGUCCCUCCCCAUCUACGGAAACUCCCCGGCCUAAAUAGAAGCAAGAAACACCAUCGAGAUGUUGAAGACAACACUGGUCCAACAUGCGCAAUACUCACAGAACCUUCACCGGUUACACUCCACGCCCCAGGCGAGUCACACCAGGAGUCGCCACGAGGACCAACCCGCAGUGAUCAACAGGCAACGAUGUUUUCCCCAGACCAACCCGCACGGGAUGCCCGAUACGCAAGCCCAAGACAUUGUGGACGCAGCGCGAGCCGCGCGUCAGAUGGAGACAGGAGCCGCGGUGGGUCAGGGUUAUCCGGCUUAUACCCAGACACCUCCCGCACCGCUCGAUGCCGGAGGCAAGCACAUUGGGUGUCGUGUCUCAUGCCCUCUCUACGCAAUGAGCGGAUACCCAACUACACACAAGAUCUCGAACCAGGGUCAUGGAUUGAGAGCUACGAGCUUGCAAUGGACAUGCUCGACGUAAACGAGGCAGUUUGCGCCAAGUAUUUCACUAUGAUGCUCGAAGGAAUGACACAUGCGUGGUUGAAAAACAUGCGGCCUAACUCCAUCAACACUUGGGCAGAGUUGAAGGAGCGCUUCAUCAAAAAUUUCAGAGGGACUUGCAAACGCCCGAUGACCAUCGUCGACCUACAACACUACGUCCAACGGCUGGAUGAGUCGGCCCAUCACUGGACUCGGCGAGUCGCAUAAGUUAUUCAUUCAUCAGAUGGCAUCUCGGCGGCUCAGGCAGUGCUGAUUCUGGAGAAAAACUGCCAUUACGAGCCUCUGGUGCUAAAACUGGGGCGACUUAAGCGUAAAGUGGAGGACAUGGGCGAGUUGAUGGAUACCCUCGCCAGAUAUGCCUAGUCAGAUGACACCAAGGAUCCUGGAGAGGACGAUGACAAGGCUAGCACCGCCAGGAGGGGCGAGUCCUCGAAGGGUCACUCUCAGUUUCAAGGCCGGGGCAACCACCACCAUGGCGGACAAAGUAAAAAGAGACAAUAGGAAGAUAGCCCAAGAGUGCGAAGAAGGAGACGCACCUUAUGACGAGACGACUUGCGCGGCCGAGGAGCUCAAGUUUCACCAAGCCAAUGUUGACCCGGCGGAUAUGACACUGCUCAAGAGGCCAACAAUCGAUGCUGAGCCAUCCCUCAAGUUUAAACCAACGGAUGAUACCAAGGUUAUAGACUUCACGCCUGGCGACUCAACCAAGCAGUUCACUAUUGGAACGGGUCUGGAUCCCAAAUAAGAAAGCGCGCUCAUCGAAUUCAUCCGUGAGAAUCGGGACAUCUUCGCGUGGAAACCUUCUGUCAUGCCAGGUGUACCGAGAGAAUUUGCUGAGCACCAUCAUAAUACUAACCCCAAGGUAAAGCCAGUUCGGCAGUACCUUUGCGGGUAUAGUGAGGAACGACGUAAGGCGAUUGGAAAGGAAGUCGCCCGGAUUUUGGCCGCCGGGUUCAUCAUCGAGGUUUUCCAUCCUGAAUGGUUGGCUAAGCCGGUCCUGGUGCUAAAAAAGAACAACACUAUCCGCAUGUGCAUCGACUACACCGACCUCAACACAGCCUGUCCGAAGGAUCCCUUCGCCCUUCCCCGCAUUGAUAAAAUCAUUGACUCAACGGCAGGUUGCGAGCGUUUGUGUUUCUUGGAUGCUUAUUCAGGAUACCACCAAAUCAAGAUGGCGAUGGCAGACCAGGAGAAAACGUCCUUCAUAACCCCCUUCGGAGCCUUCUGUUACAUGUCUAUGCCGUUCGGGCUCAAGAGUGCAGGGGCGACUUAUCAGCGUUGCAUCCAAAAUUGUUUGCAUAACCAGAUCGGACGUAAUGUCCAUGCUUAUGUGGACGACAUGGUAGUCAGAUCUCAGAAGAAAGAGUCGCUCUUGGAGGAUCUUAAGGAGACUUUUGACAAUUUGCACGUAUACCAGAUGAGGCUUAACCCCACCAAAUGCGUGUUUGGUGUUCUUGUAGGAAAGUUAUUGGGUUUUCUGGUGUCAGAACGCGGCAUUGAAACUAACCCGGACAAAAUUGAAGCGAUUACUUCGCUAGGAAAGCCGGCCAAUAUUAACCAAGUCCAGCGCAUGGCGGGUCGUAUCGCGGCUCUAAGUCGUUUUAUAAGUCUCCUUGGGGAGAAGGCCAUCCCUCUUUAUCAGCUGCUCAAGAAAACUGAUCAAUUCGUAUGGACGGACGAAGCCAACGAAGCCUUUGAAGCCUUGAAGCGACAAUUGGUUAAGCCACCAGUGCUGGCGGCUCCGACGGACAAUGAGCCUAUACUUUUGUACAUCGCGACCAAUUCUAAAACAGUGAGUGGUAGUGGUUGUCGAGCAGAAGGAAGAAGGAAAGGAAUACCCGGUUCAGCGACCGGUAUAUUUUAUCAGCGAAGACGUGACCCUCUCCAAACAAUGCUACACGCAUUGGCAGAAGCUGGUCUUUGGGGUGUUUAUGGCAAGUCGAAAGCUGAAGCACUACUUCCAAGAGCAUCCCAUCACGGUAGUCAGUUCCGCCCCCCUUGGUGACAUUAUACAAAAUCGAGAAGCAACUGGACGGAUUGCUAAGUGGGCCAUUGAGUUGGGGCCUCACCACAUGCGAUAUACUCCCGUACGACCAUUAAGUCUCAAGCACUAGUAGAUUUCAUCAACGACUGGACCGAGUUGCAAAUUCCAGAGGAUAGGCCCGAUCACACAUAUUAGACCAUCUAUUUCGACGGAUCCAGGCAUUUGGAAGGCUCGGGGGUUGGUGUGGUGAUAACCUCGCCUCAGGGUGACAAAUUUUGCUAUGUCCUCCGGCUCAUGUUUCCAUGUACCAACAACGCAGCAGAGUAUGAAGCCUUGCUCCAUGGGUUGCGACUCGCCAAAGAGAUGAAUCUCACGCGAGUCAGAUGUUUGGGCGACUCAGAUGUGGUGGCACAACAGGUUUCUGGCACCUGGGAUUCUAGAGAUCCCUUGAUGGGGGCUUACAUGCGAUCUGUGUCGUUGCGGGUCACUUUCAUGGUUAUCAAGUGGAUCACAUUGACCGGCGACUCAAUGAAGCAGCAAAUGCUCUUUCCCGCCUUGGUUUACAGUGUAAGCCGGUCCCUCCUAAUGUCUUUUUGGAUCUAUUACAUAACCCUUCGGUGAGGCUACCUUCAGAGGAAGAUUUGGCGGUGCCGGGCCCUGAUACGUCUCCAACAUAUCUAUAAUUUUUGAUGGUUUCAUGCUAUUAUCUUCUCAAACUUUGGAUGUUUUGUAUGCCUUUUAUACAUUUUUUGGGACUAACUUAUUAACUCAGUGCCAAGUGCCAGUUCCUGUUUUUUCCAUGGUUUUGACCCCUUUCAGAGGAGGAUUUUGAACAUAGUCCAAAUGGAAUGAAAGUGCCAAAAAGAUUUUUUCCGGAACAGAAAACGAUCGGGAAGCCGGAGAAUCAGGGCAGGGGCCACCAGGGACCCCACAAGCCCUCAUGGCGCGGCCAGGGGGGCCCACGUGCCCUGGCUUGUGGGCUCCCUGAGGCUCCUUUGCCCUAGGUUUUGCGCCUAUAUAUUCCCUAAAAUCCCAUAAAAAAUCAGGAGAUCAUCAAAAUUACUUUUCCACCGCCGCAAGCUUCUAUCUCCGCAAGAUCCCAUCUGGGGCACGUUCUGGUGCCCUGCCGGAGGCGGGAUUCGGACACGGAGGGCUUCUUCAUCAACACCAUGACCUCUCCAAUGAUGCGUGAGUAGUUCACCAUAGACCUACGGGUCCAUAGCUAGUAGCUAGNAUCAUUGCCUUAGAUAUCGUCAUGACUUUGCACGGUUCUAUCAAUUGCUCGACAGUAAUUUGUUCACCCACCGUAAUACUUGCUAUUUUGAGAGAAGCCUCUAGUGAACACUAUGGCCCCCGGGUCUACUCCACACCAUAUUUUCAGCCUUACACUUUUUUACUUAUUGCACUUUCCGCCUUCAGAUCUCACUUUGCAAUCAAUCUUGAAGGUAUUGACAACCCCUUUAAAGCGUUGGGUGGAAGCUCUUUUGUGUUUGCGCAGGUACUCUGGAAUUGACGAGAUUCUCCUACUGGAUUGAUACCUUGGUUAUCAAACUGAGGGAAAUACUUACUGCUCCUGUGCUGCAUCACCCUUUCCUCUUCAAGGGAAAAACCAACGCAAGCCUAGUCUCCGUCAACGUGUCAAUUUCUGGCACUGUUGUCUGUUGCCGUAGCAGAAGAAUUUCUGGCACCGUUGUCGGGAGGAUCAAGUCAAGAACUCAUCCAAGUAAGUGUCGCAAACUCAUCUCUUGCAAUUACUUUGUUUGCGAGUUGGCUCUCGUUUUCCUCUCCCCCACUUCACCAAUUUGCCAUUUUCGUUUGCCUUUUUUGUUCGCCUUUUUCUUUGCUUGCUUUCGGUUUGCUUGUGUGCUAUGUGCCUUCAAUAUGCUUGCAUCUUCGCUUGCUAAGAAUCUAGUGACAUGGAUCCUCAUCCACUGUCUAAUCUUUUCGAGAGGUCCAACUAUGUUGAACCAAUUGCUAGUGAGUUUUGCGCACUAGAUUAUCUUUAUGGAGUUUUGCUUGAGAUGCGUGAAUCUGAAAAUUGUGAGGAAGAAAUUUAUGAAGUGAUUCACGAGGGCUCCUUGGAUGAAAAGCAUGAUUGCAAUGGUUUCACUAUAAAUUCUAUUAGUGACAAUCAUGCCAAAAAUAUGGAAAACCCUAAGCUUGGGGAUGCUAGUUUUGCUAUGUCCACUACUUGUUGCAAUGAUCAUGAGUGGGGCGAUGAUUUUCUUAUGAUAUUGAAAAUUUGUGUAAGCCUUAUGGUGAAUAUGAUAUUUGCAAUAUUAUUGAAAGUGGGUUUGGAGAAGUCAUGACUUUAGUUGAUGAUAAUCACACUAUUUUUGAAGAGCGUCAACUUUGCAUGCAUGUGGAUCAUGAAAAGAAUAUCCUAUGUGAUAGUUACAUUGUUGAAUUCAAAUAUGAUCCCACAUGUAAUUAUUAUGAGAGAGGAAAAUAUGGUGGUAGAAACUUUCAUAUCACUAAAUCACCUCUCGUUAUGUUGAGAUUGCUAUUGUCUCUUUCUUCUUCCUUGCAUAUGGUAACUAUUGGUUGUCUUGACAAUCUGUUUUCCUAUAAAAUGCCUAUUCAUAGGACGUAUGUUAUACUUAGAUGUGAUUUUCACAUGCUUUAUGAUGCUCUCGUUGUGCUUCAAUUCUUCUCUUUUGUGUGAGCAUCAUUGAAUUAUCAAUGCCUAGCUAAGGGCGUUAAACAAUAGCGCUUGUUGGGAGGCAACCCAAUGAAUUUAUCCUUUUUAUUUCUGUUUUCUUGCUUCCACACAAUCAUAAUUCUGUUGUGAUUGUGUUUUUUGUGUUUCUUUUGUAUUUGAGACAAGCAAAACCUUUACGACUACUCUUGGUAAUGGUUGUUUGAUCCUGCUGGAAAAAGACAGAAACUUUUCGCUCACGAGAUGAUUUUUCAUUUUUAUUCAGAAAGAGCUUUUGAGUUGAUUCUUUUUGCGGCUGGUUGAUAUGCCUUUUUCCCACGUAGUCGUAAUGUUUCAGAAUUUUUGAGGUACCAUAAGUAUACAAAGUAUACAUAUUGCUACAGACUGGUCUGUUUUUGACAGAUUUUGUUUUUGUUGAGUUGGUUGCUUGUUUUNNNNNNNNNNNNNNNNNNNNNNNNNNNNNNNNNNNNNNNNNNNNNNNNNNNNNNNNNNNNNNNNNNNNNNNNNNNNNNNNNNNNNNNNNNNNNNNNNNNNNNNNNNNNNNNNNNNNNNNNNNNNNNNNNNNNNNNNNNNNNNNNNNNNNNNNNNNNNNNNNNNNNNNNNNNNNNNNNNNNNNNNNNNNNNNNNNNNNNNNNNNNNNNNNNNNNNNNNNNNNNNNNNNNNNNNNNNNNNNNNNNNNNNNNNNNNNNNNNNNNNNNNNNNNNNNNNNNNNNNNNNNNNNNNNNNNNNNNNNNNNNNNNNNNNNNNNNNNNNNNNNNNNNNNNNNNUCAAGAUUGCUACAGUACCAAAAGAGGUGGUAGUUUGUUUUCUUGUGCUAAUGUUAUCACGAGUUUCUGUUUAAGUUUUGUGUUGUGAAGUUUUCAAGUUUUGGGUGAUGUUCUCAUGGACAAAGAGAUAAGGAGUGGAAAGAGCUCAAGACUAGGGAUUCCCAAGGCAUCCCAAGCCAAAUUCAAGGACACCAAAAAGCCUAAGCUUGGGGAUGCCCCGGGAAGGCAUCCCCUCUUUCGUCUUCAAUCCAUCGGUAACGUUACUUGGAGCUAUAUUUUUAUUCACCACAUGAUAUGUGUUUUGCUUGGAGCGUCUUGUAUCUUAGGAGUCUUUUCUUUUUGUUGUGUCACAAUCAUCCUUGCUUCACACCCUUUUGAGAGAGAGAGAGACAUGCACUCAUCGUGAUUUUGCUAGAAUGCUCACAGUGCUUCACUUAUAUCUUUUGAGCUAGAUAAUUUUUCUCUAUGUGCUUCACUUAUAUCUUUUAGAGCACGGUGGUGCGUGACUUGGUAGUUGGAUUAUGCUAUGAAAGUAGUCCCAAAUGUGAUAGGUACCCAAAGAGGAUACAAAAACCUCCAUCUUCAUGUGCAUUGAGUAGAAAUAGAAAUCUUGAUUCCUCUCAAUUAGUUUUGAGACGUGGAUUCGGUAAUAUUAAGAGUUAUGUUAGUAGGGUGUUGUGAAUCUAGAAAUACUUGUGUUGAAGUUAGUGAUUCCUAUAGCAUGCACGUAUGGUGAACCUCUAUGUUAGGAAGUCGGAGCAUAAUUGAUCUAUUGAUUUUCAUCCUCUGUGUUGAGGUCGGGAUCGCGCGAUGGUUCACACCUACCAACCCUUCCCCUAGGAGUAUGCGUUUAGCACUUUGUUUCGAUUACUAAUAAAAACUUUCGCAACAAGUAUGUGAGUUCUUCACGACUAAUGUGAGUCCAUGGUAUAGAUGCACUUUCACCUUCCACCAUUGCUAGCCUCUCUAGUGCCGCGCAACUUUCACCGGUACACAAACCCACCAUAUGCCUUCCUCAAACAGCCACCAUACCUACCUACUAUGGCAUUUUCAUAGCCAUUCCGAGAUAUAUUGCCAUGCAACUCCCACCGUUCGAUCUCAUGACUUGUGCCGUCACUCUCAUAUUUCCAUUGCAUGAUCGUAAGAUAGCUAGCGAGAUGUUUCAACGUCAUACGCCAAGCUAGAUCGUUGCACAUCCCGGUACACUACCGGAGGCAUUUCCUAUAGAGUCAUCAUCGUUCUGAGCUUCGAGUAAAUAAAAGUGUGAUGAUCAUCAUUAUUAGAGCAUUGUCCCAUGUGAGGAAAUAAAAAAAAGAGGCCCAAGCGCCCAAUAAAAAAACAGAGAAAAGAAAAAAGAGGCCUAAGAGCCCAAAUAAAAAAAAGAGAAAAAGAGAGAAGGGACAAUGCUACUAUCUUUUUCCACACUUGUGCUUCAUAAUAGCACCAUGUUCUUCAUGAUUGAGAGCUUCUUGCUUUGCCACCUCCAUAUGCUAGUGGUAAUCUUCAUUAUAUAACUUGGCUUGUAUAUUCCAAUGAUGGGCUUCCUCAAAAUUGCCCUAGGUCUUCGUGAGCAAGCAAGUUGGAUGCGCACCCACUAGUUCUCCUUUAGAGCUUUCACAUACUUGUAGCUCUAGUGCACCCCUUCUAUGGCAAUCCCUACUCAUUCACAUUGAUAUCUAUUAAUGGGCAUCUCCAUAGCCUUUUGAUACGCUGAGUCAAUGUGACCAUCUCCUCCUUUUUGUCUCACAACCACCACCACACUCUAUUCCACCUAUAGUGCUAUAUUCAUGGCUCACGCUCAUGUAUUGCGUGAUAGUUAUAAAAAGUUUGAGAAAGUAAGAGUGCGAAAACAAUUACUUGGCCAAUACCGGGGUUGUGCAUGAUUUACAUUAGUUGUGUGAGGAUGAUGGAGCAUAGCCAGACUAUAUGAUUUUGUAGGGAUAACUUUCAUUGGCCUUGCUAUUUUGAAAGUUCAUGAUUACCUUGCUAGUUUGCUUGAAGUAUUAUUGUUUUCAUGUCAAUAGAAAACUAUUGUUUUGAAUCUUACGGAUCUGAACAUUCAUGUCACGUGAAAGAAGUUGCAAAGGAAAACCAUGCUAUUUAGCAUUCCACAUCAAAAAUUCAUUCUUUAUCACUUCCCUACUCGAGGACGAGCAGGAGUUAAGCUUGGGGAUGCUUGAUACGUCUCCAACGUAUCUAUAAUUUUUCAUGGUUUCAUGCUAUUAUCUUGUCAAACUUUGGAUGUUUUGUAUGCCUUUUAUAUAUUUUUUGGGACUAACUUAUUAACUCAGUGCCAAGUGCCAGUUCCUGUUUUUUCCAUGUUUUUGACCCCUUUCAGAGGAGGAUUUUGAACGGAGUCCAAACGGAAUGAAACUGCCAAAAAGAUUUUUUCUAGAAUAGAAAAAGAUCGGGGGGCCGGAGAAUCAGGGCAGGGGGCCACCAGGGACCCCACAAGCCCUCAUGGCGCGGCCAGGGGGGCCUGUGCCCCCCUGGCUUGUGGGCUCCCUGAGGCUCCUUUGCCCUAGGUUUUGCGCCUAUAUAUUCCCUAAAAUCCCAUAAAAAAUCAGGAGAACAUCGAAAGUACUUUUCCGCCGCCGCAAGCUUCUGUCUUCGCAAGAUACCAUCUCGGGCACGUUCUGGUGCCCUACGGGAGGGGGAUUCGGACAUGGAGGGCUUCUUCAUCAACACAAUGACCUCUCCGAUGAUGUGUGAGUAGUUCACCAUAGAACUACGGGUCCAUAGCUAGUAGCUAGAUGGAUUCUUCUCUCUCUUGGAUCUUCAAUACAAAGUUCUCCAUGAUCUUCAGGGAGAUCUAUCCGAUGUAAUCUUAUUUUGCGGUGUGUUUGUCGACAUCCGAUGAAUUGUGGAUUUAUGAUCAGAUUAUCUAUGAAUCUUAUUUGAGUUUCUUCCGAUCUCUCUUAUGCAUGAUUUCAUAUCCUUGUAAUUCUCUUUGAGUUGUGGGUUUUGUUUGGCCAACUAGAUCUAUGAUUCUUGCAAUGGGAGAAGUGNNNAUAGCUAGUAGCUAGAUGGCUUCUUCUCUCUCUUGGAUCUUCAAUACAAAGUUCUCCAUGAUCUUCAUGGAGAUCUAUCCGAUGUAAUCUUCUUUUGCGGUGUGUUUGUCGAGAUCCGAUGAAUUGUGUAUUUAUGAUCAGAUUAUCUAUGAAUCUUAUUUGAGUUUCUUCUGAUCUCUCUUAUGCAUGAUUUCAUAUCCUUGUAAUUCUCUUUGAGUUGUGGGUUUUGUCUGGCCAACUAGAUCUAUGAUUCUUGCAAUGGGAGAAGUGCUUGGUUUUGGGUUCAUACCGUGCGGUGACCUCACCCAGUGACAGAAGGUGUAGCGAGGCACGUAUCGUGUUGUUGCCAUAAAGGGUAAAAAGAUGGGGUUUUCAUCAUUGGUUUGCUUAAGGCGUUACUCUAUUCGUCAUGAACUCAAUACACCAGAUGCAUGCUGGAUAGCGGUCGAUGUGUGGAGUAAUAGUAGUAGAUGCAGAAAGUAUCGGUCUACUUGUCUCGGACGUGAUGCCUAUAUGUAUGAUCAUUGCCUUAGAUAUCGUCAUGACUUUGCACUGUUCUAUCAAUUGCUCGACAGUAAUUUGUUCACCCACCGUAAUACUUGCUAUUUUGAGAGAAGCCUCUAGUGAACAUGGCCGCCGGGUCUAAUCCACACCAUAUUUUCAGCCUUACACUUUUUACUUCGUUGCACUUUCCGCCUUCUGAUCUCACUUUGCAAUCAAUCUUGAAGGGAUUGACAACCCCUUUAAAGCGUUGGGUGCAAGCUCUUUUGUGUUUGCGCAUUUACUCUGGACUUGACGAGAUUCUCGUACUGGAUUGAUACCUUGGUUCUCAAACUGAGGGAAAUACUUACUACUCCUGUGUUGCAUCGCCCUUUCCUCUUGAAGGGAAGAACCAACGCAAGCCCAGUCUCCGUCAACGUGUCAAUUUCUGGCGUUGUUGUCUGUUGCCGUAGCAGACCUCGAGUCUCAACUUGUGGCGGCUCUUCGUGCCACCCCGGAUUGGGCGAUUCCCUACAUGGCGUAUCUCACACGAGGCGAGUUACCCGCGGAUGAGUUAUUGGCUCGCCAAAUCGUCUGUCGAUGCAAAUCCAUGGUCAUACACAACGGCGAGUUGCACAAGGGAAGCACUUCAGGGGUAUUUCAAAGGUGUGUCUCUUCUGAGGAAGGAUGUAUGAUCCUCAAUGAAAUUCAUGCAGGCGACUGUGGUCAUCAUGUCGGGUCACGCUCCUUGGUUUCUAAGGCCUUUAGACAUGGGUUUAUUGGUUGACGGCUCAUGCAGACGCGGAAGAGAUAGUUCGCCUAUGUGAUGGUUACUAGAAAUUUGGACGUCAGAUGCAUGUGCCGGCUCAGGAGUUGCGGAUGAUCCCAAUCACUUGGCCGUUUGCAGUCUGGGGGCUGAACAUGGUUGGUACUUUCAAGAUGUCGUCCAAUAGAAAGACUCACCUAUUGGUGGAGGUUGACAAGUUUACUAAGUGGGUUGAGGCAGAACCUGUUAGUAGCUGUGAUGCAGAUACGGCCGUCAAAUUCUUGAAAAAUUUGAUUUUCCGGUUUGGAUACCCUCAUAGUAUCAUUACUAACAACGGUACUAAUUCAUCAAAGGGCGCAAUGCAAGAGUUUUGCGGUCGAGAGCAUAUCCGGCUUGAUGUUUCUGCAGUUGCACAUCCCAGUCUAAUGGGUAGGAAGAAAGGGCGAAUGAGGAAAUACUGCGAGGAAUCAAGCCCCGGCUUAUGGUACCUUUGGAGCGUACUCCAUGAUGUUGGGUGGAAGAGUUGUCCUCAGUAUUAUGGAGCAUCAGGACCACCCCUAACCACUCCACGGGGUUUACUCCUUUCUUUAUGGUCUACGGGGCAGAAGCGGUGUUGCCAAGUGACAUCAGACACGAUUCACCGCGAGUCGCCGCCUAUGUGGAACAUGACAACAAGUUGGCACGAGAAGAUUCGUUGGAUGCUUUGGAGGAAGAGCGAGACAUGGUUGCGUCACGAUUGGCGAUCUAUCAAGAGGACUUGCGAUGAUACCAUAGCCUCCGCGUCAAGAGCCGGACUUUUCAAGAGGGCGACUUAGUGCUCCGGUUGAUUCAGGAUCAUACUGGUAUGCAUAAGUUAUCACCUCCAUGGGAAGGACCGUAUGUCAUCAGCAAGAAUCUUCGACACGGCUCGUACUAGUUGGUGGAUCUUCGUCCAGGUCGGCCAACUACAGAGGUUGAGACAACUCGCCCCUGGAAUAUAGCCCACCUGCGGCCUUACUACACCUAGAGCCAUGGGCUCCUUUCUUUUUUGCAAAUCUCAGAAAUUGUAAUCUUUUAUUUAUAAAGAAAUAAAGCCGGCACCCACGAACUUCAGGGUCCUUUGCCGUUUCAGCUUCUGGAAAGCAUGAGUCUUUAUUGUUCUAUGAUUCGUCCAAGCAUGGACGCUAUCAGUACCAAAGAGCAUAAGUCGCCAUGUUGCACUUAUUUUGAACCUGGGUACUGGUAAGCCAAAGAGGACCAAAAGUUGCCACAUUCCACGGUUCAAACAUGGGCGCCUUAUAUGCUUUUGAGAAUAAAGCCGGCUUACUUUGGGGCUACUAGUUCCCAAGUCGUUUUGUAGUAAGAGCGUACAAACGCUUCUGUAAUCCUAUGUCCGACUUUUCUCUAAUCAUAGGUCACUUGGGGGCUUCCACUCACCGAGUUCAGCCUGAAUACCCUCUUGGCUAGCGAAAAAUUACCGCAUUACAAAUGGUUAUACUGGACCGUGUGUUGGACGAGUCGCCAUAUGGACCCAUGUACUCUUGACGAGUCAAUCCGCUUGUUGGUCCCUGAACUCGCCUUGGUUAAAACAUGAAAGGAACCGGCCGGAGCCACACAUGGAGAAUAGAGAAACCAUUGGUUCACUGAACCUACUUCAAUGAAGCCUGACUCGCGCCUGAUCAGCCGGUCGAAAAACUUGGGGCUAUUGCACAAGCCUUCCUCGGGUAGCACUAGAGUUUUGCAAACUCGACCUAUCCUGUCGUAGCUCAUCGAGCUGACGAACUUUUACGACUAUCUUCGUGGCACUGCCACAAGGUUUCGUAAAACUUUAUAUAUGACUCGUCGUGACUUACUGAGCCGACUCCUUGCUUAUAAUUCGCCAUGACUUAUUGAGUCAGCAUAUGGCGGUUUUUCCUUGAUAAACAGGUUGAAGAAGCUCUCCCUUGCUGACAUAUGACAAAACAAUGAAGCAUCAAGAUUGGUAAAAGCGACUCAUGAUUCACAUAAAGGAUAAACUAUCCAUCAACGUGAAGCAAAAGGCAUGGGUGGAAGACUGUUUUCCUACAAUCUAACAAACUAUUACGUAGCUGGGCGGGCGUCAUCUCCCAAUCAUGAAAAUAUCAGAUUGUUUUUAAAGCAAUGAUUACAUCCUAAGAAGACUCAAGCUGCCUCCGGGUCGCCUUGCCUCGAGCUUUCUCCACCUUCAAUUUGUAAGCCGCCCAACUUCCAGUUACACUUGGACAAGGCGACGAACUCCUCUUCAUCGUUAAAAAGGUAGAUAGAUCUGCUUCAAAGUCGAAGUGAUUCUUGGGCCGGCGAGGAGUCAGGCUUGUAAUUUCAUACGACGGAGGAGUCACCUUCUUGUUACUAUCAUCAUACGCAUCUUGGUAUUUGUUUAAAUCCAAGCCGGCUACUAGUUGAGUCGUUGCAAAGCGGGACUCUUUGAUUACUUGGUGGUAGUAUUCUUCGGUGAACUCCAACCCGUCGUCUUUCAGUUCAGGAUAGCCAGCAGUUACCUCCUAUGGCUUCAGCUUGGAAGCAUAGGCCAGGCACCAGCUUAGGGUAUUCAGGGCUCCCUUCCGGGCGGCUGAUCUCUUCAGCUCCUCCACUUGAGGAGGCAAUGUAGACAAGUAGCCAAGCAUGCUCUUGAUGGACUUAACUGGCUCUUUGUUGCCCAUCACUGCUUUUAUCGUCAGCAUGCUCCCCGUAUACAACUGCUCGGUGAAAGUAUACAUCGCCUUUAGUUUCAGCAUGCAGUCGUCUUGGAGAUUGGCGGCUCGCGGACCUACAAAGGAUAAAUUCGUGUUUGUUAGUCUUGGUAAACUAGACUGAUUUUUUGGUGAAGGGAAUUGAUCCUUACCAAACAUGGCUUGAGUCAUGUUGGAGAUGUGUUUUUUCAAGCUGGAGAGCUCUUGCUGGGCGGCUUCUAGUUUCUCCUCGGCUUGCUCAGCCCGCUUCAGGAUGGUGGCUUGAUCAGCUUUGGUUUUCUUUCCAAGCUUCUGGUGAUCAGCCUUCAUUUUUUCUAUUUCAGCCAGGACCACCUAUACUUCUUCUCAAACUUAGACCGAACAUUCUGCUGUUCGGCUAGAUUUUUCCUUAAAUCAGCUAGGGAUGACUUGGCCUGGGUCACAGAUUCCUGCAAAAACAAAAUUUGGGGAGACAAGUCUCAAAACUAUUGCAAGCAAUAUUCCUGACACUUGUGGGCUAAUGUAUGAUUCUAUUCGAAGUCAUACAAAAUACAAGACCUGACUCAUCUUUCAAAAGAUGACCCGGCCCUUGGGGGCUACGGGUUGAAGAUUUUUAACUAUAUUCAAGACCCGACUCAUCUUUCAAAAGAUGACCCGACCCUUGGGGGCUACAGGUUGAAGAUUUUUAACUAUAUUCAACACCCGACUCAUCUUUCAAAAGAUGACCCGACCCUUGGGGGUUACAGCUUGAAGAUUUUUAACUAUAUCCAAGACCCGGUUCAUCUUUCACAAGAUGACCCGACCCUUGGGGGCUACAAGUUGAAGUUUUUCUCUAACUACAAGACCCGACUCAUCUUUCAAAAUAUGACCCGACCCUUGGGGGCUAUGGACAAAUAUGGGUCUACGAGAUAUCACAACAAAAAUUGUGCAAAGACUAGUCUACUGGAAGGCUAAUGGGUAGAAGAAUACAUAAUAAGACGUACCUCAUGUUUGACUCUCAUCAUGUGGAUCAAGCUUUUAUUCAUUUCAUAAAUCUUCUCUAGGCGACUUGCGAAGCCAGAGCAGAGUUGGUCAAAUUCGAGCUUCUCAUAAUGAGGAAGCUUCAACUUACUGACAUCUUGUUUUGCGGAAGGAUGAGAUUCUUUGGAGGUGUGUUUGGAUAACACCGCCGCUGCAGGUUUGGAGUAGCUAGUACGAGUGAUAAUGACGGCCUCUGGAUCAUCAGUCGCCUUGGAAGAGCUCAGCGGGUUAACAUUGUCAGCGGUUUCCUUUAAGGAGCCUGGCGAGUCGUCCUGGACGUCAGGGAUGUCAUCCGCAGGAACAUCAUGAGCCGCCACUUGGUCCUCGUCAAGCUCUGGGGUAGAGGUGCUCGUGCCUAACACCUCAGUCAUCUUAGGAGCGGAAGACGAGUCGCCAGUUUUUCUCUUCUUUGCUUGUGCUCUGAGAUGAAGACAUAAAAGUUAGGACAAAUAUCAUUAUUUGGGAAGAGAAAGGGUUAAUAAAAGAACUCACCCUUGUACACGAAUCAUUGGCGGAAGAGCUGACAUCACUGAGUCGCCAGAUGAAGGAGGAGAAGCCUGAAAGAAUAAAAGUUCAAGGAGUGAAGAAGUUGUGAACCAAUUUUCUACAAGGAAGAGAUUGUGUUUAACAAGAGUAUACCUCACUUGAGCAUUUUCGACCGGCUGUUUUCUCAGGUAACCCGGCAAUUAAGUCGCCAGAACGGCUUCGGGUUUUACGCUUGGGAGUAUACCUCGCCUUCUUCAAAAGGAAAUCAGGGUCCAGACAAGCAUGUGGGUGAGACAUGGGAACUUUUCCACAAAUUCGCCUGGCCAGCCUAGGAGGAGAGGAAGUUGAGUCGGAAAAAAUAGAAAUUACCUCGACUACGUCAUCUGGGCUCUCAUAGCCAUCGUCCUAUACACCAGAGUAACAUGAUAUAAGCAUAAAAUCGGAACAUGGUAAUGACAAGCAAAAGGGUAAAUUUUUACCUCCGACUGUUCUUCGCCGGCUCGGGUCCGCCGACAACGGAUGAAUCCUUGGCGGCGGCUUUACCCUUGCUCUUCUUCUUCUUCUUCGGGGGCGGUUUAGUUGUUUGUUGGGCAGUCACCUUUGGCCCCCUUCGCCAAAAGGGAUCACCUUUCUGGUGGAUAGAAUAAAAUUUCAAACCCGGAGCAUUGGCAUGUAUGUUUAAAGGGUAAAGGGAGGCGGCUUAGAUUGUUACCGGUGGAGCCGGGUUGGAGCGACAGAAGGGCUUGAGCCAGAUUUUGGCACAGUCCUCCAAAGGCUCGCCGGUUAACUUCUUGAUUAUCCCAACAAUGUCCUUCUCUGAGAGUUUUUUAUGGUGGAAGCAUUGCGGAUGGUUCACGCUACCAUCAUAUUCGCACAUCAGACCAUUCCGGCGACUCAGAGGAAGAAUGUUCCAUUCCACCCAGCAACAGAAUAGAUCAACCCCGGUGAGCCCGUUAUUGGUCAAGGACCGCAACUCGGAGAAGAUAGGGAUGAAUUCCGAUUCUUCUUCUAUAAGCAUCUCGGGCAGCUUCAAGUCCAUGGGCAAGCGAUCUUCUCUAUAACCCGGAAGUGGGUUCUCACCAGGAGGAGAAGUGUCACGACAGUAAAACCAAGACUCGGCCCAGCCUUUGGGAUGGCUGGGCAGAAGGACAGAUGGAAACCCACGUUCGCGGCGCCGCUGGAUUUUGACUCCUCCGAGUUCCAGAUUGGGCCCGUUGGAAAAUUCGGUUUGGCGGUUCAGAUAGAAGAAGUUCCAAAAUAAUGGAAUUGUGGGCUCUCUUUGCAGGUAUACCUCGCAAAAUACUUGAAACUGGUAGAGAUUACUGAUGGAGUUAGGUCCGAGGUCCUGAGGAUGAACGUUGAGGAAAUGUAGAGUGUCUCUGAAGAACUUUGACCCGGGCGGUUUGAAGCCUCGUUCAAGAUGAUUAGUGAAAACGACUACUUCCCCUUCGGCAGGGUUGGGGAUCACCAAGCGGGGGGGGGGGGUCGCCAACCAAUAACUUCCUUACUGUUGAGAUGACCCGACUUGACAAAUUUCUCAAUAAUAGCAUCAUCAAUCUUGGUUGGUAACCAAUCGCAUUUCGAGACGAUGACCAUGACUACAAAAAUAGGAAACAAGGCGGCUCAGUGAGGACCAUGAAAUGUGGUAGCUCGCCAGUUGGAGAUCUACGAUGUGUGUCUAAAGACCUUAUAACUCGCCAUUAGGUGACUAAAAACCUGGAUAUGAGGGUAUUCUAACUCGCCAGCUCAGAAAUUUAUGGUAUGUUCGUACUUCUCAAACAACAACGCCAGAAUUUGACACGUCGACGGAGACUUGCUUGCGUUGGUUUUUCCCUUGAAGAGGAAAGGGUGAUGCAACAAAGGAGCAGUAAGUAUUUCCCUUAGUUGAGAACCAAGGUAUCAAUCCAGUAGGAGAAUCUCGUCAAGUCCAGAGUACCUGCACAAACACAAAAGAGCUUGCACCCAACGCUAUAAAGGGGUUGUCAAUCCCUUCAAGAUUGAUUGCAAAGUGAGAUCUGAAGGCGGAAAGUGCGACGAAGAAAAAGAGUAAGGCUGAAAAUAUAGUGUGGAGUAGACCCGGGGGCCAUAGUGUUCACUAGAGGCUUCUCUCAAAAUAGCAAGUAUUAUGGUGGGUGAACAAAUUACUAUCGAGCAAUUGAUAGAACCGCACAAAGUCAUGAUGAUAUCUAAGCCAAUGAUCAUACAUAUAGGCAUCACGUUCGAGACAAGUAGACCGACACUUUCUGCAUCUACUACUAUUACUCCACACAUCGAUCGCUAUCCAGCAUGCAUCUAGUGUAUUGAGUUCAUGACGAACAGAGUAACGCCUUAAGCAAGAUGACAUGAUGUAGAGGUAUAAACUCAAACCAAUGAUGAAAACCAAGAUUACAAGGAUAUGAAAUCAUGAAUAAGAGAGAUCAGAAGAUACUCAAAUAAGAUUCAUAGAUAAUCUGAUCAUAAAUCCACAAAUCAUCGGAUCUCGAAAAACACACCGCAAAAGAAGAUUACAUCAGAUAGAUCUCCAUGAAGAUCAUGGAUAACUUAGUAUUAAAGAUCCCAGAGAGAGAAGAAGCCAUCUAGCUACUAGCUAUGGACCCGUAGGUCUUUGGUGAACUACUCACUCAUCAUCGGGGAGGUCAUGGUGUUGAUGAAGAAGCCCUCCGUAUCCGAAUCCCCCCUCCGGUAGGGCACCAGAACGUGCCCCAGAUGGGAUCUUUCGGAGACAGAAGCUUGCGGCGGCGGAAAAGUACUUUUGAUGAUCUCCUGAUUUUUUCUGGGAUUUUAGGGAAUAUAUGGGCGGAAGACCUAGGGCAGGGGAGCCACAGGGAGCUCACUAGCCUGCUAGGCUCGGACCCCCCUAGGUUGGGCCUGGUGGGCUUGUGACCUCCUCCGAGGUCCCCUGUCUUGGUUCUCAAGUCUCCCGCGUGUCUUCUGUUAUGGAAAAAAAUCAUUCCACAGACUUUAUUCCGUUUGGACUCCGUUUAAAAUUCUCCUCUGAAAAGGGUAAAAAACACGGAAAAAACAGGAACUGGCACUUGGCACUGAGUUAAUAAGUUAGUCCCAAAAAAGAUAUAAAAGGCAUACAAAAUCUCCAAAGUUUGACAAGAUAAUAGCAUGAAACCAUCAAAAAUUAUAGAUACGUUGGAGACGUAUCAAGAAUCCCCAAGCUGAGUUUGGGGGCGGUGGUGCCACGUGGGCCCCACAAGCCUGCACGACGCGAUCUAGGGGGGUGGCCGCGGCUUGUGAGCUUGUGGCCCACUGGCACGCCCCCUCCGGUGGAUCUUUGCGCAUGUAUUUUUCUUUUAUUCCAGAAAAAAUAUCCGUAAAUUUUCAGGACAUUCCGAGAACUUUUAUUUCUGCACAAAAACAACACCAUGGCAAUUUUGCGGAAAACAGCGUCAGUCCGGGUUAGUUCCAUUCAGAUCAUGCAAAUUAGAGUCCAAAACAAGGGCAAAAGAGUUCGGAAAAGUAAAUACGAUGAAGACGUAUCACACUCCUUAUCUCUUUGUCCAUGAGAACAUCACCCAAAACAUGAAAACUUCACAACACAAAACUUAAACAGAAACUCGUGAUAACAUUAGCACAAGAAAACAAACUACCACCUCCUUAGGUACUGUAGCAAUCUUGAUUUCUAUUUAUAUUGGUGUUGGGAUACUGUAUUCUCACUCUUCCAUGGCUGGUUCCCACCGAUACUAUCCAUAGUUUCAUAAAAACAAGCAACCAACUCAACAAAAACUGAAUGUGUCAAAAACAGACUAGUCUGUAGCAAUCUGUAUACUUCGUAUACUUCUGGUACCUCAAAAAUUCUGAAACAUUACGACUGCCUGGGAAAAAGGCAUAUCAACCAGCAGCAAAAAUAAUCAACUGAAAAGCUCUAUCUGAAUAAAAAAGAAAAAUCAUCUCGUGAGUGAAAAGUUUCUGUCUUUUUCCAGCAGGAUUAAACAAUCAUCACCAAGACUAGUCAUAAAGGUUUUGCUUGGCUCAAACACAAAUAGAAACACAAAAAACAGAAUCAUAACAGAAUUAUGAUGGUGUGGACGCAACAAAACAGAAAACAAAAAUAUAAAUUCAUUGGGUUGCCUCCCAACAAGCGCUAUUGUUUAACGCCCUUAGCUAGGCAUAAAGCGAUAGAAUCACGUAUCGUCGUCUUUGGUGCUCAAACCAUAACUAGCCCUCAUCAUGGAUUCAUAAGGAAAUCUUAUUUCUUUCUAGGAAAGUGCUACAUGCCCUUCUUUAAAGGAAAUUGAAAUCUGAUAUUCCCCUCCUUCAUAUCGAUGAUAGCACCGAUAGUCCUUAGGAAAGGUGUACCAAGAAUAAUAGGACAUGUAGGAUUGCAAUCAAUGUCAAGCAUAAUGAAAUCCACGGGUACACAGUUCCUAUUUGCAAUAAUAAGAACAUCAUUGAUUCUUCCCAUGGGUUUCUUGACAAUAGAAUCCGCAAGAUGCAAAUUAAGAGAACACUCUUCAAUCUCAUUAAAACCCAGAACAUCACAUAAAGACUUUGGAAUCGUGGAAACACUAGCACCCAAAUCACACAAAGCGUUGCAUUCAUAGUUUUUGAUUUUGAUUUUGAUAGUAGGUUCCCACUCAUCAUGAAGCUUUCUAGUGAUAUAGACUUCCAAUUCAAGUUUCUCUUCAAGAUAUUUUAUCAUAGCUUCGACGAUAUGAUCGGUAAAGGCCUUGUUUUGGCUAUAAGCGUGUGGAGAGUUUAGCAUGGAUUGCAUCAUGGAAAUGCAUUCAAUCAAGGAGCAACUAUCAUAAUUGAAUUCCUUCAAAUCCAAAGUAGUAAUUUCAUUACUACUCAAAGUUUUAAUAUCUUCUACUCCACUUUUAAUGCUUUUAACAACAAGAUAGGUGGACUCCGAAUCAUUGGUGCAUCUUUGAACCAAAGUGGAUUCAUAUCCAGACCCAUCAUCAUUAGGUUUAACACAAGAAAACAAAGAUUCAAUGGGAGUCACACCAAGCACUUUAAGAUCUUCGUGAUUCUCAUCACGAGAACACGCCUUUCUAAGCCAUUCAUGUCUAGCAUGAAUUUGGGCGGUUCUUUCUUUGCUCUCACUCAUGGAAACACGCAUAGCUUUCAAAGUUUCAUCCAUAUUGAUCUUGGGAGGAGCAGAUCUAACUUUCAAAGCAUCACUAUCACUAGACAUUCUAUCAACGCUCUUAGCCAAAUCGUCAAUUUUGAGUAGUUUUUCCUCUAUGGACGUAUUGAAUUUUUUUUGCGAGUUGAUAAACUCUUUGAUAUUACUCUCUAGAUCAGAGGGUAAUCUAUUGUAAUUUCCAUGAGAAAUGUUGUAGGAGUUGCGAAAGUUAUUAGAGGAGUUACUUGGAAAAGGCCUAGGAACACAGUUUCCUCUAAAAGCAUUGUUGUUGCCAAAAUUAUUCCUACCAACAAAAUUAACGUCCAACCUAGCGUUGCUACUCUCAAUCAAGGAAGACAAGGGCAUAUCAUUAGGAUCUAAAGGAGCACUUCUACUAGCAACCAUAUUCAUUAACUCAUCCAUCUUAGCACUCAACGAGUUAAUUUCUUCUAUAGCGUGUACCUUUAUACUAGUAGGUGACCUUUCAGUGUGCCACUGAGAGUAGUUCGUCAUGAUAUUGUCUAGGAGUUUUGUGGCUUCUCCUAACAUGAUUUCCAUGAACGUUCCACCUGAGGCGGAGUCCAAGAUAUUUCUAGAAGCGAAAUUCAAGCAAGCGUAAAAUAUUUGUAUAAUCAUCCAAAGACUCAAGCCAUGAGCGGGACAAUUUCUAAUCAUCAAUUUCAUCCUCUCCCAAGAUUGUGCAACAUGUUCAAGAUCAAGUUGCUUAAAAUUCAUGAUAUCAUUACAGAGAGAGAUAAUCUUAGCCGGCGGAAAAUACUUGGAUAUAUAAGCAUCUUUGCACUUAUCCCAAGAAUCAAUGCUAUUAUUGGGCAAAGACGAAAACCAAGUUUUUGCUCGAUCUCGCAACAAGAAAGGAAAAACCUUCAAUUUAAUCACAUCAUUAUCCACAUAUGUCUUCUUUUGCAUAUCGCAAAGUUCAAUGAAGGUAUUAAGAUGGUAUGAGACAUCUUCACUAGGAAGGCCGGAAAAUCGCUCUUUCAUAACAAGAUUCAGCAAAGCGGCAUUGAUUUCGUAUGACUCCGCACUAGUGGCGGGAGCAAUCGGAGUACUAAUAAAAUCAUUAUUAUUAGUAUUCGAGAAGUCACAAAGUUUGGGGUUUUCAGUCAUGGUGACUUUGGCAAGCAAGCAAGCACACAAGCGAACAAAGAGCAAGCGAGAGAAAAAGCCAAACGAAAAAGGCAAAUCUUUUUGUAAUUUUUUUUUCAGAAGUGGGGGAGAGGAAAACGAGAGGCAAAAAAAGUAAAUGCAAGAGAUGAGUUUGCGACACUUACUUGGAUGAGUUCUUGACUUGAUCCUCCCCGGCAACGGCGCCACAAAUCCUUCUGCUACUUCUCAAACAACAGCGCCAGAAUUUGACACGUUGACGAAGACUUGGUUGCGUUGGUUUUUCCCUUGAAGAGGAAAGGGUGAUGCAACAAAGGAGCAGAAAGUAUUUCCCUCAGUUGAGAACCAAGGUAUCAAUCCAGUAGGAGAAUCUCGUCAAGUCCAGAGUACCUGCACAAACACAAAAGAGCUUGCACGCAACGCUAUAAAGGGGUUGUCAAUCCCUUCAAGAUUGAUUGCAAAGUGAGAUUUGAAGGCGGAAAGUGCAACGAAGAAAAAGAGUAAGGCUGAAAAUGUAAUGUGGAGUAGACCCGGGGGCCAUAGUGUUCACUAGAGGCUUCUCUCAAAAUAGAAAGUAUUACGGUGGGUGAACANAUAAAUCCACAAUUCAUCAGAUCUAGACAAACACACCGCAAAAGAAUAUUACAUCGGAUAGAUCUCCAUGAAGAUCAUGGAGAACUUUGUAUUGAAGAGCCAAGAGAGAGAAGAAGCCAUCUAGCUACUAGCUAUGGAUCCGUAGGUCUAUGGUGAACUACUCACGCAUCAUCGGAGAGGUCAUGGUGUUGAUGAAGAAGCCCUCCGUAUCCGAAUCCCCUUCCGGCAAGGCACCAGAACGUGCCCCAGAUGGGAUCUAGCGGAGAUAGAAGCUUGCGGUGGCGGAAAAGUACUUUCGAUGAUCUCCUGAUUUUUUCUGGGAUUUUAGGGAAUAUAUAGGCGGAAGACCUAGGACAGGGCAGCCACGGGGAGCUCACAAGCCUGCUAGGCCCGCCCCCUAGGCCGGGCCUGGUGGGCUUGUGACCUCCUCCGAUGUCCCGUGCCUUGGUUCUCAAGUCUCCCGCGUGUCUUCUGUUAUGGAAAAAAUCAUUCCGCAGAUUUUAUUCCGUUUGGACUCCAUUUAAAAUUCUCCUCUGAAAAGGGUCAAAAACACGGAAAAAACAGGAGCUGGCACUUGGCACUGAGUUAAUAAGUUAAUCCCAAAAAAUAUAAAAAAGGCAUACAAAACGUCCAAAGUUUGACAAGAUAAUAGCAUGAAACCAUCAAAAAUUAUAAAUACGUUGGAGACGUACCACGAAGGUGUUCUGACUCGCCCCUCGACCGACAAAAGGCAUAGCUAUGGUGAUGAUCUAACUCGCCGUGGUGGAAGAAGGUGAGCGGCGGGUCUCAAAGGAUUUUUUCCUUAGGGAUAUUCCCGGGAGAAGGAUAAACAUGUUUCUAAAAGCGGGCAGUGAAUUACAGAUUUACGGGUGGAUCGAAUUAAAAAGAUAAUACUUGGAAAAAUUGAAAAGGCUAUGAACGCAAGAAUACGGCAAGGAUAUCAUCUGGAUCUACGAAGUAAAACAUCAAAUGGCCGGGAGAUGCAAGGAAACUACCAUGGUUCGCUAUUACAAAGGACCUACUGCAAGUAUAUUAAGCGGAUCCAGAGUAAAGAGAGGUGUUCAUUGUAUUAUGGAAUUAACCUAGAAGAACGCGGGGUCCUCAGUCUAACCCUAAUGGAGAAUGGUGUUUACCUGAGAGAGGUGGACGACGCCGGAGAUGGAUGCGGAAAGCUUCGCUCCUUCGAUUGGCCUGGAGACGCCCAGGUUUCAGCGGCUGGAGAUAGAGCUUCGGGAAAACGGCGAGAAGGCCGAGGCGCUGGCACGAGGAAGACGAAGGACGAUGAGGAAGAUGGAGCCGAAGUGGGGGUAGGUGACGGUGCCCCCACUCCCCCUUGUAAUUAUUUAAAGUCCCAGAGCUGGAAUCGAGGCGGCAGGCGCGGGAAUAGAGGCGACAAACUGAAAAUUUGCAAUGAUGGCGCCUGGAUUUUAGGGAUAAGUAAAUGGCGGUGCAAAAGAUCCGUUGGGUGGUUACGACAUUGAAGCCCCGAAAUUGAAGGGAUAAGGUGAUGUCAUCAAAGAGCGCAUGGCGGCUCAAACAAUUCAUGAUGGAUGGCGGCUUAUCGUCCGUCAAAAGGUAGGAGUGAUACAAGUUGCCCCAAAAUGAGUGAAAGUUUAUUGGCGUGAAUAAAUUCAAGACAAUCUGGGGCCUAAUGUUGGGGAUAUUACCUGCGGUGUAACCCUCCCUAGCUGGGCCGGGUCACUAAAGGGGCGACUCAUUCAUUGGUAAUGCAGGCCUUGGCCCAAGGGGCCCAGGAGCCAAAUGGCGGUUCAGGAGCUAUACAUGGGAUAGACCGCCAAGGAGGUUUCCAGUCUUGGAAAGCACGGAGACUUAGAGAUAGGGAAAGCUACGAUCUUUAGCAUAGUCAGGACUCUUGUAAAUCCUAGUGCCUCAACCUGUAUAUAAAGGCGAGUCCCUGGAGAAGAUAGGGGCAAGUUAGAAAUCAUUGAGAGCUAGGUCAGGCGAGUUACGCCCUCCUUGUAAUCGAAACCAUCAUCAAUCUACACAAAGUAGGACGUAGGCUUUUACUUCCACACGAGGGGCCGAACCUGGGUAAAUCUGAGUCUCGCUUUCGCUCACCCCCUUUGAGUCGCCACCAAGGUGCGAUGGCUCCAUCUUUAAGUCCUUUCAUGAGGAUAUCUGUCGUGACAAAACCACGACACUAACCAUAGCAAUAAGCUUUAGGAUCCAACACUCCCUCGUGCAAAAGCAUGCGAACUGGGGUUCAGGUUUCUGUCACUCCGACAACCCACCAUAAGCAUUCUUUAUAGACGAUGCAUUCUCUUAGGCCCUUAAAAAGGUGAAGUGUUAUGUAGUCGACGUUCACAUAACACCACUGUCACGCCCAAGAUGCGACCCUAUCCUCAAUUUGGCACGGGGCCUCGUCAGGGAUAGAAGCGCAUCUCGUCGUGUCGCAAGAAUGGAUAUCGUUACAAGUACAAGUACCGAAAAGAAGAGAUGUAUAAUAGAAUUGGCUUACACUCGCCACAAGCUACAUCAGAGUCACAUCAGUACAUUACAUAAUCAUCAAGAGUAAGAGCAGGGUUCGACUACGGACGAAAACAAACGACAAAAGAAGAACGACGUCCAUCCUUGCUAUCCCAGGCUGCCGGCGUGGAACCCAUCCUAGAUCGAUGAAGAAGAAGAAGAAUAAGCAACUCCAAAUGAACAAUCAACACGCUCGUGUCAAGUAACCUUUACCUGUACCUGCAACUGGUGUUGUAGUAAUGUGUGAGCCACAGGGGACUCAGCAAUCUCAUUUCCAAAGGUAUCAAGACUAGCAAAGCUUAUUAGGUGAGGUAAGGUUAAGUGGUGAGGUUGCAGCAGCGGCUAAGCAUAUAUAUAUGGUGGCUAACUUACGAGUACAAGAAAUAAGAGAGGGAAGAUCUACACAUAACGGACGUGAACUACUAAUGAUCAAAUGAAUGAUCCUGAACACCUACCUACGUCAGACAUAACCCCACCGUGUCCUCGAUCGGAGAAAGAACUCACAAAAGAGACAGUCACGGUUACGCACACAGUUGGAAUAUUUUAAUUAAGUUAACUUCAAGUUAUCUAGAACUAGUGUUAAACAAAGUUUCCACGUUGCCACAUAACCGCGGGCACGGCUUUUCGAAAAGAUUUAACCCUGCAGGGGUGCUCCAACUAGUCCAUCACAAAUUACCACAAGCCGCAUAGAAAUCCUCAAUCACGAAGCUCGCGAUCUCGUCGGAUUCCCUAGUGGAAAACCUCAACUCUGAGAUUACCCAAAGCAUCACCGGAAUCCUGAUGCACAAGAUAUCUCGUCAAAGGUAAAACAAAUCCAGCAAGGCCGCCCGACGUGUCGACGAUCCCGAUAGGAGUCGCGUACCUCGUUCUCAGGACACGACGGAUGAGCGAUGGUUACCACGCCAAAUGCCGAGUUGCCCCGGGUAGCGUUAAUAAGCUGCUCUGUUUUGGACCAACACUCAUGAGGAGCACUGGCCCGGUGGUUGAUUAAAUUAUCCUCGGGUUAAUUACUCCCUAUGAAGUUCAUUAGUUAUUGGGAAAAUGUAGUACCAAAGUUGGGCCUUGCCAGACCAGCUUUAAUCUAAAACGAAUUAUCAAGGGGGUCCCCCUAACAACCCCGAUCGUGUUAGGAGCGCUUAUUUAUGGAACAUAACACCGGUAGCCGAAACUAAGGGGGCAAAGGUGGAACAAAACACCAGGCUAGAAAAGGCCGAGCCUUCCACCUUUUACCAAGUACAUAGGUGCAUUAAAUUAAAUAGCAUUUAAAUAGGGUGAUAUAACAAGGAACCCAUGUUGCCACAUGGAAGCAACAACACCUGCAACUAGCAACGCUAACACAGGGUUAAGCAAGUGGUAACAUAGGCAAUGAGUGGUUUGCUAGGUCGAACAGGUUGAAGGUUAUCAUGGCAUUGUUGAGAGGCUGAUAUUUAACAUGUGGUAGGCAACGAGACAUAAUCGAUAGCAUUGAAAUAACUAGCAUGGCAAUGAUAGUAAUGGUAGCUGGGGGAAUGGUCAUCUUGCGUGAGAUCCCGCUUGGAAGAUGAACAACUCGGAGAAGUCGGAGAACCAACGUAGUCGAACGGGUCCUCACAUUCCGACACGCUUGUGGAACUCUAUCGAGACGGGCAAACCGGAAACAAACAUCAACACAAAUAUACACCACGGCAAAAGCAAGACAUGAUGCAAACCCUAAUAUGAUGCAUGAUUAGAUCAAUGAUGCAAGGGAUGGCAUGGCAAUUCACCACACACAACACUACACAUUAAGUGAAGCUCGAUAUGCAACGGGUUACAUAUCGUCGAAACUCCACGAUUAAUUACUUAGUUCACUCCCGAUUAUUUACACGACAAUAUUUAAUUAUUGUUAACAUGGCAAGGGGUGAAGCGACGUUUCUACAUGGCAUCCUAGUCGGGUAACACGCGAGACAUAGAACGGAGUUACGACACGAGAGACAUGCAACACAAGAUCAUAUGCCAUGAAUGCGUCAUGCAUGCGAGUUCAAACAUCACGGGCGAGAAGAGAAAGAAACAAGUGUCGCCACGGCGAGCGAGAGGGAACCAUGGCGGCAACACGAAAACGCUGCCACGGCAACGUUCCUAUCCCGAUAACUCAUCGAGAUAACAUGCCAACGAAUGGGGAGCGUGUGCGCAAACGUUAAAUAAGGAUGGGGUGAUCCCGGUUACUUGGUUCCCAUGUGUCGAGGCACAACAAAAAAGGUGCACGUGCAACGGGCAACAUACGGUGCAUACAUACAUACAUUCAUACAUCACUUGUACAUGGUACACGACAUGUCCCAUCGGUAUACCUUCGACGCGUGCGACUCGAAGCGGUUCGGUUCGGAGAAGGAGACCAACGGUCGUCGUGGAAGUCGUGGAAGUAGUCGUUCGCUCGGCGUCGUGGUUCACAGCCUUCGGCGACGGUUCAUGGUCUUCGGCGACGGUAGUCGAACUCGUUCCGGGGGUCGUCGAGGACGUCGUGGUACUCGCCGAUCUUGUUGUCGUGGUACUCGGGUCUCGUCAGAUCCAUGAAGGAGGGAAUGGUGCACGCGGCGGCGGCAAACAGCAGCACAAGCAAGUGACGGAGGCCACGACUACAAGCGGCAACACUAAUAUCGAGCUACGACAUCUAGCACUAGUAGUAACACUCAGCACAGCAGCUAGCAAGAAACAUCUACUAACAACAUAGUAGCAAACUACAAGCAACAACAACACGCAUCAGCAGGGCAGCAGCAAACAAUAGCAGCUACAUGCAAGCAACUAACCUAGCAGCAGCAAGCUAGCAACUGGCUAGGCACGCAACGCGCAAACAACAACAACCUACAGCGACGGCAGCCGACAGCAUCAAGCAGCAACGAUAGCAAGUAACAACAGCAAGCAGCAGGCUCAGUAUCAGCUAGCAACAGCGACAGCAGGUGCAGCAUCAAGCAGGCAACGCAAUCAGGCAUAGCAGCAAGCAUCGGCGGUAGCAAGCAGCAGCAGCCAACACCGACAACAGCAAGCAGUGGCAUAGGCAGCAAGGCACAGCAAGCAUGCCACGACACAGCAAGCACGCAGCAUCAGCGGCAGCAGCGACAGCAGCAGCUCGAGGCGAGGGGAACGGAGAGGUGGCCCUUGGGUCGGCGAGGAGAGACGAACGGCGGCGAGGACGGGAGGCCGGCGAGGCUAAGCGCAACGGACAGCUGGCGCGGGGAGGUGCAGGCGGCGCGGGGCUGGAGGCGGGUAACCGGCGGCGAGGGAGAGGAGAGGCAAGGCCAUGGCGGGGCGACGCCGGCGGAGAGCCUCGGGCCGACCGGGAGCUUGGCAGCGGCGACCGGGGAACGCGGGGCAUGAGCGACGGGGAGAGGCCAUGGCGAACACCAUGGUGGCGGCCGCGCGGAGGCCUCGGGAUGGAGAGGGGCGAGGACGAGGCAUCGGCCAUGGAGGCGAUGACACCACCUCGGGCAGCGCGGUGGGGGAACGGCGGCAGGGGAGCAUGGCGGCUCGCGGGGGAAGAUGCGGGCGCUAUCGGGAGGAGCGAGGAGGGGAUCGGGAGGCCACAGGAGGACGACGGCGCCGCGGGAAGGAGGACACGGAUCGAGCGCUCUAGGGCUGGGAAGGGAGCCGGCUGGGCCUGGGCCGGCUCGGGAGGCUGGCUCUCUCCCCCAUUUGUUUUUUUCUCUUUUUUUAAAUAAAAAAACAUAGAACAAACAUAAAGAAAAAAUAGGUUUUUAACAAAAUGAAGAAAAUGCCUUUUACUCCUUUUAAAGAAAUAUACCCAACUUUAAAGAUAGAUUGGCAUUUUUAACCGAAUAAAAACUAAAACCUUUUAAAUAAUUAAAAAUUAAAACCCUUUUGAAGAAUAAAAUAAAACCUAUUUUAUUUAAAGAAUAAAAUAAAAGCCCUUUAAAAGAGAAAAGUAAAUGAGACGGUUUUAAAAUAAAACCAAAGGAGAAAAAUAAAGGAAAUCCAAGGGUUGCCCCCGCAUUUAAUAAAAGGACCUUUUUAAAAGAAGACACUUUUUUUAAAGGGGAUAAAACGGAAACUUUAGCAAAACCACAAAAAUGAAAAGAGAGGGGAGAGGGGGAGUUACUAUCGCACUAGGACUUGGUGAUCACUCGAAGCACAACACUCAAAACCACACGUGACAGACGAUGCAAGAUGCCAUGCAUGAUGCGACGAUGCAAACUAUAUGACGAUGCAACAAAUAAAACUAAUCACACGACGGAAACGGAAAUAAAAAGGGGGAAUCUUCUGGACGUCGGUCUCGGGCUGUCACAACUCUCCUACACUACAAGAGGAUCUCGCCCCGAGAUCCAAUAAUGAAAGGGGGAAGAGGAUGAGAAAGAACAAGAGGUAAAAAACUUAGUCGCUUCUUUGACAAACGAGUGAAACCAACGAUCCUUGAAGGUUGCAAAGAGAUUAGGAAUGAUAUGGGAAAGAAGGAAGAAUUCACGGAAAAUUUCGGCAGCACUUCGGUUGGAAAAUGGGACAAAAAAUUCGAUAAGAAGAGAUAAUUAGACAAUAUUCACAACAAACAAGUAAUUAGAACAAGGGAACACCAUGAACUUGAUAGAACAACAUAAUAGACCCAAAAGAGCAACAUCACAAUGCCUCCGGAACAAGAGAAUAAGAACUAACUCAAGUGGAAGAAGAGAAUGAAGAAAAGAAUGAAAACUAUCAUCACAAUAGAGUUGAAGAGCCUCUGGACAAAGGAUUGGCAUAGUAGUUGGAAAACCAACAACGAAAAGAACAAGAUAGUAGUGGGCUUAUGGAAACCUUUUCAAACAAUGAGUUGGCAACCAGCCACUAACGGAAACAAGGAUUGAUUGGGAGAAACAAGAUAUGAACAAUUCUUAUACCAAGAGGAUACAUUGAGAACUUGGAUUAAUGACAAGCACCAUAAUAGCAACAAUCCAUAGGAAAGCUUUAGGUGAAAUCCAAACCAAGAUAGCUCAAUGAAGAAAUCAUGGUUACAAAUAUCUCAUGAUCAUAGAAUUGGUGGUUUUAAUUAUCUUAUUCUUAAAAGGAAAACUCUUCGAAGCUCCUACACUAACAAGAAUGCUAUAAUACAACCUCAAGGAUAAAGGAGAACAAACGCAUUGGAAAUAAAAGAGAAAGAAUGGUUGGGGGUACUCCAACAGGAAUCUUGAAGAAAACUUUGAGACUGGAUUGAAACCUUGAUGAACCACCAUGAAGGACCACCGUAUACAAAUGAAUGAUGCAAAGAUAACAAGUUAGAAAAGAAUGAGAUUAUGACCUUGCCAGGAUUUAGAUGAAGCUUCACAAAGAGAUACUUGACAAAACUUGGAACUCCGGAAAAGAAAAGAUAAGAACACUAGAAAAGAAUUGAAACCAUGAGCCACUCCGGAAGAAGAAUUGAAAUCUCUUAGAAAAAGGAAGAACAAGAAUAAGAAUUAUAUUAUGCUUAUCCUUCAUCAAGUUUAAUUGAUGACAAGCAAUGGAUUUAGCAUACCACUUAUUCUACUAGAAAUGAAUCUUGAAGAGGCACAGAGAUAAGCACCACUUGAAGCAAAAUUGAAGGAAGCACCGGUAAGAAUUCACAAAUAAAUGGGAACACCGCAAAUUAAUGGAGAAACAUUAGAGUGAAGAGCUCAUGAGCCACCUGAUAGAAAACUAGAACAAGGCACCAGAAUAAUUGAGAGACGAACGAAGAGACAACAAUUGAGAAGAAUUUGAGAAUGAAAGCUGAAAGCUGAGAACGAAGAAUCUUCUGAAAUGAUGGCCUUCGGAGGAUCGAGAAAGAAAAACAACUCAUAGAAGCACCGGAUAGCAAGAAGGGAUCACUCAUGAUUGGAGCAAAUAAGAUGAUGACACCAAGCUGAAAUGAUGAAUCUUCAAAAGAAUGAACCAAGAUAGAGAGAAACACUCCUUCGGAUAGCAAGCUGAGAAUGAGGAGGAGAACACCACCAAGAAUUAAUGAGACACUCCGAAAUAAAGAAGAAUGCAAGGUUGAGCCAAAUAUGAGAAUUAAUUCAAAUAGAUCUUGAAGAAGGAAUAUGACUGAUGAAAUUCAUACUUACGUCAUAGUUGAAAGAAUUAAAGAUCUCCGAAAAGAUUAGAAGAGACAUAUAAGAUCCUGGGAAAAACCCAUGGGUUAUGGUCCCACUCAAAGAAAUCACCGUUGACAAGAUUGCUUAGAAGAGGGAUAUUGCACCGGUACAAAUGAAAACUAGAUGAGGUUGAGAACCUCGAAAUAAUGAAAGAUCUGAAACAAGAAACUCUGAGAUAUCUUCAACACACCGGAUAGAAAAGAGAUGAAUUAAUAACAGGAUAUGUUGAUAAGAAUCUCCAACACCGGAAAGAAUAACAAGGAUGAAUAGGAUAUAAUGAACACGGAUAGCUGAAUUAAAUUCACCGGAAAGAUGACAAGAAUGAAUAAAGAGGAACACGAAGCUCCUAAGAGUCUUCACAAUGAAUCACCAGGUAAGAGAGAAAAGAACAGACAGCGGAAGCACAAUGAAAAGAAAACUCUUGGAUGAAAAUUGAAUCAUCGAAGAAAAAGGGUGGGAGGGCGUGGAAAAACAAAGACAACUGGGACAGAUGAGAUAACUCUGGAAAGAAUUGAGAGAAUGAUCUGCAAAAUUAGAGAGGAUUGAAUUCACUGAAGAGAAGCACACCGGUUAAAAAGGAAUUAACAUGACGACUCCGGUUAACAAGAAUUGACAAGACAACUCAUUAAGCAAAAGGAUUAGCAUUCACAUAAAAAUAUGAGAACACCUCUUGGAAAGGUUUGAAAUCACCACUUGACAUCGAAGCAACACAAAUUACCAUAAUCAACAAAACAAAGGGAGAGGCUUAUGAAACAAGCCAGAACAAACUCAUGAGAGAGAUUUCGUCCGAUAUUUUCGUGGAGAGGAUCGCAUGGGCACGAUUUUACAGUAGUCAUCAAGUGCAAGACAGUGCAUCUGACAUACGAAGCGUCCCCGAGCCGUAGCAAGCUACAAGGACUCUUUAAGACACAAUGUGUACCGCUGUAAGUCGACCGUGAACAAACGAAUCCACUAGAUGUUGAACCCCAACCUAACAUCAUGCAUUUGUUGGAAGAAUGUCCUAUAAGUAACCACUUGAAUUCGCACCUAUGAAUUCCCGAAAUUUCCGGUCAUGCAAUCUGGUACACGGAUACAAGGAGUAAUAAUGACACAACUCCUAUACUAACCCGUCACCUGUAUCACAUCCGUCAACACACAACCAGAAUCUCGGACCUUCAUCUACGACAGCCCCUCGUGAUCACAACGAUACAAAGUAUGGUAGUACUCGCGAACAAUCUGCACCAGUACUAGGGACAUCGGGGUUAUCUCGCCACUACUAGUAUUGAAGCAAUUACGAACAUCAUUCGUUCUGAGAUACUAAGAAAUCUGAAUGAUAACGAUGUGCUCAAGAAUCCCUUGGACUUCAACUCCCCUGAAACUCAAAGCAGAUAGGAGGCACCAAGACAGAACUCCAUCACAUCGGCAUCAUAUGGAUUCCAAAAAUAUCCGCGUGAUCCUAAAUUUUUUUUGAGUGAGAAGAGGAGUAGAAUUAAAUUAUUACGUCAAGAUUCCUCACCAGAGCAUAGAAGAGGAGAAAAAAGAAUCCUACUCUCCGAUAUAUAACUAAGACUCAAAUAGUUUUUCACUAGACUCGACUCGGUUAAGUUUGAUCAAUCAAGGGAGCUCCUAGGUCGGUACUGCUCUGAUACCAACUUGUCACACCCAAGAUGCGACCCUAUCCUCAAUUUGGCACGGGGCCUCGUCAGGGAUAGAAGCGCAUCUCGUCGUGUCGCAAGAAUGGAUAUCGUUACAAGUACAAGUACCGAAAAGAAGAGAUGUAUAAUAGAAUUGGCUUACACUCGCCACAAGCUACAUCAGAGUCACAUCAGUACAUUACAUAAUCAUCAAGAGUAAGAGCAGGGUCCAACUACGGACGAAAAAAACGACAAAAGAAGAACGACGUCCAUCCUUGCUAUCCCAGGUUGCCGGCCUGGAACCCAUCCUAGAUCGAUGAAGAAGAAGAAGAAGAAGCAACUCCAAAUGAACAAUCAACGCGCUCGCGUCAAGUAACCUUUACCUGUACUUGCAACUGGUGUUGUAGUAAUCUGUGAGCCACAGGGGACUCAACAAUCUCAUUUCCAAAGGUAUCAAGACUAGCAAAGCUUAUUAGGUGAGGCAAGGUUAAGUGGUGAGGUUGCAGCAGCGGCUAAGCAUAUAUAUAUGGUGGCUAACUUACGAGUACAAGAAAUAAGAGAGGGAAGAUCUACGCAUAACGGACGUGAACUACUGAUGAUCAAAUGAAUGAUCCUGAACACCUACCUACGUCAGACAUAACCCCACCGUGUCCUCGAUCGGAGAAAGAACUCACGAAAGAGACAGUCACGGUUACGCACACAGUUGGCAUAUUUUAAUUAAGUUAACUUCAAGUUAUCUAGAACCAGUGUUAAACAAAGUUUCCACGUUGCCACAUAACCGCGGGCACGGCUUUCCGAAAAGAUUUAACCCUGCAGGGGUGCUCCAACUAGUCCAUCACAAAUUACCACAAGCCGCAUAGAAAUCCUCAAUCAUGAAGCUCGCGAUCUCGUCGGAUUCCCUAGUGGAAAACCUCAACUUUGAGAUUACCCAAGGCAUCACCGGAAUCCCGAUGCACAAGAUAUCUCGUCAAAGGUAAAACUAAUCCAGCAAGGCCGCCCGACGUGUCGACGAUCCCGAUAGGAGUCGCGUACCUCGUUGUCAGGACACGACAGAUGAGCGAUGGUUACCACGCCAAACGCCGAGUUGCCCCGGGUAGCGUUAAUAAGCUGCUCUGUUUUGGACCAACACUCAUGAGGAGCACUGGCCCGGUGGUUGAUUAAAUUAUCCUCGGGUUAAUUACUCCCUAUGAAGUUCAUUAGUUAUUAGGCAAAUGUAGUACCAAAGUUGGGACUUGCCAGACCAGCUUUAAUCUAAAAUGAAUUAUCAAGGGGGUCCCCAUAACAACCCCGAUCGUGUUAGGAGCGCUUAUUUAUGGAACAUAACACCGGUAGCCGAAUCUAAGGGGGCAAAGGUGGAACAAAACACCAGGCUAGAAAAGGCCGAGCCUUCCACCUUUUACCAAGUAUGUAGGUGCAUUAAAUUAAACAACAUUUAAAUAGGGUGAUAUAACAAGGAACCCAUGUUGCCACAUGGAAGCAACUGCACCUGCAACUAGCAACGCUAACACAGGAUUAAGCAAGCGGUAACAUAGCCAAUGAGUGGUUUGCUAGGUCGAACAGGUUGAAGGUUAUCAUGGCAUUGUUGAGAGGCUGAUAUUUAACAUGUGGAAGGCAACGAGACAUAAUCGAUAGUAUCGAAAUAACUAGCAUGGCAAUGAUAGUAAUGGUAUCUGGGGAAAUGGUCAUCUUGCCUGAGAUCCCGCUUGGAAGAAGAACAACUCGGAGAAGUCGGCAAACCAACGUAGUCGAACGGGUCCUCACAUUCCGACAUGAUUGCGGAACUCUAUCGAGACGGGCAAACCAGAAACAAACAUCAACACAAAUAUUCACCACGACAAAAGCAAGACAUGAUGCAAACCUUAAUAUGAUGCAUGAUCAGAUCAAUGAUGCAAGGGAUGGCAUGGCAAUUCACCACACACAACACUACACAUUAAGUGAAGCUCGAUAUGCAACGGGUUACAUAUCGUUGAAACUCCACGAUUAAUUACUUAGUUCACUCCCGAUUAUUUACACGGCAAUAUUUAAUUGUUGUUAACAUGGCAAGGGGUGAAGUGACGUUUCUACGUGGCAUCCUAGUCGGGUAACACGCGAGACAUAGAACGGAGUUACGACACGAGAGACAUGCAACACAAGAUCAUAUGCCAUAAAUGCGUCAUGCAUGCGGGUUCAAACAUCAUGGGCAAGAAGAGAAAGAAACAAGUGUCGCCACGGCGAGCGAGAGGGAACCAUGGCGGCAAUACGGAAACGAUGCCACGACAAUGUUCCUAUCCCGAUAACUCAUCGAGAUAACGUUCCAACGAAUAGGGAGCGUGUGCGGGAACGUUAAAUACGGAUGGGGUGAUCCCGGUUACCGGGUUCCCAUGUGUCGAGGCACAACAAAAAAGGUGCACGUGCAACGGGCAACAUACGGUGCAUACAUACAUACAUUCAUACAUCACUUGUACACGGUACACGACAUGUCCCAUCGGUAUACCUUCGACGCGUGCGACUCGAAGCGGUUCGGUUCGGAGAAGGAGACCAACGGUCAUCGUGGAAGUCGUGGAAGUAGUCAUUCGCUUGGCGUCCUGGUUCACGGCCUUCGGCGACGGUUCAUGGUCUUCGGCGACGGUAGUAGAACUCGUUCCAGGGGUCGUCGAGGACGUCGUGGUACUCGCCGAUCUUGCCGUCGUGGUACUCGGGUCUCGUCGGAUCCAUGAAGGAGGGAAUGGUGCACGCGGCGGCGGCAAACAGCAGCACAAGCAAGCGACGAAGGCCACGGCUACAAGCGACAACACUAAUAUCGAGCUACGGCGUCUAGCACUAGUAGCAACACUCGGCAUAGCAGCUAGCAAGCAACAUCUACUAACAACAUAGUAGCAAACUAUAAGCAGCAUCGACACGCAUCAGCAGGGCAGCAACAAACAAUAGCAGCUACAGGCAAGCAACUAACCUAGCAGCAGCAAGCUAGCAACCGGCUAGGCAAGCAACGCGCAAACAACAGCAACCUACAGCGACGGCAGCCAGCAGCAUCAAGCAGCAACGACGGCAAGUAACAACAGCAAGCAGCAGGCUCAACAUCAGCUAGCAACAGCGAUAGCAGGUGCAACAGCAAGCAGGCAAUGCAAUCAGGCACAGCAGCAGGCAUCGGCGGCGGCGGCAACUAGCAAUAGCAACUAACAUCAGCGGCAGCAAGCAGCAGCAGCAAACACCGUCAGCAGCAAGCAGUGGCAUGGGCCACAAGGCACAACAAGCAUGCCACGGCACAUCAAGCACGCAGUAUCAGCGGCAGCAGCGACAGCAGCAGCUCGAGGCGAGGGGAACGGAGAGGCGGCCCUCGGGUCGGCAAGGAGAGGAGAACGACGGCGAGGACGGGAGGCCGGCGAGGCUAAGCGCGACGGACUGCUAGCGCGGGGAGGUGCAGGCGGCACAGCUAGGCGGCGCAGGGCUGGAGGCGGGUAACCGGCGGCGAGGGAGAGGAGAGGCGAGGCCAUGGCGGGGCAACACCGGCGGAGAGCCUCGGGCCGACCGGGAUCUUGGCGGCGGCGACCGGGGAACGCGGGGCACGAGCGACGGGAAGAGGCCAUGGCGAACACCAUGGCAGCGGCCGCGCGGAGGCCUUGGGAUGGAGAGGGGCGAGGCCGAGGCAAUGUCCAUGGAGGCGACGACAGCACCUCGAGCAGCGCGGUGGGGGAACGACGGCAGGGGAGCAUGGCGGCUCGCGGGGGAAGAGGCGGGCGCUGUCGGGAGGAGCGAGGAGGGGAUCGGGAGGCCAUGGGAGGACGGCGGCGCUGCGGGAACGAGGAGAGGGAUCGAGCGCGCUAGGGCUGGGGAGGGAGCCGGCUGGGCCUAGGCCGGCUCGGGAGGCUGGCUCUCUCCCCCAUUUGGUUUUUUUUCUCUUUUUUUAAAUAAAAAAACAGAGAACAAACAUAAAAAAAAAAGGUUUUUAACAAAAUGAAGAAAAUGCCUUUUACUCCUUUUAAAGAAAUAUACCCAACUUUAAAAAUAGAUUGGCAUUUUUAAACGAAUAAAAACUAAAACCUUUUAAAGAAUUAAAAAUUAAAAUCCUUCUGAAGAAUAAAAUAAAACCUCUUUUAUUUAAAGAAUAAAAUAAAAGCCCUUUAAAAGAGAAAAGUAAAUGAGACGGUUUUAAAAUAAAACCAAAGGAGAAAAAUAAAGAAAAUCCAAGGGUUGCCCCCGCAUUUAAUAAAAGGACCUUUUUAAAAGAAGACACUUUUUUAAAGGGGAUAAAACGGAAACUUUAGCAAAACCACAAAAAUGAAAAGAGAGGGGACAGGGGGAGUUACUAUCGCACUAUGACUCGGUGAUCACUCGAAGCACAACACUCAAAACCACACGUGACAGACGAUGCAAGAUGCCAUGCAUGAUGCGACGAUGCGAACUAAAUGACGAUGCAACAAAUAAAACUAAUCACACGACAGAAACGGAAAUAAAAAGGGGGAAUCUUCUUGGUGUCGGUCUUGGGCUGUCACAAUCACUAGAAGAAUAACACCAUAACUUAAAUACCAAUCAACACAUAUUACUUCAACAUCAUACGACUACUAUCAACUAAACUUCUCCCAUGUCCUCAAGAACUAACAUAACUACUCACAAGACAUAAAAGAGAUCAUGAUCAGAGGUGAUGAAAAUAUGAUGAACAAUCUAGUCAUAAUGAUAAUUCUCCAACAAUACUCAAUAGCAUUCACCACAAAAGAGUAAUCGACACCGAUAGCGUAAAGGGGAUGAAUAGUGCAAGGUACAACUCCGAUUGUAAUGGAAAAGUGAGAUGGGGUGAAGAUGGAGAUGGUGCAGGUGUUGAGGGUGAUGGUGAUGAUGAUCUCGAUGAUGCCCGUGACGAUGGUGAUGACGAUGAGGACGAUCUCCCCUUCCGGGAGGAGUUCUCCCCGGCGGAAUCUGCCCACCGGAAAGGUCUUUUCUUCUCUGUAGGUUUCCGCCCCGGAGCGGAGGCGAAAUUCCAAAAAAACUUUUGUUCCCGUAACUUUUAGGUCAAGAGGGUCAUAUAGGCCAAAGGAGAGCACCAGAGGCGGGACCCACCACCCAGGCGGCCUCUGGGCGCGGCCUAGGAGUGACACGCGCCAGCAGGUCGCCUGGGUGCCUCGUGGCCCCCCUCCAGCCCUUCUUCGGCAUGUCUUCGUGAUCUGUUCGGAAACUCCUUCCCCGUAAAUUUCAGCUCAAUUGGAGAUGUUCCGAUUUGGCAACUCUUCAUGCUAUUUUCUCCACUGAAUCCUACGUCUGCUGUUUCGGCACCGGAAAGUUGUAUACUGUGUAAAAUAAGCCAAAACAGUAUAAGAAAAGCAUCAUAAUGUGAAAUAUAUCAAUGAAUAGAGACAAAUUAUGAUACAAAAUAGUGAUGCAUUUUGGACGUAUCAACACUACAGAUGCGCGACAGAGCACGCGAUGGCGAGCAAGAACUCUGCAAUGGCGAGGCUGCAAGAAAGAGAGGGGGAAGCGGAGAUGCAGGGCUGCGGCUCACCGAGGGUGCAGAGAAUAGGUUUCGGCGCGACAGAGAGGAAGCAACGCGACGAGUGGUGCAGGAGGUGCUCAUCGGAGGUGAGGAAGGAGUCGGCUGUCGUGGACGUCGGGGAAGGAGACCUUGACAUCCGGUUUUUGCGGGAAUGGAACCCCACGGCCCUCCACGAGCUCCUGGAGUAGACAUGGAAGAAGAUGGGUGUCGAUCUGCUGCCGGCGUGGAGCUCCCAGGAACUGAUCAUCGCGACGACGACGGGUCGCCCUGACGACGUGAGGGGGAAGACAGGGGGAGAAGGCGAGGGCUAGGGCAAGGAGAAGCACCAGGGCGGCGUUAUAGCCUCAAUCUACGUGCUUGGGACCAUCGAUCGAGGGGAAAGUAAGAUCGGCGGCGGUCCUAUGUUCGUACAAUAGGUGACGUCGAAAGGUGGAUGAAGGGGUGUCGCCGGCUGGGCCUGGGCCGAAUGCAAGUGCACUUGGGCUGCUCCCUCUCUGGUUUUAAAACCCUUUUAAAAAUAAAACAAAGAAAUAACAUCAUUUUGAAAUAAAUCCAGAGGUCAAAAGAAAAGGAGUAAAACAGGAAUAAAAUAUAUCUCGGCUCCUAAAAUGUUGCCACUAUUUACAAAAAUAAUUGGGACAUUUUAGGAGAUCAAAAUUAAAUGUCUCUACAUUUUAAAUGGACCAUGUUUUAAAUAAAACCAAAAGGAAAAAAUAAAGAUAAACCAGAGGGGUUAUCUUCACAAUUAAUAAGGAGAAUUUUAGAAAAGGAGGAACUCUUUAUAAGGGAAAAACAUAAGCUUUUAAAUCUGCCACAAAAUAAUUGAGAAGGGGAGAGAAGUGGUUUUCAUCCUAUGGUGCAACUAGUGGCAUUUUGAAAUGCACUUGUUGCACCCACACCUCAACAAACACAAAAGCACAUCCACAUAACACUUGCACAUCACAUCAAGGUUCACCCACAUCAACACAAACAAAAAACAAAAGGAAAAGAUGCAAUGCAUGAAGGCAUGAUACACAUAAAAUGAUGACACAAAUGGGCUCACCCACUUAUCAUACCAUAUCAAGGUUGCCAUACAAGGAAAGAUUACAAGAGGUGGGAAAGAAUUGCAUUGGGUUUGUCACAGUCUCCUUCGGAGACACUCGAGACCUCCCAUUUGCCAUGAGCGCCUGAGCUAGCCAUUGCGGAGCUUGGGAUGGAGGGAGAUUGGAGGAAUGGGAGGCGGAGUAGAUCUAGGCACUCGAGCAAGGAAGAAGAAGGAGCAAGGGUUUGGAAUACAUGUGUUGGAUUUAGAUUUUCCCCCUUCUACGAAGGGGGUCGUGAAACCAAGGGUUUCCACUUACUGCGCCACCAGCUCCUCCACUUCCCAAAACAACGACACCGUUGGGACAUGCGCAGAUUUGCUCGGGUCAUUUAAAUCGAAAUCCCCUUAAAUACGGGACACAGUCUCUAUUGAUGAUGGAACAUGACCCGGGGAAAGUGAAUUCGAGCCGCGACUCAAGCUUUACUCAUUAUUUGUUAUCGUGACUUUUCUUCACACGAGUUGUCAGAUGAGUUACUAUUCACCUUCGACCUUUUAAUACCCUCAGGAUUUAAUGAUGCCUGUUUUUUAUAACACUACAUCAGUGAAAUGACAAAGCUGAUGUUAGCCACAUAUAAAGGGAACUCACCGUGCUAGCCAAUUUGUUUAUGUGCUCGACUACCAAAGAACACACACAUCAGCGCAGAAGGCCAGUUCGGGGGCUAUUGAGGGAGUUCCGGAUUAAGGGGGUCAUCGGGCAGUCGGGUUGUCUCUCAUGGGCCGAUCAUAUGGGCCGCGUCAUUAAAGAACCGGAUUAUCUGACGGCUGCGUGAUCAAGAUGGAACGCUCCGAAGACAGGCAUGCACUCCAAUGCAGGAUGACGAGUUCGGCCCAUCUACUACCGAUCUAUGUCGGUAACAUGUAACCCUAGGGGUCCUGGUGUCUAUAUAAAUGAGAGGCCCUUAUACGUAGAGGGGGAGAUCCCAUCUAAGGUUAGUUCAUAUGAUCUCGAUGUAGAUCAACUUUGUAACCAUCGUUCCCCAUCAAUAUAAUCAAGCAUGACGUAGGGUUUUACCUCCUCAAGAGGACCCAAACCUAGGUAAACAUCGUCUCCCCCUCUCUCCCACAACCCAUCGAUCUAAGCUCCAUAGUUCGGGACCCCCUACCCGACAUCUGUCAGUUUUGAUGCCGACAAGAGGCCCGACUGGACCAAAAUUGCGGCCUGUCCGGGCGUUUGAAGGGAGUAUGAGGGGUCCGGUUAUACAUUCCCUAAGAGAAACUCCAACUAGGCGACCCAUUUCAUCCGCCCAUGUCCUUUUGGGUCGCCAUGCAUAGAAGAGGUGGCUCAGCGUGACGCAUUGCGGGCGCAAAUUUGGUCCGACUUUGUGUCCUGGCAGACACAAAAUGGACGCGUACCGCGUCCUCUUAGUGUCCUUCGCGUAUGCACUAGUCGCCCGCUCAACCACCACUCGCGUCUUAUUAAAUGCUAGCACCUAUCUCAGGGCCCGCCUCGCAGUGGGUGGACGGUCCGUGUUGUCGUACUUUUUAAUAAAAGUGUGCGGCGAGGCCUACCUCAUCCACUUCCAAACGCCUAGUGGGAUGUACAAGAGCACGUCCUCGCCUUAUCGACAAGGACCUCCCGCUGGAGCAGCGGGCGAUGCGUGCGUACACACCAGACACCCCAAACUGGGAGUGCUGGUUCGCGCUAGAGCACGAGGAGGAGUGUUGUCGAUGCGUCCACAUCGACCAGGCCAUCCCUCCUCCGCUGCCACAGGUUCUGCCGGAGGAGGAGGAUGAAGAGGUGACGUACGAAGUCACCCUUGAGCAGCCCCUGCAGCACGCGCUAGAGGCGAGCAGGAUCAAGGAGGACACACAACGUGAUGGACUGGAGCACACCCUUGCCUUGUCGGCUGCGAGGGAGUACACGCCCCACCCUUCGUCCCGUCACGUCCAUCACACGAGCCGCACACCAUCAACGACAAAGCAGAACCGGAUCACAUGUCAUCGUGGAAUCGCUCGCCGCCUCCGCCCACUUGGCUGCAGGAGGAUUACAAGUGGUCCAGCGUCAUUCGCUAAUGGGUCAGCGUGUUGCCCGUCGACUAUGAUGCCACGCCGGAGGAGGCGGCCCAUCUUAAGCAAUGAAGGCAACAGUGGCUCGACGAGGAGGAGGCGGAGGGCCAGACACAGAUGCGGUGGGAGCAGGAGAAGGUGCGGAUCCGACCCAACGGGCCGUCCCGAGCCCCCUUUGUAUACUAUAGCAACUGCUAUAGUAUAGUGCUACACUAUACAAAAAAUGGGCUUCAUGCCCCGGGGCCGAGCCCCCCGGCCUAGAGCCUAGAUCUGCUAUUGAGCAGGAGGAGGAGGUGUUGCGCCUCCAGGAGGAGGAGGAGAAGCGCGUGAGGCAUGCAACAAUGCCGCUGCCAGAAUGGGUGCCGAAGGAUGGCAGCCUACGAGGCGGCCCUGGCAGCCUACGAGGCGGCAUUUGGGUGGGUUGGGCCGCCUCUCGCCUUCAUCGACCUUAUCAGCAGCGAUGGAGAUGGAAAGGACAAGGUGGACGACUAGGACAAUGUGUGGGGUGUGGACUUCUGUUGGUUCUAACUAUGUUUAAGUGGACUUUGGACAGGGUUUGAACGGUCAUUUAUGUUUAAUUAUAUUUUUUUAUUAUGUUUAUAUGUGGCUAUGUGUUUUUUAGGCAUGCAAGUUUGCGUCUCGCUCCCGUUGAAUGCAUCAUCCAAUCCAAAUGAAAAAAAGAUGCGUACGUCUGCCUAGCCGACCAAAAUGAAAAAAACAAAGAAAUCACACGUUUCUUUAGGUCGUCCAAUUGAAGUUGAUCUAAGAGCAUAUACAGCCGAACCCCUCAAACCCAACUCCUCAAACUGGCGCGUCCGCGGACACUGACUAGGCACCCCUCCUUUGUUGACUUCCAUAUCCACGUCCCGCAUAUCUGAACCCUCAAAACCAUACAACCCAUGCAACGCUACGUAAACAUAGAUCAACACACAGUUCAUCGGAUAGGCCGAACAAAAGGAGUAUAGUUCAUAGGAGGUCAUUGGCAAAUCCUAACUAUGAACUAUCUAAACAUAUGUAAAUAUAAACAGAGACGGGGAGAGUCACCACUUCCUUGCUGGCCCUUUGCUCUUCCAGUCGCCGGUGCAGCUGUAGGAGUCAGAGACUGGUGGGGAAUCGACCGAGUCGUCGGACGAGGAGAUGUGGUCAACAUCGUCGUUGUGAUAGAGGACGACGAGCCCUUUUAGCCAUCGGACCUCCCUGUCCUGCUCCCGCUUGAGCUUGGCGAGCCGAGCCACCUCCGCCGCUGCCUCCAUCGCCUCGCGCUCGGACUGCUCAAUGACAAUCCCGAGCACCUUCGUGUUCUUCUGUCAGAGCUGCCGCACGACCGUCACUGCAGUUGUAAGUGAUCGACGGUAGACCCAUUCGAGGAGUCGUGCAUUGUCGUCGGGCUCCACAUCUAUCCCGCGGCUGCGACGCACGGAUUGCUCCAUCUCUGACCUCUCCCUUUGUCGUUGCCGCUCGCGGCGGGCGGCGCACGCCUCUGAUUCUGGCGUGCGUGUCCGGGCCGGUGUGACAGGCACAAGCACCCACCGCUGCCCACGUGGGGGAGCAACAACCGACGGGGCCAGGAGACGGCGCACGGGAGGAGCGGAUUGCGCAGGCCACGUGCCGGAGCUACGCGCGGACCGGGAGGGGCCAGAGUCUCGAGUCUCCACCUUGGACCGCUCCAAGGCGAUGCGGAGGGCAAGCUCAUAAUCUGGAUCCAGGUCAUCGUCGGAGCGGCUCCCGAAGCUCAACAUUUCGCCAGACUAAAUCAUAUUAGGUGCGGGGAGAGUAGAGGACGGAGCGAUAGAGUUAGGGUUUCGAUUCGAUGAGUCGGAUGUGGCUUUUCGUGGAACAAUCAUGGGGUCAUGGGUGGGUCGGCCCUGUCAGGCGGGCGUGCCCGGGUGCGCCUUGGCUCCCCAUAUCUGCCCCAUAUUUGGGUUGGAUAUGAGGGGUGCCGGUCAGCUCAGGCGUUUGAGGCCCGUUUAGGACGUUCGUCUAGGUCACUUUUUAAUGACCGAACAGUGAUAGAUCGGAUAUGAGGGGUCCAGGUGUAGAUGCUCUAAGGUCAAGGCAUGAUAGAUCAGAGACGCCACCGACGGAAGGAACCUAAGAGCAUCUCCAAUAGACGGUCCAUAUGUAAAAAUACCUAACUUUUGGAUCUCCGAGAGCAAAGAACGCUCCUCUAACACAUGGUCCAUAUGUAAAACAAAUUGGACCACCGCCUCCCGGAGAUGUAAAAUACAACACUUCAUGAUGCAAAUUUGCAUCACGAGAUACAUCUGAUGUAAAAUCGUGGCCGCCCGCGAAACGACCAACCGCCAAUCCAUUUCAUUUCCCACUCGCGACCGCCCGCCCGCCCGAGCACCAACUGCGAGAAAUCACCAUUGCCCAAAUCGCCAUCGCCAUCGCCCCAAAUCACCACUGCCCUCACUCGCAUCACCCCCCUGCUGUAGGGUGUCUCGCGGCCGCCCCGCCGCUUCCAUCCGUAGCUCCCUGAUGUCGCCCCGCUGAAGAUCUAGCUCCACCCCGUCCCGGCCCCGUCCAUCUCAGCCCCCGCCCCGGACCCGUCCGCCUCUGCUCUGCCUGCCCCCUCCCGCGCCGCACGCCACCGCCCGCCCCUCGCCCACACUGCAUGUCGUCAACCAGCUCCGUCCACCUCCGCCCUGCGCUGCACGCGGCUGCCCGCUCCCCGCACGGCGGCCGCCCCAGCCUCUCUCCACCUGCCGCCGCCCUCACUCGCUCCGUCCGCCACCGCCACCAGAGGUGCCGAAGAAUAGAAUCCGUGGAGAAGAAGAAGAUGUGAGGUUGUACAGUGGCUAAACACGAGCCACACAGUCGUCGCCCGGUUUUACAUCUUUGUUUUGGACCAUUCGUUGGAGUUGCUGUUUUACAUCUUCGUUUUAGACCAUCUGUUGGAGUUGAGCCUUUUUUGAUUAUGUAAAAAAACUUUUUAAAUUUUUAUAUCAUCUGUUUAAAACACCAGAAAUAUACAUCAUUUAUUGAAGAUGCUCUAAUUGUACAACUCAAAAAUUACAACUCGAUAGCUAGCACAAAGUAUGACUCUAUAAGCAAUAUGGCAGAGUACAAGCCUAGGGUUCCCUUGUCCUCCUGGCCUCGCCGCUGGGGUUUUUCCCGUAGAUUCGAUCGCUCUUCCUGACGAUCGGUCUUGUUCAUGUUCUCCUCACGCUGCCCUAGAGGGGUGGCUCUCCUCUCUCUCCCGGACCCGCUACCGUUUGGUUGAGUUGCUAGUGUUCGUGGAGGGGUUUUAUGAUUUGCGUGACUGCGACAAUGGCAGCUGAAACGAGUGGAUCACGUGCAAAUCGUGUGGAAGAUCCGAGUGUGUUGUGAUACGUCUCCAACGUAUCUAUAAUUUUUGAUCGUUCCAUGCUAUUAUAUUAUCAACUUUGGAUGUUUUAUAUGCAUGAAUAUGUUAUUUUAUAUUAUUUUUGGGACUAACCUAUUGACCUAGAGCCCAAUGCCAGUUCCUGUUUUUUCCUUGUUUUUGACCUUUUCAGAUAGGAAUAUCAAACAGAGUCCAAAUGGAAUAAAACUUUCGCGAUGAUUUUUUUGGACCAAAAGAGACCCCCGAAGCUUUGGAAGAAGGCUAGAAGAGCCACGAGGGAGUCACGAGCCCGAUAGGCGCGCCCUACCGCCCGGGAGGGCCUAGCAGGCUCGUGACCUCCUCGUGGGCCCAACCGACGUAAUUCCACCGCCAUAAAUUCCUAUAAAUACAGAAACCCCCCAAAAGAAACCUAGAUCGGGAGUUCCGCUGCCUCAAGCCUUUGUAGCCACCAAAAACCAAUCGGGAGCCCGUUCCAGAACCCUGCCGGAGGGGGAAUCCAUCUCCGGUGUCCGUCUUCAUCAUCCCGACGAUCUCCAUGACAAGGAGGGAGUAGUUCUCCCUCGGGGCUGAGGGUAUGUACGAGUAGCUAUGUGUUUGAUCCCUCUCUCUCGUGUUCUUGAGAUGUCAUGAUCUCGAUGUGCCACAGACUUUGCUACUAUAGUUGGAUAUUAUGAUGUUCUUCCCCUCUCCCUUCUUGUAAUGAAUUGAGUUUUCCCUUUGGAGUUAUCUUAUUGGAUUGAGUCUUUAAGAACACUUGACGUAUGUCUUGCACGUGUCUAUCUGUGGUGAUAAUGGGAUAUUCAUGUGAGUACUUGAUGUAUGUUUUGGUGAUCAACUUGCGGGUUUCGUGACAUUGGGAACCUAUGCAUAUGGGUUGGCACACGUUUUGACUCUCCGGUAGAAACUUCGGGGCACUCUUUGAAGUUCUAUGUGUUGGUUGAAUAGAUGAUUCUGAGAUUGUGUGAUGCAUAUCAUAUAAUCAUGCCCACGGAUACUUGAGGUGACAAUGGAGUAUCUAGGUGACAUUAGGGUCUUGGUUGAUAUGUGUCUUAAGGUGUUAUUCUAGUACGAACUCUACGAUAGAUUGAAUGGAAAGAAUAGCUUCGUGUUAUUUUACUACGAACUCUUGAAUAGAUCGAUCAGAAAGAAUAACUUUGUGGUGAUUUCGUACCCGACAAUAAUCUCUUUGUUUGUUCUCCCCAUUAGUGACUUUGGAGUGACUCUUUGUUGCACGUUGAGGGCUAGUUAUAUGAUCCUAUUAUGUUAUCAUUGUUGAGAGAACUUCACUAGUGAAAGUAUGAACCCUAGGCCUUGUUUCCAAGCAUUGCAAUACUGUCGUGCUCACUUUUACUACUAGUUACCUUUCUGUUUUUAUAAUUUCAGAUUACAAAAACCUAUAUCUACUAUCCAUAUUGCACUUGUAUCACCAUCUCUUCGCCGAACUAGUGCACCUAUACAAUUUACCAUUGUAUUGGGUGUGUUGGGGGACACAAGAGACUCUUUGUUAUUUGGUUGUAGGGUUGCUUGAGAGAGACCAUCUUCAUCCUAUGCCUCCCACGGAUUGAUAAACCUUAUGUCACCCACUUGAGGGAAAAUUUCUACUGUCCUACAAACCUAUGCACUUGGAGGCCCAACAACGUCUACAAGGAGAAGGUUGCAUAGUAGACAUCAAGCUCUUUUCUGGCGCCGUUGCCGGGGAGGUUAGUGCUUGAAGGUAUAUCUUUAGAUCUUGCAAUCGAAUCUUUUAGUUUCUUGUUUUAUCACUAGUUUAGUUUAUUAAUAGAAAACAACAAAAAAUGGAAUUAAGGUUGCCUCAUAUGCUUCAUCUUUUUAAUGUCUUUCGUGAAAAUGAUGGAAAUGAAAAUUGUGCCCAAGUGGUAAAAGAAGAAUUACAUAGAAUGCUUGGCAUAAAAUAUGUGAAUGAUGAGCAUGAUUGCAAUGUUGUUAGUAUGAAUUCUUUGAAUACCCAUGAUGCUAAUGAUAUGCAAAGCCACAAGCUUGGGGAUGCUAUGUUUGAUGAAGACGAUCUUUUUAGUUCCCUCACUUUGAAUGAUUAAAAUUAUUAUGAUGAAAGCAUGCCCCCUAUCUAUGAUGAUUAUUGUGAUGAUACUCAUGCUAUAAAGAAUAAAGAUGAUAAAACUUGUCACAAUUAUGAGUACCCUUUUACUGAACAUUACUCUUUUAAUGUGGAAACAAUUCGUAGUGUUCAAGUCAUUUACGAUACUCCCACUAUUAAUCAUGAGAAUAAAUUUCCUUAUGUGGAGAGUAGUAAAAUUUCUAUGGUUGUAGAUCAUGAAAAGAAUGCUUUAGGUGCUGGUUAUAUUGUUGAAUUCAUUCAUGAUGCUACUGAAAAUUAUUAUGAGAGAGGAUCGUAUGCUUCUACAUAUUGCAAUAAUAUCAAGCUUCCUCUCCAUGUGUUGAAACUUUUGAAGUCAUGCUUGUUUUAUCUUCCUAUGCUAGUUGAUUCUUGAUCCAAUAAAUUGUUUGAUGACACAAUCCCUAUGCAUAGGAAGUGGGUUAGACUUAAAUGUGCUAGUCAUAUGCUCCAUGAUGCUUCCAUUAUGUUUCAAUCCUUAUCUUUUAUGUGAGCAUCAUUGAAAUCAUCAUUCCUAGCUUGAAAGGCAUUAAAGAAAAGUGCUUGUUGGGAGCCAACCCAAUAUGUAUCCUUACUGUUUUUGUGUGUUCACAUGAUUAAUAUACUGUAUUAAUCAUGUUUUAUUUCCUUAGUUUCAAUAAAGUGCCAAGUAAAGCCUUUAUGAUUAGUUUGGGUGAUAGUUGUUUUAUCAUGCUGAAAAAGACAUAAACUUUGUGUUGGCUAAAUCAUUUCUAAUUUCUAUCCAGAGAGUGCUUUUAGGUUGAUUAUUUUUUCUUCUAAUUGGUAUACAAAUUUCCUUAAUUUUCAUAAUUGUUUCAGAAUUUUUGGAAGUGCAAAAGUAUGGUUAUUAUUCAGAUCAUUACAGACUAUUCUGUUUUUGACAGAUUCUGUUUCCAAUGCAUAGUUUGCUUGUUUUGGUGUUCCCAUAGAUUAUAUUGAGUAAUAUAAAUUGUGGAAAUAUUAAGAUACGGUAGGUAUUGUGUGAAAAUAAUUAUGAGUCUUAUUUUGAGAGUACCCAAGUGAUUGAUUUGCUCGUUAUCAUACUAACCCAUCUCACGAAGUUCCGUUAAGUUUUGUGUUGUGAAGUUUUCAAGUUUUGGGUAGAGUUCCGAUGGACUAUGGACAAGGAGUGGCAAGAGACUAAGCUUGGGGAUUACCAAGGCACCCCAAAUCCAUAUUCAAGGACAGCAAAGAGCCUAAUCUUGGGGAUGCCCCGGGAAGGCAUCCCCUCUUUCGUCUUCAAUCCAUCGGUAACUUUACUUGGGGCUAUAUUUUUAUUCACCACAUGAUAUGUGUUUAUCUUGGAGCGUCAUUUUCUUUUAUUAGUACUUGCUUGAUAUUAUUUAUAUUAAUGUUUUGCAUCAUUUAUUUCAAUAAAAAUGUCAAGGAUAGCCUUUACCAUGCUUAAUUUGCAAGUACAGGAGUUGCUGUCCCAAAACUGAAAGUUUGCUUGCAGUGUAAACAUUCCCUAGAAUAUUUUGUAUGUCAGAAUAACUUGAAAUUUGUACACAGUAUGAUCUCAUGAAUUCUCUACAGCGUGGAACUUUUUUAAGAUUUUUUGGAGUUAAUUAAGUAUGGAUCUUGCUGCAUUCUUUACAGACUGUUCUAUUUCGGCAGAUUGCUGUUAUGUUUGCAUUGUUUGCAUAUGUUUGCUUGUUUAAUGAUCCUAUUUGAGGAUAGGAGUUUUAAAUAUGCAGAGGCAUUUAGUAUGAAAUGUCAAAUAAUAAUUUUAGUGAUUUACUAUAGUAGAGGAUGAUAAAGUUUUGCAUUGAUUUAUACUAACCUAUCUCACGAGUUCUUGUUGAGUUUUGUGUGGAUGAAGUUUUUAAGAUUUUGGAAACCACCAUAUGAGAGUAAUUAAGGAGACACAAAAGCUCAAGCUUGGGGAUGCCCAAGGCAUCCCCAAUUAAUAUUUCAAGAAGUCUCAAUCUCCUAAGCUUGGGGAUUCCCCGAAUGGCAUCCCACCUUUCUUCUUCAACAAUUAUCGGUUAGUAUCGGUUGAACCUAAAUUUUUGCUUCUUCACACGAUUCGUGCUAUCCUUGAAGUGUCAUUUUAUUUUGUUUGAAUAAGGUACUUAAGAUCUGAAAUUCUUAGAUGGGAGAGUCUUCACAUAGCCAAAUAAUUAUUCACUACUCAUUGAGCUUCACUUAUAUCUUUUGGAGUAGUUUUUCUUUUACUCUCAUGCUUCACUUAUAUCAUUUUGAGAGUCUUAAGCAACAUGGUAAUUUUCUUAGGUUAUGAAUCUAGUCCAAAUAUGUUGGGCAUCUGAUACGUCCAUUUUGCAUCAUGCUUUCAUGUUGAUAUUUAUCGCUUCUUGGGCUGUUAUUUCACUUCACGGUACAUUACUUAUGCCUUUUCUCUCUUAUUUUGCAAGGUUUACAUGAAGAGGGAGAAUGCCGGUAGCUGGAAUUCUGGCCUGAAAAUGGAGCAAAUUUGAGAUACCUAUUCUGUGCAACUCCAAACGCCGUAAAAAUCAACGAGGAUUUUUUUCAGGAUUUAUAAAAAAUACUGGGCCGAAGAAGUGCCACACGGGCGCCAGCACGUGGCCACAAGCCUGCUAGGCGCGACCACCCCCUGGCUGCGCCUAGGGGGCUUGUGGGCACCGAGAUGGCCCUCUGGCUCCCCCCUUUUUCUACAAGAAGGGAUUCGUCCCGAAAAAAAAUCAAGAGGGGGCUUUUUCGAGGAUUCGCCGUCGCCACGAGGCGGAACUUGAGCAGAACCAAUCUAGAGCUCCGGCAGGACGAUCCUGCCGGGGAAACUUCCCUCCCGGAGGUGGAAAUCUUCGCCAUCGUCAUCACCAAGACUCCAAUCAUCAGAGGGGACUCAUCACCAUCAACAUCUUCAUCAACACCAUCUCAUCUCCAAACCCUAGUUCAUCUCUUGUAACCAAUCUCCGUCUCGCAACUCCCAUUGGUACUUGUAAGGUUGCUAGUAGUGUUAAUUACUCUUUGUAGUUGAUGCUAGUUGGAUUAUUUGGUGGAAUAGUUUAUGUUCAGAUCCUUGAUGCUAUUAAUUACCUCUCUGGUCAUGAAUAUGUUUAUGCUUUGUGAGUAGUUACUUUUGUUCCCGAGGACAUGUGAUAAGUCAUGCUAAUAGUAGUCAUGUGAAUUUGGUAUUCGUUCGAUAUUUUGAUGUGUUGUAUGUUAUUUUUCCUCUAGUGGUGUUAUGUGAACGUCGACUACAUAACACUUCACCAUUAUUUGGGCCUAGAGGAAGGCAUUGGGAAGUAGUAAGUAUAUGAUGGGUUGCUAGAGUGACAGAAGCUUAAACCCUAGUUUAUGCGUUGCUUCGUAAGGGGCUGAUUUGGAUCCACUAGUUUAAUGCUAUGGUUAGACUUUGUCUUAAUUCUUCUUUCGAAGUUGCGGAUGCUUGCGAGAGGGGUUAAUAAUAAGUGGGAUGCUUGUCCAAGUAAGGGCAGUACCCAAGCGCCCGUCCACCCACAUAUCAAACUAUCAAAUAACGAACGCGAAUCAUAUGAACAUGAUGAAAACUAGCAUGACAGAAAUUCCCGUGUGUCCUCGGGAGCGUUUUUCCUCCUAUAAGACUUUGUCCAGGCUUGUCCCUUGAUAUAAAAGGGAUUGGGCCACUUUGCUGCACCGUUGCUACUUUUGUUAUUUUUUUCUUGCUACGAAUCAUCUCACCACACCACUACUUGUUACCGAUAAUUUCAGUGCUUGCAGAUACUUCCUUGCUGAAAACCACUUGUCAGAUCCUUCUGCUCCUCGUUGGGUUCGACACUCUUACUUAUUGAAAGGACUAUGAUAGAUCCCCUAUACUUGUGGGUCGUCAAGAUUCUUUUCUGCCGCCGUUGCCGGGGAGUGAAGCGCCUUUGUUAAGGAAACAUUCAUAUAGCGUGCUGAAAUUUAUUGUCACUUGUCACUAUGGAAACUAAACCUUUGAGGGGCUUGUUCGGGGUAUCUUCACCUCGAACGGAAGCACAAAGAGUUGCUCCUCAACCUGCUGCACCUACUGAAAAUAUUUGCUUUGAAUUUCCUUCGGGUAUGCUUGAGAAACUGCUGGCUAACCUUUUUACAGGAGAUGAACAUCACAUCCAGACUUGCAUCUAAUCUAUGUAGAUGAAGUUUGUGGUUUAUUUAAGCUUUCAGGUUUGCCCGAGCAUGAGGUCAAGAAGAAGGUCUUUCCUUUAUAUUUGAAGGAUAAGGCGUUGACAUGGUAUAGGCUAUGUGAUGAUACUGGAUCAUGGAACUACAAUCGGUUGAAAUUGGAAUUUCAUCAAAAGUUUUAUCCUAUGCAUUUAGUACAUCGUGAUCGGAAUUAUAUUUAUAAUUUUUGGCCUCGUGACAGAGAAAGCAUCACUCAAGCUUGGGGGAGGCUUAAAUUAAUGUUAUACUCAUGCCCCAACCAUGAGCUCUCGAGAGAAAUUAUCAUUCAGAACUUCUAUGCUCGGCUUUCUCAUGAUGAUUGCACCAUGCUUGACACUUCUUGUACCGGUUCUUUUAUGAAGAGAGAUAUUGACUUUAGAUGGAAUUUAUUGGAGCGAAUUAAACACAACUCUGAAGAUUGGGAGCUUGAAGAAGGUAAGGAGUCAGGUAUGAAUUUCAAGUUUGAUUGCGUUUAAUCCUUUGUUGAAACAAAUACUUUUUGUGACUUUAGCACUAAGUAUGGACUUGACUCUCAGAUAGUAGCUUCAAUGUGUGGAUCAUUUGCUGCUCAUAUUGAUCUCCCUAAAGAGAAGUGGUUUAAAUAUAAUCCUCCUUUAGAAGUCAAUAUAGUUAAACCCAAUCCAGUUGAAGAGAAAGUCAUUGCCUAUAAUGAUCCUAUUGUUCCCAGUGCUUACAUUGAGAAACCACUUUUCCCUGUUACGAUAAAGGAUCAUUCUAAAGCUUCAACUGUGAUACAUAGAGGCUACAUUAGAACACCUACACCCCCAGAGAAAAUUAGAGUUGAACCUAGCAUUGCUAUUAUCAAAGAUCUUCUGUCCGACAAUGUUGAGGGACAUGAUAUUCAUUUCUGUGAAGAUGCUACUAGAUUUGCUAAACCUCAUGCUAGAGAUAAACAUAGGCCUAUUGCUGGCACGUCCGUUGUUUCUGUUAAGAUAGGAGAUCAUUGUUAUCAUGGUUUAUGUGACAUGGGUGCUAGUGUUAGUGCAAUACCUCAAUCUUUAUAUGAUGAAAUUAAAGAUGAGAUUGCACUUGUCGAGAUAGAACCCAUUGAUGUCACUAUCCAGCUUGCCAAUAGAGAUACUAUCUGCCCUGUGGGAAUUGUUAGGGAUGUUGAAGUCUUGUGUGUAAAACGAAGUAUCCUGCUGAUUUCCUCGUUCUUGCUACCGCACAAGAUAGCUUUUGUCCCAUCAUAUUUGGCAGACCCUUACUUAAUACUGUCAAUGCUCAUAUUGACUGUGAGAAGCAAACUCUCACUGUUGGCUUUGAAGGUGUGUCACAUGAGUUCAAUUUCUCCAAGUUUGGUAGACAACCUCAUGAAAAGGAGUUGCCAAGUAAGGAUGAAACUAUUGCCUUAGCUUCUAUUGUUGUGCCUCCUACUGAUCCCUGAGAGCAAUACUUGCUUGAGCAUGAAAAUGAUAUGCAUAUGGAUGAAAGGGAUGAGAUAGAUAGAGUUGUCUUAGAACAAUAUCCUAUCCUUAAGAAUAAUUUGCAUGUUGAACUGUUUGGGGAUCCACCCCCACCAAAGGGUGAUCCUGUGUUCGAGCUUAAACAAUUCCUGAUACUCUUAAGUAUGCUUAUCUUGAUGAAAAAGAGAUAUAUCCUGUUAUAACUAGUGCUAGCCUCUCAGAGCAUGAAGAAAAGAAGUUACUAAAAACUCUGAGAAAGCACCGUGCUGCUAUUGGAUAUACUCUUGAUGAUCUUAAGGGCAUUAGUCCCACUCUAUGCUAGCACAAGAUAAAAAUUGAUCCUAAUUCCAAACCAGUUGCUGAUCAUCAAAGGAGAUUGAAUCCUAAGAUGAAAGAAGUAGUAAGAAAAGAAAUACUGAAGCUUCUGGAAGCGGGUAUUAUCUAUCCUGUUGCUCAUAGCGAUUGGGUGAGUCCGGUGCAUUGCGUCCCUAAGAAUGGAGGCAUUACCGUUGUCCCUAAUGAUAAGGAUGAGUUGAUCCGACAGAGGAUUAUUACUGGCUAUAGGAUGGUGAUGAUUUUAGGAAAUUGAAUAAAGCCACUAGGAAAGAUCAUUACCCUUUGCCUUUUGUCGACCAAAUGCUAGAAAGACUGUCUAAACACAAACACUUCUACUUUCUAGACGGUUAUUUUGGUUUCUCCCAAAUACCAGUUGCACAAUCUGAUCAGAAGAAAACCACUUUCACCCGCCCUUUCGGUACCUUUGCUUAUAGACAUAUGCCUUUUGGCUUAUGUAAUGCACCUGCUACCUUUCCAAGACGUAUGAUGUCUAUAUUCUCUGACUUUUAUGAAAAGAUUGUUGAGGUUUUCAUAGAUGACUUCUCCAUUUACGGGUCUUCUUUUGAUGAUUGCCUCAGCAACCUUGAUCGAGUCUUCAAGAGAUGUAAAGACACCAAUCUUGUCUUGAAUUGGGAGAAGUGCCACUUUAUGGUUAAUGAAGGCAUCAUCUUAUGACAUAAAAUUUCUGAAAGAGGUAUUGAAGUCGAUAAGGCUAAGGUUGAUGCAAUCGAGAAAAUGCCAUACCCCACAGAUAUCAAAGGUAUAAGAAGUUUCCUUGGUCAUGCUGGUUUCUAUAGAAGGUUCAUUAAAGACUUCUCUAAGAUUUCUAGGCCUCUUACCAAUAUCUUGGAAAAGGAUAUUCCUUUUGUUUUUGAUGAUGAUUGUGAGGAAGCCUCCGAAAUACUUAAGAAGGCUUUGAUAACUGCGCCUAUUGUUCAACCACCUGAUUGGAACCUACCUUUUGAGAUCAUGUGUGAUGCUAGCGAUUAUGCUGUUGGUGUUGUCCUAGGGCAAAGAGUUGACAAGAAGUUGAAUGUUAUUCACUAUGCUAGUAAAAAUCUAGACAGUGCCCAGAGAAACUAUGCCACUACGGAAAAGGAGUUCUUAGCAGUCGUGUUUGCAUGUGAAAAGUUCAGGUCUUACAUAGUUGAUUCCAAAGUCACUAUUCACACUAAUCACACUGCUAUUAAGUACCUCAUGGAGAAGAAAGACGCUAAACCUAGACCUAUCAGAUGGGUUCUCUUGCUACAAGAAUUUGAUUUGCAGGUUGUUGACAGGAAGGGUGCUGAUAACCCUGUAGCAGAUAACUUGUCUAGGUUGGAGAACGUUCUUGAUGACCCACAACCUAUUAAUGAUAGCUUUCCCGUUGAGCAACUGAAUGUCAUCAAUGCUUCAUGUAGUGCACCGUGGUAUGUUGAUUAUGCAAACUAUAUCGUUGCCAAAUAUAUACCACCUAGUUUCACAUACCAGCAAAAGAAGAAAUUCUUCUUUGACUUGAGACAUUACUUUUGGGAUGAUUCUCACCUUUAUAAGGAAGGAGUUGAUGGUUUUAUUAGACGUUGUGUACCUGAACAUGAACAGGGAUAGAUCCUACAGAAGUGUCACUCCGAGGCCUACGGAGGACACCAUGCGGGAGAUAGAACUGCACACAAGGUAUUGCAAUCAGGCUUCUAUUGACCCACUCUCUUCAAGGAUGCCCGUAAGUUUGUCUUGUCUUGUGACGAAUGUCAAAGAGUAGGUAAUAUCGAUAAACGUUAGGAAAUGCCUAUGAACUAUUCACUUGUCAUUUAACCAUUUGAUGUCUGGGGCUUUGAUUAUAUGGGACCUUUUCCAAAAUCCAACGGGUAUACUCAUAUCCUAGUUGCUGUUGAUUACGUCACUAAGUGGGUAGAUGCUAUCCCCACUAGUAGUGUUGAUCACAACACAUCUAUUAGGAUGCUUAAAGAAGUUAUCUUCCCUAGAUUUGGAGUCCCUAGAUAUCUAAUGACCGACGGUGGUACACAUUUCAUUAAUGGUGCUUUUUCGUAAAACGCUUGCUAUGUAUGAUGUCAACCAUAGAAUUGCGUCUCCCUAUCACCCUCAGUCCAGUGGUGAAGUAGAGCUGAGCAACAGAGAGAUUAAACUAAUUCUGCAAAAGACUGUCAACAGGUCUAGAAAGAAUUGGUCUAAGAAGCUCGAUGAUGCACUUUGGGCUUAUAGAACUGCCUAUAAGAAACCCAUGGGCAUGUCUCCGUACAACAUGGUGUAUGGUAAAGCAUGUCAUUUACCUCUUGAGCUAGAGCAUAAAGCUUAUUGGGCAAUCAAAGAGCUCAACUUUGAUUUCAAACUUGCUGGUGAGAAGAGGUUAUUUGACAUUAGCUCGCUAGAUGAAUGGAGAACUCAGGCAUAUGAGAAUGCCAAGUUGUUCAAAGAAAAGGUUAAGAGGUGGCAUGAUAAAAGGAUACAAAAGCGUGAGUUCAAUGUAGGUGAUUAUGUCUUGCUAUAUAAUUCAUGUUUAAGAUUUUUUGCAGGCAAGCUUCUCUCCAAAUGGGAAGGUCCCUAUAUUGUUGAGGAAGUAUAUCGUACCAGUGCUAUCAAGAUCAACAACACGGAAGGUAAUUGUUUGAGAGUUGUAAAUGGGCAGAGAAUCAAGCAUUAUAUCUCAGGUACUCCCAUAAAUGUUGAAAGCAAUAUCAUCAAUACCAUAACUCCGGAAGAAUACCUAAGGGAUAUUUAUCAGCCUGUUUCAGACUCCGAAAACGAAGAGGUAUGCGAUUCGGUAAGAAAACAGACUCCAAAACUUUUCCAGUAGGAAUUUUUCUCCGUUUUGGAAUAUUUUAAAAAAUAGAAAAAUUGGAAGUAGUCCAGAAAACGCACGAGGAGGCGACAAGCCUGCCAGGAGUGGGCCCACCCCUUGGCCACGCCUGGGGGGCUUGUGGCCACCUCGUGUGCCUCCCGGACUCCGUUUUCGUGCGGAGUAAUUCUUCUGGUCUGAAAAAAAUCAUUAUAUAUUCUCCCGAAAGGUCUAACCCUUGUAUCACGCAAAUUUCCUCUAGUUUUGUUUCGAGCCUGUUUUCUGUCGCAGAUUUAGGGCAAGAUGUCUUCUCAGGAAUCUGUGGGGGAGAACAAUCUCCCUCAAGUCUAUGGAGAAGUAAAUGCCGAUCUGAAAAGAAUGGAGGUCAUGGAGGCCAGGGAAAGUCUACCUAAAGAAACCAAGGGCAAAACUAAGAAGGAGACUCAGGCGUGGGACGAAGCACAAUCUGCGUUCAACAAGGAAGAAGUUGAAGAAGUGGAUUUCCUCCAACCGUACCUCCACCUACUCUCUCCAUCCUUGAUUGAACUCUUGAGGUUUUUUGAAACAACUCGUGCUCGCAAUACUUAUCUCACUCGUGAAGUUGUUUUGCUGGAGAAACAUAUCACUGAUCUCCAAGGUAUAAAGCAAAGAUUGAUGGCCCUCUUGGAAUCAAAGGUUGCAACAACUCCACCACCUUCACCUCCAAAGGAAGACAACUGAGCAUGGGUAUGGGCAAUCCCCUUGGCUUGUGCCAAGCUUGGGGGAGUUGCCCCGGUAUCGUAUCACCAUCACAUCUUUUGCCUUUACCUUUGUUUUAGUUUGUUCCUUUUCAGUUUUCUCUUUCUCUAGUAGAAUAAAGGUCUUAGUGUUUUAGUCUUGAGUUUAGCUUUGUUUCACCCCCGAUGUAUUCGAGCUCGUGAGCCAUAUAAUAAAGACUGUCUUAGUUGAGGGCCUUGCCUCUUGCCAUGAUCAAUAGAUUGAGAAAAGAACGAAAGCAUGAAAGAUCAUGUAAUGAUCUUAUGCGAAGUGAUGGCUUCACAUAUAAAAAGAAUGAUGAUUGAAACUUGUUGAGGGUAGACAAACGUAGACCAUGGUAAUUGUUGCAAUUAAUAGGAAGUGAUAAAGAAGGAGAGGUUCACAUGUAAAUACAUCAUCUUUGAAACCAUCUAUGAUUGUGAACACUCACUAAACUAUUGCAUGCCUAGAAGUAGAUGUUUGACAAGGAAGACAACAUAAUGAAUUGUGUUUGCUUGGUUCCGAACAAUGUUAUAUGAUUAGAGGUCCCUUAGCAUGUGAUGAUUGCUUCCACCUCAUAUUAGCCAAAACUCCCACACCAAGUAGAGAUACUACUUGUGCAUCCAUAAACCUUCAAACCAGUUUUGCCAUGAGAGUCCACCAUACGUACCUAUGGAUUGAAUAAGAUCCCUCAAGUAAGUUGUCAUCGGUGCAAGAAUAAAAAUUGCUCCCUAAUAUGUAUGAUCUAUUAGUGUGUGGAAAAUAAGCUUUGUACGAACCUGUGAUGAGGAAGACAUAAAAGCAACAGACUGCAUAAUAAAGUUCUUUAUCACAGGAGGCAAUAUAAAGUGACGUUCCUCCGCACUAAGAGGAUACACAUCCAAACCUCAAAAGCGCAUGACAACCUCUGCUUCCCUCUGCGAAGGGCCUAUCUUGUACCUUUACUUUUUGCCCUUGAAAGAGUCAUGGUGAUCUUCAGCAAUUCCUUGUUUCGCCUUUAUCUUGGCUAACGUCAUAUUCUAGGGAAAAAUCUAUAUUCAUAUGUCAACUUGGAAGUAAGUAUUCAUGAAUUAUUGUUGUUGACAUUACCCUUGAGGUAAGCAGUUGGGAGGCAAAACUAUAAGCCCCUAUCUUUCUCUGUGUCCAGCUGAAACUUUGAUCUCAUGAGUACCACGUGAGUUGUAGCAAUUGUAGAGAAGGAAAGGAUGAUUGAGUAUGUGGAUUUGCUUUACAAGCUCUUAUUUGACUCUUUCUGAUGUUGUGAUAAAUUGCAAUUGCUUCAAUGACUACAGGCUAUCGGUUGUUACUUCUCCGUAAGGUUCUUGAUCCAUACUUUACUUUGUGAAGGAAUUGUCACUUUAGCAUGAGAGAUUUUAUGUUGGUAUUGCUUUUCUGAUCAUGAUCAUGAUGCCUACAUGUUCGUAUCUUGUUUUGUUGACACCUCUCUCCGUAAACAUGUGGUCAUAUUUAUCGAGCUCGGCUUUCGCUUGAGGACAAGCGAGGUCUAAGCAUGGGGGAGUUGAUACGUCCAUUUUGCAUCAUGCUUUCAUGUUGAUAUUUAUCGCUUCUUGGGCUCUUAUUUCACUUCACGGUACAUUACUUAUGCCUUUUCUAUCAUAUUUUGCAAGGUUUACAUGAAGAGGGAGAAUGCCGGCAGCUGGAAUUCUGGCCUGAAAAUGGAGCAAGUUUGAGAUACCUAUUCUACGCAACUCCAAACGCCCUAAAAAUCAACGAGGAUUUUUUUUGGGAUUUAUAAAAAAUACUGGGCCGAAGAAGUGCCAGAGGGGCGCCAGCAGGUGGCCACAAGCCUGCUAGGCGCGGCCACCCCUCUGGCCGCGCUUAGGGGGCUUGUGGGCACCCAGCUGGCCCUCUGGCUCCCCCCUUUUGCUACAAGAAGGGUUUUGUCCGGAAAAAAAUCACGAGGAGGCUUUUUCGAGGAUUCGCCGCCGCCAGGAGGCGGAACUUGAGCAGAACCAAUCUAGAGCUCCGACAGGACGAUCCUGCCGGGGAAACUUCCCUCCUGGAGGGGGAAAUCUUCGCCAUCGUCAUCACCAACACUCCUCUCAUCGGAGGGGACUCAUCACCAUCAACAUCUUCAUCAGCACCAUCUCAUCUCCAAACCCUAGUUCAUCUCUUGUAACCAAUCUCCGUCUCGCGACUCCGAUUGGUACUUGUAAGGUUGCUAGUAGUGUUAAUUACUCUUUGAAGUUGAUGCUAGUUGGAUUACUUGGUGGAAGAGUUUAUGUUCAGAUCCUUGAUACUACUCAUUACCUCUCUGGUCAUGAAUAUGAUUAUGCUUUAUGAGUAGUUACUUUUGUUCCUGAGGACAUGGGAUAAGUAAUGCUAAUAUUAGUCAUGUGAAAUUGGUAUUCGUUCGAUAUUUUGAUGUGUUGUAUGUUGUUUUUCUCUAGUGGUGUUAUGUGAACGUCGAAUACAUAACACUUCACCAUUAUUUGGGCCUAGAGGAAGGCAUUGGGCAGUAGUAAGUAGAUGAUGGGUUGCUAGAGUGACAGAAGCUUAAACCCUAGUUUAUGCAUUGCUUCGUAAGGGGCUGAUUUGGAUCCACUAGUUUAAUGCUAUGGUUAGACUUUGUCUUAAUUCUUAUUUCUUAGUUGCGGAUGCUUGCGAGAGGGGUUAAUCAUACGUGGGAUGCUUGUCCAAGUAAGGGCAGUACCCAAGCGCCAGUCCACCCACAUAUCAAACUAUCAAAGUAACGAACGCGAAUCAUAUGAACAUGAUGAAAACUAGCAUGACAGAAAUUCCCGUGUGUCCUCGGGAGCGUUUUUCCUCCUAUAAGACUUUGUCCAGGAUUGUCCCUUGCUACAAAAGGGAUUGGGCCACUUUGCUCCACCGUUGCUACUUUUGUUACUUGUUGCUUGCUACGAAUCAUCUCACCACACCACUACUUGUCACCGAUAAUUUCAGUUCUUGAAGAUACUUCUUUGCUGAAAACCACUUGUCAGAUCCUUCUGCUCCUCGUUGGGUUCGACACUCUUACUUAUUGAAAGGACUACGAUAGAUCCCCUAUACUUGUGGGUCAUCAGCAUCCAAGAGGGAUAUAAUAAAAACUUUCAUAUAGAGUGCAUCGAGUACUAUGAGAAGUUUAAUUCUUUGCAUAUAGUUUUGAGACAUAAGGAUGGUGAUAUUAGAGUCAUGCUAGUUAGUAAUUAUGGAUUGGUAGAAAUGCUUGUGUUAGAGUUUGUGAUUCCCGUAGCAUGCACGUCUGGUGAACCGCUAUGCUAGGAAGUCGGAGCAUGAUGUUUUUAUUGAUUGUCAUCCUUUCUGUGGCGGUCGGGAUCGCGCGAUGGUUAACUCCUACCAAACCUUCCCCUAGGAGCAUGCGUCUAGCACUUUGUUUUGAUUACUAAUAAAACUUUCGGAACAAGUAUGUGAGUUCUCUCUGACUAAUGUGAGUCCAUGGUAUAUACGCACUCUCACCCUUCCACCAUUGCUAGCCUCUCUAGUGCCGCGCAAUUUUUGCUGGUGCAUAAACCCACCAUAUACCUUCCGCAAAACAUCCACCAUACCUACCCAUCAUGGAAUUUCCAUAGCCAUUCCGAGAUAUAUUGCCAUGCAACUUCCACCAUUCCGUUUAUUAUGACACGCAUCAUCACUGUCAUAUUGCUUUGCAUAAUCAUGUAGUUGACAUCAUAUUUGUGGCAAAGCCACCAUUCAUAUCUUUCAUACAUGUCACUCAUGAGUCAUUGCACAUCCCGGUACACCGCUGGAGGCAUUCAUAUAGAGUCAUAUCUUUUGUUCUAAGAAUCGAGUUGUAAGUAAAUAAAAGUGUGAUGAUCAUCAUUAUUAGAGCAUUGUCCCAUGUGAGGAAAGGAAGGAAGCUAUGAUUCCCUCACAAGUUGGGAUGAUACUCUGGACUAUAAAAAUAAAAUAAAAGAGGCCAAAGAGCCCACAAAAAAAAGAGGCCAAAGAGCCCAAACAAAAAAAAUGAGAGAAAAAGAGAGAAGGGACAAUGCUACUAUCCUUUACCACAGUUGUGCUUCAAAGUAGCACCAUGAUCUUCAUGAUAGAGAGUCUCAUAUAUUGUCACUUUCAUAUACUAGUGGGAAUUUCAUUAUAAAACUUGGCUUGUAUAUUCCAAUGAUGGGCUUCCUCAAAUUGCCCUAGGUCUUCUUGAGCAAGCGAGUUGGAUGCACACCCACUUAGUUUCUUUUUGAGAUUUCAUAAACUUAUAGCUCUUGUGCAUCCGUUGCAUGGCAAUCCCUACUCACUCACAUUGAUAUCUAUUGAUGGGCAUCUCCAUAGCCCGUUGAUACGCCUAGUUGAUGUGACCAUCUCCUCCUUUUUGCCUCACAACCACCACCAAAUUCUAUUCCACCUAUAGUGCUAUGUCUGUGGCUCACGCUCAUGUAUUGCGUGAGAGUUGAAAAGGUUUGAGAAAGUAAAAGUGUGAAAACAAUUGCUUGACUAAUACCGGGGUUGUGCAUGAUUUAAAUACGUUGUGUGGGGAAGAUGGAGCAUAGCCAGACUAUAUGAUAUUGUAGGGAUAACUCUCUUUGGCCAUGUUAUUUUGAGAAGACACAAUUGCUUUGUUAGUAUGCUUGAAGUAUUAUUGUUCUUAUGUCAAUAGUAAUUUUUUUUGUCUUGAAUCAUAUGGAUCUAAAUAUUCAUGCCACAAUAUAUGUUAGGUAGCAUUCCACAUCAAAAAUUCUGUUUUUAUCAUUUACCUACUCGAGGACGAGCAGGAAUUAACCUUGGGGAUGCUUGAUACGUCUCCAACAUAUCUAUAAUUUUUGAUCAUUCCAUGCUAUUAUGUUAUCAACUUUGGAUGUUUUAUAUGCAUGAAUAUGUUAUUUUAUAUUAUUUUUGGGACUAACCUAUUGACCUAGAGCCGAGUGCGAGUUCCUGUUUUUCCUUGUUUUUGACCUUUUUCAAAUAGGAAUAUCAAACGGAGUCCAAAUGGAAUAAAACUUCCGCGAUGAUUUUUUUGGACCAAAAGAGACCCCGAAGCUUUGGAAGAAGGCCAGAAGAGCCACGAGGGAGUCACGAGCCCGGUAGGCACGCCCUACCCCCCGAGAGGGCCUAGCAGGCUCGUGACCUCCUCGUGGGCCCAACCGACGUAAUUCUACCGCCAUAAAUUCCUAUAAAUACAGAAACCCCCAAAAUGAAACCUAGAUCGGGAGUUCCGCCGCUUCAAGCCUCUGUAGCCACCAAAAACCAAUUGGGAGCCCGUUCCGGCACCCUGCCGGAGGGGGAAUCCAUCUCCGGUGUCCGUCUUCAUCAUCCCGACGAUCUCCAUGAAGAGGAGGGAGUAGUUCUCCCUCGGGGCUGAGGGUAUGUACCAGUAGCUAUGUGUUUGAUCUCUCUCUAUCUCUCUCUCUCUCUCUCUCUCGUGUUCUUGAGAUGUCAUGAUCUCGAUAUGCCGCGGGCUUUGCUACUAUAGUUGGAUCUUAUGAUGUUCUCCCCCCUCUCCCUUCUUGUAAUGAAUUGAGUUUUCCCUUUGGAGUUAUCUUAUCGGAUUGAGUCUUUAAGAACACUUGAUGUAUGUCUUGCACGUGUCUAUCUGUGGUGACAAUGGGAUAUUCAUGUGAGUACUUGAUGUAUGUUUUGGUGAUCAACUUACGGGUUUCGUGACAUUGGGAACCUAUGCAUAUGGGUUGGCACACGUUUUGACUCUCCGGUAGAAACUUCGGGGCACUCUUUGAAGUUCUAUGUCUUGGUUGACUAGAUGAUUCUGAGAUUGUGUGAUGCAUAUCGUAUAAUCAUGCCCACGGGUACUUGAGGUGACAAUGGAGUAUCUAGGUGACAUUAGGGUCUUGGUUGAUAUGUGUCUUAAGGUGUUAUUCUAGUAUGAACUCUAUGAUAGAUUGAACGGAAAUAAUAGCUUCGUGUUAUUUUACUACGGACUCUUGAAUAGAUCGAUCAGAAAGAAUAAUUUUGUCGUGGUUUCGUACCCGAGAAUAAUCUUUUCGUUUGUUCUCCGCUAUUAGUGAGUUUGGAGUGACUCUAUGUUGCACGUUGAGGGCUAGUUAUAUGAUCCAAUUAUGUAAUCAUUGUUGAGAGAAUUACACUAGUGAAAGUAUGAACCCUAGGCCUUGUUUCCAAGCAUUGCAAUACUGUUCGUGCUCACUUUGACUACUAGUUACCUUUCUGUUUUUAUAAUUUUAGAUUACAAAAACCUAUAUCUACUAUCCAUAUUGCACUUCUAUCACCAUCUCUUCGCCGAACUAGUGCACCUAUACAAUUUACCAUUGUAUUGGGUGUGUUGGGGACACAAGAGACUCUUUAUUAUUUGGUUACAGGGUUGCUUGAGAGAGACCAUCUUCAUCUUAUGCCUCCCACGGAUUGAUAAACCUUAGGUCAUCCACUUGAGGGAAAAUUGCUACUGUCCUACAAACCUCUGCACUUGGAGGCCCAACAACGUCUACAAGGAGAAGGUUGCGUAGUAGACAUCAUGUUGCAAGAACGCCUGCUCUUCAGGAGGAUGAGCGGGAUAACCUUGUGUGGGAGGAUGAGGUGGAAGAUCCAUAUGAAAAACCGAAGUGGCUUGCGCUGGCUAGGGUUCUGACCAACAAGUCUUUCGGGAAGGGGUCUUGAUUGCUGGUAUGAAAGUGGCAUGGAAUCCAGCAAGGGAUGUGGUAUGGAGAAGGAUAAACGGUAACUUGUUCUCGGUGCGGUUCAAUUGUCUGGUAGAAUGGAAUAAGGCGUUGCACCAGGGCCCCUGGGAUUUCAAGGGGAUGGCUUUGAUCAUAGCAGAAUAUGAUGGUUUCAAGAACCCAGAAUCGGUUAAAUUGGACAAGAUUGAAACUUGGUGUCAGAUUCAUAGGCUGCCUGAUAUGGUCCAGAAGAGGGAACUGUUUGUGAGAAACAUGGCAGAACACAUAGGAGAGGUCGUGGAGGUACAUAUCGUCCGUCCUAAUGGCUUCAUUGGUGAAUUCAUCAGAGUGAGGGUAAAACUUGAUGUGUCCAGGAAACUGACGAGGUUUGUGCGCUUGACAAAAACGGGUGUGACUGAGUACUAUCAAGUUAAGUUUGAAAAGCUUUCUGUUUUCUGUUUUAUGUGUGGCCUGCUUGGACAUUGGCAUGAGGAGUGUGGCUCACGAGAGCAUGAUAAGAAUGAUAUGAAGUGGGGCUCCUUUAUUCUGGCAUCCUUGAGAGGUGCGGGUGGGAGCAGGAACUCGGUUAGAGUAAUUGGUCGUGGUUUGGGGCGUGGCUCGGGCGCUGGUGAUGAGGAUGAUGAGGCUGCUAAUGGUGAAAGGAGGGGAGAUCUUGCAGGAACUCGCGGGCGUGGCUGUGGGCAUUUGAGGGAUUUUGAAGCUCGGGACCCCCUCAUUAAUACGAUUGAUGCGGAGCACUUGCAUACUAGCUGGCGCUUUAAUGCAACUAAUGCCCUGUUUGAUCCAGGGGCGGGGGUGCACUCUGACCUGGAUAGUUCCCCACAGGAGAUGCGGGAUGAUGCACGGAUUGUUCGUAAGAGAGGUCCAGAUGAUUCCCAUACGGUCCCAAAACCAGUUGUAGAGGAGGAUGUGCAAUUAGCUGAAGGUGGCAUUGUUCCCGCGGGGAUUACAGCGAAUAGGGUGGAACAGUUUGAGGGGUCGGAUCCACCCAGCAACUUAGAGAUUGGUACCCCUCAGAAGAAUGCGAAUCGUAAGAAGUUUAAGAUAGAUGAUGGUGUGGCCAUUGACAGUACAUCAACUAGUAGAUCUACGACCUCCUUGGCGGAGGACCACCGGGAGCAAUGAAUCCGCUAAGUUGGAACUGCCAAGGUGGCUCCCAGACAAUUCGUGAUCUUGCGACUUUGGUCAAGUCGUAUUCCCCCACUCUAGUCUACCUGUGUGGGACUAGACAGUUAGCUAGCAAGAUAAAGAGAUAUCAUUCUAGAUUGGGUCUAAAGGGCUUUGAGGGUGUUGAUGCUAAUGGAAAUAGUGGAGGCUUGGCACUAUAUUGGCAUGAGAAUCUGAAUGUGGAGGUAAAACUUUCAAAUGCUAGAUGUAUUGAUGCACAUGUACUUUCCAGGCCGGAUGAACUACCGUGGAGAUUGACUUGUGUGUAUGGUGAACCGAGGGUGGAGGACCGUCAUCUUAUGUGGCCUCUCAUGCAGAACCUUUGUGCAACCUCGGAUUUACCAUGGCUGGUGGUGGGCGAUUUCAAUGAAUGCAUGUGGGAUUUCGAGCACGUCUCCUUAACAGGGAGAGCACCAUUACAGAUGCAAUCAUUUCGAGAUGUCGUGGAGGUGUGCGGUUUGGCUGAUCUUGGGUCCAGUGGAAUUCCCUAUACAUUCGAUAAUAAAAGAAGCGGGAAUGCAAACGUAAAAGUUUGUCUAGACAGGGCAGUGGCAAAUCCGGUUUGGAGGAACACCUUUUUCAACUCAAUGGUACACCACCUUACUUCCCCCUGCUCGGAUCAUGUGCCUGUUCAUGUGUGUUGUGAUGAUAUUGAAGAUAGGCCAGCAAAGCCAAAGUGUAGGCAGUAUGAGAUCAUGUGGGGGAGAGAUCCAACUCUUCAGGAGCUGAUUGCUAAGGCAUGGCUGGAGGCGGGAACAAAGUCAUCCCUGGGUGACGUGCAUGUAGCUCUAAGGGGUACUAUGCAAAACUUGUGCAAAUGGAGUAAGGCAAAAUUUGGCUGUGUUGCUCGGGAAAUUGAAAAAUCACUGACACAAUUGGAGGAACUCAUAUUGAUGAAUGUUGACAGAUGUGAGAUCCGGAGGGUAACAGAUAAAAUGAACGAGCUCCUAUAUAGAGAAGAGUUAAUGUGGUUGCAACGUUCCAGCAUUUCUUGGGUCAAGGAAGGGGGCCGAAAUACGAAAAAAAUUCAGUCAAAGGCGGUGUGGAGGGCUAGGAAGAACCACAUCAAAAAGCUCGAAGACACGAGUGGUCAGGUUUUCACGGGUGAUGAAGCGAUGGGGCAAGCAGCCGUGGACUAUUUUAAAAACAUCUUCUCUGCAGUUCCUUCGGUGGAUCCAAGCCCCAUUUUUAAUCUAGUAGAAGCUGUUAUAGAUGAUAACAUGGAUGCAUCAUUGUGUACUGAUUUUACAGAGAACGAGAUUUUGGAUGCUUUGUUUCAGAUCGGGCCUCUUAAAGCACCGGGUUCAGACGGUUUUCCUACGCGGUUAUUUCAGACGAAUUGGGGCGUUAUUAAGGAGGGUAUUGUGGCGGCGGUUCAGGAGUUUAUUUGGACGGGGGUAAUGCCGGCAGGGGUCAACAGUACUAAUAUAGUGCUGAUGCCGAAAAUUCAGAACCACGUUAAGAUUACAUAUUUCCGUCCAAUUAGCGUGUGUAAUGUUAUUUACAAGGUGGUUUCUAAGUGCCUUGUUAACCGCUUGAGGCCGGUGUUAGAUGGAAUUAUUUCUCCAACGCAAAGUGCUUUCAUUCCUGGACGAAUGAUCAAUGAUAACUCUUUGAUUGCUUUUGAGUGUAUUCACCAAAUUAAGCUGGAAAAGGACCCCACAAGGAGUUUCUGUGCCUACAAGCUAGAUCUAUCCAAAGAUUAUGAUAGAGCUGAUAGGAAUUACCUUAACCAAAUGAUGCAAAAUCUUGGCUUUGCUCAUCAGUGGGUUGACUCGAUUAUGUCGUGUGUAACCUCGGUGAGAUAUUCAGUAAAAUUCAAUGGAGCCAUCUCGGAUUCAUUUGCACCGUCAUGUGGACUACGGCAAGGUGAUCCAUUAUCCCCAUACUUAUUUCUAUUUGUGGCUGGUGGUCUCUCUAUUCUGUUCAACAAGGGUACAUACUCAACUGAUUUGUCUCCGUUGAAGAUAACUCGACAAGCUCCGGGAAUAUCACAUCUCCUAUUCGCAGAUGACACUCUUUUAUUCUUUAAGACCACUAGGCAGCACUCAAAUACUGACAAGCAAAUCCUUAAGACUUAUGAACAAGCUAGUGGUGAAUUGUUAAAUCUAACAAAGUCCUCUAUUCUUUUUGGAGAAUCUUGUCCGGAGGCUACUGUAGCUGAAAUCAAGGGCGUUUUGGAGGUGAUCAGUUCUGGUUUUGAGGAGAAGUACUUGGGCUUACCCACUCCGGAUGGUCGUCUUACUAAGGGCAAGCUUCAAAAUCUGCAAGAAAAGGUUAGUAAGAGAUUGUUUGCUUUUGAUGGGCACCCAACUCGGGCUGGGAAGGAAAUUUUGAUAAAGUCUCUUGCCCAAGCGAUCCCUACCUUCAUUAUGAGUGUGUUCAAGAUCCCGUUGGGUGUGUGUGAUGAUUUGAACCACAUGAUUCGGAAUUAUUUUUGGGGAUCGGAGAAAGGGAAGCGGAAAAUUCAUUGAUUUGCUUGGGAGAAACUGUCGUGAGCAAAAACACAAGGAGGGCUUGGGUUUAGGGACUUUAGAAUUUUCAACCAAGUGUUGCUUGCAAGGCAAGCCUGGCGUCUGCUAAUUCAUCCUGACAGUCUUUGUGCAAGGUUACUUAAGGCUAAAUAUUAUCCAAACGGGCGGUUGGAGGACACAAUAUUUCCAGGUAACCCCUCUCAGUAUUGGCAAGGGGUUUGUCAUGGCCUUGAACUCUUAAAGAAGGGGCUGGUGUGGCGGUUAGCAAACGGGCAAAAUGUGAGAAUAUGACGGGAUCAGUGGCUGAUGCGAGGAAACACUAAUUCAUUGCUUUCGAGUAGAGGUCGGCGUCGAUUCAAAUGGGUGUCUGAACUGCUUGAUCACAAUGGUAACUGGGAUAUGCGGAAGCUACAACAAUUCAUUUUGCAGGUUGACGUGGCACAGAUUUGCAAGAUUAGACUUUCGCCCCAGUUAGGGGUAGACUUUCUGUCAUGGGCGCCUGAACGGAGUGGAAACUUCUCCGUUAAAAGUGCUUACUGGCUUGCUGCAAGUGAAAUGCUUGGAACAUCUAUCCUUUCAUCGAGUUCUUCCCAAGAUAGUAGCAAGGACGUGUGGAAGCUUAUUUGGUCUUGUCCGGCUCCGCCAAAGGUUUGGUCGUUUCCCUGGCGAGUAGCGACGAACUCCCUAGCGACCUCGAAGAACAAGAAGUGGACAACUUUAGAGGAACGGGACACUUGCCUUAUCUAUGGUAGUGAUGUGGUGGACUCGUUCCAUGUCUUGUGUGCAUGUGAUAAGGCGCAACAGUUGUGGAAAGCAAUGGCGCGGGUCUGGGAUCUGCCUAGACUUACUGACAUAAAACGACAUGAUGACUGGUUUAUCCAUCUGGUGUGUGAAGCUGAUGAUCAACGACGUGUCCGGUUAUUUAUGCUUCUAUGGAGGAUUUGGCAUGUCAGAAAUGAAAUUGUGCAUUCAAAGCCGGCUCCUCCAGUCGAUGCAUCAAUGUGAUUCCUUGCGAGCUAUUAUGAUUCCUUGGCAAAUUUGAGAGCUGAUCCAGACGCUGAUUACGUCAAAGGUAAGAUGGUUCCAGCCCACUGUUUUCCAUUACUCAGAGAUGUCGGUGUUGUACCGAUAGACAGUUGUAGCUCUUGGACUCCCCCAAGGCAUGAAGGAUUGAAAUUAAACACUGAUGUAUCUGUAUUGAACGGGAGUGCUGGAACUGGCAUGGUCUUGUGGGAUCAUGAAGGCAACUUUAUCUUCAGCGCUUGCAGAUUUGUGGGUGAUUGCAAUGACGUGCUUGAGUGUGAGAUCCUAGCUAUUCGAAAGGGUCUCAGUUUGGCGCUACAGUGGAAUUCUUUAUCGAUAGAGGUGGAGUCUGAUUGCCUUGAGGCUGUUGCAAUGAUAAAGGAAGCGGGGCGCAACUUAUCAAGAUAUGCUUUUUUGAUUGGAGAGAUUAUGCAAAGUAUGGGGGAACGUGUCUCUUUUAUUACUCAUAUCCGUCGUUCACGCAAUUGUGUUAGUCAUGCUAUGGCUAGUUUUCAUAGAAGACACGGCCGAACCAUGGUUUGGCUCGGUUCGGCUCGAGAUGAAGUCUUAUGUAUUGCAUCACGAGAUUGUAAUCACUAAUGAUUGAGUAAUAUAAGAGUUAUUUCGCAAAAUAAAAAAAUGCUCUAAUUGUAUUUCUUUGGAGGAGAGACUCACGGACGAGAGACAAACGUUUUGUGCAGGGCGACAAGACUCAGAGUACACACGAUCCUGCAACAGCGGGUUUACACUGUUUUCCUUCGAAAGUACACCCACGGCAUCUUUAAUUUAUCAAGUUGGUAUGGGCUUUAUGGAUAAAUCAGCUGAGCAGUGGCACUCCAGCAACAACGGGUUUACACUGUUUUCUUUCGAAUGCCUUUUUGAACCAUCUCAAAAUUAUCAAAACAAUGAAAAACAAUGCAAAGACAUAGUACGGUAAAGGGUUACCCCUUUUCAGAAACAAAACAAAAAAUCACAGAAACAGUCUUACUUAUUCAAAAAGGUAAUCUUUUUAGGGACAAAAAAGAUAAUCUUUAUAGAAAAAUAGGAAAAAUCACAUGUUGUACUGCUAGUCUGCCAUGCUCCUGCUCUUCCAUGUCAUAUUUCAGUGGAUCGAAAAAAUGCAGUCCUACUUUUCUUUUAAACUGUUAUUUCUUUUAUUGAGUUCAAAGUUGCAUGCUCUAUUUCCUCUCUUUAAAAAAAUAAAACUGCUCUAUUUCCUCUCUAAACUUAAGCGGAAGCAGGAAAGGUGUAAAUCGUACAAUGUUUCCAAUGUGAAAGAUGCCUUAUCUUUUGGUAUAAAAAGGACGCCUAGUGCCUAGACACGUACAUGGAGAAUUUUAUUUUUGGGAUGCUCCACUUCACUCGAAAGGAGAAAGGGUGGAGAAAAAGGGAGAAAAUAAAUGAUGGGGACUGCUAGACAUUUAUCGAUGGAUUUAUAGUAAUCAUCCAUCAUUUUUUAGCCAUCUGAUCUGAUGUAUACGCGCGUAUCGUCCGAUCACCACCUUGGUCGCGUCGGUCCAUCACCUAAAAUCCUGAAACAACGCUCCAGUUACAGAAACAAGCACACUGCUACGCGUUCGGCUGACGGGUUAAAAAGUGACUGACAGGUCUUUUGCAAUAUAGAUUAUGUUGUAAAAUUCUUUUACAACAAAGAGUAUGUUGCGAAAACGUCCGUAUAUUUUUUUGCGAUAGAAUUUGUUAUAGAAUAUUUUCUGCAACAAGGAUCGUGUUGCAUAAACUUUUGCAACAAUGGUCAUGUUGCAAAAAAAAUUGCAACGUUGGUCAGGCUAUAAAAAAGUUUUGCAACAAAAGAUAUUUGUGUCAAUUUUUUUAAACAUAGAACAAGUUGCGGAAACUCGUCAUUGCGCCUACUUGCACUAGCUUCGUCGCUGUCAAUCGCAACAACGCCGUUGUUACACACACUCUGCGGAUUUGCUCGAGGGAUGGGGCUCGAGCUCGGGGCCAAGCCGAGGAGGAGACGUAGGGCGCCGGACUCUAGGACGUCCGCAUGGGCACAGAAGUUGGUUUUGUCCAACAUAGGACACGCGUCUAGUGGGAGAGGCGGUGGACGCGGUCGUGAAAAUCUACCGGCUGAUGGGAAGAGUUUUCCAAAAUAAAUUGACGUGUACUACUCAUUUAUCAUUUUAUUAGGCUCCAUAUAACCAUUUGUCGUGACUCUAUUUUUCUGUAUAGACGAUUCGAUGUGUGUGUAUUGCUACAAAAACUUUGCUAAAACAAAUUCGUAAAUAGUUGCCAUAAAAUCUAAAACUAACAAAAGACAAAUGUAAUAUUAAAUAAAAACAAUGCAGAUAAAAAUUAAAAAAUUGAAUUGCAAUCAAAGGGGUGCUAUUUCUAAAAGAAUGUCAUUUCAAUGCGAGUUUGCGAAAAAGAUAUUCUCUCUUGUACAACAUUGUUCGUGAUAAGAAUAAUACUAUUAUGUAGGUGCUCAGUCAUCCCGAUGAAUAUUAGCCCGAUUUAUGUCAUGGCAUAUUUUUUUGUCCCGUUUGGAUUCGAUUAACAUGACAUAAGAUCGUGACGUGUUUCGCUAGAACCUUAUUAUGAUGGGGUCUUUUAUAGUAGACUUUAUGUACAGUACGUUCACGCGUUCUAAUAUAUUGAUGAGUAACAAUAAGAAAAUUUAGAGGUCAAAGAUUUCACUAAAAGUGAAAAUCAUCAUAUGGUAUCUUUGUAGGGAAGUAGUGCUAACCAAAGACAAUCUCGCAUGUUGCAACCGACAAGGAAGUAAGAAGUGUUGAUUUUAUAUCCAUGACAAGAGAAUCAAACACUUCCUUUUCUAAUGCAAGUUUGCAUGUUCUAUGUGGUCACACAUCCAAAUAGCAUUAAUUUUGUAUCCACCCACAAGUGUUGCAAAUAUCUUUGGUCAUUGGUUGGAUGGUAUUGCAAAUAGGUUGAAAACACUAAUAAGAGUAGGAGUGUAUGCCUUGCUGAUACUUGUGAUCUGCGUUGGAUUUUUUCCGAAGAGGAGGGGAUGAUGCAACAUAGUAUAAAUAAGUAUUUUCCUCAGUGAGAACCAAUGUUAUUAAACCAAUAGGACAACCACACUAUUUUCCGUCUUUGACGCCUACACACAAAACAACACACUUGCAUCCAACACGAGCAAGAAGGUUAUCAAUCCCCUUGAAUUCGUUACUUGCAAGUAAUAAGUAGUGAUAGAUAGAUAGCUAAAAUAUAUUAAAUAUAAAAGGUAAAUACAAAUAAUAAAAGGCAGCGAGAUAUUUAGUAUUGUUGUAAAUAUAUUUUUAGAUAGACACUGGGGCCAUAGUUUUCCCUAGAGACUUCUCUCUCAUAGAAAAUAUAUUGUGGGUAAACAAAUUAUUUUUGGGCAAUUGAUAACACACACAUAGUUAUGCAAUAUUUUAUUUAUGACAAUGAUCAUUACAUAAAGGCAUGACGACCGUAAGCAAGUAGACCGACUCAUGCCUGCAUCUACUAAUAUUACUCCAUCUAUCGGCUCCUAUCUAGCAUGCACCUAAAGUAUUAAGUAAAAAAAGUAAUGCUUGAAGAACAAUGAGAUCAUGUAGACAAAAAAAUCCAAUUAAUAUGAAUCAACCCCAUCAUUUUAUCCAUAAUGACAACAAUACAAAUACGCGUAUUGUCCCCUACUUUUUCACUGGGAUAUAGAGCACCGCAAAAUUGAACCCGCUACAACACACCUCUCUUAGUGAAGAUAGAUCAAUCAAGUUGGCCAAACCAAAAUCAAUAGAUCGGAGAGAAUUACAAAGCUGUCACAAUCAUGCGUAUAAAAAUUUAGAAAAGACUCAAAUAUAUUUUGUGAAUAAUCUAAACAUAAACCCACAAUUCAUCGGGUCUCAACAAACGCACCGCACAAAGUGAUUAAAUAAGAUAGAUCACCGCAAGAAUCACGGUGAUCAUGGCAAUGAAGAACAUAAAGAGAGAUGUCCAUCUAGAUACUAACUACUCAUCAUCCACAAGUAUAGGGGAUCAAUCAUAGUCCUUUUGAUAAGUAAUGAUACGUCUUCAACGUAUCUAUAAUUUUUAAUUAUUUCAUGCUAUUAUAUUAUCAUUCUAGGAUACUUUUGAGAGUUUAUUUAUCAAUUAUUGAUAUUUUCUAGGCACUAACCUAUUAACCCGGUGCCCUGUGACACUUGUUGUUUUUUGCAUGUUUUGGCUUUUCAGGUUUACACUACCAAACUAAGUCCAAUUGCCACGAAACCUUCUGAUGAUUUUGUCUGGACCAAAAAAGACCUGGAAACUUUGAGAGGAGGUCGGAAGCCUCAUGAGGAAGGCACGAGCUAACGGGGCGCGACCAGGGGGUAGGGCGCGCCAUGUUUCCUGGUGCUCCCUCAUACGUCUUAAAUGUAUCUAUAAUUUUUUAUGCUUCAUUCUUGUUUUCUACCAUUUGUGCUACUUUUAUGUUUUCACUAUGUUUUUACGAAAUAUUGGGACUAACCUAUUAAUAUUUACAAAAUUAUACAAGUUUUUGUUUUAAACUUUUAUGUGUAGGAAUUAAUUGAAAAUUGGCGAAAAAACGCAAAAGGAGCCUUGAUGAAGGAGGACUCUCACUUUCUUAAAAUCUGUCCACCAACAGUUUUUAGUGAUCGUCCGUUUGACUCGAGAAUAUAGCGUCAAAUGAAAAUAGUUAAAACUACAAAAGUGUAUGGAAUGUUCUGGCAUUGAUUAUGGAGUACAAAUUUGUCCAAAACGGAGUGCGUAUGCGAUAUUUAGACUUGUUUUACUCGGAGGAAAAUAUCUGAUUACGGGAUUACGAGAAUUGAUGACGUGAUUGAAUCCAACUCUUACCAUUUUUGAUGUAUUCGUCCAAGCCACGACUUUGGGGACUUAUGGGGUUGUUAGGAUUCCUAUGAAGGUUCUAUAGGUGUCCAAGAGCCAUUGGAUCAAGGAUCAAUCCAUCGAAGAGACAUAGAACACGAUAGAGGCACAUAUAAGGAGAGGAAAACCCUAAUUUUGAAACAGCCACCAGAAGCCACAAAUUUUCCUCUCCCUUGGCAGCCACCAAGAGGGGAGAGGCUCCUCCAUUCCAGCACCAAGACCAAGGAAGAAGGGGGGAAGGGUCCGCCGCUCGUGGCCACCACUGCCUUCAUCUCUUCGGAGCUGCACCUCUCCAUCAACAAUUCUCUAUUUCUCACCACAAUAAAUUGUGAGUAAUCCUUCUCGGGGCUAAGAGUAUGUAUUAGUAGCUAUUUGUUUGACCUAUAUCUAUCUCUUGUAUUCUUGAUAUGUAACGAUCUUCAUGUAUCAUGAGCUUUGUUAAUAUAGUUGGAUCACAUGGUGUUCUUCCCUUGCCAUCUUGUUGUGAUGAAUUGAAUCUUUCCCUUUGAGAUCUCGUUAGGUUGGAUUGAAUAUUUUUGAUUUGAGAUCACUUGAUGUAUGUCUUGCAUGUGGAUACCCUGGUGACAAUGGGGUGUUCUAUUGAUUCACUUGACAUAUGUUUUGGUACUGAACUCGUGGAUUCCCGAGGUGGAAUUGGGUAAUCUAUGCAUAUGGAUUGAUACACGUUGUUGUCCUAAUUUCUCCGAUAGAAAUCUUGGAGUGCUAUUUGUAAUUCUUUGUGUUGGAUCGAAUAUGGUGAAUCUGAAAUUGUUUGAUGCAUGUCGAAUAAUUAACCCACAGAUACUUGAGGUGAUAUUGGAGCAUCUAGGUGACAUUAGGGUUGAUUGAUUUGUAUCAUAGGUGUUAUUCUUGUAUGAACUCUGAUACGGGGCACACCCGUGGUGGACGAUUUUUCACACUUGGAGGGGGAAAAGAUAGGCAAAAUCACGAGAAACACAAGAACUCAAGAACAAUCCUCAAAUCACACAUCCACUAGAUCCACAUAAACACAUGGGGAUACAAGAUCCAAAGUCAACAGGAGGAUACACGUAACGAUAGUCUUCCCUAUGAGAGAGGCCUUGCAUCCACGAUGGGAUCUUCCCUAGAGUAGGGGCCUUGGCAUCACUAUGGAUCUUCUUCACAUGGAGGACAUCUCCAUGGGGAGGGAGGGAUAGCGAUGGAGCUAAUCUCGACAACUAGUUGUCUAAGCAUUAGCUAACCCUAAAACGAAGGUAGGGGAAAGGUAUUUAUAGUCUAGGUCAGAAAAGAGGGCUGAAGGGGUACAUGGGUUGUUGGGCCCGAGUGUCUGCGCGCAGGCAGGACGGAAGUUUUGGCCUAGGCCGGAAGUUUCAACCAACUUCCGAGUAGGUUUCGGGAUGGACAGAGUGUUCGCGCAGGUCGAGGCGCUGAAGCUGAGCACAAGCCAAAACUUCCAGGCAGGCCGAACCUUUCGGGGGCCGCUGGGCCAUGUCCGGGCAGGUUCCGGGCUGAGCCAAAGGUUGUCGGGGGAUGUUUGCGGGGACUGAACGUGUGCCGGAAGUUCCGGGCAGUUCGGAGGUUCCGGGCUCCUGGGGCUUUUCCCUCCUCGAGUCAUCUUGCCCAUUCUUCCUCGUGUCCAUUCCUGCGGUGCCUUCAAGGUCUUGAACCUGAUGUAUGAGUAUGCACAGAGUCUCCGCUUUAGGUAGCACACACGUUCCAUUUGUAUCUAAGGCGUAUUCAUUAAGGAGAGAUGUCACCUGGGUUUCCAAGGCACGUGUGCGGGCUCUUGUCAUGGGACCACUUGUAUCUUGAGGUGUAUCCGUGGGGAUGAUCAAGGGAUGCUCCGCAUCAUCUCCCCCCUUGGGGAAGAUCUGUCCUCAGAUCAAGUUCUUCAUCACCAUGGAAAGUAGCUAGGUCCUUGACGUUGAAUGUUUCACUCACAUUGUACUUGUCGUGUGGAAUGUCGAUCUUGUAGGCAUUGUUGUUGUAGCGUGUCUGUGAUAGCCUGGCUUAUUAGGGAAGAUAGACUACUCAUAUGAAUAAGGAAUUCCUUCUUUUCUAGGAUCCCAUUCGAACAUAACUCUCAGUUUAAGCGUGCUCAGCUUGGAGUAGUUCUAGGAUGGACGACCGCUGGCGGGUGUGUCCGGGGCGUUAGAAGUUGGUAUCAGAGCCAACCCUCGCGGUUACACGGGUGUUUGUGGACAGGUGUGCGGUCAUUUUUUUCAUGAAGUUUAUGACCCGUCGUGGCACACGGCAUGGCACAUGUACUGGAUUAGAUGCAGAGACGUUUGUGCCAAGAGGGAACGCUCUUGUGGCCCGACGAGGACGUCGGUUCCUCUGAGUGGUCGUGUAUGUGAUAGUCUGGGCUUAUUAGGGAUGAUAUACUACUCAUAUCAAUAAGGAAUUCCUUCUUUUCCGGGAUCCCAUUCCAACAUAAAUCUCAGGUUAAGCGUGCUCGGCUUGGAGUAGUUCUAGGAUGGUUAAGCGUUCUCGGCUUGGAGUAGUUCUAGGAUGGGUGACCGACUGGGAAGUUGAUCUCUGGUGCGCAUGAGUGAUGAAAAAGUGUGCAGAAAAGACCAGUAUUGAUAUGUGGGGCCAGUCUAGAUCCUGCCAGGAGUAAGGACCGCCGGCGGGUGUGUCCGGGGGCAUUAUAGUGCGAACACCUUGAAAGGGCCAUCCACUCGAGGUAGCAGCUUGGACUUGCAUUCAUUGGGGAAGCGUAGGAGAGUUAAUAAUGUUCGGUUUGUCACCUCCGUUUGGCCACAACAACAAACACGGAAUCAUGACCAUUUUUAGAUCUAGGCAAACCGAGCACAAAGUCCAUGCUUAUAUCUUCCCAUGGUUGCGAAGGGAUAGGGAGAGGCAUGUAAAGACCAUGAUAUUGAGCUUUGGACUUAGCUUUGCGGCAUGUAGAGCAUCGGUUGGUGAAGCGUACAACAUCACGAAACAACUUUGGCACAAAAGUACUUGUUGGAGAUUGUGGCAUAAGUCUUGUCGCGUCCAAAGUGACCCAUUAGUCCUCCACCAUGAGCUUCUUACAAAAGUAACAAACGAAGAGAAGACUCGGGAAUACACAAUUUGUUAGCGUGCAUAAGAUAGCCAUCUUUCAUGUAAUAUUUUCCCCAACAAGGUUUAUUAUGACGUUUAGCAUAUGGGACCGCAAAGAAAGUAUCAUGCCCAUAUAAAUCUUUGAUAUGCCCGAAACCAAUCACAUUCAAUUCAAGUUGUGUAACAAGCAUGCAUUUGCAGGAAAGAGCAUCCACUACUACAAUCUCUUUACCCUUAAUGUAUUUAAUAACAUAAGGAAAAGACUCAGUGAAUUCACUCCAUUUAGCAUGUCGCUUGUUCAAUUUAGUUUGGCCCUUAAGGUAUUUCAAUGUUUCAUGAUCGAUAUGAAUGACAAAUUCAUGAGGUCUUAAAUAGUGUUCCGAACAUGCAAGACUCUCAGUAAAGCAUACAAUUCUUUGUCAUAGAUGGGACAAUUAAGUUGAGCGCCCAAGAGGUUUUAACUAAAAUAAGCAAUUGGGCAUUUAUCUUGCAUGAGCAUGCCACGUAUGUCGUUACCACUAGCAUCACAAUGCACUUCAAAAGUUUUGUCAAAGUUUGGUAAGGCAAGCAAUGGUGCGUGAGUAAGCAUGUUUUUAAGCUCAUUAAAUCCCGUGUCUUGCGAUGGUCCCCAAAUAAAUGGUGCAUUUUUCUUGCUCAAAGCAUGGAGAGGAGAAGCAAUAGUGCUAACAUCCUUAGCAAAUCUAUGGUAAAAACCGGCUAGGCCAAGGAAACUACACACUUGUUGCAAAUUCGUGGGUAUGGGCCAAGUUUUAAUAGCAUCAAUUUUAGUGUCAUCAACGUGCACACCCUUAGAAGAAACUACAAAUCCAAGAAAAACAAUUUUGUCAACACCAAAGGUGCAUUUGUUCUUUUUCGCGUAAAGUUGUUCAUUUCUUAGGACUUGCAAUACUUCUGUAACAUGUUUAGCAUUCUCCUCUAGAUUAUUGCUAAGAACAAUAGUGUCAUCAAAGUAGACCACAACACAAUCAACAAUGAGAGGAUGAUACAUCUCAAACGUAUCUAUAAUUUUUGAUGGUUUCACGCUGUUAUCUUGUCUUCUUUGGAUGUUUUAUAUACCUUUUAUAUCUUUUUCGGAAAUAACUUAUUAAUUCAGUGCCAAGUGCCAGUUCCUGUUUUUUCCGUGUUUUUGACUCUUUUCAGAUCUGAUUUUGGAACGGAGUCCAAACGGAAUAAAAACCCCGAAAUGGUUUUUUCCCAAACGGAAGAAGAUCAGGGGGGCUCUGGGCCAAGCCAGGUGGGCUCCAGGGAGCCCACAAGCUCCCACUCCGCCACCAGGGGGAGGCGGCGGGGUCAGGGCUUGUGGCCUCCCUGGCCGCCCCCUGACCUAGAUCCUUGGCCAUUAUAUUCCCAAAUAUUCAGCAAAAAAUCAGGGGAGCCUCAAAAAUACUUUUCCGCCACCGCAAGCUUCCGUUUCCGCGGGAUCUCAUCUGGAGACCCUUCCCGGCGCCCUACCGGAUGGGACUUUGGAGUUGGAGNNNNNNNNNNNNNNNNNNNNNNNNNNNNNNNNNNNNNNNNNNNNNNNNNNNNNNNNNNNNNNNNNNNNNNNNNNNNNNNNNNNNNNNNNNNNNNNNNNNNNNNNNNNNNNNNNNNNNNNNNNNNNNNNNNNNNNNNNNNNNNNNNNNNNNNNNNNNNNNNNNNNNNNNNNNNNNNNNNNNNNNNNNNNNNNNNNNNNNNNNNNNNNNNNNNNNNNNNNNNNNNNNNNNNNNNNNNNNNNNNNNNNNNNNNNNNNNNNNNNNNNNNNNNNNNNNNNNNNNNNNNNNNNNNNNNNNNNNNNNNNNNNNNNNNNNNNNNNNNNNNNNNNNNNNNNNNNNNNNNNNNNNNNNNNNNNNNNNNNNNNNNNNNNNNNNNNNNNNNNNNNNNNNNNNNNNNNNNNNNNNNNNNNNGAUCAGAUUAUCUAUGAUCUAUAUUUAAGUCUUUGCUGAUUUCUUAUAUGCAUGAUUUGAUAUCCUUGUAAGUCUCUUCGAGUGUUGUGUUUUGUUUGGCCAACUAGAUCUAUGAUUCUUGCAAUGGGAGAAGUGUUUGGUUUUGGGUUCUACCAUGUGGUGACCUUUCCCAGUGAGAGUAGGGCCAGCAAGGCACACAUCAAGUAGUUGCCAUCAAGGGUAAAAAGAUGGGGGUUUUAUCAUUGGUUUGAGAUUAUCCCUCUACAUCAUGUCAUCUUGCUUAAGGCGUUACUCUGUUCUUNAGAUGCAUGCUGGAUAGCGGUCGACGUGUGGAGUAAUAGUAGUAGAUGCAGAAAGUAUCGGUCUACUUGUUUUGGACGUGAUGCCUAAAGAUAUAAUCAUUGCAUAGAUAUCGUCACGACUUUGCGCGGUUCUAUCAAUUGCUCAACAGUAAUUUGUUCACCCCCCGUUUACUUGCUUUCAUGAGAGAAGCCACUAGUAAACGCUACGGCCCCCGGGUCUAUUCACAUCCAUCGUUUACACCUCCGCUUUUACUUUGCUUUGUUACUUUGUUGCUUUCAGUCCUCACUUGGCAAACAAUCUUUAAGGGAUUGACAACCCCUUCAUAGCGUUGGGAGAAAGCUUUUGUGUUUGUGCAGGAUCUUGAGAUACUCCUCCACUGGAUUGAUACCUUCGUUCUCAAACUGAGGGAAAUACUUACCACCGCUGUGCUACAUCACCCUUUCCGCUUCGAGGGAACACCAACACAAGGCUCCAUAGCCGUAGCAGAAGGAUUCCUGGUGCUGUCGACACGACUGUUCCUGUCGCCGUUGCCGGGGAAGCACAGCUGACAUGAGAAGCAUUUCUGGCGCUGUUGCCGGGGAGGAGAAAUCAAGAUCUAUCCAAGUAGGUCUCACAAACACUUCUCUUGCAUUUACUUUUGUUGCCUGUUACCUCUCGUUUUCCUCUCCCCACUUCACAUUUGCCGUUUUCAUUUGCCUUUCUCCUUCGCCGUUUUAUUUUGCCUUUGCCGGUUCCCUUUGCCGGUUCUAUUGCUUGCUUGUGUGCUUGUUUGUUUGUUGAAGUCAUCAUGGUUGAAAACACCAAACUUUGCGACUUCUCGAGCACUAAUAAUAAUGAUUUUAUUAGUACUCCGAUUGCUCCCGCCACUAGUGCAGAAUCAUAUGAAAUCAACGCACCUUUGCUGAAUCUUGUUAUGAAAGAGCAAUUAUGUGGCCUUCCUAGUGAAGAUGCCGCAUCCCAUGUCAAUACCUUCAUUGAGCUUUGUGAUAUGCAAAAGAAAAGAGAUGUGGAUAAUGACGUGAUUAAGUUGAAACCUUUUCCUUUCUCAUUGCGAGAUCGCGCAAAAACUUGGUUUUCUUCUUUGCCUAAAAAUAGUAUCGAUUCUUGGGAUAAGUGCAAAGAUGCUUACAUAUCCAAGUAUUUUCCGCGAGCUAAGAUCAUCUCCUUACAUAACGAUAUCAUGAAUUUCAAGCAACUUGAUCAUGAACACGUUGCACAAUCUUGGGAGAGGAUGAAGCUUAUGAUUAGAAAUUGUCCCGCUCAUGGCUUGAGUUUGUGGAUGAUUAUACAAAUCUUUUACGAUGGCUUGAAUUUCGCUUCUCGCAAUAUCUUGGACUCCGCCUUAGGUGGAGCGUUCAUGGAAAUCAUGUUAGGAGACGCUACAAAACUCCUAGACAAUAUCAUGACCAACUACUCUCAGUGGCACACCGAAAGGUCGCCUGCUAGCAAAAAGGUGCACGCUAUAGAAGAAAUUAAGUCGCUUAGUUCUAAGAUGGACGAGUUGAUGAAUUUGGUUGCUAGUAGAAAUGCUACCGUAGAUCCUAAUGACAUGCCACUAUCUUCUUUGAUUGAGAGUAGCAACGCUAGUUUGGACGUGAAUUUUGUUGGUAGGAACAAUUUUGGCAACAACAAUGCUUUUAGAGGAAACUAUGUUCCUAGGCCUUUUCCUAGUAACUCCUCUAAAAAUUAUGCCAAUUCCUACGGCAACACUUAUGGAAAUCACAACAAAUUACCCUCUGAUCUAGAGAGUAAUAUCAAAGAGUUCAUCAACUCUCAAAAGAUUUUCAAUGCGUCCAUAGAGGAAAAACUACUCAAAAUAGACGAUUUGGCUAAGAGCGUUGAUAGGAUGUCUUGUGAUAUUGAUGCUUUGAAAGUUAGAUGCGCUCCUCCCAAGGUCAACUUGGAUGAAACUUUGAAAGCUAUGCGUAUCUCCAUGAAUGAGAGCAAAGAAAGAACCGCCCAAAUUCGCGCUAGACAUGAAUGGUUUAAAAGGCUGCGUUCUAUUAAUGCAAAUCACGAAGAUCUUAAAGUGCUUGGUGUGUCUACUCUUGAAUCUUUGUUUUCGCGUGUCAAAACUACUUAUGGAGGGGCUGGAUAUGAAUCCACUUUGGUUGAAAAACGCCCCAAUGAUUCGGAGUCCACCUAUCUUGAUGAUAAAGGUGUGGAGAGUGGAGUAGAAGAAGUCAAAAUUUUGGGUAGUAAUGAAACUCCCACUUUGGAUUUCAAGGAAUUCAAUUAUGAUAAUUGCUCCUUGUUUGAAUGCAUUUCUUUGAUGCAAUCCAUUGCAAACUCUCCACACGCUUAUAGCCAAAGCAAAGCCUUUACCGCGCAUAUCGUAGAUGCUAUGAUGAAAUCUCUUGAAGAGAAGCUCGAACUAGAAGUCUCUAUACCUAGAAAACUUCAUGAUGAGUGGGAACCUACUAUCAAAAUCAAGAUAAAAAACUAUGAGUGCAAUGCUUUGUGUGAUUUGGGUGCUAGUGUUUCCGCGAUUCCAAAGUCUUUAUGUGAUAUUCUUGGUUUUCAUGAGAUUGAAGAGUGUUCUCUUAAUUUGCAUCUUACGGAUUCUACUGUCAGGAAACCCAUGGGGAGGAUCGAUGAUGUUCUUAUUGUUGCAAAUAAGAACUAUGUACCCCUGGAUUUCACUGUACUUGACAUAGAUUGCAAUCCUUCAUGUCCCAUUAUUCUUGGUAGACCUUUCCUAAGGACUAUUGGUGUUAUCAUCGAUAUGAAGGAAGGGAAUAUUAGAUUUCAAUUUCCUUUAAAGAAGGGCAUGGAGCACUUUCCUAGAAAGAAAAUAAGAUUUCCUUAUGAAUCUAUGAUGAGGGCUACCUAUGGGUUGAGCACCAAAGAUGACUAUACGUGAUUCCAUCACUUUUUGCCUAGCUAAGGGCGUUAAACAAAAGUGCUUGUUGGGAGGUAACCCAACGAAUCUAUCCUUUUUUAUUUCUGUUUUGUGUUUUCCACACUUUCAUAAUUCUGUUAUGAUUGUGUUUUUUGUGUUUCUUUUUGCGUUUGUGCCAAGCAAAACCGUUAUGAUUAGUCUUGGGGAUGAUCUUUUGGUCAUGCUGGAAAAGACAGAAACUUUCUGCUCACAAAAAGAAUUUUCAUUUUUGCUAUGUAAGAGAUUUUGAGUUGAUUCUUUUUGCUUCUGAUUGCUACGCAAAUUCUUCAGACUGUCGUAAUUUUGCAGAAUUUUUGAAGUACCAAAGAUAUACAAAAUAUACAGAUUGCUACAGACUGGUCUGCUGUUAACAGAUUCUAUUUUUGUUGUGUUGGUUGCUUAUUUUGAUGAAACUAUGGACAGUAUCGGGGGGUAUUAGCAAUGGAAGAUUGAAAAUACAGUAACCCAACAUCAGCACAAGUAGAAUUUAAGUUUGCUACAGUACCUAAGGAAGUGGCGGUUUGCCUUCUUGUACUAAUGUUAUCACGAGUUUCUGUUUAAGUUUCGUGUUGUGAAGUUUUCAAGUUUUGGGUGAAGUUCUUAUGGACAAAGAGAUAAAGAGUGGCAAGAUCUCAAGCUUGGAGAUGCCCAAGGCACCCCAAGAGAUUCUAGGAUGUUGUAAAAGCCUAAGCUUGGGGAUGCCCCGGGAAGGCAUCCCCUCUCUCGUCUUCAAUCCAUCGGUAACGUUACUUGGGGCUAUAUUUUUAUUCACCACAUGUUAUGUGUUUUUUCUUGGAGCGUCUUGUAUCAUAGGAGUCUUUUAUUUUUGUUGUGUCACAAUCAUCCUUGCUGCACACCUAGAGAGAGAGACAUGCACACACCGUGAUUUUGUCGAGCUUCACUUAUAUCUUUUCGUAGACGAUUAAGCUCACAUGUGCUUCACUUAUAUCUUUUGAGCUAGAUACUGUUGCUCUAUGUGCUUCACUUAUAUCUUUUAGAGCACAGCGGUGCGUGGCUUGGUAGUUGAUCUAUGCUUUGAAAGUAGUCUCAAAAGGGGUAGUUAUCCAAAGGGAUACGAAAAUUUCCACCUUCAUGUGCAUUGAAUAGUUAGAAAAGUUUGAUUCAUCUCAAUUAGUUUUGAGUUGUGGUUAUGGUAAUAUUGAAGUCAUGCUAGUAAGGUGUUGUGGAUCUAGAAAUACUUGUGUUGAAGUUAGUGAUUCUCGUAGCAUGCACGUAUGGUGAACCGCUAUGUGAUGAAAUCUGAGCAUGAUUAGUAUAUUGAUUGUCAUCCUUUGUGUGGCGGUCGGGAUCGCGCGAUGGUUUAUACCUACCAACCCUUCCCCUAGGAGUAUGCGUUGAAUGCUUUGUUUCAAUUACUAAUAAAACUUUUGCAACAAGUAUAUGAGUUCUUCAUGACUAAUGUUGAGUCCAUGGUUUAGAUGCACUUUCACCUUCCACCAUCACUAUCUUCUUAGUGCCGUGCAACUUUUGCCGGUGCAUAAAACCCACCAUUAGCCUCCCUCAAAACAGCCACCAUACCUACCUACUAUGGCUUUUUCAAAGUCAUUCCGAGAUAUAUUGCCAUGCAACUACCACCAUGACAUGUGCCACCACGUCUACAUUGCCAUUUCAUGAUCGUAAGAUAGCUAUCAUGAUGUUUCCAUUGAUGUCUAUGCCAUGCUAGAUCAUUGCCACGCUACACUACCGAAGGCAUUCCAUAUAGAGUCAUAGUUGCUCUAAGUUUUGAGUUGAAAGUGUGAUGAUCAUCAUUAAUGCAGCAUUGUCCCAUGUGAUGAAAUAAAAGAGGCUAAAGAAUCCCACCAAAAUAAAAAAAAGAGGCCAAAGAACCCACCAAAAUAAAAUAAAAUAAAAUAAUGAGAGAAAAAGAGAGAAGGGACAAUGCUACCACUUUUUUCCACACUUGUGCAUAUUAAGCACCAUGAUCCUCAUGAUUGAGAGUCUCUCGUUUUGUCACCACCAUAUAUCUAGUGGGAAAUUUUCAUUAUAUAACUUGGCUUGUAUAUUCCAAUGAUAGGCUUCCUCAAAAUUUCCUUAGGUCUUCAUGAGCAAGCAAGUUGGAUGCACACCCACUAGUUUUCUUUAAGAGCUUUCACAUACUCAUAGUUCUGGUGGAUCAUUUGUAUGGCAAUCCCUACUCAUUCACAUUGAUAUCUAUUGAUGAGCAUCUCCAUAGCUCAUUGAUAUGUCUAGUUAAUGUGACUAUCUUCUCCUUUUUUUGUCUUGCAACCUCCACCACAUUCCACACCAUAUAUAGUGCUAUAACCAUGGCUCACGCUCAUGUAUUGCGUGAGAGUUGAAAAGGUUUGAGAAAGUAAAGGUUUGAGAAAGUAAAGAUGUGAAUAGACCCGGGGUCCGUAGUUAGUAGCUAGAUGGCUUCUUCUCUCUCUUGGAACUUCAAUACAAAGUUCUCCAUGAUCUUCAUGGAGAUCUAUCCGAUGUAAUCUUCUUUGGCGGUGUGUUUGUCGAGAUCCGAUGAAUUCUGGAUUUGUGAUCAGAUUAUUUAUGAUAUAUAUUUGAGUCUUUGCUGAUUUCUUAUAUGCAUAAUUUCAUAUCCUUUUAAGUUUCUCCGAGUCUUUGGUUUUGUUUGGCCAACUAGAUCUAUGAUUCUUGCAAUGGGAGAAGUGCUUGGUUUUGGGUUCUACCAUGUGGUGACCUUUCCCAGUGACAGUAGGGGCAGCAAGGCACACAUCAAGUAGUUGCCAUCAAGGGUAAAAAGAUGGGUUUUUUAUCAUUGGUUUGAGAUUAUCCCUCUACAUCAUGUCAUCUUGCUUAAGGCGUUACUCUGUUCUUAUGGACUUAAUACACUAGAUGCAUGCUGGAUAGCGGUCGACGUGUGGAGUAAUAGUAGUAGAUGCAGAAAGUAUUGGUCUACUUGUUUUGGACGUGAUGCAUAUAGAUAUAAUCAUUGCACAUAUAUCGUCACGACUUUCCACGGUUCUAUCAAUUGCUCGACAGUAAUUUGUUCACCCACCGUCUACUUGCUUUCAUGAGAGAAGCCACUAGUAUACACUACGGCCCCCGGGUCUAUUCACAUCUAUCGUUUACACCUCCGCUUUUACUUUGCUUUGUUACUUUGUUGCUUUCAGUCCUCACUUGGCAAACAAUCUAUAAGGGAUUGACAACCCCUUCAUAGCGUUGGGAGCAAGCUUUUGUGUUUGUGCAGGAUCUUGAGAUACUCCUCCACUGGAUUGAUACNACUGGAUUGAUACCUUGGUACUCAAACUGAGGGAAAUACUUACCACCGCUGUGCUACAUCACCCUUUCCGCUUCGAGGGAACACCAACGCAAGGCUCCAUAGCGGUAGUAGAAGGAUUCCUGGUGCCAUCGACACGGCUAUUCCUGUCGCCGUUGCCGGGGAAGCACAGCUGACAUCAGAGGACGCAAGACAUAGUGCAUAACACACAUGAAGGUACUUGGUGCUUCGGAUAAGCCCAUAGGCAUCACUAUCCAUUCAUAUAGGCCAAAUUUUGUUUUAAAUGCACUUCUCCACUCAUCACCUUCUUGUAUGCGUAUUUGGCAGUAACCACUCUUCAAAUCAAUUUUAGAUAAUACAGUGGCACCACUAAGUUCAUCAAGCAUAUCAUCAAGGCGAGGUAUAGGAUGCCUAUAACGAACGGUGAUAGCAUUUAUAGGGUGGCAAUCCAAACACAUGCGCAUACUUCCAUCUUUCUUAGGAACAAGAAUUACCGUAACCGCACAAGGGCUUAGGAUUUCGCGGACAUGUCCGUUGUCUAGGAGUUUAUGGACUCACCUUUGUAUCUCCUUAGUUUCUUCGGGGUUGACACGGUAAGAUGCCUUGUUAGGAAGCGGUGCUCCAGGUUUGAGAUCGAUGCGAUGUUCAAUCCCUCGCUUUGGAGGUAAUCCUGGAGGUAACUCAUCGGUAAAGACGUCUUGGAAUUCCUGCAGUAGACGAGACAACACAAGAGGUAGAUGUGGUGAAGCAUUAGUCUUACAACCUCAUAUUUGCACACAAGUACAAAGUGAAGAACGGAUGAUGGGCUCUCAGUCACAUCCCUCAAGUCUCUUUUGGUGGCUAGAAUAACUAAAUCUCUCUUGUCUCUCAUAAUGGAUUCACUAAAUUUUGGCUUGUGACGCUCACUCUCUUUUAGGUGGAUCGCUCUCUCACUUUUAUCUCCAUGAUGGUUUGUGUUUUUUUGUCAGCGGUGACUUGGCUUGGUGUCAUUGGUCGGAGCACAUAUUCCUUGCCCUUCAUCUAGAACCUAUAGUGGUUGGUCCGUCCAUUGUGGAUGGCACCACGAUCGAAUUGCCAAGGUGUUCCAAGUAGAAGAUGGCAAACGGACAUGGGAACCACAUCACACUCCAAUGUAUCAUUGUAUGCUCCAAUUUUCAAAGAUACUUGCACGGUGUGUUCAACUUGGAGUGUGUCAGAGUCACUAAGUCAUUGUACUUUGUAAGGUCGUGGAUGCUUAUGCUUGACCAAUUGCAGCUUGGAGCAAAGUUCCUCACUCACCAAAUUGGCAGCUCCCGCCGUCGAUGAUGACCUUGACGGAUUUUCCUUGAAGGCACUCGAGAUGAGUCAACUCUAGGAAAGGAGCGUCACGUUUGCUUGGGGGUGAUGAUUUUAAUGCUAAAACUGAAAAAGUGGUUUUGGAGAGGUCAAAACUUUAACUAGUGAUGCGCCCACUAUUUUGGAUUACCAGGAAUUUAAUUAUGAUAAUUUCUAUUGAGUAGAAUUUAUAUCCUUGCUGCAAUCCAUUAUUAUCUCACCCAAUGCUUAUGAGCAAAAUAAAGCUUUUACUCAACAUAUAGUAGAAGAUAUGGUAAAAGCUUAUGAUGAGAAACUUGGGCUUGAAGUCUCUAUUCCUAGAAAGUUGCAUGAUGAGUGGGAACCUACUAUCAAAAUUAAGAUAGAUAAAUAUGAAUGCAAUUCUUUGUGUUACCUUGGUGCUAGUGUUUCAACUAUACCUAAAGCUUUAUGUGAUGUGCUUGGUCUCACUAAUAUUGAAGAAUGUUCCCUUAACUUGCAUCUUACGGAUUCUACCAUUAAGAAACCCUUACGUAGAAUUAAUUAUUUUCUUAUCAUUGCAAAUAAAAAAUAUGUGCUUGUAGAUUUUAUUGUACUUGAUAUUGGUUGUAAUACUACUUGUCCCAUUAUACUUGGAAGACCUUUCCAACGAACUAUAGGUGCAAUCAUUGAUAUGAAAAAGGGCAACAUAAGGUUCCAAUUCCCAUAAAAGAAAGGGAUGGAAAACUUCCCUAGAAAUAGAAUCAAAACACCUUAUGAAUUUAUCAUAAGGGACACUGAUAACCCACAAGUAUAGGGGAUCACAACAUUUUUCGAGGGCAGAGUAUUCAACCCAAAUUUAUUGAUUCGACUCAAGGGGAAGCCAAAGAAUAUUCUCAAGUAUUAGCAGUUGAGUUGUCAAUUCAACCACACCUGAAAGAUUUAGUAUCUGCAAAAAAGUAUCAGCAGCAAGGUAGUAUGAUAGCAGCAGUAGCAACAUUAACCAGUAGCAGCAAAGUGAUAUCAGUAGCAGCAAAGUAACAGCAGCAGCAGUAGCAGCAGUAGCGGCAAAGUAACGUAGCAAGGACUAGUAGGAAAGACUCGUAGGCAUUGGAUCGGUGAUGGAUGAUUAUGCCGGAUGUUAUUCAGCAUGCAACAGUUAUAACACGGAGAGAUAUGUAACUAGCCCCAAUUCGUCAAUGUAAUGUAGGCAUGUAUUCCGUAUGUAGUCAUACGUGCUUAGGGAAAAGAACUUGCAUGACACCUAUUGUCCAUCCCUCCCGUGGCAGUGGGGUCCUAAUGGAAACUACGGGAUAUUAAGGUUCUCCUUUUAAUAAAGAAUCGGACCAACGCAUUAAUACUUAGUGAAUACAUGAACUCCUCAUACUAUGGUCAUCUUCGGGAGUGGUUCCGGCUAUUGUCACUCCGGGGUUGCCGCAUCAUAACACAUAGUAGGNNNNNNNNNNNNNNNNNNNNNNNNNNNNNNNNNNNNNNNNNNNNNNNNNNNNNNNNNNNNNNNNNNNNNNNNNNNNNNNNNNNNNNNNNNNNNNNNNNNNNNNNNNNNNNNNNNNNNNNNNNNNNNNNNNNNNNNNNNNNNNNNNNNNNNNNNNNNNNNNNNNNNNNNNNNNNNNNNNNNNNNNNNNNNNNNNNNNNNNNNNNNNNNNNNNNNNNNNNNNNNNNNNNNNNNNNNNNNNNNNNNNNNNNNNNNNNNNNNNNNNNNNNNNNNNNNNNNNNNNNNNNNNNNNNNNNNNNNNNNNNNNNNNNNNNNNNNNNNNNNNNNNNNNNNNNNNNNNNNNNNNNNNNNNNNNNNNNNNNNNNNNNNNNNGCAAGCCUACGAUGAGAUCCCACGAACGGUGAGCAUCAUGGAAUUGGAAAUGAAGGAAGGUUUGUGAUGACGAUGGCGACGAUUUCCCCUCUCCGGAGCCCAGAACGGACUCCAGAUCUGCCCUCCAAAGGAAGAACAAGAGGUGGUGGCGUCUCCGUAUCAUAAAACGCGAUGAACUCUUCUCCUUGAUUUUUUUCGGACGAAAGAGGCUAAAUAGAGCUGAGAUUGGAGGCGGUGGAGCUUUGUGGGCCCCACAAGCCUGCCAGGCGCGGCCAGGGGGGCCUGCACUUGGUGGGCUUGUGGGCUCCACGCUACACUUCUUCCGUUGAUUCUUGCGCCAGUAUUUUUGAUAUAUUCCACAAAAAUUCUGUGUAAAUUUCCAGGUCAUUCCGAGAACUUUAUUUCUGCGCAAAAACAACACCAUGGCAAUUCUGCUGAAACAGCGUUAGUCCGGGUUAGUUCCAUUCANUUUGCAGAGGUGCCAGAGGUCAAGCUUUGAAAACAGAGAUAAUAAUUUUGGGUGGCAUGCUUUCAUUGUCAACGCAAUGACCAAGAGUUCUCACCAUCUUCCAUGCUACACAUGCUAUAGGCGGUUCCCAAACAGAAAAGUAAAGUUUUGAGUCCCCCACCACCGAUCAAUCACACUCCACGACUAGCCGAAUACUCGGGUGCCGCCCAUACCAAGAUCAAUCCAGGGGGAGUUUUGUUUGCAAUUAUCUUUUUGAUUUGAGCAUGGAACUGGGCAUUCCAAUUACCGGCCCCUUUCUCGUGAAUGAUACUGAAUAAACACAUAUCGAGGAUAACAUGCCUAGCAUGGAAGAUACUGAUAGCGCCCUGUCACCACAUGAGCGGUUCGGGCAUGCAAACCAAAUUAUUUUUUGAAGGUUUAGAGAGUGGCACAUGCAAAUUUACUUGGAACGGCAGGUAGACACUGCAUAUAGGUAGGUAUGGUGGAAUCAUAUGGAACAACUUUGGGUUUAUGGAAGUGGAUGCACAAGCAGUAUUCCCGCUUAGUACAAGUGAAGGCUAGCAAAAUACUGGGAAUCAACCAACUAGAGAGCAACAAGAGUCAUCAAAAUGCAUUGAGAUUAACCAACAAUGAGUGCAAGCAUGAGUAGGACAUAAAUCACCAUGAACAUGAAUAUCAUAGAGGCUAUGUUUAUUUUGUUUCAACUACAUGCGUAAACAUGCACCAAGUCAAGCCACUUGAAUCAUUCAAAGGAGGAUACCAUCCUAUCAUACUACAUCAUAGUCAUCUCAAGAUUCAUGUUGGCAUCCAAGACAAACCAUUAUAAGCUCCUUGCUAAUUAAGCAUGGCAUCAGAAACUAUGAUCUCUAAGUUGUCAUUGCAAACAUGUUUCUCUCACAACAAAGCUGAAUCAGGAACGAUGAGCUAGUCAUAUUUACAAAAACAAAAUAGAUCGAGUUCAUACCAGCUUUUUCAGGCUCAGUCACUUCAUCAUAUAUCGUCAUUAUUGCCUUUCUCUUGCACGACCGAAUGAUGUGAACAAUAAUAAGAGUGCUCGUGCAUUGGACUAAGCUUGAAUCUGCAGGCAAACACAAAGGAGAAGACUAAGUAAUAUGGCGCUUUGACAGAUAAACAGAUAUGUAUGCAAGAGUCACUAAACAUUAUAACCAUGGUCUUCUACCUUGACCCAAAGAAAAAGAAAACUAUUUACAUGGGAAAGCUACUAACAAGGAAAAGAAGAACAAGAAAAUCUUUUUGGGUUUUUCUCAAACUAGAAAAACACACGAAAAGAAAAUGAGAAAAAGGAAAUAAACUAGCAUGGGUGAUACAGUGGCAAAGUGUGAACACCGACUAACAAAGUGAAAGUGUAAGCAAGAAUAUAAAGUCGGUGAGAAACACGUAUGAUACGUCUCAAACGUAUCUAUAAUUUUUGAUGGUUUCACGUUGUUAUCUUGUCUUCUUUGGAUGUUUUAUGUACCUUUUUAUAUCUUUUUGGGACUAACUUAUUAAUCCUGUGCCAAGUGCCAGUUCCUGUUUUUUCUAUGUUUUUUGACUCUUUUCAGAUCUGAUUUUCGAACGGAGUCCAAACGGAAUAAAAACCGCGAAAUGAUUUUUUCCCGAACGGAAGAAGAUCAGGGGGGCUCUGGGCCAUGCCUGGUGGGCUCCACGGAGCCCACAAGCUCCCACUCCGCCACCAGGGGGAGGCGGCGGGGUCAGGGCUUGUGGCCUCCCUGGCCGCCCCCUGACCUAUAUCCUUGACCUAUAUAUUCCCAAAUAUUCCGCAAAAAAUCAGAGGAGCCUCGAAAAUACUUUUCCGCCGCCGCAAGCUUCCGUUUCCGCGAGAUCUCAUCUGGAGACCCUUCCCGGCGCCCUGCCGGUGGGGACUUUGGAGUUGGAGGGCUUCUUCAUCAUCAUCAUCGCCCCUCCAAUGACUCGUGAGUAGUUCACUUCAGACCUAUGGGUCCGUAGUUAGUACCUAGAUGGCUUCUUCUCUCUCUUGGAUCUUCAAUACAAAGUUCUCCAUGAUCUUCAUGGAGAUCUAUCCGAUGUAAUCUUCUUUGGCGGUGUGUUUGUCGAGAUCCGAUGAAUUGUGGAUUUGUGAUCAGAUUAUCUAUGAUAUAUAUUUGAGUCUUUGUUGAUUGCUUAUAGGCAUGAUUUUAUAUCCUUGUAAGUCUCUCCGAGUCUUGGAUUUUGUUUGGCCAACUAGAUCUAUGAUUCUUGCAAUGGGAGAAGUGCUUGGUUUUGGGUUCUACCAUGUGGUGACCUUUUCUAGUGACAGUAGGGGCAGCAAGGCACACAUCAAGUAGUUGCCAUGAAGGGUAAAAAGAUGGGGGUUUUAUCAUUGGUUUGAGAUUAUCCCUCUACAUCAUGUCAUCUUGCUUAAGGCGUUACUCUGUUCUUUUGGACUUAAUACACUAGAUGCAUGCUGGAUAGCGGUUGACGUGUGGCGUAAUAGUAGUAGAUGCAGAAAGUAUCGGUCUACUUGUUUUGGACGUGAUGCCUAUAGAUAUAAGUAUUGCAUAGAUAUCGUCACGACUUUGCGCAGUUCUAUCAGUUGCUCGACAAUAAUUUGUUCACCCACCGUCUACUUGCUUUCAUGAGAGAAGCCACUAGUAAACACUAUGGCCCCCGGGUCUAUUCACAUCCAUCGUUUACAUCUCCGCUUUUACUUUGCUUUGUUACUUUGUUGCUUUCAGUUCUCAAUUGGCAAACAAUCUAUAAGGGAUUGACAACCCCUUCAUAGCGUUGGGAGCAAGUUUUUGCGUUUGUGUAGGAUCUUGAGAUACUCCUCCACCGGAUUGACAUCUUGGUUCUCAAACUGAGGGAAAUACUUACCUCCGUUGUGCUACAUCAUCCUUUCCGCUUCGAGGGAACACCAACGCAGAAGGAUUCCUGGUGCCGUCGACACACCCAUUUCUGGCGCCAUUGGAAGGUCUUUUGUGCAGUAGCCUAACAGACCUCAACGUACUCCCCCAAGCUUAGGCUUUUGGCCUAAGUUGGUGUACUCCCAAGGAGGGAAAUAACCAGCUCCGGGGUACUCUGGAGUGGAGUGCGGAUGCCGCUGCUGUGUGAGCUCCUCUGGCUCCCACUGAUAAACUGACGUCUGGUACUCGACUGGUGGCUUAGGCACGGGCACCUAUGGUUGGGCUAUGCCCCAGUAUGCGUAGAUGUCCGAGGGCAUAAUAAUGUACAUGCCUGCAUGAAGAUUGAACAAAGAAGGAGCAGGCAAAGUAAUAGUUUCACGAGUACUCUAACUAAAUACCAGGUUAUAAAUCAUCCUUCUAUUUAUAUCUCUAUCAAGAAAGUCAUGGCGAACCAAGCUAUCAUAAUCUAGAUAUCUCUCGGGAAGAAGAAUCUCUUCUUCCUCGUCUAGUCUAAUGAGUAUCUCAAAAUGUCUAGCAAGACGAGUAGCAUAGAUACCUCCAUAGACAACGCCUUUAGAACGGUUCGUGUUCAACCGUUGAGCUACUAUAGCAGCCAAGCUAUAAGUUUUAUCAUUAUAAAGGGCUUCGUGCAAGACCGCAAGAUCUGGGGAGCUAAGGGCCCCAGCUUUCCCACGGCCAAUCAAACAUUUUCCCAUGAAUAAUGAGAAGUAUCGAAGCACGGGAAAAUUAUGCUAGCAGCUCUAGCUCAAGACACUCCUCUCUCUUCUCCUACAACAAUGGUAUCGAUGAAAGUCUCCAAGUCCCGUGGACAAGGUUCAUGAAUAUCCCCCACAAAAGGCAAUUUGCAAACAUUGCAAAAAUCCUGGAGUGACAUGCGCUGGGGGAUAUCAUAUAAUUUGAACUCAGCCAUAGGAGGAUUUUUCCGUGGAUAGAAGUUAAAGCUUUGCACGAAAAUAUUAGUGAGUGGGAGGUAUUGCGGACACUUAUCUUCAACGAAGGCGGUAAGGCCUGCGUUCUACACCAAGUAAUAAAAGUCCUCAUAAAGUCCGGUGGCGCGUAAGAACACAUCGCUUGGCCAUUCGCACGCUCGAACUUCUGCAACUCGGGGGACCAAAUACUUGGGUUUCUUCUUCUCAUUCCCAUCAUCCUUGGGGUCACGGCUUGAAGAGCCUCUUAAGAACCUUCUCAUCUUUUCCCUUUUCUAUCUCUGAAAAUUUCUGAAAUUUUAGUGACUCUAAGUAAAAGUGAAUAAGGCCCAACGAAACUCAUAGAAACUACUCCCACAAGUGCCUAGAGGCCAUAACACACAUCAAAACUACUUGGGACCAUCUAAAAUUAGCAUGCAAAUCUCAAGAAUAGGGUCACCAAGGUAGCAAAUAUACGCGAAGUAUAAGGCACUAGAGAAAAAACUAAUUGGACAAAUUGAGGAGUCACUUACCAAGGAGCAAUUUCCCCAAAACAGCUUGGUGAAUGGUGCUUUGCACAAGGAGAUCGAAAAUACCAGCAAGAAGAGCAAGAACAUGGGUUUGAGAUGCGAAAGGAGUUUUUCUGGAGGUAGGAGAAGCAGAUGGGAGCUAGAAUGAGUGGAGGGGGUGCACGGGGGACCCACAAGCCUGGUAGGCGCGGCCACGGUGGUGCCCGCGCCUCCAGGCCUUGUGGCCCACUGGUGCAGCCCCCUGACUAGCUCUUCGUCUUAGUAUUUUUCAAAAAUUCCAGAAAAAAUCAUACUUGAUUUUCAGGACGUUCGGAGAACUUCUAUUUUCGGGGUACUUUUCUACGGGACGAUAAAAGCAGAAAACAGGGAAAACUAAACUAAAUCUAUCAUUUUUCUUCUAAGCAACCGAAGGUGAAAUCUUGGGACACAGGUUUGUGACUCCUCGAUUCAUCCAUCUCAUGGUCAUCGAAAGAAAUCCGUCAAUGAGGUUUAUCAAGUCUCCUUGACAAACUUUUUCGAAUCGCAAAAAGAAAUAGAGAAUUUUGAAUAGCCACUAGGUUACCUCAAUGGGGAUGUGAAUAUCCCCAACAAGCAAAUCAUACUUCAUCUUGACAGGAGGUUUAGGGCAUUCGAAGCUGUCAAUAAGAAUCGAUGAAGUCUUUUCGAUAGCAUUGAUGCAAUGUACUCGAUAUUGUUUGUUCGAAAAGUUCACCGUAUUUUCAUUACCGUUGACAUGGAAAGUGACAUUGCCUUUGUUGCAAUCUAUAACAGCCCCUGCGGUGUUUAAAAAGGGUCUUCCAAGGAUGACCGCCAAGGCAUCAUCCUCGGGAAUAUUCAGAAUAACAAAUUGUGUCAAGAUAGUAACGUUCGCAACCACAACAUGCAUAUCCUCGUAAAUGCUGAUAGGAAAAGCAGUUGAUUUGUUGGCCAUUUGCAGAGAGAUUUUAGUGGGUGUCAACUUAUCCAGUUCAAGUCUACGAUAAAGAGAGAGAGGCAUAACACUAACACCGGCUCCAAGGUCGCAUAAAGCAGUUCUAAUGUAGUUUCCUUUAAUGGGGCAAGGUAUAGUGGGCACACCGGGAUCACCUAGUUUCUUAGGAGUUCCACCCUUGAAGGUAUAAUUAGCAAGCAUGGUGGAAAUUUCAACCUCAGGUAUCCUCCUCUUAUUAGUCACAAUAUCCUUCAUGUACUUAGCAUACGGAGACAUUUUGAGCAUAUCUGUCAAAUGCAUUUGCAAAAAGACAGGUCUAAUCAUUUCAACAAAGCGCUCAAAAUCCUCAUCAUCCUUUUUCUUGGAUGGUUUGGGAGGAAAGGGCAUGGGUUUCUGAACCCAUGGUUCCCUUUCUUUACCAUGCUUCCUAGCAGCGAAGUCUUUCUUAUCAUAUCUCUUAUUCUUAGGUUGUGGGUUAUCGAGAUCAACAGGUUCAAUAUCCACAUCCUUAUCAUUGCUAGGUUGAGCAUCAUCAUGAACAUCACUAUUGGUAUUAUCAUUAGGCUCAUGUUCAUCACGAGAUUGUGUUUCGGCAUCACAGAUAGAGACAUCGUUUAGACUCUUAGGUGUAGCAGCAACAGGGUUGCUAGCAUGCAAAUUCCUAUCAUCUUUCUUCUUCUUCCUAGGAUGACUAGGUGCAUUAGUGCUAACUCCUUGAUAAUCUUGUUCAAUUCUCUUAGGAUGACCCUCAGGAUACAAAGGUUCCCGAGUCAUUCUACCGCCUCUAGUGACGACUCUGACAGAAUUGUCAUUCAACUCAUUUAGCAAGUCAUUCUGAGCCUUAAGUACUUGUUCUACCUGAGUAGUAACCAUAGAGGCAUGUUUACUCAAGAGCUUAAGAUCAUUGACGUUUCUGUCCACACAAGCACUUAAAUGACUAAGCAUACGAGCAUUCUGUUCCAAUUGUCUGCUAACAUAAUCAUUAAAACUUUUUUGUUUGGCAACAUUGUUAUCAAAUUCAUCCAGGCAUAAGCUAGCAGGUUUAUCAAAAGGAAUAUGACUCUCAUUUAAUCUACGUAGGGAACUUACUUCUACUACCUGUAUCGGGUUAUCGAGACCAUGGAUCCCUUCGAUAGGUGGUAGAUUUUUGACAUCUUCAGAUUUAAUGCCUUUCUCUUUCAUAGAUAAAUUAGCUUCUUGCAUAUCUUCAGGACUAAGGAAUAGAAUACCUCUUUUCUUCGGAGUUGGCUUUGGAGGUGGUUUAGGAAUAGUCCAAGCAUUCUCUUCUUGCAUAUCUUCAGGACUGAGGAAUAGAAUACCUCUUUUCUUCGGAGUUGGCUUUGGAUGUGGUUCAGGAAUAGUCCAAGCAUUCUCAUUGCACAAGAUAUUAUUCAGUAGGAUAGCAGCUUGUUCUACAGUUCGUUCCCUAAAAACACAACCGACACAACUAUCUAGGUGGUCGCUAGAAGCGUCGGUAAGUCCAUUAUAGAAGAUAUCAAGUAUUUCAUUCUUCUCAAGAGGGUGAUCAGGAAAAGCAUUUAGUAGUUGGACAAGCCUCCCCCAAGCUUGUGGGAGACUCUCUUCUUCAACUUGCACAAUGUUGUAUAUUUCCUGCAAGGCAGCUUGCUUCUUAUGGGUAGGGAAAUAUUUCUCAGAGAAGUAGUAGAUCAUAUCCCGGGGGCUACGCACACAAUGAGGAGCAAGAGAAGUAAACCAAGUCUUAGUAUCAUCCUUUAGUGAGAAAGGAAACAUCUUAAGGAUAUAGUAGUGGCGGAUCUUUUCCUCACUAGUGAAUAGGGUGGCUAUAUCGUGCAGUUUGGUAAGAUGGGCUACAACCGUUUCAGACUCAUAACCGUGAAAAGGAUCAGAUUCGACCAGAGUUAUUAACUCAGGGUCGACAGAGAAUUCAUAAUCCUUAUCGGUCACAAAGAUAUGCGAAGUAGCAAACUUUGGGUCGUAUUUCAUCCUAGCGUUCAGAGAUUUUUCUUUCCACUUGCGUAGUAAAUUCUCAACAUCGUAGCUAUCCUUACACGCAAGAAAAUCCUCAGCUAUCUCUCCCUCCAUAACAUAACACUCAGGCAUAUCAGGCAAUUCAUAUCUAGGAGAGCUAGUUCUAACAGGCAAAAUAGCACGUUCUACUUGAAUAGUAUCAGCAGUUUCAGAAGUAUCAUCACAUCUAGCAGCAACACUAGCAAUUUGUGCAUCAAGGAAUGCACCAAGUGGCAAUGCAGUAUCAAGUAUAGCAUCAUCAUAAGCAUCAUGGGCAGCAGAAGUAGCAUCAUCAAGCACAGGCGACAUAUCAAGAUUUCUAUCAGGAGGUGGUGUCGCAAACUUACUCAUAACUGAAGGUGAAUCAAGUGCAUAGCUAGAUGGCAGUUCCUUACCUGCCCUCGUAGUUGAGGGCAAGACUUUAGUUCUUGGAUCUUUCGGAUUCCUCAUAGUGACUAGCAGACAUAAAUCCCAAGUGACUCAGAGUAGCUAGCUUCCCCAGCAACGGCGCCAUAAAAUAGCACGUUGACGGGAGAAUAUUCUUGACUUGGCUUCCCCGCCAACGGCGCCAGAAAAUAGUCUUAAUAACCCACAAGUAUAGGGGAUCGCAACAGUUUUCGAGGGUAGAGUAUUCAACCCAAAUUUAUUGAUUCGACUCAAGGGGAAGCCAAAGAAUAUUCUCAAGUAUUAGCGGUUGAGUUGUCAAUUCAACCACACCUGAAAGAUUUAGUAUCUGCAGCAAAGUAUCAGUAGCAAGUUAGUAUGAUAGCAUCAGUAGCAACAUUAACCAGUAGCAGCAAAGUGACGGCAAUAGCAAAAAAGUAACAGCAGCAACAGUAACAGCAGUACCGGCAAAGUAACGUAACAAGGACCAGUAGCAAAGACUCGUAGGCAUUCGAUCGGUGAUGCAUGAUUAUGUCGGAUGUUAUUCAUCAUGCAAAAGUUAUAACACGUAGAGAUAUGUAACUAGCUCCAGUUCGUCAAUGUAAUGUAGGCAUGUAUUCCGUAUGUAGUCGUACGUGCUUAGGGAAAAGAACUUGCAUGACAUCUAUUGUCCAUCCAUCCCGUGGCAGUGGGGUCCUAAUGGAAACUACGGGAUAUUAAGGUUCUCCUUUCAAUAAAGAACCGAACCAACGCAUUAACACUUAGUGAAUACAUGAACUCCUCAUACUAUGGUCACCUCCGGGAGUGGUUCCGGCUAUUNNNNNNNNNNNNNNNNNNNNNNNNNNNNNNNNNNNNNNNNNNNNNNNNNNNNNNNNNNNNNNNNNNNNNNNNNNNNNNNNNNNNNNNNNNNNNNNNNNNNNNNNNNNNNNNNNNNNNNNNNNNNNNNNNNNNNNNNNNNNNNNNNNNNNNNNNNNNNNNNNNNNNNNNNNNNNNNNNNNNNNNNNNNNNNNNNNNNNNNNNNNNNNNNNNNNNNNNNNNNNNNNNNNNNNNNNNNNNNNNNNNNNNNNNNNNNNNNNNNNNNNNNNNNNNNNNNNNNNNNNNNNNNNNNNNNNNNNNNNNNNNNNNNNNNNNNNNNNNNNNNNNNNNNNNNNNNNNNNNNNNNNNNNNNNNNNNNNNNNNNNNNNNNNNNNNNNNNNNNGCAAAGUAGUAGCAACAUAAUUCUCAGAACAUAGUGGAUACUAGGGAUCAAUCCCCGUCAAAACUAAAUCGAUUACAUGAUAGAUCUCAUCCAACCCAUCACCGUCCAGCAAGCCUACGAUAAGAUUACUCACGAACGGUGAAGAGAAUGAUGGAAUUGGCGAUGAAGGAAGGUUGGUGAUGACGAUGGCGACGAUUUCCCCUCUCCGGAGCCCAGAACAGACUCCAGAUCUGCCCUCUAGAGGAACAACAGGAGGUGGCGGCGCCUCCGUAUCGUAAAACACGAUGAACUCUUCUCCUUGAUUUUUUCCGGACGAAAGAGGCUAAAUAGAGCUGAGAUUGGAGGCGGUGGAGCUUUGUGGGCCCCACAAGCCUGGCAGGCGCGGCCAGGGGGGGCGCCUGGUGGGCUUGUGGGCUCCACGCUCCACUUCCUUCGUUAAUUCUUGCGUCAGUAUUUUUUAUAUAUUCCACAAAAAUUCUCCGUAAAUUUCCAGGUCAUUCCGAGAACUUUUAUUUCUGCACAAAAACAACACCAUGGCAAUUCUGCUGAAAACAUCGUUAGUCUGGGUAGUUCCAUUCAAAUCAUGCAAAUUAGAGUCCAAAACAAGGGCAAAAGAGUUUGGAAAAGUAGAUACGACGGAGACGUAUCAGACACUUAUGCACUCAAUAUCAAGAUGGCAACACUUGAGACUAUGCAAUAUGCCUAGCCAGGGGCGUAAAACUAUAGCGUUUGCUCAGAGGCAACCCAAUAGUUAUCUUUUUUUUUUGCUUUCUACUUCCUGUUUUUUGUGAUGAAAUAAUUGUUGCUUCUAUAAUGAUUUUUUUAUGUUUAAUUAGUGUUUGUGCCAAGUAAAGCCUUUGGGAUGAUUUGCAUGAUGAGUAGAAUUGAUACGGUGCAAAAACAGAAACUUUGACGCCUAGUACAGAAUUUCUCUGAUUUUACUGGAAUUUCUUUUUAAGAUGAAAUUUUUCCAUGGUCUUUCAAUACGAAUACCUCAGGUCUUCAUAAUGUUUUAGAAUUUUUGGUGUUAAAGAAGUACGACAAUUAAAUAUAUUACUAUAGAUAGUUAUGUUUUAAAUAGAUUCUAUUUUUGCAUGCAUAGUUUGCUUGUUUUGAUUGUGCUAUGGAUUAUACCGGGGGUAUAAGCCAUGGAGAAGUUAGAUACAAUACCCUAUGUUAAACUACUUUAAUAAUAAAUAUGUAACGGCACCUGAAAGUAUUCUAUGUGUUGCUUAUACUCACGGAUCUUACGAAGUUUUAUUGAGUUUUGUGUGGUUGAAGUUUUCAAGUUUUGGCUAUUGUCUAAAUGGACAAAGGAAUGAGAAGUGGCAAUGGCCUAAGCUUGGGGAUUCCCAAGGAACCCAAGGUGAUAUUCUAGGAAGACUCAAGCAUCUAAGCUUGGGGAUGCCUCGGGAAGGAAUCCCCUCUUUCGUCUCAAUCCAUCGGUAUGUUACUUGGAGCUACAUUUUUAUUCGUCACAUGAUAUGAGUUUUGCUUGGAGCAUCAGUUGCUUUUGUUUACUUUUACAUUAGGUUUUCCACAAUCAUUGGUUGAUGUACACACCUAUUUGAGAGAGAUACACCAUCAUCAUAAGUUGUUAUAAGUAUAUAUGUGCUUCACUUAUAUAUUUUGAGCUUAGCAAUUGUUCUAGUACUUCACUUAUAUUUUUUUGAGCAUGGUGGCAUGUAGAUUUUAUAGAAAUAAUAUGAUCUCAUUCCUCACUUAUAUUUGUUUUAGAGUUAAUAAAAAACAAUGGUAAUUUGCAUGGGUCAUAAGGCUAGAUCAAAAAUAAUGAGUGUUCAAGGAGUGAUAAUUAAAACCAUCAUGUAGCACAUAUAGAUAAAUUGUGGUUAAUGAUAUUGAUGUUGUGAUAUGAAAGGGUAUGAGUGCAUAAUCAUUAAUUCAGAGAGGUGUCGAUAUUAAGAGAUGUCAAAACUUCUUGAACAUCUAAAAAAUUAAAAGGGCAUGGUGAUGACGUGUGAGCAUUUCUAUUCCUCGUUGAAAACCUAGUGUUGUUUCGAGUCGGAGUCACGUGAUGGUUAAUUCCUACCAACCCUCUCCCUCAGGGCAUGCGAGUAGUACUUUGAUUUGUGAUAAAACUAAUAAAACUUUGCAAUAAGUAUAUGAGUUUUUUAUGACUAAUGUGACACCAUGGCCAUACGCAAUCUCACCUCCUCAUAUUUGCUAGCCUCUCCAGUACCGCGCAUAGCCCAUUCUCACCCCGAGGAUUGGUGCAACUUUCACUGGUGCAUCCAAACCCCGUGACAUGAUAUGCUCUAUUGCACAUAAGCCUUAUUAUAUCCUCCUCAAAACAACCACCAUACAUACCUAUUAUGGCAUUUCCAUAGCCAUUCCGAGAUAUAUUGCCAUGCAAAUUCCGUCAUCACUUCACAUGACUAGUUUGUUCAUCAUCAUAUUGCUUCGCAUGAUCAUAUAGAGCUGGCAUACCAUUCAUAAUAGCAUUUGUGGAAAAGCCACUAAUUAUUAUAUGUUGAAUACGUGUCACACACUCACACUAGAUCAUUGCACACCCUGGUACACUACCAGAGGCAUUCAUAUUCGAGUCAUGUUGCUUCAUAGUUCAUCAUAUCGAGUUUUCCAUGAGUUGUAAGUAAAUAAAAGUGUGACGAUUAUCAUUAUUAGAGCGUUGUACGAGUGAGGAAAUAAAGAUGGGGGAGGCCAAAUGAGACCACCAUAUAAAAAAAUGAGAGAAAAAGAGAGAAGGGACUUUGCUACUAUCCUUUACCACACUUGUGCCUCAAAGUGGCACCAUGUUCAUCAUAUAGAGAUUCUAAUGUUAUAUCAUUCAUAUUCUAGUGGGAAUCAAAAAAAAUAUAAACUUGGCUUGAAUAUUCCGAUGACGGGCUUCCUCAAAGGCCCGAGGUCUUCAUGAACAAGCAAGUUGGAUGCACACCCCACCUAGCUUCAAUGGAGCUUUCUUACACUUAUAGCUCUAGUGUAUCAUUUGCAUGAUAAUCCCUACUUCUCGCAUUGAUAUCGACCGAUGUGCAUUUCCAUAGCCCGAUGGUACACCUAGUUGAUACGACACUAUGUUCUCCACUUUUCAACCCCUUUGAAACCUACCACCUUAUGCUAUUCCACCUAUAUGCUAUGUCCAAUAGUUCAAACUCAUGUAUUGUGUGAAGAAUAAAAAGUUGAUGCAUAUUGAAAAGAUACGAUCCAAUUGCCUGACUUGGGCACUGUGGUGCUUGAAAGUAGUAGUUGUGUGGCGAAGAUGGAGCCGUGCCUUGCUAAUAUAAUAAAGAUGGAUAGAGAUGAAACAAUCUUUGAGGAUUGUACACUUUGAAAAAUUAAUUGUUUUGCUCCUUAUACUUAUAAAUAUUGAUGUGUUAAUAAUUGUUAAUUCAUCGAUCUCAACGAGCAUACAUGCAUAAUAUUACAUCAUGGAUAGCAUGUCACAUCAAAAAUUCUGUUUUUAUCAUUUACCUACUUGAGGACGAGUAGGAAUGAAGCUUGGGGAUGCUUGAUACGUCUCCAACGCAUCUAUAAUUUUUGUUUUUUCCAUGCUAUUAUGUUAUCAUUUUAGAACACUUUUUAUGUACUUACCUUCCUAUGUCUAUUAUUUUUUAGCAAUAACCUAUUGAACCAGUGCCCAGUGCCACUUGCUGUUUUCUGCGUGUUUUUCUACUUUUCAGGUUUUCACUACCAAACAAAGUCCAAUUGACCUGAAACUUUUUGUGAUUUUUUUCUAGACCAAAAUAAGACCUUAGAGCAUUGGAAGGAGGCAGGAGGGUGCAUGAGGGCCCCACAAGCCAACAUGGUGCGCCCUUGGGGGCGCCUUGAUGGCUUGUGUCCCCCUUCGUGGCUCUCCCGACUCUGUUCUCUAGCCUGUAAAUUCCCAUCUACCCUAAAAAAGUUCAUGAAACACUUUUUACACUGCCCCAAGUCCCUGUUCCAACGGGAGGCCAUCUAGAGCUCCUUUAUGGCACUCGGCCGCACGGGGGGGUCGAUCACGGAGGGCCUCUUCAUCAACCUUACUGCCCUGAUGAUGACAUGUGAGUUGUUCACCACAAACCUAUGGGUCCAUAUAGAGUACCUAGAUGGCAAUUUCUCUCUCUAUCUAUCUAUCUAUCUAUCUCUCUCUCCCUAUCUCUCUCUCUAUUUUUGAUCUUCAAUACAAUGAUCAUUGCAUCUUAACUUUGAUCCAUAUGGUGCAAUUCUUUUGUACGGUGUGUUUAUUGGGAUCCGAUGAAGUGUGGGUUUAUGUUCAGAUUAUUCAUGAUAAAUAUUUGUGUCUCCUGUGAAUACUUAUAUGAUUCUUAUGUGCAUGAUUACGACAGCUUCCUAAUUCUCUGUGAUCUAUUGAAAUAAUUUGGCGAACUAGAUCGAUAUUUCUUCGGUGAGAGAGGUGCAUUGUAGUAGGUUCAAUGUGGCGAGUUUCUAUAUCCCAGUGAUAGAAGGGGACAAGUUUUGUCUUUGUGUUGCUUCUACUAAGGGUAAAAAGAUGGGGGUUAUUAAUAUUGGUUGAGUUUGUCUACAUCAUGUCAUCUUACUCCAAGCAUUACUUUGUUUGUCAUGAACUUUAUACGUUGAGAGGCAAGCAUAGAAGCGCUCUUGAAGCGAAGUAAUAGUAAUAGGUGCAUGCAGGAGUCGGCCUGUUUGUUUAUGGACGUGAUGCCUAUAUUUACAUGAUCAUUGCUAUGAAAAUCGCAUAACUAACCACUUUUCUAUCAAUUGCUGAACAGUAAUUUGUUUACCCACCUUAUGCUAUUUUUUCAUAGAAAUGGUAUUAGGGGAAACUAUGGCCCCCGUGUCUAUUCACAACAUAUUGCUAAAACCUCCAAUACCUUUAUGCCAUUUAUUUGCUUUUAUUUUAUUUGGCAUUUUAUAAUUAUCUACAAUUAUAUACAAACCACAUUCGCUUGCUAAUAACGAGACCAAGGGGAUUGACAACCCUCUUGCCUGCGUUGGGUGCAAGCUGUUUGUUCUUUUCUAUGCAGCCCUUGAAGACGGUUGUGGUUGAUAUUCCUAUUGGUUCGAUAAACUUGGUUUCAUAACUGAGGGAAAUACUUACCCACAUUGUGUUGCGAUAACUCGUUCCUCUUCACGGAAAACCCAACGUAGAUCACAAGUGUCAGAGUACGAACGGUAAUUUGUGCUAUCAUUUUGUGAAUCACGUGCUUAUUACGAAGAAUUGUCUAUGUUAGUAUUUGUCCGUGUUAUUUUCAAUCUUUUCACACGGUUUCAUUUACUGACAUGUUUUCUGGGCAUCACACACAUAUUGUUACGCUGAAUUGUUUAUAUUAUUUUGGCUCAUUGCAUAGAGUUCAUCCAAGCGGUAUGCCAUGUGUCGCACACAUCUUGAUCUGUGCAACCGUUUGUGUUAUUUUGGCUCAUCACAAAUAGUUCACCCGAGUGACCUGUAUUCAACAUAGAUGUUGUGAAGACAGAACAAAUCACAGUACACACAGUCUAAACUACGAAAACAUUGGUGAUGAUUUCUUCAAUCGUUGACAAUUGUAUACCGGCAAGUGUUCCCCCACAACACACGCGAGUUAUUAGCACCAAACGUAUGUGUUAUUUCUGGUGUUCGCACGUGAUUCUGUUUACUCAUCGUUUGUUGUAUAUCAUACGAAUCUUGUUAUGCCAAAUCUUUUGUGUUGUACUAUAUCAUCGCACACAGUUUACGGUAGUGAACUAUGUGCCCUCUAUUGCACACAUCUCGAUCUCAGUAAAUGUUUGUGUUAUUUUAGCUAAUCGCAAAAACUUGUUUGUCACAAUUGUAUGUCGCGUAUUGCGUAUGCAACUUUUUUCUCAAUUGUGUUUGAUGUUUCCGCCAUCGCAGACAUUUUUCGUUAUUGGCGACGGAGCUAUAACUAUACCGUUUACGAUUCAUGCAUCACACACAAUUUUGUCGAAGGUUGUCUGAUUGAUGUGUCGUCUUUGUACCAUCCUGCAGUACUGCUUCAUUCACCAUAAAGUGGCACUUCUCCCAAUUCAAGACAAGAUUAGUUUCUUCACAUAUCUUCAAAACUCAAUCAAGGUUGCUCAAGCAAUCGUGAAAAGAAGUCCCGUAAACGGAAAAAUCAUCCAUGAAAACUAGAACAAUCUUUUCAUAAAAGUCAAAGAAUAUACAGGUCAUGCAUCUUUGUAAGGUAGCAGGUGUAUUGCAUAAACCAAAAGGCAUAUGUCUAUAAGCAUAGGUUCCAAAAGGGCAUGUGAAAGUAGUUUUCUCUUGGUCCUCUUUUGAAAAAGGUAUUUGAUAGAAACCAUAAUAUCCAUAAAGAAAACAAAAGUGUGUGUACUUAGAUAAUAUUUUUAACAUUUGAUCAAUAAAAGGAAAGGGGUAAUGAUCUUUCCUAGUAGAUUUGUUCAAUCUCCUGAAAUCAGUUACCAUCCUAUAAAUAGUUACUAUUCUUUGUGGAAUAAUUCACUUUUAUCAUUAGGAACAACAGUUAUACCUUCUUUCUUAGGAACACAAUGAACAAGACUUACCCACCUAGUAUCAGCAAUAGGAUAAAUUAUACAUGCCUCCACAAGCUUUAGUAUUUCAAUUCCUACCACUUCCUUCAUCUUAGGAUUUAAGAGGCAUUGAUGAUCAAUGACACGUUUAGCAUCCGGUUCCAUAUUAAUCUUGUGCUCACAUAGAGUAGUGAUUAUGGCCUUAAGAUCAUCAAGAAUAUAUCCAAUAGAAUCCCUGUACUUCUUUAGAGUUUUGAGUAACCUCUUUUCUUUAUGAUCUAAAAGGUUAGCACUAAUAAUAAUAGGAUAUAUCUUGUUUGCAUGAAGAUAAGCAUAUUUCAAAGUAUCAGGUAAUGUCUUUAACUCAAAAACGAGAUCUUCUUUUAGUGGACAAUCCCCUAAGAUACAAACAUGCAAGUUGUGUGUGAGGAUAGGAGCUUGUCUAAAGAAUAUAUCAUCUCUCUCUUUUUUUCAUUCAUAUGCAUAUCAUUCUCAUGGUCUGGCAAAUAUCAUUCUAAAGGAUAUGUAGGAGGCACAACAAUAGAAGCAAGACCAAUAAUUUCAUCUGUACUAUAUAACUCCUUCUCACAUGGUUGUCUACCAAAUUUAGAGAAAUUAAAUUCAUGAGACUCGUUACCAAAGCUAACUUUAACUUUCUCUUUGACAUGAUUAAUUUCAGGUGCCAAAGGCUUCAUGAGCAUCUACAUCAUAUGAUUUGGCACUUCACGUUCAUCAUAGAUCUUGUCCCUUUGAAAGUGCGUUAUAUCGAGUAGAGGAGGGGGUGAAUAGGAGAUUUUAAGAAUUUCAUCACUGAGAAAAUUCCUUUUGAGGAAAUUCCACACUCAUGACUAACUUGCAGCGGAAACAGCAAAGGAUCAAGAGUGCAAAGUAUCACUACAGCAGUUUUUCAGGAUGAAGAAUAUGAAAAACAGUUUGCACAGUAUGCAGGCACGGAGAAAACAGAUGAGGAUUAACUCGCGUGAAGAAUUUGGGGUUGAGGAAUUUCAGAGAAAGUCUUUAGCAAAUUCUUCAAACAGUGACAGUUAAAAUCAUCAACACACAAUUUGAGGAAUAUAAAGAGUUGAGGAAAUAGAACCCGUUUCACAGUGAAGACAGUGGUUGAUGACCCAGUUCCAACUGUUGUGACAGUUGUACAUCUCGUUUGGAGCGGCUUGGUAUUGAAACCAAUGGACACACAGUCCCGGGACACACAGUCCCUACUGUAUUCUCCUUGGGCUAAGAACACACAGUCCUCGCCCAACACUCGUGGUAAGUCUUCAGGGCUGACUUCCAAACCCUCACAAACAUGGUCACCUGGCGAUCCACAAUUGACUGCUGGAUUGCUCUAGACCAUGACGCCUAACCGUAUGGAGGAUGCAUAGUCCUCAAAGGUAAAAGGCUUCAGUCCCACACAUGAACAACUUCUUCAGUGAUGCUCAAUCACUUGGUUUUGGUUUGUGGUUUGGUGUUUGGGGUAUUUCCUCACUGAUGAAUUACUCUCGAAGACUCUGAGGAAUUUGGGUUGCUCUUAUGACAAGUGUCAGUUUCUAACAGAGCAGCCAACCGGCUAAUGGUUGUGGGGCGGCUAUUUAUAGCCUGGGAGCAUCCCUACAUGAUUUGACAUUAAUGCCCUUAAAUAAUAUGACCGUUGGUGUGGAUAAGACCAAUGAUGUGGCGCGACUUGCGGUAACGGUCGGGACCCUCAACUAUGAGAGUCCUCAUGUCUCUCAUAUUCCUCACUUGAGGCUUUUGGUAGGAUUAGGCUUGGGUUGAGCAUCAUGAGGAAAUUCAUUCCGACGUGUUACUUUGACCCCCUUUAACAGUACGGUGUUCCUAUGACUCAAAAGUGAAGAAAAUAAAAUAGAUAGAAUAAAUCAUCAUGCUUCAUAAUCUUCAGCUUGUUUUUCUUCAGGACACAUUGCUUGUUUUUCUUCAUAAUCUUCAGCUUGUUUUUAGGGGUCGAUAUUCAUCGAAUAUUUCAAACCCCUCAGUGACUUAUAGAUCAUGUGUACACUUAUAAACACAUUAGAUACUUAACCUAUAAGUAUUCAAACCACCAAAAUCACUAAGGGGCACUAGAUGCACUUACAAUCUCCCCCUUUUUGGUGGUUGAUGACAAUUAGGUUAAGUCUUCAACAAGGAUAAAAAUAUGAAGUGUAAAUACUCAUUUGAGGAAUUCGAAAUCAAGAUUCAGAGAGACUCCCCCUGAAGAUGUGCAUAUCUUGAGGAUUUUGCUUUUCACAGCAAAUGCACAUUGAUGAUUUAUAUCAUGGAGAUCUCUCCGUGAGUCUUGUAAAUCAUGCAUACAUACGACAUAUAGUAUGAAGAAAUUGAGAUGCAUGAUGACAAAUGGUAUCUGACGAAUUCCAGCAUGCGUGCAUUAAAAUUUUGAGGAAUAAGCAUGCGAAGAAAAACGUUCAAAAGCGUCAGAGUACGUACCAUCGGGCUUAAGUGACAACUCAUUACAUAAAACACUUCAGAAGAGCCAAGAGUUUGUAACUUAAAUAAAGUUUAUAAGCCCCCAAAAUAUAUCCCACGUGAAGACUAACUCUUAGAUUUCUCCCCUUUGUCAUCAAGUGACAAAAGGGACAAACUGAGGACUAACGCCCGUGAAGACUUUCACUUCUUGGAAGUUGUGGAAGACGCGUGAGGAUUCUUGGGAGCCGAUUUCCUCCUUGGACCAGUGGUAGUAUCUUGUUGGUCUUCAUCUGAUUCAGCAGUGCGGAAUGAAGAAAACGAACUGUCCUCAAGGUCUGGAACUGGAAUUGGCCUGAAUUUCUUCUUUGGUGGCCACGACCAGUCGAAGUCUUGUGCAAGCUCCAAUUCUUCAAGUUCUGCUGGAGUCUUCAAAUGAUCCAGUGUGGCCCAGGUGCGAUCAAAAACCUCAUGAAGAUAAUGAUGGUUAAGCUUCACAACAUUUUGCGUUUCGUUGAGGGUUUUCACAAUGGCGCCGAACUGGCGUUUGACGCACUUGUGAUUCCGACCAACCUUUUGGUGAAGAGUUAGAAGAAGCUCUCUGGUAUUCAUCACCCUUCGAGCAACAGGACUUGGAGGAUGGGUUUCAGUGUCAUCCCAUGAGGAAUAUGCAUCUGGCUCUCGGAACUGGCCAUCAAGGGGCCGACUGCCUUCAUCAAUAACAUACUUGCCUUUUCCUUCAACAGGCUCGAAAGUCUUCUUGUUGACCCUCAGGGGAGGCAUAUAACCUUGAUGAUUGUUGAAAUCAGCGUGAUAGUUGAUGCCUAACCUGCGUCUGAUGAAUCUCAUGAUCCAUGGAGCGUAAAUCUUCAGGUCAAAAGGGGACAUAGCAUUUUCCGCCAGAGUCCUCAAGAAGAAAUCAUGGAUGUUGAUGGGAAUGCCAUGGAUGAUGUUGAAGAGGAUAUUCUUCAUAAUGCCUACGACGUCUUAUUCAUCAUCAUGACCCUUGAUAGGUGCAAGAACACUGCAGAGGAUUCUGUAAACCGUCCUGGGUUCAUAUAUUACCUCAUGGACCAGGAAGGUUGUUCUUGGUGGUUGCCCCUUAGCCAAAGGCUUCAUGAGGACUUCCAUCAGCUUGUUUGGCAGCUCUCGUUCAUCACACAACUUUACUGCCUUCUCUAACGGAAUUGACACAGGAAGUUCUCGCAGAAGCUCAUUGGCAGGAGCCUUGAAGUGUGUGUGAUGCGUCAUCCAGUCCAGCACCCAAGUGUUGAUGUAUGUUGGAUCUCCAGAGAUGUGCAGAGUUGCAUAGAAUUGAAGAACAACGUCACUGUUCCAAUCGCAAAUAUUAGAGCACAUGGGGAGCAGUCCUGCUUCAUGAAGAACGUUGAGGACUGGAGCAAAGCACGGAAUUUCUUCAAGCUCAACAUGAGGAAUGUGCCUGUGCUGGAAAAUCAUGUUUCUUCCACACAGUAUAGAUGCAUAGUAGUUGAGUUGUGUCCUGGUGCAAAACUUCAGAUGCCUGAUGUGAGGCUUGUCAUAGGGAUUUUCUUCGAUGAAGUACAUGCGUUCUUCAAAGAAGGGUUCGUUUUGAAACUUUGGCCACUUGGAGAACGGCUGACGCUGCAUGAGCUGAAGGUUUUGCUUCUUCCCUUGAGGAGAGACAAUCAUCGCAGUUUCUAGAUUGAUGACGGCAAGCGCAUUCUCUCGAUUUGGUGCAUUUUCCUCAGCAUGUUCCUCAGGAUGAGGAAUUUCAUCUGCUUGUGCUUUGGGCUGAGGAGCUUGCUCUGGUUGAGGAAUGUCAUCAACGGGAGCCUCUGGUUGAGGAUUUUGCUCAGGAGGAGGAAUUAGUUCAUCCUGAGCCUCAGGUUGAGGAUUUUGCUCAGGAGGAGAAAUUGCUUCAUCCUGAGCCUCAGGUUGAGGAUUUUGCUCAGGAUUUUUGUAGUGCGCCAAGUGUAAAGCUUUCCCUAUUUGUAACCUUCUAUGUGGGACCACCUUGACAUUGUCAUGAGAGCUAUCUAUGCAUGUAUGAAUUCAUGUGCCAUACCUUGUAUUCCUCUUUUGCAUACAUGCAUCCAUGCCAUACCAUCCUUGCCAUACCUUGUGUUCACUUGUGAAGUGGUGUUUGGAUACAUUGUGUUUUAUGUGGUGUGAUCCCAUGUGAUGUUGGAGUAGAGAGUAGAGGGGUGGUAGUUAAUUGCUUGAAAACACCUUUGUCAUUUCAAACCCUUUUUCUUUCCCUUUAAAUCUCAUGUCCAAAUUCCAUCCUCUCCAAAGCUGGUUUUAAAAUGUCUUGUGUUUAGAAAAAAAUAGUGGGAUAAGGAUGUGAUAGUUUGGAGUUUUAUUGUUUGACUUGAGGGUGAAAAUAAAUAACAAAACAAAUUAUUUAAAUGCUAUUUUGGUAUUUCUUAAAGUAGCCCCAUAAAUAAUUUUAGUAUUUUGUUAAAAUACUAUGUUCAUUUUCAGGUCGAGGGCUAUUUUUGUAUUGAUUUUAUCUUCUUUAGUUUGCCCUGUACCUAUUUUUCUUUCUGUGGUUUAUUUUUUAAUAGGAAAGAACCAGGGGCAUCUCUUUGUUAUCUGGCGCACUAAGUGGGCUCCCUCCCACUUAGCGGCCCAUCUUCUCUUUCUAUCGCAGCCCAGUAUCGCUACCCGUGUAGACGGCGUGCUCGUCCCCCUUCCUCCGUCAGACUGUCUUCAGACUUGCGGGAUUUAGAGCAACGGCGACCUGACGGCGUCACGGACGUCGAGGAGCGUUCCUCGCCCCUCUCCUCCAUAAAAGGGACCACCCUUGGCGUCCGUGCAGAUAGGGUUUCCCUCUCUCGCACUUCCACCUCCAUUCCCUCUCCAUCUCUCUCUUUGACGAAGCGCAUCAGGUAAGGAAGGGCUCCUCCGCCAUGGCCGUGGGUUGAGGUGCUCCUUGCUGCCGCGUCCGAGCCUAUUCUUCGCCUCCGACGACUCGGCGAGCACGCGGGGACAUCCAUGGUUCCAUCCCUACGGCUAGGUCGACGCGAGCGCCCCUGCAUCCUCUUCUCCACGACGGCGACACCCCUCCCCGACGAGCAGACCAGAUCGGCGACCACCUCUUCUUCCCCUGCUUCCUCUCCGUCACGGCCGAGUUCUCCUUCCGUUGGGUGAGCAGAUUCAUCUCUUACCCCUUCCCUGUAGUAGUUCUUUGAGUAGGAGCAAAAGGUCGUCGACGUGCUGCUUCCCUGUCGCCGACGCUGCCGCGCACCGUAGCUAGGCCGCUGUAGUUUUUCCCGGGAGAAGUUAGCAUAGGAAAUGGGUUCGUGGGAGCGUAGGCGUCCUCCCUUCCAUGAGCCGUUGCUCGCUUUGAUCUGUGCUGCCGGCGGGAUAGCUCCCCUGUUCCGGCCGCCGCGGCUCUCCUGUGUAUCUCAAAGGGGGAAUGUUCAAAAGGGAUAGUGCCCCUUCUCUGUUAGUAUUCUUGCCCGUAGCGUAGUGGUACCGCUUGUUGUAUGCAUGUUGGAAGGCGCGGGUUCGAUCCCCCCCUUCGGCACUCUUUUGUUUUCUGAUUUAAGUGCACAGUAGGCCACCAGGGACAGGUUUUCCCGUUUGAGCAUCUCUCUCUGUCGAGCAGUAGGCUGCUAGCAGAGUGGUGUUGGGCCUGUGUGUUGACACGGGGGGUGUGGGAUCGAAUCCCUCCCCUGCCCUUUUAUUUUUUUGUUUCUAUGCAUAUCUGUUUUGCUUUGUUUUUCUUGCAAAGUUGCUGCAAAUGCUUGGUCUCAUGUGGGUGUUUUAAUUCAUUCACUUCAGCUUGUUGUUCCUAAUGGUUGGUGCUAGCAAGAGUAGAGGCAUGAGUAGAUUUAACUUGGUAGAAGUCUAAGUGUAGGUUGCUUGCAUAUGUGUGUCUGUGAUCUUGCUAGUAUGUGUAGAUGUUGUGGUUGCAACUAGUGUGUGCAUAUGUGGAGUAGUGAGAUAAGUAUUUGUGCAUGUAUUGUGUGGUGUGUGUAAGUGAGUACCACACACACAUGAGUUUGACUCAUGUGGUACCUAGUAGGAGUGUGGUGAGAUGAUGCUUCCAUGAUUUAUCUUGUUUAGUAGAUCCCCUUCAUAUUGUUCUUGGGAGUAAGUGCUUGCCAUGAGGUAGUGGUGGUGAUAUGUGUGUGGUGAGGCAGCCCCACUUUGCAACACUUGUGCUCCUCCUCAUGUUCAUAUGAAAGAGGGCAUAAUGUGUGUGUGAUCUAAGUGGUAGUAGUGUUUGUGAUGUUGUUGUGCAUGACACAAGCAUGGGGUCCAAACCCUCAUGUCCAUAUUGUCUUUGUGCACAUGAGCAUAGUUAGGUGGUAGUUGUUCUAGUGAAAGUUGCAUGAAAUGUUGCACUGUUCACCAUGUAGGAAUCUAUGUAGUUUUCCCUUCCUAGUUUGAGGCCACUUGCUCCAAACAAGUGCGUACAUAUUUUAUAUGAUUUUGUGGUAGAAUCUCCCAAGGAAUCCAUUGGUGAACUCAUAUUUUUCCAUUGGAACAUUUUCUGGAGAUGACAUAUUUUCAUUUUCUUCUAUGUUUGGAACAUGGUUCCAUGAGUUGUGGUGAGCCUUUGUGUUUGUUUCUUGGUUGUGCUAGUAGAGGGUGACCCCCUCUACCUCUUGUUGGUUUCAUCUCAUGAUUAGGAUUCCAUAUGUGCAAGUUAUGCCCACUCAAAGUAGGCAUGUGACUGAAAUUCCAGAUUAGUGAAAAUCUGAGAUUUGAUUUUCACUAAGUCUGAGAAUCUGUUUAUAAUUUCUUCUUCUGUAGAUGAGGUUGUGCUGGUCAUUAUGUUGUGAUAUAGCCUUAGCUUUCAACUAGAAACUUGGACCUGAUAUGUUUGUCUAUCUCCCUAUAAAAUUUAAUUUCAUUUGGAGGCCCGUAGCUAUUGUCUUGGCUGCUUUCAAAAUGCUCCAGAGCAUAGACGGAAAGUGAGAAUCUGGAAUUUUCACUAAGUCCCUGAAAACUGAUGUUUUUGGGCAAGUUUGCAGCCUUGUAACUUUCUAUGUUUAAUUCGUUUUUGUGUGAUUAUUGCUUGUGCUUGUAGUAUUCUUGGCUAGCUACAGCCACAUAUAUUGUUUGUCAUAGUUGGGUGGAUGUAGGUGCUUUGCAUGUAGCUCGCAAAGUGCUAUGAUGCAGUUAUGGCAGAUUGUGUAGUUUUGUCAUUUUGAUGUUUGUGAGUGCUUAGUUGAUGUUGUGGUGUUAUUAUUUGAUCCACCCCAUCCAUGAUGGUUUGUUUUAUGUCUUGGCAACCUGGAAAAACCAGAGUUGCGCCAUUUGAGUGUGUGGUGAUGAUUUUGUUACGUAGGGCUUCAUAUCUUGUUUCGUUGAUUCCCGUUGAUCCGUAGCUCCGUUUGUAAUGUUCUUUAUAUGGUUUUGCAUCGUUUUCACGAGAUGCAUCUGAUCAUGUCAUUAUCAUGCAUGUCAAAAUAGGGUAUCUUGCAGUUCUGUCCAGGAACAUGUUUUAACUCCUUUUGCUUGUGCUAGUGAUAGAAAUAGUGGUGCAUACUCAUAUCCAUCUCAUGCAUCAUGUGCUUGUUGCAUCUUGAGGUGAUGUUGUUCAUGGGAUGUUAUUCUUAUGUUGGGUAGCACCGGGAUCGGAGAACGAAUACGUGGAGUCAGGAGAGUACGUGCAGGACGAUCAAGAACAUUCCAAGCUGAGGAUAUCACAGGCAAGAUGAUAUGACCUUGAUUUCAUCUCUAGACUUGUUAUGCUAGAUUACGUUUCCUUUGUAUUAUGCACGCUGCCUACCACUGAAAUAUUUUCCUCUUGAUAUGCCAUGAACCCAAACACUGACCCCUUCCUAGCAAACUUGAAUGGCUAAGUAGGCUUUGCUCAGCUACUAAUCUUAGCGUUGCUAGAUGGAGGUGUUUCUAACUCAUGUGAUAACAUGAGCUUGAUAUCAUUAUCCUAAAUUCUGUUAUUUAAUUAAUGCACCUAUAUACUUGGUAAAUAACGGAAGGACUAGCCUUUUGUCGGGUGCUUUGUUCCGUUAUUGUCGCCUUAGUUACCGGCUACCGGUGUUUGAUUCCAUAAUGAUCGCUCCUAACACGUUCGGGGUUGUUAUGGGGACCCCCUCGAUAAAUCGCGUAGUUCUAAGGCUUUUCCGGCAGGACCCAACAAUGGUGUUAAUUUUCUAAUCACAUAAUGAUAAUCUGCAUAGGGAAUGGCCUACCCGAGGAAUUUAAUCAAAAACCCGGAUCAGUGCUCCUCAUGAGUGUUGGUCCAACCCAGAGCAGCUUAUUACGCUCCCCGGGGCAACUCGGUGUUUUGGCGUGGUAACCAUCGCUCAUCCGGCGUGUCCUGAGACUGAGAUACGCGGCUCUUAUCAGGGUCGUCGACACGUCGGAAGGUCCUGCUAGCCUUGCCUUACCUUAGCGGUAUAUCUUGCGUAUAGGAAUCCCGGUGAAGCUUUGGUUCUCCCGAGAGUUGAGGUUUUCCUCUAAGGAAUCCGACGAAAUCACGAGAUUCGUUAUAGAGGAUUACUUUGCGGCCUAUGUACGUUUGUGAUGGACUAGUUGGAGCACCCCUGCAGGGUUUAAUCUUUUGGAAAGCCGUACCCACGGUUAUGUGGCAACUUGGAAUAUUUUGUUAACAUCCGGUAUUAGAUAACUUAAACAAAAGCUAAUAAAAUUGCCAACUGUGUGCGUAACCGUGACUGUCCCCUCGAAGAUCUCUCAUCGAUCGGGAACACGGUGGGGUUAUGAAUGACGUAGGUAGGUGUUCAAGAUCACCUAGUGAUCAAGUAUUCUCGACCGCUAGAAUAGUCCACCUUCAUAAAUGUUCUACUUAAGUUAGCCACCAUGUCAAGCUUAGGAUGAUGCAACCUUAAACACUCCACCCUAUCCAACCUAAUAACUUGACUAGUUCUGGCAACGAGGUCAUAGAUUGCUGAGUCCCCGUGGCUCAUGGAUUCCUUCACAAAACCAACAGGUUCAGGUACCCCGGAGACAGGUGAUCCCGACGGCACGCAGCUGGCGUGGCAGUACGACGAGGAGUCCGACCGCCUGUAUGUGAACUAUCCAGAAGAUUGAGGCGUGGUCGUGAUCAUGGGCCAGUAAGCAGGGUAGCAUAGCCUUUUCUCUUGUUUUGUAGUCCGUAGCGGAACUACUUUGGUUGUAUGCGUGAUGUACUCUGAUAUAUUUAUGAGAAGGCAAUUGAACCCCUGAUUGUCUAUCUUUAUUAUUAUGUAUGUGUUGUGUUUACCUGUUUGCGAGACGCUUAGAUGCGCUCCUUUCCAAUUCGGGGCCUCGAUCCCCAGAUCGGAAAGGACCGCAUCUUGGUCGUUACAAUUUUGAAUUUCGUCAGGCUGAGAGUUUUUGCUUUGUUUUUCCUCAGCUUGAGGAAUUUUCUUGGUGGAGGAGCCAGAUUCAUCAGCUGGUUCACCUGAUCCUUGAGCAGUUUCUUCAGGAGGAAUGAAGGUCUGAGGAAUGUCGUCAAUCCGAAUUUCCUCAUCAGUGUGUUCCUUAGACGCAACAUUCUUCAUUUCCUUAUCAGUUAAGUGCUCCUUGUCUUCUCUUUCGAAGAUAGUCAUCUCAUAAGAGGGAGCAACGUUGAGAGGCACAGGAUCCAGAGGUGUAUUUUUAUCAAGUGAUUUGAGGCGCUUGGCCUCAGUUGAUUCUUCUGCUGAGGAAGCUUUUCUCUCCUUGGCUUAUUUUUUAGCAGCUCUGGUCUUCUUCACGUCUGAUGCAGACGGGGUCAUUUUCUUCACCUUUGAAGCUUUUUGUGAAGACGUUUUCUCUUCAGGAGGCGGAGACUGAUCUGUCCUGGCAGUUUCCUCAGCUGAAGCGGUUUCUUCAACUCGAACAGAGUCAUCAGUUGGCUUAGAUGCAUCAGUCGUAGCAGUUUCAUCAGCUGGAGCAGAGUCAUUAGCUGGAGUUUCCUUGGUUAUUUCCUUAAUAAUCGGUUCAUCAGCAUGGCUUUCUUGAGGGAUUUCCUCAGCAUGAGCAGUUUCAUCAGUUGGUUCUCAAUCAGAGGCCGAGGUGUUGUUGCUGGAGGGGCAGCCUUCUUGUUGUAAUCAUCAACUGCAUCAGUAGCAAAUUUGAUGAAAUUGUUCUUGAGACUUUGACGAUCAGAGAGCUUAGUGUACUUGUCAGUCAAAGUCUUCAAUUCUGCCUGUAUGUACACAAGUGCAUCAGGCGUCAGGUUGAGGAGAUUCUGUCUGAGGAACUUCUCCUUUUUGAGCUUUGCAACCUUAGCUUGUUUGGCUUGCUGCUCCUUCCACUUGGCCUUGUUGAUGAAUGUGGCCACCAUGUGGCUCAUGCUUGGGGGAAGCUUCAAAUCAUCGAUAGGAGUGUUGGGGUCCUCAUACCAGAUGUUGAUGUAAUCCAAAAGGACUUCUAGGACCAUGGCCAGAGGAAUGGAGCUUCCUGAAGCUUGUGCUACCCUCUCCUGCUUGUUUCUGAUGAUGGCUUGCAGAGUCUCAUCAUCAUAUUCAUCACUACCUUCUGAUGCAGAAGGGACUUUGAUGAUUUUGCUAGGGCUUGGUCUGGUUCCUCUCCCAGCAGUCACCUUAGUCUUCAUUGGAGUAGGUGAAGACUUUGUCUCGGAGCUUGUGGCAGACGGAACAGAGGAGCUAGAGACGGUAGGCAGUUGCUUUACAAUCUGCUUCUAUUCAGGCUUUGAAGCCUUUGGUGGUGCUGAGGGUUUCGGUGCUGAUGCUAGUGCAGCUUUCUGAGGCAUUUUCUCCUGAGGCUUUGAAGCCUUUGGUUUCGGUGGCACAGACUUCAUUUGAGGAAUGGCCGUACCAGAAGUUUCAGCUGCAGAGGAGGUGGCUGCAGUUGCAGCAGCAGCAGAUUCUUCAUUGAAUUUCCUCACGGCGGCUUCUGCUUGCUUCUGAAGCUUUGACAAAUGUUUUGACUUUUCUUCCGGAUAGUCAUCAAUUGUCUUGAGGCUUGAGGGGUGUGCAUCCUGAUAAUCCUCAAGAGGAGGCCGUUUGCCAGGAGGCUUCAGAGCAAAUUUCUUCGCAUACUUGUGAGUGACAAAUCUGUAUUCUUUCCACUCCUUAGGCCACCGGCGUUCUAUCCUUUGAAGCCUUAUCUUCCUCUUGGGCAUAGUCUCUUGUUCAUCAGGCGUGUAGUAUUCCAGGUAUAUAUCCUCACGGAUAUCUAUGGCAGUGUUCUGCUCGAGCUUCUUGCCACCCUUUUGCUUCCUUUCAUCUUCCAUUUUCUUCAACUGAGGCUUUUGCUGAGGAAAUUGAACUCUUGAGGAUUCUGAUGAAACUUGCAGAUUUUCUUCAAGAAACGCUGCAAACGAGUUAAGUUGAUGAGAACCUAGAGAUUCAUCAGCUGACAUGUUUGUACCUGUGAAUAGAGUAUAGUUGCGAGGAAUUUGGAGAGGUCAUGUGCGUUCUCAGAUUUGAUGAAAUGAAAAAAAAAGUUGAGGAAUUUGACCAGUAUAUGAGGAAUCGUCUAAGCACAUUGUUCUUGGGUUCCAGAGUUGCAUAGAUUCGAAAAUUUGCACAAUUGAGGAAUCUCGUGAAGAUUUUAGAUGCUUAGUGAAAUUCAUCAAUAGUUGAGGAAUAAGCAGUGUUUGAGGAAAAGAGACUGAUGAAUACUUGAGGAAAAACAUAUUUCACACAUUUAAGGUAAAAUACUAGAUUGAAAGAGCUGUUAAAAAUAGGGUUUUUAUUUACGCUAGAUAGCGUGCACGAAGAACAUAGAAGGAAGUAGCAGUAGAUGCUCUUCGGUGCGAGUCCACUGCACCCUAACUCGGCAACACAGGACAGCUACGGCGGCGGCGGACGAAGAUGGUCCGGUUCCUGCGUGAUAUCGGUGACGGAGAGGUCGAGGCAGUCAAGCUUUUCCUCGCCGGCAUCGAGACUUCUAGCGGUGGCUCUGGGGCUUUUGAGCUUUGCUGUAGCAGGAGAGCGAUAGGACGAAGAAGAUUUUACCGAAGGGAGAUGGGGACAUAUUUAUAGCCAGGUGGUAACUGUUGGCGUGAAAGUAUCGGAGCAAAUAGCCCCUGUCUCUACGUCUCCGCAAGACACGUGUAGCCCACGACCUAAGCGGUGGAGAUCGUGGAGAUCGUGGUUAUCCGAACGGGGAAAGUGGGGUUCAGUUACUGUGUAACAAUAUAAAAAUCAUUUUUCAAGAUUUGAGGAUUUCGUUACAAAAUCAUCAGCUGACAAGGACGCAGUGAGGAUUUUGAACAAAGUUUUAAGUAGAACGCAUAUGAAGAAUUGAAUAGACUGGGUGAGAGUAGCAUAGAGGGAAAGUAGGGUCCGAUCACAUUCACUUAGAUGAAAUAUCAAAUUGAAGAAAUAGCUAUAAGUGAAUGCUGUUGAGGACUUUGAAAUCACAGUCUAUCUAGGUAAACAAAAAUCAUCAAGUGUUUUUGAAGAUUUUGAUUAACUUGAGGAUUUUGUGACGAAGCGUCAUGAUGAUGAAUUUCAGUUUUGAAGAAAAACUAGUUUGAAGAACAACUGUUGACGAAAAUCGACUUUUGAAGAAAUUCAGCUUUGAAGAAAUUCAACUUGAGGAAUUUCACUUUGGGUGGUGGCGUGACCCACCAUAUAAGAAUGUUGAUUUUAGAAGCCGCGUACAAUUGUCGUAGGGCCCUGAGAAUCAAUUUCUUCGUUGAUUUCCUCACACUCAGAGUGAUAUUCUUCAUUGGUUGAAGAAAAUUGAUUCAUCGUCUGUUGCACAUCUAAGUCAUCAAUUUUGCAUAAGUGUUAGGAUGUGUGCAUGUUUUUACAAAACAUUUGAAGAUUCUAAGAUAUUUAGCUCACACCGCAACUUGCAAAACCUUUUCUCAUCCAAGGGCUUAGUGAAGAUAUCUGCUAGUUCAUCAUCAUUCUUCACAUGGUCGAUGAGGAUAUUUCCCUUGAGGACAUGGUCCCGAAGAAAAUGAUGAUGAAUCUAGAUGUGCUUGGUCUUCGAGUGUUGUACUGGGUUGUAUGCAAUCUUGAUUGCACUCUCAUUGUCGCAGUAGAGAGGCACAUUCUUCAUGUUGAUGCCGUAGUCCUUGAGGGUUUGCUUCAUCCACAGCAAUUGAGCACAACAUGAACCAGCAACAAUGUACUCAGCUUCGACAGUGGAGAGUGAAACGCAGUUCUGCUUCUUUGAGGACCAGCAGACUACUGAUCUUCCGAGGAAAUGACAUGUGCCAGAGGUUGACUUGUGAUCCACACGGUCACCGGCAUAGUCAGAAUCAAAAUAUCCCACAAGAUGAAGAUUUGAGCCCUUGGGGUACCAUAAUCCUAGUGUUGGUGUGUGAGCUAAGUAUCGAAGAAUAUGCUUCACAGGCUUAUGGUGUGAUUCCUUCAGUUUUGAUUGAAAACGUGCACACAUGCAAACACUAAGCAUUAUAUCUGGCCUAGAUGCACACAAAUACAGUAAAGAGCCAAUCAUGGAGCGAUAUACCUGCUGAUCGAAUUCUUUACCAUUUUCGUCAGUGCAGAGGUGGCCGUUGGUAGGCAUUGGAGUCUUGGCACCUUUGCAUUCAUGCAUGUCGAAUUUCCUCAGAACAUCCUUCAGGUAUUUCUCUUGUGAUAUGAAGACUCCAUUGCAUUGUUGACAAAUUUGAAGACCUAAGAAGAAUUUCAGCUCCCCCAUCAUAGACAUCUGAUAUUCUUCACUCAUCAUAUAAGCAAAUUCAUCACUGUAAGGUUUGUGAGUACAACCAAAUAUGAUGUCAUCGACAUAUAUCUGGCACACAAAUAGUUCUUUAUCAUAGGUUUUAGUGAAAAGAGUUGGAUCGAUUGAACCACGUUUGAAGCCUUUCUUCAUGAGGAAUUCCUUCAAUGUAUCAUACAAUGCCCGAGGGGCUUGCUUGAGACCAUAGAGCGCCUUUGUGAGUCUGAAGACUUUGUGUGGAUUCUUUGGAUCCUCAAAACCUGGGGGCUGAGCAACAUAUACUUCUUCCUCAAGAUUACCACUGAGGAAUGCACUUUUCACAUCCAUUUGAUAUAAGAUGAUGUUAUGAUGAUUAGCAUAAGCAAGCAGUAUUCGAAUAGCUUCAAGUCUAGCAACAAGUGCAAAAGUUUCAUCGAAAUAUAUUCCUUCAACCUUUGUGUAGCCUUGGGCUACAAGUCGUGCCUUAUUCCUCACCACUUGACCAUCCUCAUCUUGCUUGUUUCGGAAAAUCCACUUGGUUCCGAUGAUAUUGUGCUUGCGAGGAUCUGGUCGUUUGACGAGCUCCCAUACGUCAUUCAUCUUGAAUUGAAGAAGUUCGUCUUGCAUGGCUUGGAUCCACUCUGGUUCCAUGAAAGCCUCAGCAACUUUUGAAGGUUUUGUGAUAGACACAAAGGAUAAAUGCCCACAAAAGUUAACUAAGUGUGAAGCUUUUGAGCGAGUGAGAGGACCUGGCGCAUUGAUGUCAUUAAGGAUUUUGUAAAGUUCCACAUCAUUUGCAAUCCUCGGAUGAGCUGGUUGAGGAUUUCUUCUGGGCUGAGGAAUUGGUUCUGGAGCAAUUUCCUCAGGAGCAUCUUCUUGAUUUUCAUCAGUGCUGGGAAUGAUUUCUUCAUCAAUUUCCUCAGUGGGAACAAUGUCUUCAGUAGCUUUGAGCUUUAUUGCUUCCUCAGGAGACAACUUAUCUGGAUCAGGAGGCCAUUGCUCUCUUUGCGAGCCAUUAGUUUCAUCGAACCGCACAUCUACAGUCUCAACAACCUUGUUGUGAUAGUUGUUGUAGACUCUGUAGGUGUGCGAGUCCUUUCCAUAACCGAGCAUAAAACCCUCAUGUGCCUUAGGUGCAAACUUUGAGCUAUGGUGAGGAUCUCUAAUCCAGCAUUUUGCACCGAAGACUUUGAAAUAACUUACAUUGGGUUUCUUGUCUGUGAGGAGUUCAUAUGAGGUUUUCUUGAGGAAUUUGUGAAGAUAUACCCUGUUGAUGAUAUGGCAUGCAGUGUUGAUUGCUUCAGGCCAAAAGCGACGAGGAGUCUGAUAUUCUUCAAGCAUGGUUCUUGCCAUCUCAACCAGAGUCUUGUUCUUCCUUUCAAUGACACCAUUCUGUUGAGGAGUAUAAGGAGCAGACAAUUCGUGAGUAAUACCAAGUUCAUCAAGAUAAUUAUCAAGACCAAUGUUUUUGAACUUUGUUCCAUUAUCACUCCUGAUGUGUUUGAUCUUGAUGCCAAAGUUUGUCGAUGCCCUUGAAGAAAAUCGUUUGAAGACUUCCUGCACUUCAGUUUUAUAUAAGAUGAUAUGCACCCAUGUAUAUCUGGAAUAAUCAUCAACUAUGACAAAGCCAUAUAAAGAUGUUGCAUUUGUUAGAGUGUCAUAAUGAGUAGGUCCAAAUAGAUCCAUGUGAAACAAUUCAAAUGGACGAGUAGUGGUCAUGAUAGUCUUCGAGGGGUGCUUGGAUCUGGUCAUUUUCCCAGACUCACAAGCACCGCAGAGGUGAUCCUUGAGGAAUUUGACUGAUUCAAUGCCGAUGACAUGCUUCUUCUUCGCGAGCGUGUGCAAAUUCCUCAUGCCUGCAUGACCGAGUCUUCGAUGCCACAGCCACCCUUCUUAGGUUUUUGCUAGUAAGCAAGUGGCUGGUUGAGGACCUGCAGAGAAAUCAACAAUGUACAAAUCCCCUCUUCUAACACCUUCGAAGACUUUGGAUCUAUCAUAUUCCAUGAUCACAAAGAUAACAAUCAUAUCAAGAUCACAAAGCAUUGAGACUGACAUGAGGUUAAAUCCAAGGGAUUCAACAAGAAUUACUUUGUCCAUGUGCCUAUCCUUGGAAAUAGCCACUUUGCCGAGUCCCAAUACCUUGCUUUUACCUUUGUCAGCAUAUGCGAUUUGCUUCACGGGUGAUGGAGUUAGUGGCAUAUUCAUGAGCAAGCUUUUGUCACCAGUCAUGUGGUGUGUGGAGCCACUAUCAAGAACCCACUUAGUACUCUUGGGUUUGUCAUCCUGCAGAUGAAGUAGUACAGCUUACCAUCUCAUAUGCUUUAGACUUGAAGAAUAUGAUAUCAAUUUCAUCAGAUAGGAAUUCCAUCAUAAACAGAAUUAUAAGGACGUGUGAAAUAUUUCUAUUUCAUCAAUAUUAGCUUGCGUCCCAUCAAGCAUUUUCCUCAGGUCUCCAUCAAAUUCUUCAGAUGAUGAUUUUCAUCUGGAGACCUGACCUGCNNNNNNNNNNNNNNNNNNNNNNNNNNNNNNNNNNNNNNNNNNNNNNNNNNNNNNNNNNNNNNNNNNNNNNNNNNNNNNNNNNNNNNNNNNNNNNNNNNNNNNNNNNNNNNNNNNNNNNNNNNNNNNNNNNNNNNNNNNNNNNNNNNNNNNNNNNNNNNNNNNNNNNNNNNNNNNNNNNNNNNNNNNNNNNNNNNNNNNNNNNNNNNNNNNNNNNNNNNNNNNNNNNNNNNNNNNNNNNNNNNNNNNNNNNNNNNNNNNNNNNNNNGCAGGUCAGGUCUCCAGAAAAUACUCAAAUGAAUAUGCAGAGAACUUAUUUGAGGAUUUAUGAACAUAAUGAUUUGAAGAAUAACGCUCAUAUUCAUAUUCCUUGUAAUUUCCCUGCAUGUUAGAAGCAUUAGCACGGGUACGAGCAAAGUUUUGACCAGUUGAGGAUUUUGAUCCUCUUGAAGACUUUAGUCCUCCUGAGGAAUUUGAUCUGGGGUUCAAAUUCUUCAUAGGUGGUGUCAUGAGGACAUUCACCUGAAGAUUUUCAAGGCAACUUUUGGGAACCCAGAUUUUCCUCAGGGGAGGUCCAUUCCCGAAGUUAGUUCCAACAUAUCGAGCAAAUACUUCACGAGAUUGAUUUUUGAACAGUUUAUAGUUGGAGUCAAAUGACUCAUCUCAGGAAUAGGAUAAUUCACAAGAAAAGCCUAUUAGAUUGGAUGGAUCAAAAGGAGGCCCAGUAGCACCAACCCAUGAGGUUUUGGGAUACUACUCAGGUUUCCAAUAAGAUCCAUCAGCAUUCAAUUUCCUCUCAAAGGCAAUUCCUACUUUCCUCGGGUUCCUGUUCAAGAUCUACUCUUUGAGCACAUCACAAAGGGUUUGGUGUCCUUUGAGACUUUUGUAUAUGCCUGUCACAUACAAUUCCUUCAGCCCUGCAUUUUCAUCAGUGACAUUUGUGGUUUCCUCAAGUGAGGAAUUUGACACUACAGGAGCAGUUGAAGAAUUUGCAGCAAUAGAAGCAUUUGAUGAUUCUGGUGAAGACUUAGCAGUUUCACGUUUGAUGCAUUUGAGACAUGGAGGAAUGAAUUCAGCUUGAGAAGCACUGGUCUAUUGAGCUAGUAAUGAAUCAUUUUCCAUAUGAAGAUCAUCAUGAGAAAUCCUCAGCUUCUCAAGAUCAAGCUUCCUUUGAAGAAAUUCAUAAGAAAAUUUCUCAUGAUCAGCGAGGAGUGUAACAUGACGAUCUUGAAGAUUAUCAAAUCUGGACUGAAGACUUUUUAUAUCUUCAGUGAGGAUUUGAGUAAGAUUCAUUUCAUCAUUCAACAGAUCAUCACUUCUAUCUAGCAGUUUCUGAAGCUUUUCGAGGGCAGUUUGUUGUUUACUUGCAAUGAUAGCAGGUUUACUAUAACUGAGUUUUUUAUAAUCAUCAGGUUCACAGUCACUUGAAUCAGAGGAGGAAGCAUCAUUCGAUACCUUUCAACCUUUUGCCAUGAAGCAAUAGGUUGGAGCGAAGUCAUCAGCAUAGUCAUCAGUGUGGAUGGUGUUAUCAUUUUCUUCAAGGCUGAAGAUUGACUUGCUGACGAAUGUGGUUGCAAGUGCAAGGCUAGCCUGUCCAGAUUCUGAGUCUUCAUCAGAACUCUCCUCUUCAUCACAUUCCUCGGAUUCUACCUCGGAAUCCAUUUCAUUGCCAAUAAGUGCCUGAGCCUUUCUGAAACUAGUCUUCUUGUGCGAUGAGGACUUUGAAGAUUUCUUCUUUUUCUUCGAGUCAUCAGAACUUUCAUCCUUGUAUUUCUUCUUCUUUGAUUCCUUUCCGCAACGAGGACAAUCAGCAAUGUAGUGACCUGAUUUCUUGCAUUUGUGGCAGGUUCUUUUGUUGUAGUCCUCGGAUGAAGCUUCUGAUUUCCUCAUAUCUCUUCUUGAAGAUUUACCAAACUGGCCACGUCGUGUAAACUUCUGGAAUUUCCUCACAAGCAUUGCAAGCUCAUGUCCAAAUUCUUCAGGAUCACCAAUGCUACCAUCCGUGUCUUCUUCUUCAGAUGAGGAAAUUGCUUUGGCCUUCAGUGCACGUGGUCUAGAAUAGCUUGGUACAUAUAGAUCUCUGUUUUCUUCUUGUUGGAAUUCAUGAGUAUUGAGUCUUUCGAGUAUAUCAGCUGGAUCAAGCAUCUUGUAGUCUGGUCUUUCUUGAAUCAUCAGAACUAAAGUAUCAAAUGAAGAAUCCAAAGAUCUUAGCAGUUUCUUCACAACUUCAUGAUCAGUAAUGUCUCGAGCUCCUAGGGCUUGCAGUUCAUUUCAUAUGUCUGUGAGGCGAUCAAAGGUAUCUUGGCAGCUUUCAUUGUCAAGCCUCUUGAAGCGAUUGAAGAGAUUGCGAAGAACAUCAACACGAGAAUCACGCUGGGUUGAUACUCCUUCAUUAACUUUGGAAAACCUUUCCCAGAUAAGUUUUGCUGAGCCCAAAGCACUUACUCUGCCAUACUGGCCCUUGCUCAGAUGGCCAGAGAUGAUAUUCUUCGCUUGAGAAUCAAGUUGCUUGAAUUUCUUCACAUCAGCGGCAGAGACAGUAGCAGUGACGAUAGGGACGCCAUGUUCCACAAUAUACCAGAGAUCGUUGUCAAUAUCUUGUAGAUGCAUCUGCAUCUUGGUCUUCCACAAGGGAAAGUCCUCUCCUUUAAAAGUCGGACAUGCUGCAGUAACCUUGAUCAUGCCUGCAGUCGACAUAACUAAAACUCCAGGUGGUUAAACCAAAAUCACACCAAACAAGGGAGUACUUUUCUCUGAUACCAAUUGAAAGUGCGUUAUAUCGAAUAGAGGGGGUGAAUAGGAGAUUUUUAGAAUUUUAUCACUGAGGAAAUUGCUUUUGAGGAAAUUCCUCGCUGAUGACUAACUUGCAGCGGAAAUAGCAAAGGAUCAGGAGUGUAAAGUAUCACUACAACAGUUUUUCAGGAUGAAGAAUAUGAAAAACAGUUUGCACAGUAUGCAGGCAUGGAGAAAACAGAUGAGGAUUAACUCGCUGAAGAAUUUGGGGUUGAGGAAUUUCAGAGAAAGUCUUCAGCAAAUUCUUCAAACAGUGACAGUUGAAAUCAUCAACACACAAUUUGAGGAAUAUAAAGAGUUGAAGAAAUAGAACCCGUUUCACAGUGAAGACAGUGGUUGAUGACCCAAUUCCAACUGUUGUGACAGUUGUACAUCUGGUUUGGAGCGGCUUGGUAUUGAAACCAAAGGACACACAGUCCCGGGACACACAGUCCCUACCAUAUUCUCCUUGGGCUAAGAACACACAGUCCUCGCCCCACACUCGUGGUAAGUCUUCAGGGCAGACUUCCAAACCCUCACAAACUUGGUCACCUGGUGAUCCACAAUUGACUGCUGGAUUGCUCUAGACCAUGACGCCUAACCGUAUGGAGGAUGCACAGUCCUCAAAGGUAAAAGGCUUCAGUCCAACACAGGAACAACUUCUUCAGUGAUGCUCAAUCACUUGGUUUUGGUUUGUGGUUUUGUGUUUGGGGUAUUUCCUCACUGAUGAAUUACUCUCGAAGACUGAGGAAUUUGGGUUGCUCUUAUGAUAAGUGUCAGUUUCCAACGGAGCAGCGAACCGGCUAAUGGUUGUGGGGGCGGCUAUUUAUAGCCUGGGAGCAUCUCGACAUGAUUUGACAUUAAUGCCCUAAAAUAAUAUGACCGUUGGUGUGGAUAAGACCAAUGAUGUGGCGCGACUUGUGGUAACGGUCGGGACCCUCAACUAUGAGAGUCAUCAUGUCUCUCAUAUUCCUCACUUGAGGCUUUUGGUAGGAUUAGGCUUGGGAUGAGCAUCAUAAGGAAAUUCAUUCCGACGUGUUACUUUGACCCCCUUUAACAGUAUGGUGUUCCUAUGACUCAAAAGUGAAGAAAAUAAAACAGACAAAAUAAAUCUUCAUGCUUCAUAAUCUUCAACUUGUUGUUCUUCAGGACACACCGAAUUCCUCAUCUUCAAUUUCUUCAUGAGGAAUAUCAAUUUCAUCGCAAUUUCUUCGCGAUUCAAUUCUUCAUCUUCAGACCAAUUUCUUCAGGCGAAGAUAUACAUUUUUAGGGUUUGAUAUUCAUCGAAUAUUUCAAACUCUUCGGCGACUUAUAGAUCUUGUGUACACUCAUGAACACAUUAGAUACUUAACCUAUAAGUCUUCAAAUCACCAAAAUCACUAAGGGGCACUAGAUGCACUUACACCCUUCUCAGGGAAUACCAACUAGGACCACACGAAGAAAUUCCAUUGCCGGAGCACUAUAGUGUGUGUCUUCGGUCAUCUAGUCAAGUAUCCAUGUGUUGAUAUCCCAUGCUUCACCAGAAAUGUGCAGAGUUGCAUAGAAUUGAAGAAUUAAUUCUUCAUUCAAGUCACAGAUAUCAACGCAGAAUGGCAAGAGUCUAGCUUCAUGAAGAACACUGAGGACUGGUGUGAAGAAUGGAAUGUACUCCAUAUCUGCUAGAGGGGGUGAAUAGGCGAUUUUUAUAAAUUUUUCACUCAGGAAAUUCCUUGUGAGGAAACUCCUCAGUUACAGACUACAUGCAGCGGUAUAAGUGAUACGUCCCAAACAUAUCUAUAAUUUCUGCUUGUUCCAUGAUCUUUUGGGUGACAUUGGUAUAUGUUUUGCUACACUUUUAUAUCAUUUUACACAUAUUUGGACUAACCUACUAACUCAGUGCACCCAGUGGCAGUUUCUGUCUGCAGAUGUCUUUUUUGGACGGGCUUUUACCCAAUUUUCCGAAGCCCAAAAAAAUCGAGAAAAAUAUAUAAAAAAUUCAGCGAAACAGAAGCUUCAGGAUCACCAAAGGAGGGCCAAAGGGGGGCCAGGGGCCUCCCAGGCGGCCUGCUCGCGCGGCCAGGCCCUAGGCCGCGCGAGGAGGUCGCCUGGGUGGGCCCCACCUCCUCUGGUCCUCUCCUUUGCCCUAUAUUUAGUGUUCCGUGAGGAAACCCUCGCAGAUUUUCUGGAAUCGCGAAUUUCUCCAUCGUUCCACCGCUGUAGCGCUUCCGAGAUCGGGAGCGUAAGGAGACCUCUUCUCGGCACCCUGCCGGAGGGAGGAUUGACCAUCGGGAGCUUCUCCACCACCAUGGACGCCUCUCGGAUGUGCCGUGAGUAGUUUCCCUUGGACCAUGAGUCCGUGACCAGUAGCUAUGUGAUGUCUUCUCUCCAAUCUUGUGCUUCAAUGGUUAGUCCUUGUGAGCUGCCCUACAUGAUCAAGGCAUCUAUGUAAUUCUCUUGCUAUUGCUAUGCUCAGUUUGUUGGGAUCUGAUGGAUUAUGAGAUUUUGUUCAGAUUGUUGUGAGUUAUAUAUUUGAUUAUCCUUUUAUAUUUUGUUCCUUAGUGAUUCUUGCAUGUUCUCCGUUGCUUUUUAUUGCUUUGUCCAAGUAGUAGAUCGUAACUCCAAGAGGGAGCGUUAUGCAUGAUUGUGGGUCGGGCCCCUCGAUGUCUAGCUUGAGUGACAUAAACAUGAGACUAGGGGAUGUGCUUGUUUCCACCAGGGAGAAAACAACGGUGCUUGUGACAAAGGUUGCAAGGAUUGUUUACCUUACACAUAGUUCGUUAAUGCAAUUGUCCGUUUAUUUGAGUUUACACUUUGGGUGGAGCUCGCAACUUAAUACCGAAGAGAUGUUAUGGAUAGAUAUCUCAAGGUGGAUGAUUAGUAAGUAGAUGCUGAUGAAUAAACGGUCUACUUGUCUCGGCGUAUUGCCCAUUACUAUUGAACCUCUAACUACCAAGGAGCAUAAUUAGGUACGAUCAUAAUUGUGUCAAUUGCCCAACUGUGAAUUGUUUACCCUAGCAUAGUUGUUUAUCGUCUUUUGUGAGAGAGACGUCACUAGUGAACGUCAUGUGACUCCGGUCCAUAUCACUAUCAUUGCUUACACCUCCAUCAUUUACCACUUUAUUUACUUUUCCAUUGCAAUCACUAUUACCUCCCCGCUUGUGUUUUGAUCCUUUGCAAACUACAAGGCCGGAGAGAUUGACAACCUCUCUGUACUCGUUGGGAGCAAAGUUAUUUGUUGUGUGUGCACGUCCACAUCUUCUACUAGCGCCAGGGUGGAAGACACAUACUUGUUGAGCCUGGGAGUCCUCCUGGUUCGAUAAACCUUAAGGUCGCCAUGUAAGGGAAAAUUGCUGCUGACUACAUCUCCACCUUCCACUUGGGAUCCAACGAGGGGGGAGAAGCAUAUACAUCACCUCGUCAUCAAUAAGUACUCAAGCAGCUGUGUAAAAGAGCGAUAGCGUAGUCGUCAAAGUGAAAUGAAACAUUCGGAUUGCACAAGUAGCGUGUUCAGGAUAUGCAGGUGAAGAAUAAGUAAGCUGGAGAAUUGGAGGUGACGAAAUUACGAAAAUCUUCAGUCAAAUUCUUCAAAUAGUAAAGAUCAAAGUCGUUAACAUACAAUUGAGGAAAUGAAAGGGUUGAGGAAUUAGAACCAAGUGCUUGAUAAAGACAAUGGUUUGAUGACCCAGUUCCAACUGCUGUGACAUUAUUACGUCUGGUUUGGAGCGGCUUAGUAUUUAAACCAAAUGACACAUAGUCUGACGACACUAAGUCCUUACCGUAUUCUCCUUGUGCUAAGGACACACAGUCCCUUCCCAACACUCGUGCUAAGUCUUUACGACACACUUCCGAACCCUCACAAACUUGGUCACCCGGCGAUCCACAAUUCAGUGUUGGAUGCUCUAGACUAUGACACCUAACCAUCUGGAGGAUGCACGGUCCUCAAAGGUAACAAGCAUCGGUUCCACACGGGAACAAUCUCUUCAGUGGUGCUCAUUCACAUUGGGAUUUUUGGGUUUGGGUUUGGGUGUUUGGGGUUUUUCCUCACUGAUGAUUUUCUCUCAAAUUCUAUGAGGAAUGGGUUGCUCUCAAAUGACAAAUGUUAGUUUCUCUCACGGAGCAGCCAACCAACUAGUGGUUAUGGGGGGCGACUAUUUAUAGCAUGGGAGCAGUCCCGACAUGAAUUGUCAUAAAUGCCCUAAUGAUAUGACCGUUAUGUGGAUAAGGUUAGGGACAACUAGCGCGUAGCUCAGCAACGGACGGAACGUUUCAACUAUGAAAGUCCUCAUGUCACUCAUGUUCCUCACAUGUAGGUGAUUCGCACUGGCAAAAACCUAACUCCUCAUUUAGAGAAAAUUCCUCAGAGACAAGAAGAUCUUCAUCUUUGUCAGUGAAGAAUUUGACUAAACUGUUGAAGAUUUCUGAAGGCUUCACUCGAAGGGUUUGUAUGUGUAGGCUUUGAGAUGAGCAUCACUUGGAAACUUUUCCUUAGUUUUACCUCGACCCCCUUUAAUAGUACAGUGGUCUUAUGACACAUAAUACAAAAAAUGAAACUAUGAAAACGAAAGUCUUCACGCUUCAAAGUGCUCACACCAAUUUCUUCACUGACACACCAAUUUACUCAUUUCAAAGUCUUCAAGGAAAUAUCAAAGUCUUUAGUCGAAGACGUACAUUUUUAGGGGUCGAUAUUCUUCGAAUAACCCAAACUCCUCAGCGACUAAUAGGGCCUGCGCACACUCACAAACACAUCAGUCUCUUAACCUAUAAGUCUUCAAUACACCAAAAUCCCUAAGGGCCACUAGAUGCACUUACAAUCUCCCCCUUUUUUGUGAUUGAUGACAAAUAGGUUAAGUUUUCAACGGGGAUAAUAAUAUAAAGUGUAAGUACAGAGUUUGAGGAAUUUGAAUGCAAGAUAUACACAAACUCCCCCUGAAGAUGUGCAUAUUUGAGGAAUUUGCUUUGGGCUACAAAUGCACAUCGAGGAUUUGUACCAUGGAGAUCUCCCCCUAUAUCUUGUAAUCCAUGCAGGCAUUUGACGUUUAUCAUGAGGAAAUUGAAAUGCAUCAUGGAAAGUGGAGUCUGACGAAUUUCAGCAUGCGUGCAUUAAUCAACAUGAGGAAUAAGCAUGCGAGGAAAAAAUGGUUCAAAAGUGUCAGACAACCACCGGUCAUAAGUUUACAACUCAUACAACCAAACAAUUAAGAAGAAUGAGAGUUGCAACUUAAAGAAAAUACAGUUUAAAAUCCCAUAAUUCAGACCCGCUUGAAGACUAACUCAGAUUUCUCCCCUUUUGCCAUCAAGUGACAAAAAGGGAACAUACUGAGGACUAACGCCCUUGAAGAAUAUCACUUUGGUUGUGGAGUAGAAGCGUUGGGGUCGUUUGUCACAGCUGUGUCGUCAAGAUCUUGAGUGUCAUCGGUUGUGCAUGUUGAAGAAAAUGAACUCGCCACCAAGGGAGGAACUGGAAUUUUCUUGAACUUCUUCUUGGGCGGCUGCUACAGCGACAGAAAUCUUCUGUUGUCUCUUGAGCUUGCGUUGGUUUUUCCCUCGAAGAGGAAAGGGCGAUGCAGCACAGGAGCAGUAAGUAUUUCCCUCAGUUUGAGAACCAAGGUAUCANNNNNNNNNNNNNNNNNNNNNNNNNNNNNNNNNNNNNNNNNNNNNNNNNNNNNNNNNNNNNNNNNNNNNNNNNNNNNNNNNNNNNNNNNNNNNNNNNNNNUGGGAUCUGGAUACCCAUGGUGGCUCCCACACGUUCCACGAUGAUCUCAUCGGAUGAACCACGAUGUCAAGGAUUCAAUCAAUCCCGUAUACAAUUCCCUUUGUCUGUCGGUAUAGAACUUCCCCGAGAUUCGAUCGUCGGUAUACCUAUACCUUGUUCAAUCUCGUUACCGGUAAGUCUCUUUACUCGUUCCGUAGCACGUCAUCGUGUGACUAACUCCUUAGUCACAUUGAGCUCAUGAUGAUGUUCUACCGAGUGGGCCUAGAGAUACCUCUCCAUCAGACGGAGUGACAAAUCCCAAUCUCGAUUCGUAACAACCCAACAGACACUUUCAGAGGUACCCGUAGUGCACCUUUAUAGUCACCCAGUUACGUUGUGACGUUUGAUACACCCAAAGCACUCCUACGGUAUCCGGGAGUUGCACAAUCUCACGGUCGAAGGAAAAGACACUUGACAUUGGAAAAGCUUUAGCAUACGAACAAUACGAUCUAGUGCUAUGCUUAGGAUUGGGUCUUGUCCAUCACAUCAUUCUCCCAAUGAUGUGAUCCCGUUAUCAAUGACAUCUAAUGCCCAUGACCAGGAAACCAUGAUCGUCUAUUGACCAACGAGCUAGCCAACUAGAGGCUUGCUAGGGACACAUUGUGAUCUAUUUAUUCACACAUGUAUUACUGUUUCCUGUUAAUACAAUUAUAGCAUGAACAAUAGACAAUUAUCAUGAACAAGGAAAUAUGAUAAUAACCAUUUUAUUAUUGCCUCUAGGGCAUAUUCCCAACAGAAUACUCUACCCUCGAAAACUGCCGCGAACCCACACGCUCGUGGGACAUUGCAAGACAAUUGCUAAUUGUUGAGCAACUGGGAGCAGUUCUGGCUCUGUUGUCGCGAAGGCAUCAAGUCAGGGACUCGUCAACAACAUUCUUCUAGUGUCGUUGCCGGGGACUACUAGCACGCCCUAAUAGCUUGUGGGCCCCUCGUGAGGCCUCCAUCCUUUUUACGAUGCUUGUUGGUCUUCUUUUGGUCUAGAAAAAUCAUCAAAAAAAUUCACGACAAUUGGACCUCAUUCGAUAUGGAAAACCCGCAAUGUGAAAAAAGCAGAAAACAACAAUUGGCACUCAACACUAGGUCAAUAGGUUAGUGCUAAAAAAUAAUAUAAAAUGGUGAAUAAAUACCCAAAAGGCAUACUAGAAUGAUAAUAUAUCAGCAUGAAACAAUAAAAAAUUAUAGAUACGUUGGAGACGCAUAACAUACCCACUGAAGAACUUUUGUCUGCAAUCGAAUUCAUCCCGAACAAUGAAGAAAUCCAUAGUGGUGCACUUGAGGAAAUUGAUGAUAUUAAAAAUUCUCAACCGCAACAAAGUCGUCAACCUGCUCAUCCUAGGGUGGAAAAUGAAGUGCAAAUUGAUAAAAUGCUCGACGAUAUCAAUGCACGAGGUCCCCUCACACGCUCAAAAGCUUCAAAUUUAACUAUUUUAUGGGCACUUUUCCUUUGUGUCUAUCACAAAACUCUCAAAGGAUGACGAAGCCUUUAUGGAGACUAAGUGAAUUCAAGCAAUGCAAGAGGAAUUGCAUCAAUUGAAGCUCAACAAACAUGUGGGAACUUGUCAAGCGACCUAAUCCUCGCAAACACAAUAUCGUCGGUACCAAGUGGAUCUAUCGCAACAAGCAAGACGAAAAUGGUCAGGUAGUGAGGAAUAAGGCUCGUCUUGUAGCUGAGAGCUACACACGAGUUGAGGGAAUUGACUUUGAUGAAACUUUUGCACCUAUUGCUAGACUUGAAGUUAUUCAUAUACUGCUUGCUAUUGCUAACCAUCACAAUAUCACUUUAUAUCAAAUGGAUGUGAAAAGUGCAUUCCUCAAUGGUAAGCUUCAGGAAGAAGUAUAUGAUGCUCAACCCUAGGUUUUGAAGACCCAAAGCAUCCUGAGAAAGUCUUCAGACUCACCAAGGCUCUCUAUGGCCUCAAGCACGCUCGCGAGCGUGGUAUGACACAUUGAAGGAAUUCCUCCUCAAGAAAGGCUUCAAACCUGGUUCACUCAACCCAAUUCUUUUCACAAAAUGCUAUGACAAUGAACUAUUCAUGUGCCAAAUAUAUGUAGACAAUAUCAUCUUUGGUUGUACUGACAAACGUUAGAGUGACGAAUUUGGCUAUAUGAUGGGUGAAGAAUAUCAAAUGUCCAUGAUGGGGGGGGGGGGUUGAAAUUCUUCCUAGGACUUCAAAUUCGUUAACAAUGCAAUGGCAUCUUCAUCUCUUAAGAGAAAUACCUCAAGGAUGUCGUGAAGAAAUUCGGCAUGCAAGACUACAAAGGAGUCAAAAUUCCAAUGCCCACAAACGGCCACCUCUACACUGACGAAAAUGGUAAAGAUUUCAAUGAGAAGGUAUAUCGCUCCAUGAUUGGCUCCUUAUUGUACCUAUGUGCAUCUAGGUCAGAUAUUAUGCUUAGUGUUUGCAUGUGUGCCCAGUUCCAAGCAACACUAAAGGAAUCACACCAUAAGGCUGUGAAGCAUAUUCUUCGACAUCCAGCUCACACAUCAACACUUGGAUUAUGGUACCCCAAGGGCUCAAAUCUUCAUCUCAUUGGAUAUUCUGGCUCUGACUAUGCUGGUGACCGCGUGGACCGCAAGUCAACAUCACACACAUGUCAUUUCCUCGGAUGAUCCUUAGUUUGCUGGUCCUCAAAGAAAGAGAACUACGUGUCACUAUCCACUGGUGAACCUGAGUAUAUUGUUGUUGGUUCGUGUUGUGAUCAACUAUAGUGGAUGAAGCAAAGCCUCAAGGACUACUGCAUCAAAGUGAAGAAUGUGCCACUCUACUGCUACAAUGACAGUGCAAUUAAGAUUUCUCACAACCUAGUUCAACACUCAAUGACCAAGCACAUCCAAAUUCGUCAUCAUUUUCUUCGUGAUCGUGUACUCAAGGGCGACAUCUUCAUCGACCAUGUGAAGACUCAAGAAUAACUAGCUGAUAUCUUCACCAAGCCCUUGGAUGAAAAGAGAUUUUGCAGGUUGUGGUGCGAGCUAAAUAUCUUAGAAUCUUCGAAUGUUCUGUGAAAAGACACACAUCCUAACACUUAUGCAAAAAUUGAUGACUUAGAUGUGCAACACGCUAAGUAACUUUUUUCUUCAACAAAUGAAGACUAACACUCUAAGUAUGAAGAAAUUAAUGAAGAAUUUGAUUCUCAAAACCCUACGACAAUUGUACUAGGUGUCUGAAAUCAUCAUUCUUAUACGGUGGGUCAUGCCACCAACCAACGUUGAAAUACGUCAAAAUUAAGAGUUUUUGCAAAUACUUCAAAAUUUUCAAAUUCUUCAAGCUUGCAAAUCCUCAGUAUGUUCAAAUUCUUCAAACUUUUUCAACAUGUGUUCUUCAUUGACUAUAUAUAUAUAUAUAUAUAUGUGUGUGUGUGUGCGUGCGUAAAAUGUUUUGGGCACCUAGGUGCCUCGGCACCUUGAUUGUUUUGAAAAUCGUGGUAUAUUUUGAUUAGUUUCCUAAUUAUUCCUAUGCAAGACUUUCCAUACUUAUGAUUCUGUUUUUAUUUCCUAACUAUUAGACAUGCAAGACUCCCCAUACAAUAAAUAAUAUUAAUGUUUUAUUUUAUUUAAGCUGCUAUGGUUAUUUAAUGCGCGUAUUUUGGUUUUUCUUAAAUAUCUAAUACAUGCAAGUAUCUAAUACCUAGCAACGUAUAUACUUAAUUUUUUUGAACUAUUUCAUUUUUCCCAAUUAUCUAAUAUGGACAUCGAAGACUCAUUAAUGAAAUAAUGUACAUACGCGGGUUUGUGUAUACUGAAUAAUUUAUUUAUUUUCUAACUACCGAAUACUGGUAUCCGGUAUCUGAUAACGAAAUUAUGUAUAUAGGCGGGUACGUAUAUACCAGCCCAUAUAAAAUAUGGCUACACAUAUACUCGGCAACGUAAAAUAUACCUACUAAACUCCUAGCUAGUAUACCCAAAUAUGUUAUAUGACAUGCUCACAUAAAUCUUUUAGUAUAUACCCAAUGAACUAAGAAAUAAAAGAGUAUAACCAAUGUGUCUGCACAUAUAUAUACCUGGCUAUACGAAAAAGGGUAGAAAACUAUUAUAGGUAUCCCAUACAUGUAUAUAAAAUAAAAUAUGGCUGCAUACAUACCCGACUACAUGAAUUAUGGCAUCCAUAGGUAUCUGAAUACCCGUAUACAAAUAUCACAUGUGGGGUAUGCACAUACCCCAACAAAUAUUCAUUUUGAGAACAAGUAAGAGUAUAUUUUCUGAUAAAUAUAGUAUUUACGAAUAUGUGAUUUUUUGGUACCCAACAUAUUCUUAGAUAUGCUUAUACUCAAUAUAUUUUUGGGUAUGUGCGACUUAGUAUUACGUCCAUGCAAAAGAAACUUAUUAGUACGUACACAUUUUUAAGUAUGUUUACAUUUUUUAAUAUAUACCGACUAUAUAAAUGGUACGGAAAUGUUGUAGGUAUCCAAAUACAUUGACAUAUCGCAAAGCAGAAACAUACAAACUCUUUAGAAUACAAUAAUAAGGCACUAAUUUCCAGUUUUUCUCUAAUUAUAUAUAAGGAAGAAUGAAAUGCAUGUCAUUUGUUUUGCAUGCGAGAAAUUUAUUACCAUGCAUAGCAUGGAAUCCUAAUAUCCAUUUGCGAUUAGCAUUGUAAUUGUUUCUAAAUAAAUAUACCCAUUAACUUCACUAUCCAUAUAACAACACGCAUCUAAAUGCAAUCUAACGGUGGAAAGGUGAGGAGCCUCGGCACCUAGGUGUCUCAAAUGAUCGUUCUCUCUCUCCUUCUCUCCUAUGAUCAGAGAGAGAGAGAGUAACACUAUUCUGAAACUAACGGUUCUAUAUUGAGGCAAAGAGGUCCUCCCGAACUCCUGAAAACUAAAAAACUUCAAAUCCUAAAAAUACCAUGAAGUCUGGCCAUCCCCACCUCCCGCACGAGGCACCGGCCACCUUCCCCGACUGAUCCACCGGCCGGGCCCACAUCUUCCCUGAUCCUCGUCCACCUUCUCCCCCAACCACGGCGCCCCGUUGCCCCACUUCGUGUCGGCUACCCGCCUCAUAGCACGCCGCUGCCUCGCCCCACUACACGCCACCGGAACCGCCACGUCCCCGUACGCACCGUCGGACCCCCGCUCCUCCUCGUGCCACCAUUAAAUGACAUUCGAGCACGCCGUGGCAGCACAAGAUCCCCGCGUGUUCCCCUCCGACCCAGGUUCCUACCAAGAAGCCGCCGCCAACCACCGGAGCUGCCUCUUCGAUUGCGCGUGCUGUCAGCCAUAGGAGCCGCCAUCCUUGCCGAAGCACUCCGCCUUCCCAACCUGGGAUCCUCCCGCCGACGCCGCCUGCCACGCCGUCGCACGACCUCGUCCCGUCAGCGCAACUCUGUGAGCUCCUUCCUCGAGCCAUCGCCGGAUCCCGCCUCCACGUAGCGGGUCUCGAUGCCUCACGCCUUCACGUUGUUGGAUCCCCGACCACUCACCGGAUAAAAAUGGAAGCAGGGCCAUCCCCGUGUGCCCUGACAUCGGCCGCACAAUUUUUCGACACCAUGUGUAUCCCCUUCCUUCACUACUCCUGAAAUUCUUUUCUAUCUAGAAUUUAUUGCUACCUUGGGCUGCUUUCUUAACCUGUUCCUCUUGAUUAGAUGAUUUUUGUGGCAUUUUGGAGGGGUUGGUAUAUUUUUCUCCUUUCUAAAUGUAUAUCGAGUGGAAGAGAUGGAUAUUAUGAGAGAAAAAUGUGCCUUGUAACUCCUUCCCCAUCUCUUUUGUAUAUGUUCAACACCUCCAUUGUAACAACCCUUUUGUCUCUGUAGGUUCAUCUAAUAGAUGCCAAAAGAAGUUCGCCAGAACAGCACUUAAGAAAUUUAACCGAAAAAUCAAUAAAUGAAGAAGAAGCCCAUAUAUAGUAAAACAUGAAUUUUGUACAUGAAAAAAUCGUUUGUUUCGUGCAAAAAAACAUAUUACCAAAAAAGUAUUAUGUCAUUAGUUCUUGAAAAAAGAAAACACAUAAAGGUUAGAUGUGUGUUGAAACCAUGUGUAUGUGUGAAAACUUUGACGUCCUCCAUGUGUUUAUUGAAAUUCCAACGAAGAACUAGAAGGAAUUUCUCGUUUGAUGAAAAACGAAGCUAAGCUAAGGCACUACUUUCUCACAUGUGAAUCAGAUGUCAUCUAAAAAAGACUGAUAAGGAAAUUGCUCAGCUUUUGUGUUUUUACAAAUGUGUAUUUUUUGCGAAGGUCAAAAUGUUGUGUUCUAUUUGGUCAAGUAUGUUUAGUAUACAUAUAUACGCUGUUCCUAUUUUAGCUAAAUGAAAAGAACAUUUGUACCCCUUUCUUUUAUCUAUAUAUUCUCGUCAUGUGUUGCCCGCCAUUAAAAAUCAUGUUUCAUUGGGUUCAUGUUUAACUACACAAAAACUCGAACUUGAUAACAAAUUUUAAUAGAACUCUCUUCAUGAGUUUAAAAAAAACUAGAAGUUCAUGUUUAAAAAACCUAUAAGUUCAUGUUUAAAAAACCUAUAAGUUCAUGUAUAUUUAUUUACAAAACUAGGAUUUUCGAUUACUAAAAGAAAAAUCCACAAGAAGUCCAACUUGAAAAAGGGAGCAUUUCAAUGUUUGUACAAAAUCCAGAUUUUCCUCAUUAAUAAAGAAUGAAAAAUAAAAAGUUCAACAAUGAAAAAAAAUAAGAAUUUCAAAUUCAAAAAAUAGAACCGUUCAAUAUUCAUAGAAAGGAUAUUCAUCGUUUGUAAAUUAUUUUUUAUAGAAGUUCAAAUUUAAAUAACGGACAAGUUCAAUAUUUAUUAGUAAGUAGGAUUUUCCUGCUAUUAAAACAAAAAAAAUCUAGAAGUCCAAAUUACAAAAGGGAGACUGUGAGCUCGUAGGAUUCCUUCCUCCUACAACCGGCACCACCACCUACAGCCAACGCCGCAGCAAGUCGAACCUUUGAAAAUAUUGGUGUCAUUCACCGAAACAUGAAGAUCCCAUUAGCGAUGUUGUUAUUGUUUAUGUACAACUAGUAAACUUGCAUAUGCAAUGCAUGUCUCUUCUAAUACUCUUUUUAAAGAUAUAUCUAUUCGCAAUCAAAUACACCAUGUGUGCAUGCCUCAUACUAUCGUAUAAUUAUAGUUGUUGAUGGUAGUAUAAGAAAAUGAGACGCGCACGCAAAACAACCAAGUUUAACAUUCAUCAUAUAGACUGAAACCGUGUUUUCAGGCCCUUACAUCUAACGAGAGUUAGUUUUAAAGUGGUUGAAUGUCAUUCUUUCUCAACUUACCUCCAUGUAAAUAGAGAUCAUUGACGUAAAACUCUAAACAUUUUGGAUGAUCAUAAACUACAUAAAAUAAAUAUGUGUGAACACCAUGUAUUUUCGGAUCAAUAUUACAACUUGCAAAUUGCAAGUUAAACAUUUUCUCUCCAAGAGAAUUUACAAAGGUAUGCUUAGCAAGGCAAUGUUUAAUUCUGCAAUGUUAGAUGCCAAGAAAUGACUCAUACAUUUAACAUUUUCAAGGAAAUAUUAUUUUGAAUUGAACAUCACGCACAUUGGCUGUCUUAUUUUACCUUGGAGAUGAAUUCAUCUAGAUAAUAUUGUAGACCCUCCUUUACUUUGUUUUGCCCGCAAUUCCAGUAUGUACAAGUAUAACACCAUUCAAUAGGGUGCACAUGCACAAAAAAAGAAGUAACAAAGACAAGUUGGGAGUUGUACAUUAGUAACUGAAAAUGAUCUUAGUAAGUAGGAAGAAAAGAUUGCGGUGGAAUGUUUUCUUUCUUUUUCUCUCUCCCUGUCGACUGUGGGAGUAAUAAACUGGUUCCUUUUCCUUUAAGCAAUAAAAUUUUACUUGAGCACACAUGCAAUAAUCGUUUCAUUUAUAAUUUAUAUUUAAUGACAUUGUUUGCUUUGGGCAAAAAGAUUGUGAAGUAUUGGUUGAGCCACGAUCUGUAUUUCAUUUAUAUGGCUCCACGAAUGAUAGAAGCAAAAACUUAUCAUUAAUUGAUGGUCGGACUUCUUCGAUUUAGGUAAGCUGAAAAAAAAUAAAAAAAUCAAGAGGACUCACUAUUUACUAUUUUGCCAAAAACAAAUAUCAUUUUUGUUCUCAAUUAAUGAGAGCAAUCUCCAUUUCUUCUCUCUAAGUGCUUAAAAGGCAAAAUAUACAUACAUAGUAGAAAAAACUUUAACUGAUGGUUAUGUUUGUUCACUUAUAUGAUCACAAUAAGUAAACAGAUCUUGUUGUUCAAAAAUAAAGAAAAACAUAUAUUAUGUUGAGUAUAUGCCAAUUAUGAAAUAAAUGUCAAUUAUGUCAUCAGAUACGAUAAUCACACAAGCAAAGCUAAAUUGAAUGGCAUGCCACUACAUCUCUAGCCAGGUUUUCAUUUUGAUACCCGGAAGAAGAAUCUGGCUGGUCGCUUUCAAUUGCGCCUAAAACUUUGUUCGGUGACAACGAUGUGGAGUUUGAACGAGAUUCCCUGGGAAGAUAAAAAAAGUCAUGAAUAAAUGAUUUUUUUCUAUGCAGUAGUUUGAACAUGCUCCUAUUGAUCAAUACUGAGAUGAAGCCCUCCUACUUGGUGUUGCUGCCUAAAAGGACACCUAAAAUGAUCGUCAAGGCCAUUCUAUUGGUCCUUCUAUUUUCUGGAAUGGCAUCAAGAAGUAACUUCCUCGAAUGGUAUGAUAGUUUUAGUACUUAGAAACCUAUUAUCCUUCUCAUUUUCUAGGCACAUAUUCUAUCACGUACAACCUGAUCCUUCUAUUUUCUGUUCAAGAAAACUGAAUUCCACUUUGAAUCAGAUUUAUUAUGAUAUUGUCCGCUUCAAAAAAUGAUUUAUUAUGAUAUUCCAAUAGUAAAAUGAAUUUCCAACAAGAAGUAGAAAAGCAAGUAUGAUUAAAAGGUAUUAUCGAAAAAGCAUAGCCAGAAAAAUAGGAACCACAAACUAUCUCAGAAAGAUUCCUUUGAAUUUAAAUAUUUUUAGCACGCGCUGACUUGGAACUCUAUGUGAGUAAGCUUGUACCAAUUUAUUUUCUAGGUUACGAUCCAAAAACAUUGCGAUAUUUACAGAAAUACUGGAAAAAUAUUUGUGUUAUUAUAUCCAAAAAGAGGUUUUGUGCCUCACAAGCACUCCAUCCAUUUAACACUGUAAAGUGAAAUAGCUGAUGUACACACUUUUUGAACUUUAAAAGUUCCAUAAUUUACAGAAGAUAAAAUGAUAAGUCAAUUGAUGACCAGACAAUGCUUGGAAACAAUAAGAAAACAUACGUUUCAGAUAACAGUAAAGGUUGAUUUUAUCACAAAAAAUAUAUAACACUAGUACUAUAUCAGGGAGAAAUUUACCGCAUACUUCUCUCCUCCGAUGUUGCCUCCAACAAACUUAUAUAAAACUGCGGUAUGGCUUGGAUCAGAUUUCCUGGGAGAAAAAGAUAAAUGAAACGAAAUGUUCUAUAGACGUCAAUAGAUGGCCCAACAAUAACUUGAAAAAGCAUUUUUUUGGAAAAGUGUAAAAGGAAAUUAAUAAACGUCACUUGAAUUAGAUUUGAUGUGUUUGUACACACCGACACCAAAAACCUUGCAAAUUGUUAUACAACCAUAAUAUUAAUAUCAUUUAUGAUUUCCAAAAAUUACCAAAAAGGAAACCUACAUGUAUACCUUUCAUAUAUUCAUAACAUAAAAGGAGAUAUGGGUGCAAUGGUCAUGGUGCUCAGCUGUGACGUAUCUGCAAUGUUGUCUGCUGUCCCAUCUAUAAUCUCUAUUUUUUUUACAAAAGUAACUAUUGCAAAAUAUACCCAGCAAGCUAGAUGUGUUGUAUCACUUAAAUUUAAACAAAUGAUAACACAAUCUUCAGAUUGAUAAAAUCACAUCAUCGUUGGAUAAAGAAUGCUGCUAACUGAGAGCGUGGAAAGUUCGUGACCUGUUGUGAUAACUGGAUACUAACAGAUAUUUCAGGAAGCAUACCCUCAUUUGAUUAGUAUUUUUAAACCAUGCAGACCGGAUUCCUUCUCUCUAUCAUAACUAAUUGUACACAUCAGCAUAAGUAUAAAAUCUUUUGAGGUACUAUGUUUAAAAAGAGACAGAGAACAAGGUAAUAAACAGAGAACAAUUGCUAUCAGUGUCUUUUUGUACCUGUAGUCAAAUGUAGGGAAAAUAUAAUGAAGAGCAUUCACUACUGAAUCCACUAUGGCGAUAUCUAUUAUAGAAGUAUCCAUCAUGUGGUUGUGUUGAACCUGUAAGCCAAAACAGGGCCCAGAAAGGUGAAAGACAAACAUCAAGAUGGUUAAAUUUGAACUCUGUUGUCAUAACUUAAGGGUUCAAACCUAACAAAUAAGUGAACUCUCCAAACAAAUUGCAGUCUUUUCUUAUAUAACGACAACCUUGACAGCGACCUUUUCCCCAUCAUGUGAUGUGGCGGCAUGGACUUGCGCAAGUGAAGCACUUGCAAGUGGAACAGGGUCAAAUUCUGCAAAAACCUACACCACUGGGAAUAGGGGAAAGCAGAAUUCUAUGUGAGAGUGUCUUCUAAACUAAAAACAAGCUGAUCAUAAAUAAAUGUUUUGAUUCAAGGUGAAUACUCCGUUGGUCAACAACUGAACUAAGCACGCUCAGUACCAUGUGUGAUUUUGCUAAUCAAUACAGUAACCAAGUUACUUUAGCCGGAUAGAGGAAAAUGCAGUAAUGCAAUCAAGGAACUAACAGUGUAUGGCAAUUAUCAUAUCUUUCUUGAAGACUCGACGACAUACUCGUAUCAGGAGGUUGUGCACCUCUUUCGCAUUGACGCCCUCAUCGUACAUCUACCGAGCACAUGUGAAGGACAAUCCCACUCUCCAACCUUCAAGGUCUCAAUAUUAUCAAUAGAAUUAAGGACAUGCCUUUUAUCAAUCUUCUUCGAAAAAUAUACCAUGUGCUCCUUCUCAUUAACAUUGAAGGUCACCCUUUCCUUUAUUGCAAUCAAUAAUAGCACCUGCGGUGUUAAGAAAAGCUCUACCAAGAAUAAUAGACAUGCUCCCAUCCUCGGUCAUGUCAAGCACAACAAAGUCAGUAAGGAUCAAGCAAUUAGCAACUUCAGCGGGAACAUCCUCACAAAUACCUACAGAAACGGAUGUUGACUUAUCAUCCAUUUGAAGAGAGAUAUCUGUAGGGAUUAGUUUAUCUAGACAUAGCCUUUUGUAAAGAGAGAAAGGCAUAACACUCACUCCUGCACCAAGAUCACAUAAAGCAGUUCUGACAUAAUUACUUUUUAUGGAGCAAGGAAUGGUGGCUAUACCUGGAUCACCAAGCUUCUCAAGAAUCUUGCCACUAAAAGAGUAAUUAGCAAGCAUAGUAGAUAUUGCCUCAUUAGGAACUUUUAUUUUAUUAGUAACAAUAUCUUUCGUAUACCUCGAGUACGGAGGCAACUUAAUAGCAUUAGUCAAAGGAAUUUGAAGAAAAAGAGGUUUCAUCCAUUCACAAAAUUUAUUGUAAUGCUCUUCUUCUUUGGUUUUGAAAGACUUACCUCGGAAGGGCAUUGAUUUAUGUACCCACGGUUCUCUUUCCUUCCCAUGUUUCCCUGCAACAAAAUCUUCUCUAGUAUAUCUCUUGCGCUUGUCGGGUGCUUCUUCCUCUCGUAUCUCAGGAGGAUCAAUCUUCUCAUUAUCUUUAUCAGGUUCAGCACCAUCUUCAGUUCCAACAUCGGAAAUAGAUAUACUAUUAGGAUCAAUAAUAGGUUCUUCAUCAAUUAUAGAAUCAUUGGAGUUGUCAGCCUCCUUGUGUUUGUUUUUCUUCUUUGGAGAGCUGACAACGUCUUCUUCCCGCAAUUGAGAAUCUUGCUCGAUCCUCUUUGGAUGCCCCUUCAGAUAAAGGGGGUCGUGGGUAUGUGUACCUCCCCGGGUCUUUAUUUCAUAUGCCUGCGUAUCAACUUGUUUGGCAUUGUUAGCAAGCAAAUCUUUUUGCACAUUAGAAAUUUGUUCAAGCUGAGUUUGAACCAUAUGAAAAUGCUUAACAAGACCUUUAACGUCACUAACAGUUCUACUUAAAACAUCAAGCAAACUUUUGAUAGCAAGGGAAUUAUCAUGCAAUUGGCUUUGAAUCCUCUCAUUAAAGUGAUUUUGCCGGACAAUAAAAUUAUCAAGCUCAUCUAAACAUUGAUCAGGGGGCUUACAAUGAGGGAUGUCACUUGCAUUGAAUUCUAAAAGAGAGUGUACCUCUACCAUAGGUGGGUGAGUGGUAGGCUCACAUAAUUGCUCACUAGGAGGUAGAUUCUUCACAUCUUCAGCUUUAAUACCUUUCUCUUUAAUAGACUUCUUUGCUUCUUGCAUAACUUCGGGGAUCAAGAAAAGCAUGCCCCUCUUCUUAGGUGGUGGAGAUGGCUCAGGAACGGACCAAUCAUCAUGAUUUUUACCUAUCUUGCCCAUUAACUCUUCGGCGUCGUCUCGUGUUCUUUCCCUGAAAACACAACCAACACAACUAUCCAGAUAGGUUCUAGAUUCAUCGGUUAGACCAGCAUAAAUAUAUCAAGAAAUUCAUUAUUAGGGAUUCCAUGUACCGGUCUAGCCUUAUGCAAAGUGCAAUACCUCCACCAAGCUUUAGGGAGGUGCUCAUACUGCAACUGUUUAAAGUUAUAAAUUCUUUGUGAAGCAGCAUGUUGCUUAUGAGGAGGAAAAUAUUUAGCAACAAAAGAUUGAGCUAAAUCUUGAGGACUCUUAAUGGACCCACAUGGUAGUGCAUCAUACCAUGCUUUAGCAUCUUCCUUCGAAGAGGAAGGAAGUAGCUUAGUAACAUAAUAAUUUCUCUUCUUGUCCUCUGUAGUGAAUAAGCCACCCAACUCAGUGAGUUUGGUAAGGUGUGCAAUAGCAUCGUCAUCUUCUCUGCCAUAAAAGGGGCCAUCUUCAACUAUGGAUAUAAGUGAAAGAUCAACAGAGAAAUCAAAAUCAACAUCCUCAAUACAAAUAGGAGAUGAAGCAAACUUAGGAUCAGGAGUAAACUUGUUCUUCAUAGAAUGCUUUUCAAGCAGCUUCUUAACAGAAGCAGGGUCAGAGUCAGCACACUCUGUAAGUUCCCUACAUAAAUCAUCAUCAAGUUCAAUAUAAUCAUCAUCAAGAAUUCUUUCCUUGAGACCACUCAGGUCUGGGUAACCAAAAGAUCUACCAAUGGGGUAGCGUGUAACAGGAAAUUCAAUUCCAGUCUGCUUAGCAGCCUUAGCAAUCUGAGACUCAAUAAAAUAACCAAGUAAAUCAGGCUCAUUAAUAGUAGUGGAACCAUCAUAAGUAUCAGGCAUAGUGACAGACUCGAUAGAAGCAACAUGUGAUGGUGGUGAAGCAAACUUACUCAUAACGGAAGGUCAAUCAAGCGUAGCGCUAGUGCUAAGAACAAUACCUUUUCCUAUAGUGGAUGGUAAAAUUGGAACCUUGGGGUCUCCUUUCUUACCCAUAGUGAAUAAAUCGCAGCAAGCAAAAUAACUCCAAGUAGACUUGUAAAUAAAGCUAUGCUCCCCGGAAACGGUGGCAGAAAAAAGGUCUUGAUAACCCACAAGUGUAGGGUAUCGCAACAGUAUUCGCGGGUAAGUUAACCUAAUUUAUUGAUUUGACACAAGGGGAGCCAAAGAAUAUUUAUAAGCUUUAACAGUUGAGUUGUCAAUUCAUCCGCACCUGAAAGAUACUUUGCUUGGUGAUACAUCUCCAACGUAUCUAUAAUUUUUGAUUGUUCCAUGCUAUUAUAUUAUCAACUUGGGAUGUCUUAUAUGCAUUUAUAUGCCAUUUUAUAUCAUUUUUGGGACUAACAUAUUAACUCAGUGCCUAGUGCCAGUUUCUGUUUUUUUCCCGUGUUUUUGACCUUUUUUAGAAAAUAAUAUUAAACAGAGUUCAAACGGAAUAAAACCUGCGGGAUGAUUUUUUCCGUAACAGAAGAUACACAGAGGACUUGAGAACCAAGGCAGGAGGUCUCGUGGGAGGUCACGAGCCCCCUAGGCGUGCCCUAGGGGGGCACCUAGCAGGCUCAUGGGCCCCCCGUGGCUCUUCUGCCCUACCUCUUUCGCCUAUAAAUUCCCAAAAAUCCCAAAAUCAACACAGAGAGCCAUGGAAAUACUUUUCCGCCGCCGCAAGCUUCUGUCUCCGCAAGAUCCCCUCUGGGGACCGUUCUGGUGCCCUGCUGGAGGGGGAUUCGGACACGGAGGGCUUCUUCAUCAACACCAUUGCCUCUCCGAUGAUGCGUAAGUAGUUCACCACAGACCUCCGGGUCGAUAGCUAGUAGCUAGAUGGCUUCUUCUCUCUCUUGGAUCUUCAAUAGAAAGUUCUCCAUGAUCUUCAUGGAGAUCUAUCCGAUGUAACUUUCUUUUGCGGUGUGUUUGUCGAGAUCCGAUGAAUUGUGGAUUUAUGAUCAGAUUAUCUAUGAAUAUUAUUUGAGUCUCCUGUGAUUUCUUAUAUGCAUGAUUUCAUAUCCUUGUAAUUCUCUUCGAGUUAUGGGUUUCGUUUGGCCAACUUGAUCUAUAAUUCUUGCAAUGGGAGAAGUGCUUGGUUUUGGGUUCNNNNNNNNNNNNNNNNNNNNNNNNNNNNNNNNNNNNNNNNNNNNNNNNNNNNNNNNNNNNNNNNNNNNNNNNNNNNNNNNNNNNNNNNNNNNNNNNNNNNNNNNNNNNNNNNNNNNNNNNNNNNNNNNNNNNNNNNNNNNNNNNNNNNNNNNNNNNNNNNNNNNNNNNNNNNNNNNNNNNNNNNNNNNNNNNNNNNNNNNNNNNNNNNNNNNNNNNNNNNNNNNNNNNNNAUUCUUGCAAUGGGAGAAGUGCUUGGUUUUGGGUUCAUACCGUGCGGUGUCCUCACCUAGUGACAGAAGGGGUAGCAAGGCAUGCAUCGUGUUGUUGCCAUCAAGGGUAAAAUAUGGGGUUUAUAUCAUAUUGCAUGAAUUUAUCCCUCUACAUCAUGUAAUCUUGCUUAAGGAGUUACUCCGUUUGUUAUGAACUUAAUACACUAGAUGUAUGCUGGAUAGCGGUCGAUGUGUGGAGUAAUAGUAGUAGAUGCAUACAGUAUCGGUCUACUUGUCUCGGACGUGAUGCCUAUAUGUAUGAUCAUUGCCUUAGAUAUCGUCAUGACUUUGCGCGAUUCUAUCAAUUGCUCGACAGUAAUUCAUUCACCCAUCGUAAUACUUGCUAUCAUGAGAGAAGCCUCUAGUGAACACUAUGGCCCCCGAGUCUAUUUUACACAUCAUAUAUUCAGAUCUACAAAAAAUACCAAAAAUACUUUGAUGCACUUUUAUUUCUUUUUAUCUUUUAUGACCUUCAGAUCUCACCUUGCAAGUAAUCGUGAAGGGAUUGACAACCCCUUUAUCGCGUUGGGUGCAAGUUUGUUUGCUUUUGCGCAGGUUCAUUGGUGCCUCAUACUCCUACUGGAUUGAUACCUUGUUCUCAAACUGAGGCAAAUACUUAUCUCUACUUUGCUGCAUCACCCUUUCCUCUUCAAGGGAAAAACCAACGCAAGCUCAAGAAGUAGUAGGAAGAAUUUCUGGCGCCGCUGCCAGGGAGUAUUCAAGUGAAGCAUAUCUACCAAGUACCUAUCGCAAACUCAUCUCUCGCAUUUACAUUAUUUGCCUUUUUCCUCUCAUAUUCCUCUCCCCCACUACUAAAAAAUAAAAUUUACAAAAAUAUUUGCCUUUUUCGUCCGCCCUUUCUUUUGCUUGCUUUCUGUUUGCUUGUGUGCUUGUGUGCUUGCUAAGUCACCAUGUCUGAAAACACCAAAUUGUGUGAUUCUCCAAUACUAAUAACAAUGAUUUUAUUAGUACCCCAAUUGCUCCCGCCACCAGUGUCGAAUCAUAUGAAAUUAAUGCUGCCUUGUUGAAUCUUGUUAUGAAAGAGCAAUUUUCCGGCCUUCCUAGUGAAGAUGCCGCAUCCCAUCUUAAUACCUUUAUUGAGUUAUGCGAUAUGCGAAAGAAGAAAGAUGUGGAUAAUUAUAUGAUUAAAUUGAAUCUAUUUCCAUUCUCAUUACGAGAUCGAGCAAAAACUCGGUCUUCAUCUUUACCCAAAAAUAGUAUUGGUUCAUGGAACAAGUGUAAAGAUGCCUUUAUUUCCAAGUAUUUUCCACCAGCUAAGAUUAUCUCUCUCCGUAAUGAUAUCAUGAAUUUUAAGCAAUUAGAUCAUGAACAUGUUGCACAAUCUUGGGAGAGAAUGAAAUUGAUGAUUAGAAAUUGUCCCGCUCAUGGCCUGAGUCUUUGGAUGAUUAUACAAAUUUUCUAUGCUGGUUUGAAUUUUGCUUCUAGAAAUACCUUGGAUACCGCCUCUGGUGGAACUUUUAUGGAAAUCACACUAGGAGAAGCCACAAAAGUCCUAGAUAAUAUCAUGACAAAUUAUUCUCAAUGGCACACUGAAAGGUCACCUACUAGUAAAAAAGUGCAUGCUAUAGAAGAAAUUAACACUUUGAGUGCUAAGAUGGAUGAGUUAAUGAAGUUGUUUGCUAGUAAAAGUGCUCCUCUAGAUCCAAAUGACAUGCCUUUGUCUUCCUUGAUUGAGAAUUGCAAUGAAAAUUUGGAUGUUAAUUUUGUUGGUAGGAAUAAUUUUGUAACAACAAUGCUUAUAGAGGUAACUUUAAUUCUAGGCCUUUUCCUAGUAAUCCCUCUAAUAAUUUUGGCAAUUCCUACAACAAUGCUCAUGGAAAUUAUAAUAAAUUACCCUCUGAUCUUGGGAGUAAUAUUAAAGAGUUUAUUACUUUGCAAAAGAUUUUCAAUGCUUCCAUGGAAGAAAAACUGCUUAAAAUUGAUGACUUGGCUAGGACUGUUGAUAGAAUGUCUCUUGAUAUUGAUGCUUUGAAAUUGAGAUGUGCUCCUCCCAAGAUUAAUAUGGAUGAAACUUUGAAAUCUAUGCGUGUUUCCAUGAAUGAGAGUAAAGAAAGAACCGCCCAAAUUCGUGCUAGACAUGAAUGGCUUAAAAAGGCGUGUUCUCGUGAUAAGAAUCACGAAGAUCUUAAAGUGCUUGGUGUGACUCCUAUUUAAUCCUUGUUUUCUAAUGUCAAUCCUAAUGAUGAUGGGGCUGGAUGUGAAUCCACUUUGGUUGAGAAACGCCACAAUGAUUCGGAGUCUACUUAUCUUGAUGCUAAAAAUACUGAAAGUGGAGUAGAGGAUAUCAAAACUUUGAGUAGUGAUGAAGUUACUACCUUGGAUUUCAAGGAAUUUAAUUAUGAGAGUUGCUCUUUGAUUGAAUGUAUUUCCUUUAUGCAAUCCAUGCUAAAAUCUCCACAUGCUUAUAGCCAAAAUAAGGCUUUUACCGAUCAUAUCGUUGAUGCUAUGAUGAAAUCUCUUGAAGAGAAACUUGUGUUGGAGAUAUCUAUUCCUAGAAAACUUCAUGAUGAGUGGGAACCUAUUAUAAAAAUCAAGAUUAAAAAUUAUGAAUGCCAUGCUUUAUGUGAUUUGGGUGCUAGUGUUUCCACAAUUCCAAAAUCUUUAUGUGAUGUUCUAGGCUUCAAUGAGAUUGAUGAGUGCUCUCUUAAUUUGCAUCUUGCGGAUUCUACUAUUAAGAAACCUAUGGGAAGGAUCAAUGAUGUUCUUAUUAUUGCAAAUAGGAACUAUGUGCCCGUAGAUUUCAUUGUGCUUGAUAUUGAUUGCAAUUCGACAUGUCCCGUUAUUCUUGGUAGACCUUUCCUUAGGACUAUUGGUGCUGUUAUUGAUAUGAAGGAAGGGAAUAUUAAAUUUCAAUUUCCAUUAAAGAAGGGCAUAGAACACUUUCCUAGAAAGAAAAUAAGAUUGCCUUAUGAAUCCAUUAUGAGAGCUACUUAUGGUUUGAGCACUAAGGAUGACGAUACUUGAUUCUAUUGCCUUAUGCCUAGCUAAGGGUGUUAAACGAUAGCGCUUGUUGGGAGGCAACCCAAUGAAUAAAUUUAUUUUUGCUUUUUUACUUUCCGUUUUGUUGAGUCCACACCAUCAUGAUUCUGCUAUGAUUGUGUUUUUUAUGUCUUAAUUAGUGUUUGUGCCAAGUAGAACCUUUAUGAUUAGUUUUGGUGAUAGUUGUUUAAUCAUGCUGAAAAAGACAGAAACUUUGUGUUCACGAAAUUAUUUUUAAUUCCUAUCCAGAAAGAUCUUUUGAGUUGAUUAUUUUUCUUCUGGUUGAUAUGCAAAUUUCCCUAAUUUUCAUAAUUGUUCAGAAUUUUUGGGAUACCAGAGGUAUACGAAAUAUACAUAUUACUACAGAUUGUUCUGUUUUUGAUAGAUUCUGUUUUUGUUGUGUUGAUUGCUUAUUUUGAUGAAACUAUGGUUAGUAUCGGGGGGUACGAGCCAUGGAAAAGUGAGAAACAGUAAUAUAACAUCAAUCUAAAUAGAAAUCUAGUUUACUACAGUACCUAAAAAGUUGGUAGUUUGUUUUCUUAUGCUAAUGAUAUCACGAGUUUCUGUUUAAGUUUUGUGUUGUGAAGUUUUCAAGUUUUGGGUGAUGUUAUUAUGGACAAUGGAAUAAAGAGUGGAAAGAGCUUAAGCAUGGGGAUUCCCAAGUCAUCCCAAGCCAAAUCCAAGGACACCAAAAAGCCUAAGCUUAGGGAUGCCCCUGGAAGGCAUCCCCUCUUUCGUCUUCAAUCCAUCGGUAACGUUACAUGUAGCUAUAUUUUUAUUCACCACAUGAUAUGUGUUUUGCUUGGAGCGUCGUGUAUUAUAGGAGUCUUUGCUUUUUUUAUCGCAAUUGUCCUUACUACACACCUUUUUGAGAGGGACAUGCACUCAUCGUGAAUUUGUUAGAAUACUCAAUGAGCUUCACUUAUAUCCCUUGAGCUAGGCAAUUUAGCUCCCAUGAGCUUCACUUAUAUCUUGUGAGCUAGAUAAUUUUUCUCUAGUGCUUCACUUAAAUCUUUUUAGGGCACGGCGGUGUCAUAUUUUGUAGAAAUAAAAACUCUCGAUCUUCACUUAUAUCAUUUUGAGAGCGCUCUCUCUAGGUAACUUGGUAAUUGGCAUGUGCUAUGAAAUUAGUCCUAAAUAUAAUAGGCAUCCCAAGAGGAUAUAAUAAAAAGUAUCAUAUUCAAGUGCAUUGAUUAGUAAGAGAAGUUUGAUUCCUCUCAAUUAGUUUUGAGAUAUGGAUAUGGUAAUAUUAGAGUUAUGUUAGUAGGGUGUUGUGAAUCUAGAAAUACUUGUGUUGAGGUUAGUGAUUCCCGUAGCAUGCACGUAUGGUGAACCGCUAUGUUAGGAAGUCGGAGCAUAAUUGAUCUAUUGAUUGUCAUCCUUUGUGUUGAGGUCGGGAUCGUGUGAUGGUUAACACCUACCAACCCUUCCCCUAGGAGUAUGCGUUUAGCACUUUGUUUCGAUUACUAAUAAAACUUUUGCAAUAAGUAUAUGAAUUCUUCAUGACUAAUGUGAGUCCAUGGUAUAAAUGCACUCCCACCUUCCACCAUUGCUAGCCUCUCUAGUGCCGCGCAACUUUCGCCGGUGCACAAACCACCAUAUGCCUUCCUCAAAACAGCCACCAUACCUACCUAUUAUGGCAUUUUCACAACCAUUCUGAGAUAUAUUUCCAUGCAACUUCCACCGUUCCGUCUCAUGACAUGUGCCAUCACUUUCAUAUUGCCAUUGCAUGAUCGUAAGAUAGCUAGCGAGAUGUUCCAACUUCAUACGCUAAGCUAGAUCGUUGCACAUCCCGGUACACUGCCGGAGGCAUUUCAUAUAGAGUCAUUAUUGUUCUAAGUAUCGAGUCGCAAGUAAAUAAAAGUGUGAUGAUCAUCAUUAUUAGAGCAUUGUCCCAUGUGAGGAAAAAAAAGAGGCCAAAGAUGCCCACCAAAAAAAAGAGGAGGCCAAAGAGCCCAAAAAAAUGAUGAGAGAAAAAGAGAGAAGGGGCAAUGCUACUAUCUUUUUCCACACUUGUGCUUGAAAAUAGCACCGUGUUCUUCAUGAUAGAGAGUCUCUUGUUUUGUCACUUACAUAUACUAGUGAGAAUUUUCAUUAUAUAACUUGGCUUGUAUAUUCCAAUGAUGGGCUUCCUCAAAAUUGCCCUAGGUCUUCGUGAGCAAGCAAGUUGGGUGCACACCCACUAGUUUUCUUUUUGAGCUUUCAUACACUUAUAACUCUAGUGCAUCCGUUGCAUGGCAAUCCCUACUCAUUCACAUUGAUAUCUGUUGAUGGGCAUCUCCAUAGCCCAUUGAUACGCCAAUUCGAUGUGACCAUCUCCUCCUUUUUGCCUCACAACCUCCACCACACUCUAUUCCACCCAUAGUGCUAUAUCCAUGGCUCACGCUCAUGUAUUGCGUGAGAGUUGAAAAAGUUUGAGAAGGUAAGAGUGCGAAAACAAUUACUUGGCCAAUACCGGGGUUGUGCAUGAUUUAAAUUCUUUGUGUGGGGAUGAUGGAGCAUAGCCAGACUAUAUGAUUUUGUAGGGAUUACUUUCUUUGGCCUUGUUAUUUCAAAAGUUCAUGAUUACUUUGCUAGUAUGCUUGAAGUAUUAUUGUUUUCAUGUCAAUAUUAAACUAUUGUUUUGAAUCUUACGGAUCUGAACAUUCAUGCCACAGUAAAGAAGUUACAAAGAACAAAUAUGUUAGGUAGCAUUCCACAUCAAAAAUUCGGUCUUUAUCACUUCCCUACUCGAGGACGAGCAGGAGUUAAGCUUGGGGAUGCUUGAUACGUCUCCAACGUAUCUAUAUUUUUUUUAUUGUUCCAUGCUAUUAUAUUAUCAACUUGGGAUGUCUUAUAUGCAUUUAUAUGCCAUUUUAUAUCAUUUUUGGGACUAACCUAUUAACUCAGUGCCUAGUGCCAGUUUCUGUUUUUCCGUGUUUUUGACCUUUUUUAGAAAAGAAUAUUAAACGGAGUCCAAACGGAAUAAAACCCGCGGGAUGAUUUUUUCCAUAACAGAAGAUACGCAGAGGACAUGAGAACCAAGGCAGGAGCUCUCGUGGGAGGUCACGAGCCCCCUAGGCGCGCCCUAGGGGGGGGCGCCUAGCUAGCUCAUGCCCCCCAAUGGCUCCUCUGCCCUACCUCUUUCGCCUAUAAAUUCCCAAAAAUCCCGAAACCAACAGAGAGAGCCACGAAAAUACUUUUCCGCCGCCGCAAGCUUCUGUCUCCGCAAGAUCCCUUCUGGGGACCGUUCUGGUGCCCUGCCGAAGGGGGAUUCGGACAUGGAGGGCUUCUUCAUCAACACCAUUACCUCUCAGAUGAUGCGUGAGUAGUUCACCACAGACCUUCGGGUCCAUAGCUAGCAACUAGAUGGCUUCUUCUCUCUCUUGGAUCUUCAAUACAAAGUUCUCCAUGAUCUUCAUGGAGAUCUAUCCGAUGUAAAUUUCUUUUGAGGUGUGUUUGUCGAGAUCCAAUGAAUUAUGGAUUUAUGAUCAGAUUAUCUAUGAAUAUUACUUGAGUCUCCUCUGAUUUCUUACAUGCAUGAUUUCGUAUCCUUGUAAUUCUCUUCGAGUUAUGGGUUUCGUUUGGCCAACUUGAUCUAUAAUUCUUGCAAUGGGAGAAGUGCUUGGUUUUGGGUUCNNNNNNNNNNNNNNNNNNNNNNNNNNNNNNNNNNNNNNNNNNNNNNNNNNNNNNNNNNNNNNNNNNNNNNNNNNNNNNNNNNNNNNNNNNNNNNNNNNNNNNNNNNNNNNNNNNNNNNNNNNNNNNNNNNNNNNNNNNNNNNNNNNNNNNNNNNNNNNNNNNNNNNNNNNNNNNNNNNNNNNNNNNNNNNNNNNNNNNNNNNNNNNNNNNNNUGGCCAACUAGAUCUAUGAUUCUUGCAAUGGGAGAAGUGCUUGGUUUUGGGUUCAUACCGUGCAGUGUCCUCACCUAGUGACAUAAGGGGUAGCGAGGCACGCAUCGUGUUGUUGCCAUCAAUGGUAAAAAGAUGGGGUUUAUAUCAUACUGCAUGAAUUUAUUCCUCUACAUCAUGUCAUCUUGCUUAAGGCGUUACUCCGUUUGUUAUGAACUUAAUACACUAGAUGCAUGCUGGAUAGUGGUCGAUGUGUGGAGUAAUAGUAGUAGAUGCAGAAAGUAUCGGUCUACUUGUCUCGGACGUGAUGCCUAUAUGUAUGAUCAUUGCCUUAUAUAUCGUCAUGACUUUGCGCGAUUCUAUCAAUUGCUCGACAGUAAUUUGUUCACCCACCGUAAUACUUUCUAUCAUGAGAGAAGCCUCUAGUGAACACUAUGGCCCCCGGGUCUAUUUUACACAUCAUAUAUUCAGAUCUACAAAAAAAUACCAAAAAUACUUUGCUGCAUUUUUAUUCCUUUUUACCUUUUAUCACCUUCAGAUCUCACCUUGCGAGUAAUCGUGAAGGGAUUGACAACCCCUUUAUCGCGUUGGGUGCAAGUUUGUUUGCUUUUGCGCAGGUUCAUUGGUGCCUCAUCUUGAUACUCCUACUAGAUUGAUACCUUGGUUCUCAAACUGAGGGAAAUACUUAUCUCUACUUUGCUGCAUCACCCUUUCCUCUUCAAGGGAAAAACCAACGCAAGCUCAAGAAGUAGCACUUGGCAACGAAAUAUUAGUAGCAACGGUAAUAUGGAAGUGUUGAUGGUAACGGAAAUAAUAGUGGUAAAGCAACGAAAGUAAAACUACGAAAGUAAAGCAACUCGUAACUAGCAGUAUAAAAACAUUGUAGGCUAGGGAGAUGGAUGGUUGGUCAUGGAUGAGAGAUAUCAUGUAUUUCAGUAGGGGCAAGGCACAUAGAAAAUUAAUGAUCAUCUAGGCAUAUAUCAAACAUUAUGCAUGUAUCCCAAGGUAGUCGUGCGUGCUUGCAAUAAGAAAUUGCACAACAUCUUUUGUCCUACCAUCCCGCUAUCAACGGGGCCAAAAGGAACUUAUGGAGAUUAAGGUGCUCCUGUCAAACAACACCGAAACAAAGCAUUAACAAUCAAUGGAUACAUGGAGUCCUCAAACUGUAGUCUAUCCCCUUUGGUGUCCCAAGUUGUCACCAUUGGGAUCGCCGGUUCCGGACUACAAUAGGUGCAUACUACUCAUAGAUAGGAUCUAGAACACAAAUAUAUUCAUGAAAACAUAAAGAAUGCAUAUCUGAAAUCAUGGCACUCGGGCCCAAAGUGACAAGCACUGAUAGUAACAAGUAGUAGCAAACAUGAUAAACACCAUAGUAGAUGAUAGGCAACAUGCCCCCAACAUUUCGAAGAACUAUUACAUGAUCUAACUCAUCCAAUCUCCCCCAACCCCUUCACCUACAGCAGGGAAUUACUCACACAUGAUGGGAGAAGCCAUGGGAGGAUGAUGGAGUGGUGAUGGUGAUGACGAUAGCGACAAUUUCCCCUCUCUGGAGGCCAAAACAACCUCCAGAUUAGCACUCCUGAAGAAGAACCGAGGGUGGCCGCGGCUCCGUGUCGAGAACUUGCAAAACGACUGGUGAUCUGGGAUUUUCUCGUCACGGGUAAAAAUAGGAGCCAAAGUAGGGCACCAGAGGGGGUGAACCCCACCAAGUCGGCCUCCCAACGCGGCUAGGGGGCAGGCCGCGCCAGCAGGUCGCCUGCGGGCCCUGUGGCUCCCCUCUCGCCCAUCUUUUGGCCCAAGGUUCCUCCCGGUGCAUGGAUUUUCUCUAUCUUUAUGGGAAUUUUCCGGGACGUCUAAAUAUCCAUUUUCCUGCACACAAGAAAAUCAUACGGGCAACUCUGCUGAAAACAACGUCAGUCCGGGUUAGUUUCAUUGAAAUCAUGCAAGAAUGAGGUAAAAAAUUAGCAAAAGUGUUUGGAAAAGUCGAUACGUUUGAGACGUAUCAACCGUGUGUUGAAGAAGUCAUCCCAAACAACGAAGAAAUUUGGGCUGGUGCACCUGAGGAAAUUGCUCCAGCUCAAAUUCUUCAACCCGAUCAAAGUCUUCAACCCGAUCAAAGUCUUCAACCCGCGCAUCCAAGGAUUGCAAAUUAAGUACAGAUAGACAAAAUCCUCGAUGACAUUAAUGUGGCAGGUCCCCUCACUCGCUCAAAAUCUUCACAUUUAACUAUCUUUUGUGGGCAUUCUUCCUUUGUGUCUAUCACAUAAUGCUCAUAAGUUAAUGAAGCCGUCAUGGAACCUGAGUGGAUUCAAGCAAUGCAAAGAAGAACUUCAUCAAUUCAAGCUCAAUAAUGUGUGGGAACUCGUCAAGCGGCCUGAUCCUCGCAAGCACAAUGUCAUCGGUACCAAGUGGAUCUACCUAAACAAGCAAGACGAAGAUGGUCAGGUAGUGAGGAACAAGGUACGACUUGUAGCCCAAGGCUAUACACAAGUUGAAGGAAUUGGCUUUGAUGAAACUUUUGCACCUAUUGCUAGACUUGAAGCUAUUCGUAUAUUGCUUGCUUAUGCUAACCAUCACAAUAUCACAUUGUAUCAAAUGGAUAUGAAAAGUGCAUUCCUCAAUGGUAAGCUUGAGGAAAAAUUAUAUGUUGCUCAACCCCGAGGUUUUGAAGACCCAAAGCAUCGUGACAAAGUCUUCAGACUCAACAAGGCUCUCUAUGGCUUCAAGCCAUCCCCUCGGGCAUGGUAUAUGACACAUUGAAGGAAUUCCUAGUGAAGAAGGGCUUCAAACAUGGUUCAGUCUGUUGGGGAACGUCGCAUGGGAAACACAAAUUUUCCUACGCGCACGAANNNNNNNNNNNNNNNNNNNNNNNNNNNNNNNNNNNNNNNNNNNNNNNNNNNNNNNNNNNNNNNNNNNNNNNNNNNNNNNNNNNNNNNNNNNNNNNNNNNNAGGAGGAACAAUUUAUUGAGGCAAAACUAGAAACUUUUAAAUUUGCCACAAUUAAUUGGAAGGGAGGGAGUUUUUGAAACUAUGGUGCAACAAGGGGUUUUGAAUGGCUUUUUUGCACCCACUCACAUGCACAAGAUCACAACCACACAUCACCACAUGAUCAUCAAGGUGGCACAACACACAAGAUCAAACCAUCAAGCCAAAAGGAAAAGAAGCAAGAUAUGCAUGAUGCAUGAGAUGCACAUGAAAUGAUAAUGCCACAAGCCUCAACUCCAUAACAUUGCCUCAACAUAGUUGCCAAACAAGGAAAGGAUUACAAAAGGUGAAAGAAAAGCACUUGGGCUGUUACAUGCCGUCCUAGGGGUGGACAUUUUCGGCGAGGAGGGAUGCAGGGCCUAAGGGGGCUCCCGAGCAUCGAACCUCAGGAGCCUCAAAGGACAGGGUGCGGGGCCAGGGCCCGCAAACAUAGGGAGCCAAAAGGGUCUCCAUCUCAUCCCACCUACAGAGCAGGAGCUACUCAGGAGGAGCUACGGAAGGGACCGGUGCAAGCCCACGAGCUAAGUACUUCGCAAGCCCAGAUGGGGGUCAUUUAGUUUCACGCCAAACUAACGACAAAUUAAAAACAUGUGUACUAACGAAGGGAUGCAGGGCCUUAGGAUUCAGCUGCAGCGAGGGACGAGGCCGACGACCAAGCGUGCAGCGGCACGAGCGGGGCCUCAGGAGGACGGGACCUACCGAGGACCCUAGUUGCCGUUACUCCCAAGCGAUGACUGGGGCAGCGACGAGCCCUAUGCAAAGAAGUCGAGCUGCAACGACUACCGGCAAGCGAGAAAUCGACACACGAGCGAAAGGAAAAACGUAAAACAACGAAGGUAACGAACGAAAGGUUAACGACCAACAGUGCAGAGUUCUUGGUUUGACGUUACACGAGAAGGAAACGGAAGCUGGGAUACGCCUAGGGGGAAAGGCCCCAAGCACCGCCCUUGGCUCCUGUGGGCUCAUCGUCGAAGGCCUCCUCCUCGCUGGACAUAGGCAACCGGACGUACUGCUCCACCAGGGCGUCCACGUGCGGGCGCACUUCAUCCCGGAGAAGGCGCCGGGGCUCGGCGGGCAUGGGCUCGACGACGCGCUGGAGAUCGAGCUCCGGGACAAGGCGACGCUGGUUGGAGAAGACAAGCGUCAAGGCAAGGCCCAGAAGCUCGUGCGCAUCGGACUGUUGGAAUUAUGCCCUAGAGGCAAUAAUAAAUGUAUAGUUAUUAUUAUAAUUCCUGUAUCAAGAUAAUAAUUUAUUAUCCAUGCUAUAAUUGUAUUGAAUGAAGACUCAUUUACAUGUGUGGAUACAUAGACAAAACACCGUCCCUAGCAUGCCUCUAGUUGGCUAGCCAGUUGAUCGAUGAUAGUCAGUGUCUUCUGAUUAUGAACAAGGUGUUGUUGCUUGAUAACUGGAUCACGUCAUUGGGAGAAUCACGUGAUGGACUAGACCCAAACUAAUAGACGUAGCAUGUUGAUCGUGUCAUUUUGUUGCUACUGUUUUCUGCGUGUCAAGUAUUUAUUCCUAUGACCAUGAGAUCAUAUAACUCACUGACACCGGAGGAAUGCUUUGUGUGUGUCAAACGUCGCAACGUAACUGGGUGACUAUAAAGAUGCUCUACAGGUAUCUCCGAAGGUGUUAGUUGAGUUAGUAUGGAUCAAGACUGGGAUUUGUCACUCCGUGUGACGGAGAGGUAUCUCAGGGCCCACUCGGUAAUACAACAUCACACACAAGCCUUGCAAGCAAUGUAACUUAGUGUAAGUUGCGGGAUCUUGUAUUAUGGAACGAGUAAAGAGACUUGCCGGUAAACGAGAUUGAAAUAGGUAUGCGGAUACUGACGAUCGAAUCUCGGGCAAGUAACAUACCGAAGGACAAAGGGAAUGACAUACGGGAUUAUACGAAUCCUUGGCACUGAGGUUCAAACGAUAAGAUCUUCGUAGAAUAUGUAGGAUCCAAUAUGGACAUCCAGGUCCCGCUAUUGGAUAUUGACCGAGGAGUCUCUCGGGUCAUGUCUACAUAGUUCUCGAACCCGCAGGGUCUGCACACUUAAGGUUCGACGUUGUUUUAUGCGUAUUUGAGUUAUAUGGUUGGUUACCGAAUGUUGUUCGGAGUCCCGGAUGAGAUCACGGACGUCACGAGGGUUUCCGAAUGGUCCGGAAACGAAGGUUGAUAUAUAGGAUGACCUCAUUUGAUUACCGGAAGGUUUUCGGAGUUACCGGGAAUGUACAGGGAAUGACGAAUGGGUUCCGGGAGUUCACCGGGGGGGGGGGCAACCCACCCCGGGGAAGCCCAUAGGCUUUGGGGAGACACACCAGCCCUUAGUGGGCUGGUGGGACAGCCCCAAGGGGGCCUAUGCGCCAAGAGAAGGAAAUCAAAGGAAAAGAAAAAAAAGGAGGGAGGAAGUGGGAAGGGAGGGGGACUCCUCCCACCAAACCAAGUCCAACUCGGUUUGGGGGGGGGGGAGGUCCUCCCCCCCUUGGCUCGGCCGACCCCCAAGGCAAGGUCCCCCUCCCUCCUCCUAUAUAUAUGGAGCAAUUAGGGAUGAUUUGAGACGACUUUCUCACGGCUGCCCGACCACAUACCUCCAUAGUUUUUCCUCUAGAUCGCGUUUCUGCGGAGCUCGGGCGGAGCCCUGCCGAGACAAGAUCAUCACCAACCUCCGGAGCGCCGUCACGCUGCCGGAGAAAUCUUCUACCUCUCCGUCUCUCUUGCUGGAUCAAGAAGGCCGAGAUCAUCGUCGAGCUGUACGUGUGCUGAACGCGGAGGUGCCGUCCGUUCGGUACUAGAUCGUGGGACUGAUCACGGGAUUGUUCGCGGGGCGGAUCGAGGGACGUGAGGACGUUCCACUACAUCAACCGCGUUCUCUAACGCUUCUGCUGUACGAUCUACAAGGGUACCUAGAUCACUCAUCCCCUCUCGUAGAUGGACAUCACCAUGAUAGGUCUUCGUGCGCGUAGGAAAUUUUUUGUUUCCCAUGCGACGUUCCCCAACACGGACGUGCUCUCCUCCUCCACCCGGGUAACGCCGACCUCGAGCGCCUCCACCACCUUCUCAAAGAAGGCGAGGUAGCCCCUAUCGCUCCUCACGUUUUGCAGCGCCGAGGCCUCCCCCGCAAGUCGGCGCGUCACGUCAGCUACCCGGCCGGCGAUGCCCGCGAACUGCUUGGCGUGCUGGGACGCCCUCAUCCGGGCGAACGAUGCCUCGUUGUUGUCUGCCAAGACGGCGUCGGUCGCCUACUGGACCUGCUUCUGAAGCGACGACAACUCGUCCUUGGCCUACGCUUCGCCCUCGCGGGCGGCGUGGACACUACAAGAAUCAGAUACUUUGCCGUCUGCCAUGGCGGACGGCAAAGGGGAGCACCCUGGAUGGCAAAGGCCUUUGCCGUUCGUCUGCAGACGGCAAACUGCACGGCAAAGAAAAAUCCGUUAAAGAGGUUCUUUUCCGUCUGCCUUGGCCCCGCGGUCGGCAAAGAAACUUUGCCCGGGGGGGGGGGUAGACGACAAAGAACAUCGACGACAGAUCCGCGGGCUAGGGUCGUCAAGUCGUAACGAUAGCCUUUGCCGUGUGCUGGGCCCACCAUCCCUUUGCCGUCUGUCAUGGACCCCUUUGCCAUGUGUGGGAAAACGACAAAGAUGGCAAAUAGUCCUGGCCUUCAAGGCCUUUGCCGUCUGCUGGGCUCCCUUUGCCGUCGGUGGGCGGACGACAAAGAAACCAAAAUGCCCCUGUUUAUUUUAUUUUUUAUUAUAUCCAACAAUUUUCACAGGAAUAUAUGAUAUAUAUAUAUAUAUAUAUACAUAUAUCAUAGAAAUAAUGUUGUUGCCAUACUGAUAACCAUAUUAAAAUAAGUUUAAUCCAUCCAUACAUACAUAUUAUGCAAGUUUGAUCCGUACCAAACCAUAUAUUACAAUAGUUUCAUCCAUACAUACAAAGUUUCAUAUCCAUAUAUUACAACAGUUUCAUCCAUACAUAUUAUCCAAAAAACAUAUAAGUAACCCAAGCACUCCAUCAAUCCAAGCAUUCGUGAAGUGAAAGUAAUCUGCAAAAUGGGAAAUAAGAAAGUUAGAAGAAGAAGACUAGACGAAGAAGAGAAGUAAGCUAGGUAUAGGUCAUUUUUGAAUAAAUAGGCCAUUUUGGAGCUAAUUUAGCUUACUACAUCAUCUAGGAGGAAACUAAGCUAAGUAUAUGUCAUUUUGGAGCUACUUAGGUAAAAAUAGGUCAUUUAGGAGCUAAAUAUGCCUAUUAAGCCAUUUUGGAGCUAACUCAGCUAAUUAUAGGCCAUUUAAUAGCUAAUUUAGGUACAAUAGCUCAUUUUGUAGCUAAGUAAACUUAUUAUGUCAUUUAGGAGAGAACUUAGCUAAGUAUAGGUCAUUUUUGAUUAAAUAGGCCAUUUUGGAGCUAAUUUAGCUUACUAUGUCAUCUAGGAGGAAACUAAGCUAAGUAUAAGUCAUUUUGGAGCUACUUCGGUAAAAAUAGGUCAUUUAGGAGCUAACUAUGCUUAUUAAGCCAUAUUGGAGCUAACUAAGCUAAUUAUAGGCCAUUUAAUAGCUAAGUUAGGUACAAUAGGUAAUUUUGUAGCUACGUAAACUUAUUAUGUCAAUUAGGAGAGAACUUAGCUAAGUAUAGGUCAUUUUUAUGAAAUAUUCCAUUUUUGAGCUAAUUUAGCUUACUACGUCAGUUAGGAGGAAACUAAGCCAAGUAUAUGUCAUUUUAGAGCUACUUAGGUAAAAAAUAGGUCAUUUAGGAGCUAACUAUGCUUAUUAUGCAAUUUUGGAGCUAAAUAACCUAAUUAUAGGCCAUUUAAUAGCUAAGUUAGGUACAAUAGGUCAUUUUGUAGCUACGUAAGCUUAUUAUGUUAUUUAGGAGGGAACUUAGCUAAGUAUAGGUUACAUUUUUAUGAAAUAGGCCAUUUUGGUGCUAAUUAAGCUUAGUACGUCAUCUAGGAGGUAACUAAGGUGAGUAUAUGUCAUUUUAGAGCUACUUAUGUAAAAGUAGGUCAUUUAGGAGCUAACUAUGCUUAUUAUGCCAUUUUGGAGCUAACUAAGCUAAUUAUAGACCAUUUAAUAGCUAAGUUAGGUACAAUAGGUCAUUUUGGAGCUACGUAAGCUUAUUAUGUCAUUUAGGUGAGAACUUAGCUAAGUAUAGGUCAUUUUUUUAUUAAAUAUGCCAUUUUGGAGCUAAUUCAGCUUACUACGUCAUCUAUGAGGAAAAUAAGCUAAAUAUAUGUCAUUUUAGAGCUACUUAGGUAAAAAAUAGGUCAUUUAGGAGCUAACUAUGCUUAUUAAGCCAUUUUGGAGCUAACUAAGCUAAAUAUAGGCCAUUAAUAGCUAAGUUAGGUACAAUAGGUCAAUUUGGAGCUAGGUAAGCUUAUUAUGUCAUUUAGGAGAGAACUUAGCUAAGUAUAGGNAGGAAACUAAGCUAAGUAUAUGUUAUUUUAGAGCUGCUUAGGUAAAAAUAGGUCAUUUAUGAGCUAACUAUGCUUAUUAUGCCAUUUUAUAGCUAACUAAGCUAAUUAUAGGCCAUUUAAUAGCUAAGUUAGGUACAAUAGAUCAUUUUCGAGCUAUGUAAUCUUAUUAUGUCAUUUAGGAAAGAACUUAGCUAAGUAUAGGUCAUUUUUUAUUAAAUAGGCCAUUUUGGAGCUAAUUUAGCUUACUACGUCAUCUAUGAGGAGCCUAAGCUAAGUAUAUGUCAUUUUAGAGCUACUUAGGUAAAGAUACGUCAUUUAGGAGCUAACUAUGCUUAUUAAGCCAUUUUGGAGCUAACUAAGCUAAUUAUAGGCCAUUUAAUAGCUAAGUUAGGCACAAUAGGUCAUUUUGGAGCUAGGUAAGCUUAUUAUGUCAUUUAGGAGAGAACUUAGCUAAGUAUAGGUCAUUUUUUUUAUUAAAUAGGUCAUUUUGGAGCUAAUUUAGCUUACUACGUCAUCUAGGAGGAAACUAACCUAACUAUAUGUCAUUUUAGAGCUACUUAGGUAAAAAUAGGUCAUUUAGGAGCUAACUAUGCUUAUUAUGUCAUUUUGGAGCUAACUAAGCUAAUUAUGUCAUUUAGGAGGAAACUAAGCUAAGUAUAGGUCAUUUUAGAGCUAACUUUUGGUAAAAUAUGUCAUUUUGGAGCUAAGGUAAGGUAAGUAAACAUCAUUAUGCGGUUGUUAAGCAAAACACUAGAAAAAACAUACCAUACUCGUCAGCACGACAGUGAAGCACGAUGGCUUUGGCUUGUUUCACCUGGAGAAGGCUCCACUGUAGAAGGGUCAUGCGAUGCGUUUCGGGAGAUAUUCUGCACCAAACAUCGUUUGUAAUGUGACGUUAGCAUGAUGACACUCAAAAGAUCACUGCAUUGAAAUGAAACUCACCAUCCCCGCCAUCUUAAUGACUAGCAUCGCCGGAGGGACAUGGCCGGUAUUCUCGCAGAUAGACUGUACAUUUGGUUUCGACAAGUCAAACUUUUUAGUUAUUAAUGAAACAAACAUUAAAAUGCAAGAUUUUACAAAUAUUAAGAAGAAAACUACCACUAAGAGCUCAUACAUGGCCGUGUUAGACGCAACAUUUCGUGCCCUCUCCGCCUCGAACAACACAACCAUCCUCUACUCCAUCUUCUCCAUCUCCUUAUCCUUCGCCGCCUAAAGCGCCUGUGUUGCCUCUCUCUCUUUUAGAAUAGUAGCGUGCAACACAAAUCAUUGUUAGCACUGUAAUAAUAUUGGCUUGCACACACAACGUAAUGCGGAUAGAUAGUUGAGUCCAUUAAACUAACCUCGAUGGCGAGAUCGACUGGCCGUGGAUGAGGUGUUAUCUUAGAACAGGAGCUUAUUUGGCGUGCCUUUAUCUACCGGAGAGUGCGAGGACAACGUAUAAGGUCGUCUCCAAUGGCGAUCGAGCCAUGGGGCCUCCCGUUUCCAGCUAUCAUCACCAGCUCUGGAUCAAUAGGCCCUGGCUCGGGUUAAAGUCCUCCCCUUUCCUCGCCUUCCCGUGAUCUAUGUACUUCACAAGCUUGUGGUGGGAGGAGAUGUUGGUGAAGUUUUCAGGAUGAUCGAGGUCAGACUCACAGAAUUCCUUGACCUUCUUGUACGAGGCAGUAUGGGCCAUCGCAUAGAGGUCGUACAUAUGUGGCACCUCCGUCUUAUUGUGACGCGCCUAAAAGAGAGAGAGAGAGGAAAAAUGUAUUAGUAAAGGGCUCAAGCUAGCAUUAAGAAUGAAUUGCAUGAGUCAUGAAGCAAACCACAUACCCAGUUCUGACCAAACCCAUUUAAGUUGACGCUCCCUUGAUGGUGUGGCACACCAACCAUUUUGCCACGCCUCUCCUUGGCAUUGUUGUGGCUGGCCUCCCACUUUUCGGAGCACCACUGAUCCACCAAGGCCUCCGAACAAUCCAUCUUAUCCACACACCAUCUCAGGGGCACCUAAGUUAAUAAAUAGAAAUUUGAGCGCUACGUGUAAGAAUCAAAUCAAGGAAACUAACUACAAGGCCUUAAUAAUAUGUAAUUACCAUCAUGUAAUGCUCCUUCUCAAUCUUAGAAUCGCGACACUUCGCCUUAUCCUUCCUAAUAUGUCGCGAGGAGUAGUAGUCUCGAACAACCUGCACCCGAACCUCGUGCCGAAAGUUUUGAAGUAGGCGGCGGCAUUCGGUUUCGACAACCUUUGCCGCGUCCUCCUCGUAUCCCUCCUCACACCUGUAGAAGGUCUACAAACGAGACAACACUGAUUAGUACAAUAACUAUCUAUUGUUGAUUUUAAUUGUGUAAAGGAGAAAUUACCCAGAACUGUCUGAUCACCAUGUCGACCCUCGUGUGGCACAAAACACCGUCGAUCUCCACCUCCGACGGGGCCGGGGCACCCAAGUAGUGCUCCCAGAUCAUUCCUACCUCUCGACCCCGACCAGGCAACGUAACAAACCCCGGGAAGUUUUGCCAGCAAAGAACACCAAGGACGCUCUUGGGCUUGCGGACACCCUUGGCAACAAUCCAACCCAUGCAAUAUGACAAAUUAAAAAACAAACAUUAGAUAUUUGAGAAAACGUGAAGGCAAAAGGUUAAAUAAGAGUAAAUUAACUUACUUGUCCCCAUUUGGCUUAAUCGACCACCUCUGCUCGCGGGUCGCCGGCACAAGCGGGAGCCCCAUACUACCAUGCUGGUAGACGGUGCCCCCCUCACCCACCUCCCCGUCGCUCUUAGCAUGGCCACUUGGCUCCGACUGACAUAGAUCAGUCCAGGUAUCCCACUGGGUCUCUUGGGACGUACCCUCAUCCCUACUUUGAUCCAGAGUCUCUUUGAACGAAUCCUCUAGGACACGGGUCUCAUGGGUCGAAGGCUCGUCGACCUGAGGCUCCUGAACCGGAGACCGUGUAGCCUCCACCUCAGACGGGUCCACCCUAGCAGUCAUGUGCUCAGGUGAAUAAGCUUGGGGUGGUGGCGAGGAAGGCGUGGCAGCCACCCUACCUCUCCCGCGGCCACGUGUACCUUUGGUAGCUCUCGGCUUCAUGAGGGCCGCGAGAGUCGAAGAAGCGGCCACUCCAUGCAAAGUAGAGAGAAACAUUGUUCGGAGAGGCGAUGUAGGAAUGGAAGUACCCAUCCCACCACCCGCCGACGAAGAAGGAGCCGUGGAGUGCUUUCGACCCUUUCCCACCAUCUUUCAACACGUGCCAUGACAAAGAGUAAAUGAAAUUUGUACAACAUAAAUACCAACAUGAGCAAUAAAAUGUAUAUAAUUUAAGAGUAUCAUCAUCAUAAAUACCAAGAUCACGAAUAAAAAUUGAAUACCUAACAUGAACUAAAAAUUUAUAUAUGUAUAUAAUAAUAGUUGACUACUUGACAUGAACUAAUAACAAUCUUGAUCGACUAUAUAUGCUUCGUGGUCAAUAAAUGCAUCAUGAUCACCACUAUCAUCAAUAAAUGCAGCAUCAUCAUCACUAUCAGGAAGAACAUGUGGAAGGCCUCCAUUAUGUAAUCGGUCAAGAAGUGAUAGGUCAUCCGCAGCAGUAACCUCUUCUUCUUCCGGCUCUUCCUGUUCCGUCUCAGGGGUUAAGACGGAUUCACUAUCGCUGUCUACUCCAAUGUUCUAGGGUGAAGUAGAGCGGUUCUUGAAACGUUUUUUGGACAUACGCGUUUCUUGGAAAAAUUCUCUUUCAUAUGUGUCUGGGUUAAUGUGAGGUUCGUAAUCCUCUUCAUUGAGGGUAGGUGGUCUAAAACGUGGCGACACUUCAUAAACGACAUCCCAACCUUUCAAAUUUGGAUCAGUUUGGCAGGCCCACGGUAGAUAGAAAACUUGUGUCGCCUGUUGAGUCAUAAUAUAGACAUCAGGAACAUCUAAAUGGGUGUUUUGGUUGAUUUAGACUAGUCCUAUAUGUUCAUGAGUCCUUCUAGUCUCCCUCGGCUCAUACCAAUAACAUUUGAAGACUAAGACGGUCGAUGGGUUUUCACCAUAGAAUAGAAGUUCAUAAAUUGCUUCAACUCUUCCAUAAUACUCGGUACCUCCUUCGCCGAUAGAAGAGACAGAACAAUUUGUAGUCUUUAGGUCGGUCAUAGAUAGCUCUUUGCCAAAGGUACAAAAGUGAUACCCGUUGAUGUUGUAUUUGUCAAAUGAAUGGACCUUAUAGUCAAAACCAUUAGCGACUUGUCUCAACUCGGCAUCCAUAGACUCUGCAUCAGCCUACAAGUUUAAUACGGAAGAAUGGAUGCAUUAGCCGCAAAUUAGACCAAGAAAUCAAGUGGCCCAUUAAUGGUAAUUAAUUACCCUUUGUUUGAACCAAGAGAUGAAACCAGGAUAGUCGCCUCCAUGCAUUGCCAGAAGCUCAUACUCUUCGACGGAAUCCUUUUCGAUGACCGCUCCAUCCAAGAAUUCGGCGAUGUAUCGACUAUAUCAAAUAUCUAGGAAUAAGAGCAGUUCAAAGGAAUUAGAAGUUGCGGAACAAUAAUUUACCGAGAAUUUACUCGAUGUACGGCCGCACUUCUGUUAGUUUGUUAAAGAUAUACAAUGAAAUGGUCCGCCAUUCUUCGACAUCCAAUGAUUUCCCUUUUGAAGCACCAACUGGUGCGAUCUUCCCUUUGAAAAGGCUGAGGUUGGAUCGACCUUUUUUAGGAUCGCCAUGAUUGUACCGAGGCUUCGGGUUAUGCAAAUGAAGAUUUCUGGCUUCGUAGUGUGCUGUCAUGAAGUUUGUUUCCUACUUAGUAAUGAAUGCCUCGGCCAUCGAUGCUUAAAUUCUACGUUUAUUUUUACAUUUAGCUCGAAACAUCUUCUGCAUCCUCUCAGUUGAGAAGCACCAUCGAUUUUGAACGCCCCCCCAAUCUUGCCUUGGUCGGGAGAUGCAAAAUCAAAUGCUGCAUUGGAUUAAAGAAGCUCGGUGGAAAGAUCCUUUCUAAUUUGCAGAUCAACUCUGCCGCCAACCCUUCCAUUUCAUCUAGCACGCCAGGCGAUAGUUCUUUCACACAAAGAGAAGAGAAGAAAUAGCUCAGCUCUGCCUGUACUAGCCAUUCAUCCUCAGGGAUAAAGGCAUGCAACAUCACCGGGAUUACCCGCUCAAUCCAUAUGUCCCAAUCAUGACUCUUGAGACCAAAUAUUUUCAAUUUCUCAAGGCUCGCUCCCCUCUUUAGAUUCACAGCAUACCCAUCGGGGAACAUCAACCGCAUUUUCACCCACAAUAGCAUUUCCCUCAUAGCUGGCCUUUCAAGAUUGAACCAUGCCUUUGGCUUCGCUACGCUUUGAUUUCCUUUCCGUUGUUGCAAGUUUUGUAACGGUCUAUCACAUAGAGCCUCCUGGUCGAUUCUAGCCUUAGGAUUAUCCUUUGACUUCCUCUCUAUGCCGAACAAUGUACCAAAAAUGGCCUCCGCAAUAUUCUUUUUAGUGUGCAUCAUGUUGAUGUUGUGUGGGAAAAUGAGGUCUUUGAAGGAAGGCAGUUCCCAUAAGCAUGACUUGUGAGUCCAAGCGUGUUCCGUAUUAUACCUUUUGAAAUACCGUGGACGCAAAGGAUCAGGCUCGAGAGCGUUUAACUGAUCAAGGGUCUGUUGGUCUGUCAACGCAGCUGGUGCAGUGUUUUUGACAACUCUACCUUUGAUGAAAUUCUUCUUGUCUUUUCUGAACUUAUGGUCAGGAUCCAGGUACUGUAUAUGCAUGUCGUAGCAAGAAAACUUGCGACCUACCUGCAUCCAACGAAACUGAAGAGCUGCCUUGCAUGUGGUGCACGGGACACUUCCAUGCACAAACCAGCCAACGAAUAUUGCAUACGCCGGAUAGUCAUGCGUCGAGUACAUGUACCACACAAGCAUUUUGAAGUUUUUUUCGUAGCGGCAUCGUAUGUGUUGAUCCCAUUAUCCCAGGCUUCUUGCAAUUCAUCCUUAAGCGAGUGCAUGUACACAUUCAUAUUCUUCCCAAGAUAGUUGGGCUGUGGAAUUAUCAACGCCAGGAAAAUGUUUUUUCUUUUCAUAAUAUCUCCGGGGGGAGAUUGAGUGGAAUGACAAAUACAAGCCAACAACUGUAAUGUGCUGCCGUCAUACCAUACACAUUGAACCCAUCCGUGCUGAUGGCAACCCGAGAAUGCCUUGGAUCUGCCGAUUUAUCCUUAUGUAAUGCAUCAAAGUGCUUCCACGCAAAAGCAUCUGAAGUGUGUACCAACAACUUGUCCCAUCCGCAUCUAGUUCGGUUCUCUUGCCCAAUUUGUGCCAUGUCAUAUGUCUGGCCGUCUCUUCGACCAUGAAAAGACGUUGAAGUCUUGGUACGAUUGGCAGAUAUUGAAGAACAUUAAUGGGGAUUUUGGUUUGAAUCUUCUCACCCAUACGUUGUCUACCACAAUAUACCUAGAAGAAUUGCAAAUGGGGCAAUAGUUCAAGGCCGCAUACUCAAGCCUAAAUAAGGCACAUCCAUUCUCACACGCAUGUAUCUUCUCAUAGGGCAUCUUAAGUACACGAAGGAUUUUCUCUGGCUUGUAUAGGUUUGCAGGCACUACAUGGCCUAUGGGUAGAAAGCGUCCAAAUAUCGUCAUCAUCGCGUUGUAGCAUUCUCUGCCUAGGUUGAAUUGAGCCUUCAGAGCCAUUACUUGCGCGAUGGCAUCCAACUGACAAAGCUCAGUGUGCUCAUGGAGAGGAUGUUUUGAAGACUCCAACAUUUCAUAGAAGGCCUUUGCAGAUUCUUCCAUCUCAUCGUCCAAAUCCCGAGCAUUAUCAAAGUCUUGCACCAUGUCUUCGAUCCCGGUACCAUGCUCGUCGGUGCGACGACGAACCAUCUCAGCUCUGGCACGUUGGUCAGACUCACCAUGAAAUGUCCACACCGUAUAAUUAGGCGUAGAAAUCCACUUCUGCACGUGUUUACCCAUUUCAAACUCUGUCUGCUUUUUCCAGUUGUCGCAGUUGGGACAGGGGCACCAUGUUUUUUGAUGGCCAUUUGCAAAUGCGGCUCUCACAAACCCCCUGGUUUUUGUUAACCAUUCAAUGGUCAUGUCUUUCUGACUAGGGUGACGAGUGUACAUACAAGCACGAUCACUCAUCUUGUCUAGCUACCUAUGGGAACACAAGAAAUAUAUAUAUAAUUCAUCAUCUAUAUUCAUCCGCUAAUAAAGUUUGUCAGUUUUAUUACGUCCAUGCAACCUACAAGCUAAUAGGUAAAGAUAGGUCCUAAUCCCACCCGAGUAUGUGUAGAUUGGGUUCAUUUUCCCAUGCUCUGCUCCGGAUCCAACGCAAAAUUUCGACAACACCUCCCCGUUGUUCUCCUGAUACACGUCUCGGCAAUAAACAGAGAGGAUGUGUAACCAGAGAACAACAGGGAGGCACUGAUGAAAUUAUGCAUCGGAUCCGGAACAAAGCAUAUGGGAAAAUGAACCCAAUCUACACAUACUCGGGCUGUCCAUGGAUACCGUUGGACAAUUCGGAAGAAUCAUGGUUAUAAAUAUAUGCAAAUGCAUGCAUAUUUAUAACUGUAACCCUUUCGAACAAGAGAUGCAUACUGGUCAUGCAUACUGAUAUAUUAAUUUACCUAUAUCUAGCAAGUUUCAUCCGAACACCGACUAGAGAUGUCAUUUGUACUCACCCAUGAAUGCAGGGGCGGAGCUCGUCGAAUGCACGGGGAUGUCUUCGAACAACAGAUCUCGCAGCGACGAGACAACUACACAUAUAAAUCCACCCGAUCAACACAAAUAUUAGAUUGGAAAACCCUUCAAACCUCGGCAUGAGUACAAUUAGCUAAGUUAUGAGGUAACCAAGGUUCUUGUGAUUUUGUUACCUAACUAAGCUAAUUAUGUCAUUCUAGAUCUAAACUAGCUAAUUAUGUCAUUUUGGAGGAUAAUUUGCUAAGAUGUCAUUUUGGAGCUAAAUUAGCUAAGUUAUGAGCUAACCAAGGUUAUUGUGAUGUUUUUACCUAACUAAGCUAAUUAUGUCAUUCUGGAGCUAAACUAGCUAAUUAUGUUAUUUUGGAGGAUAAUUAGCUAAGUAUGUCUCUCAUUCCAUUAUUAUUUUCUUCUUUUUUCUUCUUCUCCUUUUUUCUUCUAAAUGUUUCUUUUCUCUUUCUCCUCCUCUCCUCUUUCUCCUUGUUCUUCUUCUCCUUCUUCUUCUUCUUCUUUCUUCUAGUUUUUUUCUUCUCUUAUUUUCUUCUAAGUUUUUUAUUUUCUAUCUAUUAUUUUCUUUUCUAUCUACUUUUUUCUACCUAAUAAACUAACUAUCUAAUUUAACAAAAAAAAACAGAAAAAACUAACUAUCUAAUUUAAAAGAAAAAAACAGAAAAUAAACUAACUAUCUAAUUUAACAAAAAAAAUUAGGAAGUAAACUAAAUAUCUAAUUUAAAAGAAAAAAAGGGGUGGGGGCACUCACCGAAGUUGGGGACGGCCGGGGCGGCCAAAGGAGGGGGGAGGGACGAGGAGGGGCGGCGCCGGGAGCCAGUGAGGGGAGGGGGCGGCGCCGGGGGCGAGGUGUCCGCUGGGGAGGGGUGGCACAGGGUGCGGUGGCCGCUAGGGAGGGGGAGCCGUGGGGAGGGGGCGACGCUAUGUGCACGCGAGGAGAGGGGGCAGUGCAGGAGUGGCCGUUGGGGAGAGGGCAACGCCGGGGGCGGUGGAGGGGUGGACGGCCGCGGGGUGGGGCUGGAUCCAAGCGCGUGGGUGGAGAGAGAGAGAGGUGGGGGGGGGCGGCCGUUAUAGGCACGUCCCCUUUGUCGUCUGCCCCCGCAUGGCAAAGAGACCCACGACAGACGGCAAAGGCGAGGCAGACGGCAAAGAGCCCGUCCGUUGGACCUGGCCAGGCCCAAGGUCCAUUGGGACCCAUCUUGCCUCUUUGCUGUCUGCCCUGGGUCUCUUUGCCGUCCACUGGCAGACGACAAAGUCUGGCUAAUGGCAAAUAGUCUGUUUGCCAUCAGUCAACACUUUACCGACUGCUUUAGGUCAGCUCACGGCAAAGAGCAUCUUUGCCAUCAACCAACAAACGACAAAGAACUUGUUGAUGGCAAAUUACUGGAUUCCUCCAGUAGUGGGAGGGCAGCCGCAGCACUCACGAGUUAAGCCUGCAGCCCCUCCACCUCCUCCUGAAGCUCGCCUAAUUUGAGCUUCUUGGCCGAGGGCGCUCGGAAGUAAAGGAAAUAUCAACCAACAAGCAACAGAUGAGGCAACAAUGAAAGGAGAUGAAGACGAGGGACUUACUCAUCGACCAGGGCCCAGCGGUGGCAGACGCACGAGGGCCCCGAGGGCCCUCCGCCGCUGCUUCCGGAGGUGGAUGGGGUCGCAGAUGCAGUCGCGCGCUUUCCCCUGCCGGGUCCGCCUCCCAGAGACGCCAUGGAAGAGAGGGAAAUGGAGAGGAAGGAGAUUUUCUCGAUGGAGCGAAGGGAAGGAGAGAAGGAGAUCAAGAUUGAAGUGCCUCCCCCUUGACAGGGGUGGGGCAUAUUUAUAGGCGAACCACGACCACCAACCGUCGUGGGAGCGCGAGCGUCGCGGGUCCCACGUGAGUUGCAAGGUGGGCCAACGGGAGCGCUGCCACCCACGUUGUUUCACGUGUCCGCCGAGCGGUCACGUCUGCGAGGGCCGUUGGGCGUGGUCAGGCUGCACCAACGCCAUUCAAUGGGAACAAUGAUGGCCUACGUGGUUCUCGAAGAUCGUGCCAUCGUGGCCUGGUGCACCCGGACACCUUGAGGAGCGAAAGCAUCGCCACACAACAGCUGGACAUGUGUUCCGCUUGGCCCGCAGGCUACUAGGGCCCGUGACGCUUCGAGCCGCCCUCAAGGCUUCGCCGAGAAGCCAACCCACGCACGCAUUGGGCCCGAGGGGCACCGUCGGCGUUCUGGGAAUGGGGUUACCCAGACCUGCCUUCUUGCGGCCUAGGGCUGGCCCACCUCAUCAAGCAAGCCGACGGGCCCGGCAUCACUCAAGGCAAGGCCAUCGUGAGGGGAAAAGCCUCAUGAGGAGGAAUGGCAUCAAAACCCAUAGGGGGCCUCCUCAGGACCCCUCUGGAGUGGCGGAUAUUCCGAGGCAAGGCCCGUCCUCAGGAGGCAAGGAUGACGCAAGGGAAGGACAUGCGAGCAACACACAUCAGGGUGGCGUAGUUUCCACUUUAGUGCAAAGGAGGCAAGGACAUACUGGGGUUCCCAAGGCAUCUUCCAAAAGUUUCCAUUCUGGUGCAACAAGAUCAUGGCCGCCCGCCAGCACGACGGACAUCACCCCUGAACCCGCCCCUGCAGUGCUGACAGUCACUUUGCAGUCGAAGACCACUUUUGGACAGGGGAAGCAUGUUCCCUUGCCCCCUUCAAAAUUGGCCGUUGUGGGAUCCCUUGCCGCUGGAACGAUAAGGGAAGAGGACCCGGACCACCACUAUAUAUAGAGGAUAGGUUGCUUCGUAGAGAGGGACCCCGAUUCACGAGUUCAUCCACUAGCUCCGCACAAAGUCAUGAAGCCUCUAGAGGCCCUCAAGAACACUGUACUACUUCAUCCACCCACCUCCAAGAGAGGCAAUCCACCAAAGCAGGAGUCGGGUUUUACGCUUCGGAGUGGCCCGAACCUGGGUAAACUGCCGUGUUCUGUGUCUUCCUCACCAUCGAGUGAGUUUUCUAUGCCGUCCAUCGAGUAGCGAGCUAGGUGAGGUAGAGCCGAGAGAGAUCUUCGUACACGCCCUUGUGUUCAAACCUUGAGGGUUUUGGGGAGCCCAAAAUCCGACAGAUCCGUUGCCCGUCAUUGAUGGAGAAGCUCGAAGAUCGUCGUAGGUGAGUUUGGGUGGCGGAUUGAAGUGAAGGGGAGUGAAGUAAAGUGGCUAGGGUUUGGUUCGGCGAGCGGAUGGGGACGGAUAUAUGUGAAUGAAUGACAACACGGGCCAGGUCGACGUGGGAGGCGUGCGCGGACACACACGGGCUCCCUCAUCUCCGCCCCAUAUUUGGUCUCGAUAUGAGAGGUACCGGUUAGUCCGGGCAUUUGAGCCUCAUUUGAAAUGCCGGAUCGGGUCAAAAUUUCAUGACUCAUCAGUGACCGUAUGACCUUCUCCAAUGUUUAAGACGGGCAUGAGAUGUAGAUGCUUUUACAUCGGUUUCCUCCGCUGGAGAAAUUUUCCAUAUUCCUAGUUAUGUAUUUACUUACGAUGAUGAAGAAUAAAACUAUAGCUAUAUUUUUUCCUUUGCCUAAUUAUGUUUCCAAGCGUAGGAUAACCUCAAGGGGUUGUGGUUUUUUUUCUAUCAGUGGGAGCUUUUUUUUUGCGGGUAGAAAAUUUGCAUUACUCAAGUGAAGUAGUUCAUACAAUCAACCGUAGCUAGCUCCAUAGCUACUGAAGGACCCUAGCAAAACCAAGUCAUGGUUCAGCCUUCUAAACGACCAAACUUGGCUAUACUAUCACUAACUUUAUUUCGACUAUGGUUUACAUGAGUAAUAAAAGAAUCACGAAGAGACAUAUGGUAUCUAAGCUCCAUUAUAAGCGACGAGUAGACCGAUCUAUCGACCUCUUUGGCCUGGAUCAACUUCACUACAACAGUUGAAUCCAUCUCUAUCUCAACUGGCAGGUCACUUAUCUGUAUUGCAAAGGACAUUCCUUCCAUACAUGCAUUCAACUCCGCUUUGAGAGAAUCCCGACAUGAAAAUAGUUGAAUACAUGAGGAAAAUAUGAUUGCACCUUUGUGAUCUCUAAGUACCAUACGAGCACCUGUUGAACCGACGUCUGCAUAAGAUCCAUCCGUGGACAACUUGACCCAUCUAGAGUUGGGGGCGCUUCACUUAGGACCAAGUCCUAUUGUCGCAUGUGGCAAGCCAGAAGUCUUAUCAUAUGAAAUAGUCGAUCCUCCUUUAAUUGUAACAGAGGAUAGAUCCACCUUAAUGCCAAUAACUGAAUAAAGAUAGCUCACCAAGAAACGUUUAGAAACCUCCAUGGACGGUAGGAGUUCGUGACGAACCACCUCAUUACGGAUGUGCCAAGCCCGCCAAAGCAUCAUAAGCAACAUUGAACGCUCAAUGUCACGAAGAGGCUCCAGAGCAUGUAGCAACCAUUCUUGCCAUUGUUUUGCAUGGUCUCCAUACAAGGCAGCGACCAAACUUUUGUCAUUACGUCCGAUAGAAUACUUGACAAAGUACAUCAACAAAGUGCAUGAAAGCAGUCCUCAAACUCAAUUCCACAUACUGGGAUAGAUCAUUAAUUUCAAGGCCCCUAAUAUGUUCGUUUCUCCAAGUCGGUACAGAGUAUGUAGCCACGCGCCAAGCGAAGUUCCUAACACUUGGGGGGUACAUCAGAGGACCAAAUGAAUUGCCAACAAGAGCGUCGACCAUCAAGACGUAAACUGGAGCCAGUAGAUGUGAUCCUAUGCUCCUCUUCAAAGUCAAAGUGACAAGCACUUUUAACCAAGAAAACAUCAUACUUUCCUAGACCCCAUGCCAAUGUAUCCUCUCCUAGUCACGGUGACGCACGUAUUUUCAGAAUCUCCACAAAAUCCGGGGAUAGGAAAAAUUGUUGUAGCAGUGCUAGGUUCCAGGAGCCAUUCUCAUUCAGCAGGUCCGAGACAAAUCAAAUUCUACACGUAUCUUGUACUGUUAUAGGUUUAUAAGAGAAGGGUCGUGGGCGGCACGGUGCUAUCACUGGGAGCUUUCCUUUCACCGUCGUCAUGAGGAUGGUCCACACGGUUCAUAACUAUCCUUUUUUACUACGAGACGUUUACCUAGCCAACACUUAGAUCCGGCUCUAUCCAAACUUUUUUGAUUCACCCAAACAUUAUCCACUUGUCCGACUAUUGCUAAGUAAUUUUAGGAUACUAAACGGACCCCGUCAUAUGGUAACCGUAGAGUGGCCGAUUGACCCUUUUUUGCAGGGUUUGAUUUCCUUGAUGAUAGCACCAUGCCGUCCACCUGUGCUCUCAGAAAUACCGAUUAUCAAAUGUUGAAUGCAAACACUGUUGGGUAACGUAGCAUAAAUUCAAAUUUUUUCCUACGCAUAUUCAGAUCUUCCUAUGGAGAGACCAGCAACGAGAGAGGGGUGAGUGCAUCGUCAUGCCUUUGAAGAUCGCUAAGCGUAAGCGUUACUAGAACGUGGUUGAUGGAGUCGUACUCGCGGCGAUUCAGAUCGCGGUGUGAUUCUGAUCUAGUGCCGAACUACGGCACCUCCGCGUUCAACACACGUGCAGCCCGGUGACGUCUCUCGCACCUUGAUCCAGCAAGGAGGAGGGAGAGGUUGGGGAAGAACUCCAGCAGCACGACAACGUGGUGUCGAUGGAGAGACGAGGUCUCCCGACAGGGCUUCGCCAAGCACCGGCAGAGAGGAGGAGAAAGAAGGGCAGGGCUGCGCCGAGGGAGAGGGAAAAGUCUGUCUCUCAAUGGCCAAAACCCCUCUCUAUUUAUAGGAGGGGGAGGGCUGCGCCACCCCUAGGGUUCCCACCCUAGGGGCCGCCGGCCACUAGAUGGGAGAGGGGGUGGCGGCCAGGGCAGGGAAAGGGGGGGGUGCCCUAGGUGGGCCUUGGGCCUCCCCUGCGCCUAGGGUUCCCCCUCCCUUCCUCUCUGGUGCGCAUGGGCUGGGUGUGGGGGGUGCACCAGCCCACCUAGGGGCUGGUUCCCUCCCAAACUUGGCCCAUGUAGCCCUCCGGGGCUUGUGGCCCCUCCCGGUGGGCCUCCGGAACCCUUCCGGUGGUCCCGGCACUUUGCCGGUGGUGCCCGAAACAUUUCCGGCGUCCAAACCCAUCCAUCCUAUAUAUCAAUCUUUACCUCCGGACCAUUCGGGAGCUCCUCGUGACGUCCGGGAUCUCAUCUGAGACUCCGAACAUCCUUCGGUAACCUCGUAUAACAAUUCCCUAUAACCCUAGCAUCAUCGAACCUUAAGUGUGUAGACCCUAUGGGUUCGGGAGACAGGCAGACAUGACCGAGACACCUCUCCGGCCAAUAACCAUCAGCGGGGUCUGGAUACCCAUGGUGGCUCCCACUUGCUCCACGAUGAUCUCAUCGGAUGAAUCACGAUGUCAAGGAUUCAAUCAAUCCCGUAUACAAUUCCCUUUGUGUGUCGGUACAGAACUUGCCCGAGAUUCGAUCGUCGGUAUUCCUAUACCUUGUUCAAUCACGUUACCGGUAAGUCUCUUUACUCGUUCCGUAGUACGUCAUCGUGUGACUAACUCCUUAGUCACAUUGAGCUCAUGAUGAUGUUCUACCGAGUGGGACCAGAGAUACCUCUCCAUCACGCGGAGUGACAAAUCCCGAUCUCGAUUCGUACCAACCCAAGAGACACUUUCAGAGGUACCCGUAAUGCACCUUUAUAGUCACCCAGUUACGUUGUGACGUUUGAUACACCCAAAGCACUCCUACGGUAUCCGGGAGUUGCACAAUCUCACGGUCGAAGGAAAAUAAACUUGACAUUAGAAAAGCUUUAGCAUACGAACAAUACGAUCUAGUGCUAUGCUUAGGAUUGGGUCUUGUCCAUCACAUCAUUCUCCCAAUGAUGUGAUCCCGUUAUCAAUGACAUAUAAUGCCCAUGACCAGGAAACCAUGAUCAUCCCUUCACUAACGAGAUAGCCAACUAGAGGCUUGCUAGGGACACAUUGUGAUCUAUUUAUUCACACAUGUAUUACUGUUUCCUGUUAAUACAAUUAUAGCAUGAACAAUAGACGAUUAUCAUGAACAAGGAAAUAUGAUAAUAACCAUUUUAUUAUUGCCUCUAGGGCAUAUUUCCAACAGUCUCCCACUUGCACUAGAGUCAAUAAUCCAUUUACAUUGUGAUGUAUCGAACACCCAUAGCAUUAUGGUGUUGAUCAUGUUUUGAUCAUGGAAGAGGUUUAGUCAACGGGUCUGCAACAUUCAGAUCCAUAUGUACUUUACAAAUAUCUAUCACUCCACUCUGGACAUGGUCCUGGAUGGAUUUGUAGCGGCGUUUGAUGUGCUUCGUCUUUCGGUGAAACCUGGGCUCCUUGGCUAUGUCAAUGGCCCAAGUGUUAUCAUAGAAGAGUGUCAUUGGACCCGACGCGCUUGGAACCACUCCAAGGUCGGUGAUGAGCUCCUUCAUCCAAAUUCCUUCAUGAGCCGCUUCUGAAGCAGCUAUGUACUCCGCUUCACAUGUAGAUGCUGCCACGACUUCUUGCUUGCUGCUGCACCAGCUCACUGCCCCACCAUUCAAAACAUAUACGUAUCCGGUCUGUGACUUAGAGUCAUCUAGAUCUGUGUCAAAGCUGGCAUCGGCGUAACCCUUUACGACGAGCUCUUCGUCACCUCCAUAAACGAGAAACAUUUCCUUAGUCCUUUUCAGGUACUUAAGGAUAUUCUUGACCGCUGUCUAGUGUUCCAUACCGGGAUCACUUUGGUACCUCCCUACCAAACUUAUGGCAAGGUUUAUAUCAGAUCUGGUACACAACAUGGCAUACAUUAGAGAGCCUACGGCUGAAGCGUAGGGGACAUUACUCAUCUUCUCUCUAUCUGCUGCCGUGGUCGGUAAUUGAGUCUUACUCAAUCUCAUACCUUGCAAAACUGGCAAGAACCCUUUCUUUGAGUUUUCCAUAUUAAACUUCUUCAAUAUCUUGUCAAGGUAUGUACUUUGCGAAAGACCUAUGAGGCGUCUCGAUCUAUCUCUAUAGAUCUUGAUGCCUAAUAUGAUGCAGCUUCUCCAAGGUCCUUCAUUGAAAAACUCUUGUUCAAAUAGGCCUUUAUGCUCUGCAACAUUUCUGUAUUGUUCCCCAUCAAUAAUAUGUCAUCCACAUACAGUAUGAGGAAAGCUACAGAGCUCCCACUCACUUUCUUGUACAGACAGGCUUCUUCGUAAACCUGUAUGAACCCAAACGCUUUAAUCACUUCAUUAAAGUGAAUGUUCCAACUCCGAGAUGCUGGCACCAGCCCAUAGAUGGAGCGCUGGAGCUUGCACACUUUGUUAGCACCCUUAGGGUCGACAAAACCUUCUGGUUGCAUCAUAUACAACUCUUCCAUAAGGUUCCCGUUAAGGAACGUUGUUUUGACGUCCAUUUGCCAAAUUUCAUAAUCAUAAAAGGCGGCAAUCGCUAACAUGAUUCGGACUGAUUUCAGCUUCGCUACGGGAGAGAAAGUCUCUUCGUAGUCAACUCCUUGAAUUUGUCGAAAACCCUUUGCGACAAGUUGGGCUUUAUAAACGGUUACAUUACCGUUUGCAUCAGUCUUCUUCUUGAAGUUCCAUUUAUUUUCUAUGGCUCGCCUGUCAUCGGGCAAGUCCACCAAAGUCCAUACUUUGUUCUCAUACAUGGAUCCUAUCUCGUAUUUCAUAGCUUCAAGCCAUUUGUUGGAAUUCGGGCCCGCCAUCGCUUCUUCAUAGUUCGAAGGUUCACCGUUGUCUAACAACAUGAUUUCCAUCACAGGGUUGCCGUACCACUCUGGUGCGGAGCGUGCCCUCGUGGACCUUCGCGGUUCAGUAGUAACUUGAUCCGAAGCUUCAUGAUCAUUAUCAUUAACUUCCUCUUCAGUUGGUGUAGGCGCCACAGGAACAACUUCCCGCGCUCCGCUACUAUCCUGUUCGAGAGGGGGUGUAAUUGCCUCAUCAAGUUCUACCUUCCUCCCACUUACUUCUUUCGAGAGAAACUCUUUCUCUAGAAAGGAUCCAUUCUUAGCAACAAAGGUUUACCUUCGGAUCUAAGAUAGAAGGUAUACCCAAUAGUUUCCUUAGGGUAUCCUAGGAAUACGCAUUUCUCCGCUUUGGGUUCGAGAUUUUAUGGUUGAAGUUUCUUCACAUAAGCAUCGCAGCCCCAAACUUUAAGAAACGACAACUUAGGUUUCUUGCCAAACCAUAGUUCAUACGGUGCCGUCUCAACGGAUUUAGACGGUGCCCUAUUUAAAGUGAAUGCUGCAGUUUCUAAUGCGUAUCCCCAAAAUGAUAGCGGUAAGUCGGUAAGAGACAUCAUAGAUCGUACCAUAUCUAAUAAAGUGCGAUUACGACGUUCAGACACUCCGUUGCGUUGUGGUGUGCUUGGCGGCGUCAGUUGUGAAAUGAUUCCACACUUCCUUAGGUGUGUGCCAAACUCGUGACUCAAAUGUUCUCCUCCACGAUCAGAUCGUAGACACUUAAUUUUUCUGUCACGUUGAUUCUCGACCUCACUCUGAAAUUCCUUGAACCUUUCAAAUGUGUCAGAUUUGUGCUUCAUCAAGUAGAUAUACCCAUACCUACUCAAAUCAUCGGUGAGAGUGAGAACAUAAUGAUAGCCACCGCGAGCUUCAACGUUCAUUGGACCACACACAUCAGUAUGUAUUAUUUCCAAUAAGUCAGUUGCUCUCUCCAUUAUUCCUAAGAAUGGAGUGUUAGUCAUCGUGCCCAUGAGGCACGGUUCGCAUGCAUCAAAUGAUUCAAAGUCAAUAGACUCUAAUAGUCCAUCAGUAUGGAGCUUCUUCAUGCGCUUAACGCCGAUAUGACCAAGGCGGCAGUGCCACAAGUAUGUGGGACUAUCAUUAUCAACUUUACAUCUUUUGGUACUCACACUAUGAAUAUGCGUAACAUCACGAUCGAGAUUCGUCAAGAAUAAACCAUUCACCAGCGGAGCAUGACCAUAAAACAUAUCACUCAUAUAAAUAGAACAACCAUUAUUCUCUGACUUAAAUGAGUAGCCGUCUCGCAUUAAGAAAGACCCUGAUACAAUGUUCAUGCUUAAAGCUGGUACUAAAUAACAAUUAUUAAGGUUUAAAACUAAUCCCGAUGGUAGAUGUAGAGGUAACGUGCCGACGGCGAUCACAUCGACCUUGGAGCCAUUCCCGACGCACAUCGUUGCCUCGUCCUUUGCCAGUCUCCGCUUAUUCCGCAGUUCCUCCUUUGAGUUGCAAAUGUGAGCAAGAACACCGGUAUCAAAUACCCAGGAGCUACUACGAGCGCUGGUAAGGUACACAUCAAUAACAUGUAUAUCACAUAUACCUUUAACGUUGCCGGCCUUCUUGUCCGCUAAGUAUUUGGGGCAGUUCCGCUUCGAGUGACCCUUUCCCUUGCAAUAGAAGCACUCAGUCUCAGGCUUGGGUCCAUUCUUUUUCUUCUUCCCGGCAUCUGGCUUACCGGGCGCGGCAACGGCUUUGCCGUCUUUCUUGAAGUUCUUCUUACCCUUGCCCUUCUCGAAACUAGUGGUCUUGUUGACCCUCAACACUUGAUGCUCUUUCUUGAUUUCUACUUCUGCAGACUUGAGCAUCGAGUACAACUCGGGAAUGGUCUUCUCCAUCCCUUGCAUGUUGUAGUUCAUCACAAAACCUUUGUAGCUUGGUGGGAGAGACUGGAGGAUUCUGUCAAUUAUAGCAUCAUCCGGAAGUUCGACUCCAAGUGAAGUCAGACGAUCGUGUAACCCAGACAUUUUGAGUAUGUGCUCACUGACAAAACUGUUCUCCUCCAUCUUACAGCUAAAGAACUUGUCGGAGACUUCAUAUCUCUCGACACGGGCAUGAGCUUGAAAAACUAGCUUCAGCUCUGGGAACAUCUCUUAUGCACCGUGUUGCUCAAAACGCCUUUGGAGCCCCGUUUCUAAACUGUAUAACAUGCCACACCUAACCAGAGAGUAGUCAUCACUCCGCGUUUGCAAGACGUUCAGAAUGUCCUGGGCUACUGCGGGAGCGGGAGGGUCACCUAGCGGUGCAUCAAGGACAUAAGCCUUUUUAGCUGCUUCAAGGAUGAGCUUCAAGUUGCGAACCUAGUCCGCAUAGUUGCUACCAUCAUCUUUCAGCUUGUUUUUCUCUAGGAAUGCGUUGAAAUUGAGGUUGACGUUGGCCAUCUACAAUAUUUAUAAAGACAACUUUUAGACUAAGUUCAGGACAAUUAAGUUCAUUUAAUCAAAUUAAGUAUGAACUCCCACUUAAAUCGAGAUCCCUCUAGUCAUCUAAGUUAUACAUGAUCCAUGUUGACUAACCCGUGUCCGAUCAUCACGUGAGACAGACUAGUCACCAUGGUGAGCAACUUCAUGGUGAUCGUAUUCAACCAUACGACUCAUGUUCGACCUUUUGGUCUCUUGUAUUCGAGGUCAUGUCUGUACAUGCUAAGCUCGUUGAGUCAACCUAGGUGUUUCGCGUGUGUAAAUCUCGCUUACACCCGUUGUAUGCGAAUGUUAGAAUCUAUCACACCCGAUCAUCACGUGGUGCUUCGAGACAACGAUCCUUCGCAACGGUGCACACCUAGGGGAAUAUGUUCUCGAAAUUUUAAGAGGGAUCAUCUUAUUAUGCUACCGUCGUUCUAAGCAAUAAGAUGAAAAACAUGAUAAACAUCACAAUGCAAUCAUAUAGUGACAUGAUAUGGCCAUUAUCAUCUUUGCUCUUUUGAUCUCCAUCUUCAGGCAUCGCAUGAUCAUCAUCGUCACCGGCGUGACACCAUGAUCUCCAUCAUCGUGUCUCCGUGAAGUCUUCAUGCCAACUACUACUAUCACUACUACUAUAGCUAACCGUUAGCAAUGAAGUAAAAGUAGUAAGCACAUGGCGUUGCAUCUCAUACAAUAAAUUAAGACAACUCCUAUGGCUCCUGCCGGUUGUCAUACUCAUCGACAUGCAAGUCGUGAAACCUAUUACAAUAACAUGAUCAUCUCAUACAUCAUACAUGCAACAUCACAACUUUGGCCAUAUCACAUCAGAGGUCAAACCCUGCAAAAACAAGUUAGACGUCCUCUAAUUGUUGUUGCAAGUUUUACGUGGCUGAUUUGGGUUUCUAGCAAGAACGCUUUCUUACCUACGUGACAGCCACAACGAUGAUAUGCCAAAGCUAUUUACCCUUCAUAAGGACCCUUUUCAUCAAAUCCAAUCCGACUAGAGUAGGAGAGAUAGACACCCGCUAGCCACCUUUAUGCACGGUGUGCAUGUCUGUCGGUGGAACCAGUCUCACGUAAGCGUACGUGUAAUGUCGGUCCGGGCCGCUUCAUCCCACAAUACCGCCGGAAAAGAAUAAGACUAGUAGCGGCAAGCAAUUGACAAAUCAUCGCCCACAACCUUUUGUGUUCUACUCGUGCAUAGAAUCUACGCAUAAAAAACCUGGCUCUGAUACCACUGUUGGGUAACGUAGCAUAAAUUCAAAAACUUUCCUACGCAUAUUUAGAUCUUCCUAUGGAGAGACCAGCAACGAGAGAGGGGUGAGUGCAUCUUCAUACCUUUGAAGAUCGCUAAGCGGAAGCGUUACUAGAACGCGGUUGAUGGAGUCGUACUCGCGGCGAUUCAGGUCGCGGUGUGAUUCCGAUCUAGUGCCGAACUACGAUACCUCCGCGUUCAACACACGUGCAGCCCGGUGACGUCUCCCGCACCUUGAUCCAGCAAGGAGGAGGGAGAGGUUGGGGAAGAACUCCAGCAGCACGACGACAUGAUGUCGAUGGAUAGACGAGGUCUCCCGGCAGGGCUUUGCCAAGCACCAGCAGAGAGGAGGAGAAAGAAGGGCAGGGCUGCGCCGAGGGAGAGGGAAAAGUCUGUCUCUCAAUGGCCAAAACCGCUCUCUAUUUAUAGGAGGAGGGGGAGGGCUCCGCCACCCCUAGGGUUCCCUCCCCAGGGGCCGAUGUAGCCAGCCCACCUAGGGGCUGGUUCCCUCCCACACUUGGCCCAUGUAGCCCUCCGGGGCUUGUGGCCCCUCUUGGUGGGCCUCCGGAACCCUUCCGGUGGUCCCGACACUUUGUCGGUGGUGCCCGAAACAUUUCCGGCGUCCAAACCCAUCCAUCCUAUAUAUCAAUCUUUACCUCCGGACCAUUCCAGAGCUCCUCGUGACAUCUGGGAUAUCAUCCGGGACUCCUAACAUCCUUUGGUAACCUCGUAUAACAAUUCCCUAUAACCCUAGCGUCAUCGAACCUUAAGUGUGUAGACCCUACGGGUUCGGGAGCCAGGCAGACAUGACCGAGACACCUCUCCGGCCAAUAACCAUCAGUGGGGUCUGGAUACCCAUGGUGGCUCCCACUUGCUCCACGAUGAUAUCAUCGGAUGAACCACGAUGUCAAGGAUUCAAUCAAUCCCGUAUACAAUUCCCUUUGUGUGUCGGUAUAGAACUUGCCCGAGAUCCGAUCGUCGGUAUACCUAUACCUUGUUCAAUCUCGUUACCGGUAAGUCUCUUUACUCGCUCCGUAGUACGUCAUCGUGUGACUAACUCCUUAGUCACAUUGAGCUCAUGAUGAUGUUCUACCGAGUGGGCCCAGAGAUACCUCUCCGUCAUGCGGAGUGACAAAUCCCGAUCUCGAAUCGUACCAACCCAACAAACACUUCAGAGGUACCCGUAAUGCACCUUUAUAGUCACCCAGUUACGUUGAGACGUUUGAUACACCCAAAGCACUCCUACGGUAUACGGGAGUUGCACAAUCUCACGGUCGAAGGAAAAGACACUUGACAUUAGAAAAGCUUUAGCAUACGAACAAUACGAUCUAGUGCUAUGCUUAGGAUUGGGUCUUGUCCAUCACAUCAUUCUCCCAAUGAUGUGAUCCCGUUAUCAAUACAUCUAAUGCCCAUGACCAGGAAACCAUGAUCAUCUAUUGACUAACGAGCUAGCCAACUAGAGGCUUGCGAGGGACACAUUGUGAUCUAUUUAUUCACACAUGUAUUAGUGUUUCCUGUUAAUACAAUUAUAGCAUGAACAAUAGACGAUUAUCAUGAACAAGGAAAUAUGAUAAUAACCAUUUUAUUAUUGCCUCUAGGGCAUAUUUCCAACAAACACGUGUAUCAAAUUAUUUUAGGACCGACACACAGCUUCUGCAGCAACGACAACUCGACCUUGGCCUCUGCUUCGCCGUCGCUAGCAGCCUGGACACUACAGGAAUCAGAGACUUUGUCGUCUGCCAUGGCGGACGGCAAAGGGGAGCACCCCGGAUGGAAAAGCCUUUGCCGUCCGUCUGCAGAUGGCAAAAUGCACGACAAAGAAAAAUCCGGUAAAGAGGUUCUUUGUCGUCUGCCUUGGGCCUGCGGACGACAAAGAAACUUCGCCGGGGGGGGGGGGUAGACGACAAAGAACAUGGACGACAGAUCCGCGGGCUAGGGCCGUCAAGUGGUAACAGCAGCCUUUGCCGUCUGCUGGGUCCACCAUCCCUUUGCCGUCUGCCAUGGCCCCCUUUGCCGUCUGCCAUGACCCCCUUUGCCAUCUGUGGGCGGACGACAAAGAUGGCAAAUAGUCCUGGCCUUCAGGGCCUUUGCCAUGUGCUGGGCUCCCUUUGCCGUCGGUGGGCGGACGACAAAGAAACCAAAAUGCCCCUGUUUAUUUUAUUUUUUAUUAUAUACAACCAUUUUCACAGGAAUAUAUGAUAUAUAUAUAUAUAUAUUAUACAAAAAUAAUGUUGUUUCCAUACUGAUAACCAUAUUAAAAUAAGUUUCAUCCAUACAUACAUACAUAUUAUGCAAGUUUGAUCCGUACCAAACCAUAUACUACAAUAGUUUCAUCCAUAUAUACAAAAUUUCAUAUCCAUAUAUUACAAUAGUUUCAUCCAUACAUAUUAUCCAAAAAAUACAAGUAACCCAAGCACUCUAUCAGUCCAAGCUUCCGUGAAGUGAAAGUAAUCAACAAAAUGGGAAAUAAGAAAGUUAGAAUAAGAAGACUAGAUGAAGAAGAGAAGUAAGCUAAGUAUAUGUCAUUUUUAAUAAAAUAGGUCAUUUUGGAGCUAAUUUAGCUUACUACAUCAUCUAGGAGGAAACUAAGCUAAGUAUAUGUUAUUCUGGAGCUACUUAGGUAAAAAAAGGUCAGUUAGGAGCUAACUAUGCUUAUUAAGCCAUUUUGGAGCUAACUAAGCUAAUUAUAGGCCAUUUAAUAGCUAAGUUAGGUACAAUGGGUCAUUUUGUAGCCAAGUAAACUUAUUAUGUCAUUUAGGAGAGAACUUAGCUAAUUAUAUGUCAUUUUUGAUUAAAUAGGCCAUUUUGGAGCUAAUUUAGCUUACUACGUCAUCUAGGAGGAAACUAAGUUAGGUAUAUGUCAUUUUGGAGCUACUUAGGUAAAAAUAUGUCAUUUAGGAGCUAACUAUGCUUAUUCAGCCAUUUUGUAGCUAAUUAAGCUAAUUAUAGGUCAUUUAAUAGCUAAGUUAGGUAAAAUAGGUCAUUUUGUAGCCACAUAAGCUUAUUAUGUCAAUUAGGAGAGAACUUAGCUAAAUAUAGGUCAUUUAUUAUGAAAUGGGCCAUUUUUGAGCUAAUUUGGCUUACUACGUAAUCUAGGAGGAAACUAAGCUAAGUAUAUGUCAUUUUAGAGCUACUUAGGUAAAAAUAGGUCAUUUAGGAGCUAACUAUGCUUAUUAUGCCAUUUUGUACCUAACUAAGCUAAUUAUAGGCCAUUUAAUAGCUAAGUUAGGUACAAUAGGUCAUUUUGUAGCUAUGUAAGCUUAUUAUGUUAUUUAGGAGGGAACUUAGCUAAGUAUAGGUCAUUUUUAUGUAGAUAGGCCAUUUUGGAGCUAAUUUAGCUUACUACGUCAUCUAGGAGGAAACUAAGCUAAGUAUAUGUUAUUUUAGAGCUGCUUAGGUAAAAAUAGGUCAUUUAUGAGCUAACUAUGCUUAUUAUGCCAUUUUAUAGCUAACUAAGCUAAUUAUAGGCCAUUUAAUAGCUAAGUUAGGUACAAUAGAUCAUUUUCGAGCUAUGUAAUCUUAUUAUGUCAUUUAGGAAAGAACUUAGCUAAGUAUAGGUCAUUUUUUAUUAAAUAGGCCAUUUUGGAGCUAAUUUAGCUUACUACGUCAUCUAUGAGGAAAAUAAGCUAAAUAUAUGUCAUUUUAGAGCUACUUAGGUAAAAAAUAGGUCAUUUAGGAGCUAACUAUGCUUAUUAAGCCAUUUUGGAGCUAACUAAGCUAAAUAUAGGCCAUUAAUAGCUAAGUUAGGUACAAUAGGUCAAUUUGGUAGCUAGGUAAGCUUAUUAUGUCAUUUAGGAGAGAACUUAGCUAAGUAUAGGUCUAUUUUUUUAUUAAAUAGGUCAUUUUGGAGCUAAUUUAGCUUACUACGUCAUCUAGGAGGAAACUAACCUAACUAUAUGUCAUUUUAGAGCUACUUAGGUAAAAAUAGGUCAUUUAGGAGCUAACUAUGCUUAUUAUGUCAUUUUGGAGCUAACUAAGCUAAUUAUGUCAUUUAGGAGGAAACUAAGCUAAGUAUAGGUCAUUUUAGAGCUAACUUUUGGUAAAAUAUGUCAUUUUGGAGCUAAGGUAAGGUAAGUAAACAUCAUUAUGCGGUUGUUAAGCAAAACACUAGAAAAAACAUACCAUACUCGUCAGCACGACAGUGAAGCACGAUGGCUUUGGCUUGUUUCACCUGGAGAAGGCUCCACUGUAGAAGGGUCAUGCGAUGCGUUUCGGGAGANNNNNNNNNNNNNNNNNNNNNNNNNNNNNNNNNNNNNNNNNNNNNNNNNNNNNNNNNNNNNNNNNNNNNNNNNNNNNNNNNNNNNNNNNNNNNNNNNNNNNCAUAGAUAUAGGCAUCACAUCCGAGACAAGUAGAUUGAUACUUUCUGCAUCUACUACUAUUACUCCACACAUCGACCGCUAUCCAGCAUGCAUCUGGUGUAUUGAGUUCAUGACGAAUAGAGUAACGCCUUAAGCAAACCAAUGAUGAAAACCCCAUCUUUUUACCCUUUAUGGCAACAACACGAUACGUGCCUCGCUACACCUUCUGUCACUGGGUGAGGUCACCGCACGGUAUGAACCCAAAACCAAGCACUUCUCCCAUUGCAAGAAUCAUAGAUCUAGUUGGCCAGACAAAACCCACAACUCAAAGAGAAUUACAAGGAUAUGAAAUCAUGCAUAAGAGAGAUCAGAAGAAACUCAAAUAAGAUUCAUAGAUAAUCUGAUCAUAAAUACACAAUUCAUCGGAUCUCGACAAACACACCGCAAAAGAAGAUUACAUCGGAUAGAUCUCCAUGAAGAUCAUGGAGAACUUUGUAUUGAAGAUCCAAGAGAGAGAAGAAGCCAUCNNNNNNNNNNNNNNNNNNNNNNNNNNNNNNNNNNNNNNNNNNNNNNNNNNNNNNNNNNNNNNNNNNNNNNNNNNNNNNNNNNNNNNNNNNNNNNNNNNNNCCCCCCCCCCCCCCCGAGGAUACGGAAGGGCUCCACCCCACGCCUUGUGGAAGACCUAUGCUCCGCGCUGGGUGCAGACGGAGGCAAUCAACUUAGUCCACCAAUGACUAUGCCCGUAGCUGGAAAGGAAACCCAUAUAGUCCACCGAUGACUAUUCCAGCCUAAAUGCCUGACGCGACGUUUGCUUGCUUUUCCUGAAUUUUGAACUAUCUUCCGUCGGACUUAGAUCUACCAAUUUUAAAAGUUGAUGUUUGAAAGACAAAAGGGGGGUGGAACUUUCUCUUGCCCUUUCUCGUAUUCACCAGUUUUUGAAGCCUAUUUUCCAGAUAACAUUCUCUGGGGAGCUAAACGCUCCACGCCGCGCCUAGGGGCCAAGGAGCGAAAGCAAGGACUUGUCGUGUAACGACUAAGAUGCGGCCCUUUCCUUAUUUGGGGGCGAGGCCUCAAAAGGGGAAAGAGGUGCAUCUACGCGUUUCGCAAGCAAGAUAAUCAUAGCAAUUUAAAUAACUGAAGAGUGACAAGUAGGGCAUACACUUGCCAUCUGAUAAAGUACAUAGUCAUACAGUCAUACAAAACAUGGAAUGGUCCGGCUACGGACAAGAUAAACGGCAAAAGCUAUGAUAUCCCACAUGCUGGUCCCACGAUCACGGCCACUGCCUCUAAUCGUCGGGAUAAGUCACAUACAACCUGCCGCUGUCCUCAUCAAACUUCCACUUCAACUGGCUGUCAUCGGGAACUCCUGCAUCAGGGGUACCUGUACCUAUGGGUGUUUGUAGUAAACCGUGAGCCACGAGGACUCAUCAAUCUUAUGACCUUGGUAUCGAGUCUAACUAAGUUAAAUGGGUGAGAUAGGAUAAGUGUUUGAGUUUGCAGCAACCUACGCUUAUAUGGAGGCUAUCUUACGAUGAACAUAAUUAAUAUAUGUGGUGGUCUAUGUAAGACGGUCGAAUACUAGAAUGAUCACUAAGUGAUCCUGAGCACCUACUUAUGUCAUUCAUAACCCCACCGUGUUCUCGAUCAGAGAAGAAACUCUCAAAGAGACAGUCACGGUUACGCACUCAGUUGGCAAGUUUUUAUUAGAGUUACUUUAAGUUGUCUAGAACCGGAUGUUAACAAAAUAUCCAUGUUGCUACAUAACCGCGGGCCUGACUUUCUGAAAGAUUAAACCCUGCACGGGUGCUCCAACUAGUCCAUCACAAAUUACCACAGGCCGCAUAGUAAUCCUCUACCACGAAACUCGUGAUCUCGUCGGAUUCCUUAGAGGAAAACCUCAACCCUGAGAAGACUCAAAGUCUCACCGGAAUCCAAUGCGCAAGAUAUAUCGCUAAGGUAAGACAAGUCCAUCAAGACCACCCGACGUGUCGACGAACCCGAUAGGAGCCGCGUAUCUCGUUCUGAGGACACGACGGAUGGAACUAGCUACAGGAACCAAACAUCAAGUUUCCUCGCGGUGGCCCUGCAGACAGUCCAUUUUGGACCAACACUCAUGAGGAGCACUGGCCCGGGUUGUUGAUUAAUUCCUCGGGGUAGCUAUUCCCUAUGCUUUUAUUAUUAAUUUAUUAGCAAAUUAACACCAAAGUUGGGUCCUGCCAGACAAGUCUUAACACUAUACGAUUUAUCGAGGGGGUCCCCAUAACAACCCCGAACGUGUUAGGAGUGCUCAAUAUGAAAUAAAACACCGGUAGCCGAAACUAAGGCGGCAACAACGAAACAAAUCACCCGGCAAAAGGCUAGGCCUUCCGUUAUUUACCAAGUAUAUAGGUGCAUUAAUUAAGUAGCAAUUAUAUAAGAUGAUAUCAAGUUGCCCAUGUUAUCACAUGGACCAACUGGCACCUGCAACUAGCAACGCUAAUAAUUAGUGUUGCUACUUUUCUGCCUAUUUGGUUUGAGGUUUCAUGGCAAUGUUUGAGGUUUCAUGGCAAUGGUUGAGCAAGCCUAACUUAGUCAAACAAUAUUUGCUAGGAGGGGAGGUGUUUGAGGUUUCAUGGCAAUGUUUGAUGGCCUAUAUAUCAUGUGGUAGGCAGCGGAGAUGUAACGAAGGAAACGUAAUACUAAGCAUAACGAAGCUAGAAACGGUGUCAAGGUCAUGAUCAUCUUGCGUAUGAUUUCUUCAGACUGGAACUGCUCUUGUUCUUCCUGCACGAACUCUCCGGACUCCUCGAACUCGUUUCCGGCCCCGGUAACUACCCAAAAGAAAUAACAUCUAAUAAACACCAGCAACAAAUGAUGCAACAGACAAUAUGAUGCAUGCAUGCACUGCUCCAAACAAGCACAUAAAAUAGCCCGACAUCGGUAAAACUAUUGCCACCUCACCACAAGGGUAUUUUCUACAGAGAUGCCCAAAAUCAGAAACUAACAACACUAUUGGAUUCAUUGGAUUUUCUACCCCAAAUCCAUAUAUCAUACAGCCACCUUUGCAUCCAGAAAAACUCCACAAACAGUAAAAAAAUAAAAGCACAUAAUCAAACUACAACACUAAUUCAAGAACAUGGACUGUUCUUGAGCCAGCCCAAAUUAGCAAGUCCAAAUCUGGACAUUUCCAGAAAGGGAAAUAUGCCAAUUUAGCACAAGGACAAUUCACAAACAAAAAUAAAAAUGACAGAGAAAAUAUUAGGAGGGGUCCCACCUGGCAGUGGCCCCUCACUGGAUGACAUGUGGGUCCAGAGGGCCCACUGUCACACCCACACACCACACUACACACACAGCCAGACACACGCACUAACAGAUCUAUACAGACGACUGCACCACAGCCACACUGGAUCCUUACACAGCUUCAUAAUUAGAAAAAGAAGGCCCACUGUCACACCCACACACCACACACACGCACUAACAGAUCUAUACACACGACUGCACCACAGCUACACUGGAUCCUUACACAGCUUCAUAAUUAGAAAAAGAAAAAUAGGCAGAGGGGGGUUUCGAACACUGAACCUCACCCACACAUCGCCACACCUGUGCCACCGCUACUGAUCAGAGAGGAGUGCUAAGCUUCCUAUACUAUCUACUGAUGUGCAACAGGAGCAGAAGAAGAAAUAAAACGAUACUGACAGAGAGGGGUCCUUGAUCCUUUUGAGUAGGCCCCUCAGCCCUGCUCUCUGCUCUGACGAUCGAAGCAGAAGCGAACGGCGGCGACGGCUCAGGUGCCCAACGAAGGGGAAGUUCACCGGCGGAUGAUGCAGAGCCCCUGGGGGUUCCAUUCCCGUCGCAAACACACCGGGAGGUGAACCACGACGGCGGCGCGACGGACUGCACCUACUCUACUGAAGCUGCUACUGCACGCCCGACGAGCACACCGGCGACAACAGAGGAGCCCCGCGCCGUGAAGCCGCCUGACGCUAACGGCUGCGCACUGGGUACUCUACGCGUCCUGCUGCUGAAGCUACCUACUGCUGUCGCUCCUAUCUACUGCAGCCGCUGCUUCUGCUGCGCUCUGCUGUUACUGAAACAGUUGCUGCUGCUCGAGAACAGAGGAACGCCGGCGACCGUGGCCACUACUCGACGCGAUCCGUGGCUAGAGAGGGAAAAAGACGGGGAAGACGAGGCGCUGAUCACCUAGGGACACAGAGGGAGGAUCAGCGUGAUGGAGAAGCGCCCGAUGUUGAGAGGAUGCUGGAGAGCUGCCGGAGAGGAAGAAGAAGGCACCGGACGUCGGGGUCGUCGUGGAAGAAGACUCCCCCGCCGAUCUCUGCGAAAAUGGAUCCCCGCCUGGGUCCUCUUGCUCCUGGUGCUGACGGAGAGGAAGAAGACGGGCCGAACUGCUGACGCGCUUGAGCUCACCCGAGCCCUCUCAUGGUGCUAGCGACGACGCUCUCUUAUGACGACGCGAGGGAAGAUUAGGGGGAAGAAAAAGGGGAGCUACGGAGAAUCCUAGGGCACAUGCAUGGUCUAAAUAGGAGGGAGGCGCUCUGGUGGCUGUUUGAUGGAAGGAAGGAGAAAAUCUGGGGUUGCCAUGGCAUCGUACCGCUGACGUCUAGAGGAAGGAGACGAGGGAUGCGCCUACGGGCUGGUUGGGCCAAAGGCUACUCGGCCUGACUCUAUCUCUCACUCUCAGGUAACGGGCUUAGCAAAUUGCAUACAACAACUUUAAAAAAAUAACCCACAGGGCUAAAAGAAAAGACAAUAAUAAUAAUAAUAAUNUAUAUAUAUAUAUAUAUUGGUGGCCUUCUAAAAUCAUGCUACAAAUUAUAGAANNNNNNNNNNNNNNNNNNNNNNNNNNNNNNNNNNNNNNNNNNNNNNNNNNNNNNNNNNNNNNNNNNNNNNNNNNNNNNNNNNNNNNNNNNNNNNNNNNNNGGGCUUCUUCAUCAUCAUCAUCGCCCCUCCAAUGACUCGUGAGUAGUUCACUUCAGACCUACGGGUCCGUAGUUAGUAGCUGGAUGGCUUCUUCUCUCUCUUGGAUCUUCAAUACAAAGUUCUCCAUGAUCUUCAUGGAGAUCUAUCCGAUGUAAUCUUCUUUGGCGGUGUGUUUGUCGAGAUCCGAUGAAUUGUGGAUUUGUGAUCAGAUUAUCUAUGAUAUAUAUUUGAGUCUUUGCUGAUUUCUUAUAUGCAUGAUUUGAUAUCCUUGUAAGUCUCUCCGAGUCUUGGGUUUUGUUUGGCCAACUAGAUCUAUGAUUCUUGCAAUGGGAGAAGUGCUUGGUUUUGGGUUCUAUCAUGUGGUGACCUUUUCCAGUGACAAUAGGGGCAGCAAGGCACACAUCAAGUAGUUGCCAUCAAGGGUAAAAAGAUGGGGUUUUUAUCAUUGGUUUGAGAUUAUCCCUCUACAUCAUGUCAUCUUGCUUAAGGUGUUACUCUGUUCUUAUGGACUUAAUACACUAGAUGCAUGCUGGAUAGCGGUCGACGUGUGGAGUAAUAGUAGUAGAUGCAGAAAGUAUCGGUCUACUUGUUUUGGACGUGAUGCCUAUGGAUAUAAUCAUUGCAUAGAUAUCGUCACGACUUUGCGCGGUUCUAUCAAUUGCUCGACAGUAAUUUGUUCACCCACCAUCUACUUGCUUUCAUGCGAGAAGCCACUAGUAAACACUACGGCCCCCGAGUCUAUUCACAUCCAUCAUUUACACCUCCGCUUUUACUUUGCUUUGUUACUUUAUUGCUUUCAGUUCUCACUUGGCAAACAAUCUAUAAGGGAUUGACAACCCCUUCAUAGCGUUGGGAGCAAGCUUUUGUGUUUGUGCAGGAUCUUGAGAUACUCCUCCACUGGAUUGAUACAUUGGUUCUCAAACUGAGGGAAAUACUUACCACCGCUACGCUACAUCACCCUUUCCGCUUCGAGGGAACACCAACGCAAUGCUCCAAGGCCACGGGGGAAAUCCUUUGCAUACUUGCCUAGGAAGUCCCUUAAGGCGUAGGUGCAGCACAAGGAUCAAGCCAAGUAUUCUCCCGUCGACGUGCCUAUUUCUGGCGCCAUUGGAAGGUCUUUUGUUGCAGUUGCAGUCACAAAGCCACUCGACCACAUUGGUGCCGUCCAGGUUCAGCCGACAUCGGGGGGUGUGAUACGUCUCCAUCGUAUCUACUUUUCCAAACUCUUUUGCCCUUGUUUUGGACUCUAAUUUGCAUGAUUUGAACGGAACUAACCCGGACUGACGCUGUUUUCAGCAGAAUUGCCAUGGUGUUGUUUUUGUGCAGAAAUGAAAGUUCUUGGAAUGUCCUGAAAAUUUACGGAGAAUAUUUCUGGAAAAUAUGAAAAAUACCUGCGCAAAGAUCCACCGGAGGGGACGGGCCAGUGGGCCACAAGCCCUGUAGCCGCGGCUACCAGGCUUGUGGGGCCCACGUGGCUCUGCCGCCCCCAAUUCCAGCGCUAUUUAUCCCUUUCUUCCCGGAAAAAAUCAAGAGAGAAGAGUUCAUCGCGUUUCACGAUCCAGAGGCGCCGCCACAUCCCGUUCUUGCCCUGGAGGGCAGAUCUGGAGUCCGUUUUGGGCUCCGGAUCAAGGAGAUCGUCGCCAUCGUCAUCAUCAACCUUCUUCCCUCUCCAAUUCCAUGAACCUCUUCAUCGUUCGUGAGUAAUCUAUUCGUAGGCUCGCUGGGCGGUGAUGAGUAGGAUGAGAUCUAUCAUGUAAUCGAGUUAGUUUUGACGGGGAUUGAUCCCUAGUAUCCACUAUGUUGUGAGAUUGAUGUUGCUACUACUUUGCCAUGCUUAAUGCUUGUCACUAGGACCCGAGUGCCAUGAUUUCAGAUCUGAACUUAUUAUGUUGUCACCAAUAUAUGUGUGUUUUAGAUCUGAUCUUGCAAGGUGUAGUUACCUACUAUGUGUUAUGAUCCGGCAACCCCGGAGUGACAAUAACCGGAACCACUCCCGGUGAUGACCAUAGUUUGAGGAGUUCAUGUGUUCACCAAGUGCUAAUGCGUUGGUCCGGUUCUUUAUUAAAAGGAGAACCUUAAUAUCCCAUAGUAUCCAUUUGGACACCGCUGCCACGGGGGGGAUGUACAAUAGAUGUCAUGCAAGUUCUUUUCCCUAAGCACGUAUGACUACACACGGAAUGCAUGCCUACAUCACAUUGACGAACGGGAGCUAGCCACAUAUCUCUCCGUGUUAUAACUGUUGCAUGAUGAAUGUCAUCCAACAGAUCACCAAUCCUUUGCCUACGAGUUUGUCCCAUUGCUACUGUUACUUGCUUUGCUGUGCUGUUGUUACUACUGUUGCUGCUACUGUUACUUGUUGCUACUGUUACUUGCUUUGUCCUGCUGCUGCUACCACUACUGUUACUUGCUGUUGCUGUUACUUGCUACUGCUGCUACUUGCUACUGCUGUCACUAUUGCUGUUCCUUGCCACUGCUGUUACUCGUUACACUGCUACUACCUGCUACAAUACUUUUCUGGCGCCAUUGAUACUUUAGUUAGGAAUUAUCUGCCGUCAACAGAUUCUUUCCUAGCACCGUUGCUAUCAUACUACCUUUGCUGCUUAUAUCCUGCUUGCAGGUACUAAUCUUUCAGGUGUGGUUGAGCCGACAACUCAACUGCUAAUACUGGAGAAUAUCCUUUCACUCCCAUUGUGUCGAACCAACAAAUUUGGGUUGAAUACUCUACCCUCGAAAACUGCCGCGAUCCCACACGCUGGUGGACCAUUGCAAGACAAUUGCUAAUUGUUGAGCAACUGGAAGCAGCACUUUUCUGGCGCCGUUGCCGGGGAGGGAUAGCUAUAUUCUCUGAGUCACUUGGGAUUUAUAUCUGCUGAUCACUAUGAAGAAUCUGAAAGAUCCAAGAACCAAAGUCUCGCCCUCAACCACGAGGCGAGGUAAGGAACUGCCAUCUAGCUCUGCACUUGAUUCACCUUCAGUUAUGAGUAAGUUUGCGACACCACCUCCUGCUAGAAAUCUUGAUAUGUCGCAUGUGCUAGAUGAUGCUACUGCUAUUGAUGAUGCUUAUGAUGCUACUAUGCCUGAUACUGCUAGAGAUGCUAUGCCUGAUACUGCUAGAGAUGCUAUGCCUGAUACUGCUAUCCAUGAUGCUAUGCUUGAUACUGCUUUGCCUGAUGAUGCUAGAGAUGCUAUUUUGCGUGAUGAUGCUAUGCUUGAUACUACUACUUUGCCUGAUGAUGCUAGAGAUGCUAUUUUGCGUGAUGAUGCUAUGCUUGAUACUACUACUUUGCCUGAUAUGCCACUAGGGGUAUUCCUUGAUGCUCAUAUUGCUAGAGUUACUGCCAAUGCUCGUGAUGCUUCUGAAACUGUCGAUACUAUUGAGAUAGAACCUGCUUUUGCUCCUGCUAGAUCUAGCUCUCCUAGAUAUGAAUUGCGUGAUAUACCUGAGGGUUAUGUUAUGGAGGGAGAGAUAGCUGAGGAUUUUCUUGCGUGUAAGGAUGCCUAUGACGCUGAGAAAUUACUUCUCAAGUGGAAGGAAAAAUCUCUGAAAGCUAGGAUGAAAUACGACCCGAAGUUUGCCACGUCACCUAUCUUUAUCACCGAUGAGGAUUAUGAAUUCUCUGUCGACCCUGAGAUAAUCUCUCUAGUCGAAUCUGAUCCUUUCCACGGUUAUGAGUCUGAGACGGUCGUAGCCCAUCUUACUAAACUACACGAUAUAGCCACCCUUUUCACUAGUGAGGAGAAGGUCCGCUACUACUAUAUCCUUAAGUUGUUUCCUUUCUCUCUAAAGGAUUACGCUAAAGCCUGGUUCACUUCUCUUGCUCCUGGAUGUGUGAGUAGUCCCCAGGAUAUGGUCUAUUACUUCUGUGAGAAAUAUUUCCCUACCCAUAAGAAGCAAGCUGCCUUGCAGGAAAUAUACAACUUUGCUCAACUCAAAGAAGAGAGUCUCCCACAAGCUUGGGGGAGGCUCAUCCAGCUACAAAAUGCUUUGCCUGAUCACCCUCUUAAGAAGAACGAGAUACUUGAUAUCUUCUAUAACGGACUUACCGAUGCUUCUAGAGACCACCUAGAUAGUUGUGCCGGUUGUGUUUUUAGGGAACGAACUGUAGAACAAGCUGAGAUCCUACUGAAUAACAUCUUGAUCAACAAUAAUGCUUGGACUAUUCCCGAACCACCUCAUAAGCCAACUCCUAAGAAAAGAGGUAUUCUAUUCCUGAGCCCCGAAGAUAUGCAAGAAGCCAAGAAAUCUAUGCAAGAGAAAGGCAUUAGAUCUGAGGAAGUCAAAAAUCUACCGCCCAUCGAAGAGACCCAUGGUCUCGAUAACCCGAUACAAGUAGUAGAGGUGAAUUCUCUGCGUAGAUUCAAUGAGAGUGAUAUUCCUUUUGACAAACCUGCUAGCCUAUGCUUUGAUGAAUUUGACAACUUUGUUGCCAAACAACAGAGUUUCAAUGAUUAUGUUAGCAACAAUUGGAACAAAGUACUCGUAUGCUUAGUCAUUUAAGUGCUUGUGUAGACAGAAAUGUCAAUGAUUUGAAGCUUCUGAGUAAACAUGCCUCUAUGAUUACUACUCAAGUAGAACAAGUACUUAAAGCUCAGAAUGACUUGCUCAAUGAAUUAAAUGACAACUCUGUCAGAGUCAUUACUAGAUGAGGCAAAAUAACUGAGGAACCUUUGUAUCCUGAAGGCCAUCCUAAGAGAAUUGAUCAAGAUUAUCAAGGAAUUAAUGCUGAUACAGCCAGUCAUCCUAAGAAUAAGAAGAAGGAUGAUAGAAACCUACAUGUCAGUUCACCAAAUACUGUAACACCUGAAGAACCAAAUGAUAUUUCUGCGUCUGAUGCAGAAACACAAUCUGGUGAUGAACAUGAACCUGGGGACAAUAUGGACAACAAUGUUCAUAAUGAUGCUCAACCUAGCAAUGAUAAGGAUGUGGAGAUUAAACCUACGGUUAAUCCUGAUAACCCAUAACCUAAGAGAUACGAUAAGAAUGACUUCACUGCUAGGAAGCAUGGUAAAGAAAGGGAGCCAUGGGUUCAGAGACCCAUGCCCUUUCCUCCUAAGCCAUCCAAGAAAAAGGAUGAUGAUGAUUUUGAGCGCUUUAUUGAAAUGUUGAGACCCGUCUUUCUGCAGAUGCGGUUAAUUGAUAUGCUCAAAAUGUCUCCAUAUGACAAGUACAUGAAAGAUAUCAUGACCAAUAAACGGAAGAUACCAGAUCUUGAGAUAUCCACCAUGCUUGCCAAUUACACUUUCAAAGGUGGAACUCCUAAGAAACUUGGUGAUCCCGGAGUGCCCACUAUACCUUGCUCCACUAAAGGAAACUACGUAAGAACUGCCUUAUGUGACCUUGGAGCCGGUGUUAGUGUUAUGCCUCUCUCUCUUUAUCGUAGACUUGAACUGGAUAAGUUGACACCCACUGAAAUUUCACUGCAAAUGGCCGACAAAUCAACUGCUUUCCCUGUCGGCAUUUGCGAGGAUGUGCCUCUUGUGGUUGCUAACGUUACUAUCUUAACGGCCUUUGUUAUCCUGGAUAUUCCUGAGGAUGAUGCCAUGGCGAUCAUUCUUGGAAGACCAGUCGUAAACACCGCAAGGUUUGUUAUAGAUUGCAGCAAAGGCAACGUCACCUUCCAUGUCAACGGUAAUGAGCAUACAUUGCACUUUCCGAAGAAACGAUAUCAAGUACAUUGCAUCAAUGCUAUCGAAAAAACUUCAUCGAUUCUUAUUGGGAGCUUUGAAUGCCCUAUUCCACGUGUUAAGAUGAAGUAUGAUUUGCUUGUUGGGGAGAUUCAUGUCCCCAUUGAGGUGACUUAGUGGCUAUUCGACAAUUCUCCAUUUCCUUUUGCGAUUCGAAAAAGUUUUGUCAUGAGGAUUUGAUCAACCCCAUUGUCAGAUUUCUUUCGAUGACCAUGAAAUGGAUGAAUCAAAGAGUCACAUACCUCUAUUUUAAGCUUUCACUUUCUGUUGCUUAGAAGAAAAAUGAUAGAUUUAGUUUAGUUUUCCCUGUUUUCUGUUUUAGUGUCCUGAAGAAAAGUACCCCGAAAAUAAAAGUUCUCCGAUGGUCCUGAAAAUCAAAUAUGAUUUUUUCUGGAUUUUUUGAAAAAUACUAGGACUAAGAGCUGGCCUGGGGGCCACACCAGUGGGCCACAAGCCCUGUAGCCGCGGCCUCCCCUAGCCACGGCUACCAAGCUUGUGGGGCCCACAGGGACCCCCUCCACUCAUUCCAGCUCCCAUCCUCUUCUUCUACCUCAAGAAAAAAAUCGUUUUGCAGCUCAAACCCGUGUUCUUGCUCAUUUGGCUGUGAUUUUCGAUCUCCUUGCUCAAAGCACCAUUCUCUGAACCGUUUUGGGGAAAUUACUACUUGGUAAGUGACUCCUCCAUUGGUCCAAUUAGUUUCUACUCUAGUGCUUUAUCCUUCGCGUAUUCUUGCUACCUUGGUGACCUUGUUCUUGAGCUUGAAAUGUUGAUUUUAGCUGGUCCCAAGUAGUUUUAACGCGUGAUACGGUCUCUAGGAACUAGUAGGAGUGGUUGCUACAAGGCGUGGUUGGUCUUUAUUCACUUUUCUCUUGAGCUUCAAAAAUUUCAGCAAAAAGAAAUUAUGCUCAGGAGGAAGUUUCAUGGUGGUUCCUCAAGUAAGAAGGGUCCCCGUCUUUCUAUUCGGGAGCCCGAUCCUUAUCAACUAAGUGACGCACCGGUACAACCAUGUGAAUGGCCUUCCGAUGAGUUCAUGAUCGAAGCAGGCUUCAAGGAUGAGUUUGAUACACUUGUCUGCAAUGCCGGGUUAGAAGAAUUCCCGUGAGAUAAAUGUGAACAGUAUGCUAUGCUCACUGCCUCUUUCGUGCGUAGAUUUAAAUUUUCAGUUGGCCGUGACUCAUCCAUACUGAUUGAUCUGUAUGAUAAAUCCUACACCAUGGAUUUGGAGGAUUUCAAUAGGAUUCGCAAGAUACCCGAUGGGGGUAGUCUUAAUGAUCCUGGUAAGUCUUCGGUUAGAGAUUUUGUCUCUAGUAUAACUGUUGGAGAAACUAGAGACAUCACGCAAGCUAACAUAGGAAGCAUUCAUUUCCCUGCCUUGCACUACUUUGCCCUCUUCAUAGGUAGAUGCAUUAACGGCAAGGUUGAACAUUGUCACCUAUGCGCAUCCAACCUUAGUAUCCUUAAGAGCGCAGUAACAAGUGACAUGAUCUUCAACAUGGGAGCUAUAAUAGCAAGGAGGCUGAAUAAUAAUGCCAUUGAUGGGGAUUUCUUUGGUGGGAUUUAUGCUACGCGCUUAGCAAAUUUUCUUGGAGUACCCAUCCGUUCAGGAGAUCCCCCUCUCUGUACAGCCUACCUUGAUCGUGUCGCUCUGACACGCUAUCAGUUUCUCAAGAGGGAUGAAGAAUCCAUCGUUUACCGGUUAGUAUUUAACCGACAACGCGCUUUUCAUAUUAUGCUUCCUGCUCCUGCCUUCUUUGACUUUCAGGUUAAACGAAGAUAUUACAUAACCAUUGGAGAAGCAGAGGAGUAUGAGAGGGAGGCUGAGACUUCUCGUCUCCACGAAGCAGCUAUUCAUGCAGUGGCUGCAGCGCUCCCAUACAACCCACAUUAUGAUUUCGGGUAUCACCCGGACCAGCCUUGGGAGUAGACUAAGCUAGGCCAAAAGCCUAAGUUUGGGGGAGUACGUGUUUGCACCAACUUUACAUUCAUGCUUAUGCUUUCACUUUGUUAGUCGGUGUUUACACUUUGCCACUGUAUUAUCCAUGCUAGUUUAUUUUCGUUUUCUUGUUUUGUGUCCUUUUGAGAAAACCCAAAAAUAUUUUCCUUUCUUCUUUUGCUUGUUGGGAGCUUUCCCGUGUAAAUAGUUUUCUUUUUCUUUGAGUCAAGGUAGAAGACCAUGGUUACAAUGUUUAGUGGCUCUCGCAUGCAUACCUGUUCAUUUGUUAAAGAGCCAUAUUACUUUGUCUUCUCCUUUGUGUUUGCUUGCAGAUUUAGCUUAGUCCAAUGCAUGAGCACUCUUAUUAUUGUUCACAUCGUUCGAUCGUGCAAGUGAAAGGCACUAAUGAUGAUAUAUGAUGAAGUGACUGAGACUGGAAAAGCUGGUAUGAACUCUAUCUAUUUUGUUUUUGUAAAUAUGACUAGCUUGUCGUCCCAGAUUCAGCUUUGUUGAGAGAGAACCAUGUUUGCAAUGACAACUUAGAGAUCAUAGUUUCUGAUGCCAUGCUUAAUUAGCUAGGAGCUUAUAAUGGUUUGUCUUGAAUGCCAACAUAGAUUUUGAGAUGACUAUGAUGUAGUAUGAUAGGAUGGUAUUCUCCUUUGAAUGAUUCAAGUGGCUUGACUUGGCGCAUGUUCAUGCAUGUAGUUGAAACAAAAUCAACAUAGCCUCUAUGAUGUUCGUGUUCAUGGUGAUUUAUAUCCUGCUCAUGCUUGCACUCAAUGUUAGUCAAACUCAUUGCAUCUUGAUGACUAUUUUCGCUCUCCAGUUGGUCGCUUCCGAGUCUUUUGCUAGCCUUCACUUGUACUAAGCGGAAUACUGCUUGUGCAUUCACUUCCAUAAACCAAAAAGUUUUUCCAUGAGAGUCCACCAUACCUACCUAUUUGCGGUAUAUACCUGCCGUUCCAAGUAAAUUUGCAUGUGCCAUUCUCUAAACUUUCAAGAAAUAAUCUGUUUUGCAUGCCCGAACCGCUCAUGUGGUGACAGGGGGCUAUUGGUAUUUUCCAUGUUAGGCGUGUUAUCCUCGACAUGUGUUUAUUCACUGUCAUUCACGAGAAAGGGGCCGGUAAUUGGAAUGCCCAGUUCCAUGCUUAAAUCAAAAACAUAACUGUAAAACAAGACUCCCCCCGGAUUGAUGUUAGUAUGGACGGUACCCGAGGAUUCGGCUAGCCAUGGAGUGUGAUUGAUUGGUGGUGGGGGAGUUAAAACUUUACUUUUCUGUUUGGGAACCUCCUAUAGCAUGAGUAGCAUGGAAGAUAUUGAGAACUCUUGGUCAUUGCGUUGACAAUGAAAGCAUGCCACCCAAAAUUAUUAUCUCUGUUUUCAAAGCUUGAGCUCUGGCACCUCUGCAAAUCAAUGCUUCCCUCUGCGAAGGGCCUGUCUAUUUAUUUUCCUGUUGAGUCAUCCUCUUCUUAUAUAAGCACCAAUUAGAGAGCACCUCUGUCAUUUUUAUGCUUUGAUUUUGAUUGAUAUUAAGUAUGACUAUGACUGGAUCUUCGUUGCUAUGAAAUACAAUGUUUAGUCAGCCCUUGAUCUUUGAAAGUGCUCUGCAUUUAUGUUUUGCGGUCUCAGAACGAGCUAGCGAGAUACCACCUAUUCAUAUUGCUUCAUGCUUGUUUUGAUUGAAUUGUUGGUAUCUGAAACUUAUUAUUAUUUGCUCGCUAGCUGAUUAUGCCAUUGAUAUUAGUUUACCGUGAUACCUAUGUGUCACUUGCUUAUGUGGUUAACUUGUGAUCUUGCUGAAAUUCUGGUUAUGAAUUAUCCAUAGUUGCAACAACAAGAUCAAACAGAGUUGAUACGUCUCCAUCGUAUCUACUUUUCCAAACUCUUUUGCCCUUGUUUUGGACUCUAAUUUGCAUGAUUUGAAUGGAACUAACCCGGACUGACGUUGUUCUCAGCAGAAUUGCCAUGGUGUUGUUUUUGUGCAGAAAUGAAAGUUCUCGGAACGUCCUGAAAAUUUACGGAGAAUAUUUCUGGAAAAUAUGAAAAAUACCUGCGCAAAGAUCCACCGGAGGGGACGGGCCAGUGGGCCACAAGCCCUAUAGCCGUGGCCUCCCCCUGGCCGGGGCUACCAGGCUUGUGGGCCCACGUGGCUCUGCCGCCCCCAAUUCCAGCACUAUUUAUUCCCUUUCGUCCCGGAAAAAAUCAAGAGAGAAUAGUUCAUCGCGUUUCACGAUCCAGAGGCGCCGCCACAUCCCGUUCUUGCCCUGGAGGGCAGAUCUGGAGUCCGUUUUGGGCUCCGGAUCAAGGAGAUCGUCGCAAUCGUCAUCAUCAACCUUCUUCCCACUCCAAUUCCAUGAAGCUCUUCAUCGUUCGUGAGUAAUCUAUUCGUAGGCUCGCUGGGCGGUGAUGAGUAGGAUGAGAUCUAUCAUGUAAUCGAGUUAGUUUUGACGGGGAUUGAUCCCUAGUAUCCACUAUGUUGUGAGAUUGAUGUUGCUACUACUUUGCCAUGCUUAAUGCUUGUCACUAGGGCCCGAGUGUCAUGAUUUCAGAUCUGAACUUAUUAUGUUAUCACCAAUAUAUGUGUGUUUUAGAUCUGAUCUUGCAAGGUGUAGUUACCUACUAUGUGUUAUGAUCCGGCAACCCCGGAGUGACAAUAACCGGAACCACUCCCGGUGAUGACCAUGGUUUGAGGAGUUCAUGUGUUCACCAAGUGCUAAUGCGUUGGUCCGGUUCUUUAUUAAAAGGAGAACCUUAAUAUCCAGUAGUAUCCAUUUGGACACCGCUGCCAUGGGAGGGAUGUACAAUAGAUGUCAUGCAAGUUCUUUUCCCUAAGCACGUAUGACUACACACGGAAUGCAUGCCUACAUCACAUUGACGAACGGGAGCUAGCCACAUAUCUCUCCGUGUUAUAACUGUUGCAUGAUGAAUGUCAUCCAACAGAUCACCAAUCCUUUGCCUACGAGUUUGUCCCAUUGCUACUGUUACUUGCUGCUACUAUUACUUGCUUUGCUCUGCUAUUGUUACUAGUGUUGCUUCUACUGUUACUUGCUUUGUCCUGCUGCUGCUGCUGCCACUACUGUUACUUGCUGUUGUUGCUACUUGCUACUGCUGCUACUUGCUACUGCUGUCACUAUUGCCGUUCCUUGCCACUGUUGUUACUCGUUACACUGCUACUACCUGCUACAAUACUUUUCUGGCGCCAUUGAUACUUCAGUUAGGAAUAAUCUGCCGUCAACAGAUUCUUUCCUAGCUCCGUUGCUAUCAUACUACCUUUGCUGCUUAUAUCCUGCUUGCAGAUACUAAUCUUUCAGGUGUGGUUGAGCCGACAACUCAACUGCUAAUACUGGAGAAUAUCCUUUCACUCCCAUCGUGUCGAACCAAUAAAUUUGGGUUGAAUACUCUACCCUCGAAAACUGCCGCGAUCCCACACGCUGGUGGGCCAUUGCAAGACAAUUGCUAAUUGUUGAGCAACUGGAAGCAGGGUGUCGGGGCCUUGCCUCGUGAGGCGCGUCACGAUGGCAGGGAAAUGUGCGGGACUGGGACCUUUCGACGUAGAGCCAUAAAAUCCCUCAACCGGCAUCACGAGAAGGACCGUGCAAGACCUGCAUCGACCCGUCGCACCUCUGCAUCGUCCUUCAAUCCUUCCGGAACCUACUUCAUCACGUGACACUCUCACGUAAUAACGAGCCAAGGCUGUAUAUGCCCAGGCCCCCCUGAUGACGUGGAAGGGUUCCACCCCACACCUAGUGGAAUACCUAUGCUCUGCGCUGGGUAUAGAUGGAGGAAAUCAACAUAGUCCACCAAUGACUUCCGGAAUCAGGCGCCAAUGCCUCGGGGGUUGGGACACCCGCGAGGCCAAAGUGUCCUCGCGUCCUCCUAUAUACACCACCACCGUGACGCUCUCAUGUAAUAACGAGCCAAGGUUGUAUACGCCUAGCCCCCCCCCCCCCGAGGAUACGGAAGGGCUCCACCCCACGCCUUGUGGAAGACCUAUGCUCCGCGCUGGGUGCAGACGGAGGCAAUCAACUUAGUCCACCAAUGACUAUGCCCGUAGCUGGAAAGGAAACCCAUAUAGUCCACCGAUGACUAUUCCAGCCUAAAUGCCUGACGCGACGUUUGCUUGCUUUUCCUGAAUUUUGAACUAUCUUCCGUCGGACUUAGAUCUACCAAUUUUAAAAGUUGAUGUUUGAAAGACAAAAGGGGGGUGGAACUUUCUCUUGCCCUUUCUCGUAUUCACCAGUUUUUGAAGCCUAUUUUCCAGAUAACAUUCUCUGGGGAGCUAAACGCUCCACGCCGCGCCUAGGGGCCAAGGAGCGAAAGCAAGGACUUGUCGUGUAACGACUAAGAUGCGGCCCUUUCCUUAUUUGGGGGCGAGGCCUCAAAAGGGGAAAGAGGUGCAUCUACGCGUUUCGCAAGCAAGAUAAUCAUAGCAAUUUAAAUAACUGAAGAGUGACAAGUAGGGCAUACACUUGCCAUCUGAUAAAGUACAUAGUCAUACAGUCAUACAAAACAUGGAAUGGUCCGGCUACGGACAAGAUAAACGGCAAAAGCUAUGAUAUCCCACAUGCUGGUCCCACGAUCACGGCCACUGCCUCUAAUCGUCGGGAUAAGUCACAUACAACCUGCCGCUGUCCUCAUCAAACUUCCACUUCAACUGGCUGUCAUCGGGAACUCCUGCAUCAGGGGUACCUGUACCUAUGGGUGUUUGUAGUAAACCGUGAGCCACGAGGACUCAUCAAUCUUAUGACCUUGGUAUCGAGUCUAACUAAGUUAAAUGGGUGAGAUAGGAUAAGUGUUUGAGUUUGCAGCAACCUACGCUUAUAUGGAGGCUAUCUUACGAUGAACAUAAUUAAUAUAUGUGGUGGUCUAUGUAAGACGGUCGAAUACUAGAAUGAUCACUAAGUGAUCCUGAGCACCUACUUAUGUCAUUCAUAACCCCACCGUGUUCUCGAUCAGAGAAGAAACUCUCAAAGAGACAGUCACGGUUACGCACUCAGUUGGCAAGUUUUUAUUAGAGUUACUUUAAGUUGUCUAGAACCGGAUGUUAACAAAAUAUCCAUGUUGCUACAUAACCGCGGGCCUGACUUUCUGAAAGAUUAAACCCUGCACGGGUGCUCCAACUAGUCCAUCACAAAUUACCACAGGCCGCAUAGUAAUCCUCUACCACGAAACUCGUGAUCUCGUCGGAUUCCUUAGAGGAAAACCUCAACCCUGAGAAGACUCAAAGUCUCACCGGAAUCCAAUGCGCAAGAUAUAUCGCUAAGGUAAGACAAGUCCAUCAAGACCACCCGACGUGUCGACGAACCCGAUAGGAGCCGCGUAUCUCGUUCUGAGGACACGACGGAUGGAACUAGCUACAGGAACCAAACAUCAAGUUUCCUCGCGGUGGCCCUGCAGACAGUCCAUUUUGGACCAACACUCAUGAGGAGCACUGGCCCGGGUUGUUGAUUAAUUCCUCGGGGUAGCUAUUCCCUAUGCUUUUAUUAUUAAUUUAUUAGCAAAUUAACACCAAAGUUGGGUCCUGCCAGACAAGUCUUAACACUAUACGAUUUAUCGAGGGGGUCCCCAUAACAACCCCGAACGUGUUAGGAGUGCUCAAUAUGAAAUAAAACACCGGUAGCCGAAACUAAGGCGGCAACAACGAAACAAAUCACCCGGCAAAAGGCUAGGCCUUCCGUUAUUUACCAAGUAUAUAGGUGCAUUAAUUAAGUAGCAAUUAUAUAAGAUGAUAUCAAGUUGCCCAUGUUAUCACAUGGACCAACUGGCACCUGCAACUAGCAACGCUAAUAAUUAGUGUUGCUACUUUUCUGCCUAUUUGGUUUGAGGUUUCAUGGCAAUGUUUGAGGUUUCAUGGCAAUGGUUGAGCAAGCCUAACUUAGUCAAACAAUAUUUGCUAGGAGGGGAGGUGUUUGAGGUUUCAUGGCAAUGUUUGAUGGCCUAUAUAUCAUGUGGUAGGCAGCGGAGAUGUAACGAAGGAAACGUAAUACUAAGCAUAACGAAGCUAGAAACGGUGUCAAGGUCAUGAUCAUCUUGCGUAUGAUUUCUUCAGACUGGAACUGCUCUUGUUCUUCCUGCACGAACUCUCCGGACUCCUCGAACUCGUUUCCGGCCCCGGUAACUACCCAAAAGAAAUAACAUCUAAUAAACACCAGCAACAAAUGAUGCAACAGACAAUAUGAUGCAUGCAUGCACUGCUCCAAACAAGCACAUAAAAUAGCCCGACAUCGGUAAAACUAUUGCCACCUCACCACAAGGGUAUUUUCUACAGAGAUGCCCAAAAUCAGAAACUAACAACACUAUUGGAUUCAUUGGAUUUUCUACCCCAAAUCCAUAUAUCAUACAGCCACCUUUGCAUCCAGAAAAACUCCACAAACAGUAAAAAAAUAAAAGCACAUAAUCAAACUACAACACUAAUUCAAGAACAUGGACUGUUCUUGAGCCAGCCCAAAUUAGCAAGUCCAAAUCUGGACAUUUCCAGAAAGGGAAAUAUGCCAAUUUAGCACAAGGACAAUUCACAAACAAAAAUAAAAAUGACAGAGAAAAUAUUAGGAGGGGUCCCACCUGGCAGUGGCCCCUCACUGGAUGACAUGUGGGUCCAGAGGGCCCACUGUCACACCCACACACCACACUACACACACAGCCAGACACACGCACUAACAGAUCUAUACAGACGACUGCACCACAGCCACACUGGAUCCUUACACAGCUUCAUAAUUAGAAAAAGAAGGCCCACUGUCACACCCACACACCACACACACGCACUAACAGAUCUAUACACACGACUGCACCACAGCUACACUGGAUCCUUACACAGCUUCAUAAUUAGAAAAAGAAAAAUAGGCAGAGGGGGGUUUCGAACACUGAACCUCACCCACACAUCGCCACACCUGUGCCACCGCUACUGAUCAGAGAGGAGUGCUAAGCUUCCUAUACUAUCUACUGAUGUGCAACAGGAGCAGAAGAAGAAAUAAAACGAUACUGACAGAGAGGGGUCCUUGAUCCUUUUGAGUAGGCCCCUCAGCCCUGCUCUCUGCUCUGACGAUCGAAGCAGAAGCGAACGGCGGCGACGGCUCAGGUGCCCAACGAAGGGGAAGUUCACCGGCGGAUGAUGCAGAGCCCCUGGGGGUUCCAUUCCCGUCGCAAACACACCGGGAGGUGAACCACGACGGCGGCGCGACGGACUGCACCUACUCUACUGAAGCUGCUACUGCACGCCCGACGAGCACACCGGCGACAACAGAGGAGCCCCGCGCCGUGAAGCCGCCUGACGCUAACGGCUGCGCACUGGGUACUCUACGCGUCCUGCUGCUGAAGCUACCUACUGCUGUCGCUCCUAUCUACUGCAGCCGCUGCUUCUGCUGCGCUCUGCUGUUACUGAAACAGUUGCUGCUGCUCGAGAACAGAGGAACGCCGGCGACCGUGGCCACUACUCGACGCGAUCCGUGGCUAGAGAGGGAAAAAGACGGGGAAGACGAGGCGCUGAUCACCUAGGGACACAGAGGGAGGAUCAGCGUGAUGGAGAAGCGCCCGAUGUUGAGAGGAUGCUGGAGAGCUGCCGGAGAGGAAGAAGAAGGCACCGGACGUCGGGGUCGUCGUGGAAGAAGACUCCCCCGCCGAUCUCUGCGAAAAUGGAUCCCCGCCUGGGUCCUCUUGCUCCUGGUGCUGACGGAGAGGAAGAAGACGGGCCGAACUGCUGACGCGCUUGAGCUCACCCGAGCCCUCUCAUGGUGCUAGCGACGACGCUCUCUUAUGACGACGCGAGGGAAGAUUAGGGGGAAGAAAAAGGGGAGCUACGGAGAAUCCUAGGGCACAUGCAUGGUCUAAAUAGGAGGGAGGCGCUCUGGUGGCUGUUUGAUGGAAGGAAGGAGAAAAUCUGGGGUUGCCAUGGCAUCGUACCGCUGACGUCUAGAGGAAGGAGACGAGGGAUGCGCCUACGGGCUGGUUGGGCCAAAGGCUACUCGGCCUGACUCUAUCUCUCACUCUCAGGUAACGGGCUUAGCAAAUUGCAUACAACAACUUUAAAAAAAUAACCCACAGGGCUAAAAGAAAAGACAAUAAUAAUAAUAAUAAUAAUAAUAUAUAUAUAUAUAUAUAUAUAUAUAUAUAUAUUGGUUGGCCUUCUAAAAAUCAUGCUACAAAUUAUAGAAGUAGAUUGGGCAAUUUUGGAAGUGUUCAAAUAAAAACCCUUUAUAUAAAAUGAGGCAGUGUUAUUAAAUAAAUUUUAAAAGGAAAAUAAAAUGAAAACCAGAGGGGUUGCCUCCACAAAUAUUAGGAUGAUUUUUAGAAGNGUAGAUUGGGCAAUUUUGGAAGUGUUCAAAUAAAAACCCUUUAUAUAAAAUGAGGCAGUGUUAUUAAAUAAAUUUAAAAGGAAAAUAAAAUGAAAACCAGAGGGGUUGCCUCCACAAAUAUUAGGAUGAUUUUUAGAAGAGGAGGAACAAUUUAUUGAGGCAAAACUAGAAACUUUUAAAUUUGCCACAAUUAAUUGGAAGGGAGGGAGUUUUUGAAACUAUGGUGCAACAAGGGGUUUUGAAUGGCUUUUUUGCACCCACUCACAUGCACAAGAUCACAACCACACAUCACCACAUGAUCAUCAAGGUGGCACAACACACAAGAUCAAACCAUCAAGCCAAAAGGAAAAGAAGCAAGAUAUGCAUGAUGCAUGAGAUGCACAUGAAAUGAUAAUGCCACAAGCCUCAACUCCAUAACAUUGCCUCAACAUAGUUGCCAAACAAGGAAAGGAUUACAAAAGGUGAAAGAAAAGCACUUGGGCUGUUACAUGCCGUCCUAGGGGUGGACAUUUUCGGCGAGGAGGGAUGCAGGGCCUAAGGGGGCUCCCGAGCAUCGAACCUCAGGAGCCUCAAAGGACAGGGUGCGGGGCCAGGGCCCGCAAACAUAGGGAGCCAAAAGGGUCUCCAUCUCAUCCCACCUACAGAGCAGGAGCUACUCAGGAGGAGCUACGGAAGGGACCGGUGCAAGCCCACGAGCUAAGUACUUCGCAAGCCCAGAUGGGGGUCAUUUAGUUUCACGCCAAACUAACGACAAAUUAAAAACAUGUGUACUAACGAAGGGAUGCAGGGCCUUAGGAUUCAGCUGCAGCGAGGGACGAGGCCGACGACCAAGCGUGCAGCGGCACGAGCGGGGCCUCAGGAGGACGGGACCUACCGAGGACCCUAGUUGCCGUUACUCCCAAGCGAUGACUGGGGCAGCGACGAGCCCUAUGCAAAGAAGUCGAGCUGCAACGACUACCGGCAAGCGAGAAAUCGACACACGAGCGAAAGGAAAAACGUAAAACAACGAAGGUAACGAACGAAAGGUUAACGACCAACAGUGCAGAGUUCUUGGUUUGACGUUACACGAGAAGGAAACGGAAGCUGGGAUACGCCUAGGGGGAAAGGCCCCAAGCACCGCCCUUGGCUCCUGUGGGCUCAUCGUCGAAGGCCUCCUCCUCGCUGGACAUAGGCAACCGGACGUACUGCUCCACCAGGGCGUCCACGUGCGGGCGCACUUCAUCCCGGAGAAGGCGCCGGGGCUCGGCGGGCAUGGGCUCGACGACGCGCUGGAGAUCGAGCUCCGGGACAAGGCGACGCUGGUUGGAGAAGACAAGCGUCAAGGCAAGGCCCAGAAGCUCGUGCGCAUCGGACUGUUGGAAUUAUGCCCUAGAGGCAAUAAUAAAUGUAUAGUUAUUAUUAUAAUUCCUGUAUCAAGAUAAUAAUUUAUUAUCCAUGCUAUAAUUGUAUUGAAUGAAGACUCAUUUACAUGUGUGGAUACAUAGACAAAACACCGUCCCUAGCAUGCCUCUAGUUGGCUAGCCAGUUGAUCGAUGAUAGUCAGUGUCUUCUGAUUAUGAACAAGGUGUUGUUGCUUGAUAACUGGAUCACGUCAUUGGGAGAAUCACGUGAUGGACUAGACCCAAACUAAUAGACGUAGCAUGUUGAUCGUGUCAUUUUGUUGCUACUGUUUUCUGCGUGUCAAGUAUUUAUUCCUAUGACCAUGAGAUCAUAUAACUCACUGACACCGGAGGAAUGCUUUGUGUGUGUCAAACGUCGCAACGUAACUGGGUGACUAUAAAGAUGCUCUACAGGUAUCUCCGAAGGUGUUAGUUGAGUUAGUAUGGAUCAAGACUGGGAUUUGUCACUCCGUGUGACGGAGAGGUAUCUCAGGGCCCACUCGGUAAUACAACAUCACACACAAGCCUUGCAAGCAAUGUAACUUAGUGUAAGUUGCGGGAUCUUGUAUUAUGGAACGAGUAAAGAGACUUGCCGGUAAACGAGAUUGAAAUAGGUAUGCGGAUACUGACGAUCGAAUCUCGGGCAAGUAACAUACCGAAGGACAAAGGGAAUGACAUACGGGAUUAUACGAAUCCUUGGCACUGAGGUUCAAACGAUAAGAUCUUCGUAGAAUAUGUAGGAUCCAAUAUGGACAUCCAGGUCCCGCUAUUGGAUAUUGACCGAGGAGUCUCUCGGGUCAUGUCUACAUAGUUCUCGAACCCGCAGGGUCUGCACACUUAAGGUUCGACGUUGUUUUAUGCGUAUUUGAGUUAUAUGGUUGGUUACCGAAUGUUGUUCGGAGUCCCGGAUGAGAUCACGGACGUCACGAGGGUUUCCGAAUGGUCCGGAAACGAAGGUUGAUAUAUAGGAUGACCUCAUUUGAUUACCGGAAGGUUUUCGGAGUUACCGGGAAUGUACAGGGAAUGACGAAUGGGUUCCGGGAGUUCACCGGGGGGGGGGGCAACCCACCCCGGGGAAGCCCAUAGGCUUUGGGGAGACACACCAGCCCUUAGUGGGCUGGUGGGACAGCCCCAAGGGGGCCUAUGCGCCAAGAGAAGGAAAUCAAAGGAAAAGAAAAAAAAGGAGGGAGGAAGUGGGAAGGGAGGGGGACUCCUCCCACCAAACCAAGUCCAACUCGGUUUGGGGGGGGGAGUCCUCCCCCCCUUGGCUCGGCCGACCCCCAAGGCAAGGUCCCCCUCCCUCCUCCUAUAUAUAUGGAGCAAUUAGGGAUGAUUUGAGACGACUUUCUCACGGCUGCCCGACCACAUACCUCCAUAGUUUUUCCUCUAGAUCGCGUUUCUGCGGAGCUCGGGCGGAGCCCUGCCGAGACAAGAUCAUCACCAACCUCCGGAGCGCCGUCACGCUGCCGGAGAAAUCUUCUACCUCUCCGUCUCUCUUGCUGGAUCAAGAAGGCCGAGAUCAUCGUCGAGCUGUACGUGUGCUGAACGCGGAGGUGCCGUCCGUUCGGUACUAGAUCGUGGGACUGAUCACGGGAUUGUUCGCGGGGCGGAUCGAGGGACGUGAGGACGUUCCACUACAUCAACCGCGUUCUCUAACGCUUCUGCUGUACGAUCUACAAGGGUACCUAGAUCACUCAUCCCCUCUCGUAGAUGGACAUCACCAUGAUAGGUCUUCGUGCGCGUAGGAAAUUUUUUGUUUCCCAUGCGACGUUCCCCAACACGGACGUGCUCUCCUCCUCCACCCGGGUAACGCCGACCUCGAGCGCCUCCACCACCUUCUCAAAGAAGGCGAGGUAGCCCCUAUCGCUCCUCACGUUUUGCAGCGCCGAGGCCUCCCCCGCAAGUCGGCGCGUCACGUCAGCUACCCGGCCGGCGAUGCCCGCGAACUGCUUGGCGUGCUGGGACGCCCUCAUCCGGGCGAACGAUGCCUCGUUGUUGUCUGCCAAGACGGCGUCGGUCGCCUACUGGACCUGCUUCUGAAGCGACGACAACUCGUCCUUGGCCUACGCUUCGCCCUCGCGGGCGGCGUGGACACUACAAGAAUCAGAUACUUUGCCGUCUGCCAUGGCGGACGGCAAAGGGGAGCACCCUGGAUGGCAAAGGCCUUUGCCGUUCGUCUGCAGACGGCAAACUGCACGGCAAAGAAAAAUCCGUUAAAGAGGUUCUUUUCCGUCUGCCUUGGCCCCGCGGUCGGCAAAGAAACUUUGCCCGGGGGGGGGGGAGACGACAAAGAACAUCGACGACAGAUCCGCGGGCUAGGGUCGUCAAGUCGUAACGAUAGCCUUUGCCGUGUGCUGGGCCCACCAUCCCUUUGCCGUCUGUCAUGGACCCCUUUGCCAUGUGUGGGAAAACGACAAAGAUGGCAAAUAGUCCUGGCCUUCAAGGCCUUUGCCGUCUGCUGGGCUCCCUUUGCCGUCGGUGGGCGGACGACAAAGAAACCAAAAUGCCCCUGUUUAUUUUAUUUUUUAUUAUAUCCAACAAUUUUCACAGGAAUAUAUGAUAUAUAUAUAUAUAUAUACAUAUAUCAUAGAAAUAAUGUUGUUGCCAUACUGAUAACCAUAUUAAAAUAAGUUUAAUCCAUCCAUACAUACAUAUUAUGCAAGUUUGAUCCGUACCAAACCAUAUAUUACAAUAGUUUCAUCCAUACAUACAAAGUUUCAUAUCCAUAUAUUACAACAGUUUCAUCCAUACAUAUUAUCCAAAAAACAUAUAAGUAACCCAAGCACUCCAUCAAUCCAAGCAUUCGUGAAGUGAAAGUAAUCUGCAAAAUGGGAAAUAAGAAAGUUAGAAGAAGAAGACUAGACGAAGAAGAGAAGUAAGCUAGGUAUAGGUCAUUUUUGAAUAAAUAGGCCAUUUUGGAGCUAAUUUAGCUUACUACAUCAUCUAGGAGGAAACUAAGCUAAGUAUAUGUCAUUUUGGAGCUACUUAGGUAAAAAUAGGUCAUUUAGGAGCUAAAUAUGCCUAUUAAGCCAUUUUGGAGCUAACUCAGCUAAUUAUAGGCCAUUUAAUAGCUAAUUUAGGUACAAUAGCUCAUUUUGUAGCUAAGUAAACUUAUUAUGUCAUUUAGGAGAGAACUUAGCUAAGUAUAGGUCAUUUUUGAUUAAAUAGGCCAUUUUGGAGCUAAUUUAGCUUACUAUGUCAUCUAGGAGGAAACUAAGCUAAGUAUAAGUCAUUUUGGAGCUACUUCGGUAAAAAUAGGUCAUUUAGGAGCUAACUAUGCUUAUUAAGCCAUAUUGGAGCUAACUAAGCUAAUUAUAGGCCAUUUAAUAGCUAAGUUAGGUACAAUAGGUAAUUUUGUAGCUACGUAAACUUAUUAUGUCAAUUAGGAGAGAACUUAGCUAAGUAUAGGUCAUUUUUAUGAAAUAUUCCAUUUUUGAGCUAAUUUAGCUUACUACGUCAGUUAGGAGGAAACUAAGCCAAGUAUAUGUCAUUUUAGAGCUACUUAGGUAAAAAAUAGGUCAUUUAGGAGCUAACUAUGCUUAUUAUGCAAUUUUGGAGCUAAAUAACCUAAUUAUAGGCCAUUUAAUAGCUAAGUUAGGUACAAUAGGUCAUUUUGUAGCUACGUAAGCUUAUUAUGUUAUUUAGGAGGGAACUUAGCUAAGUAUAGGUUACAUUUUUAUGAAAUAGGCCAUUUUGGUGCUAAUUAAGCUUAGUACGUCAUCUAGGAGGUAACUAAGGUGAGUAUAUGUCAUUUUAGAGCUACUUAUGUAAAAGUAGGUCAUUUAGGAGCUAACUAUGCUUAUUAUGCCAUUUUGGAGCUAACUAAGCUAAUUAUAGACCAUUUAAUAGCUAAGUUAGGUACAAUAGGUCAUUUUGGAGCUACGUAAGCUUAUUAUGUCAUUUAGGUGAGAACUUAGCUAAGUAUAGGUCAUUUUUUAUUAAAUAUGCCAUUUUGGAGCUAAUUCAGCUUACUACGUCAUCUAUGAGGAAAAUAAGCUAAAUAUAUGUCAUUUUAGAGCUACUUAGGUAAAAAAUAGGUCAUUUAGGAGCUAACUAUGCUUAUUAAGCCAUUUUGGAGCUAACUAAGCUAAAUAUAGGCCAUUAAUAGCUAAGUUAGGUACAAUAGGUCAAUUUGGAGCUAGGUAAGCUUAUUAUGUCAUUUAGGAGAGAACUUAGCUAAGUAUAGGUCAUUUUUUUAUUAAAUAGGUCAUUUUGGAGCUAAUUUAGCUUACUACGUCAUCUAGGAGGAAACUAACCUAACUAUAUGUCAUUUUAGAGCUACUUAGGUAAAAAUAGGUCAUUUAGGAGCUAACUAUGCUUAUUAUGUCAUUUUGGAGCUAACUAAGCUAAUUAUGUCAUUUAGGAGGAAACUAAGCUAAGUAUAGGUCAUUUUAGAGCUAACUUUUGGUAAAAUAUGUCAUUUUGGAGCUAAGGUAAGGUAAGUAAACAUCAUUAUGCGGUUGUUAAGCAAAACACUAGAAAAAACAUACCAUACUCGUCAGCACGACAGUGAAGCACGAUGGCUUUGGCUUGUUUCACCUGGAGAAGGCUCCACUGUAGAAGGGUCAUGCGAUGCGUUUCGGGAGAUAUUCUGCACCAAACAUCGUUUGUAAUGUGACGUUAGCAUGAUGACACUCAAAAGAUCACUGCAUUGAAAUGAAACUCACCAUCCCCGCCAUCUUAAUGACUAGCAUCGCCGGAGGGACAUGGCCGGUAUUCUCGCAGAUAGACUGUACAUUUGGUUUCGACAAGUCAAACUUUUUAGUUAUUAAUGAAACAAACAUUAAAAUGCAAGAUUUUACAAAUAUUAAGAAGAAAACUACCACUAAGAGCUCAUACAUGGCCGUGUUAGACGCAACAUUUCGUGCCCUCUCCGCCUCGAACAACACAACCAUCCUCUACUCCAUCUUCUCCAUCUCCUUAUCCUUCGCCGCCUAAAGCGCCUGUGUUGCCUCUCUCUCUUUUAGAAUAGUAGCGUGCAACACAAAUCAUUGUUAGCACUGUAAUAAUAUUGGCUUGCACACACAACGUAAUGCGGAUAGAUAGUUGAGUCCAUUAAACUAACCUCGAUGGCGAGAUCGACUGGCCGUGGAUGAGGUGUUAUCUUAGAACAGGAGCUUAUUUGGCGUGCCUUUAUCUACCGGAGAGUGCGAGGACAACGUAUAAGGUCGUCUCCAAUGGCGAUCGAGCCAUGGGGCCUCCCGUUUCCAGCUAUCAUCACCAGCUCUGGAUCAAUAGGCCCUGGCUCGGGUUAAAGUCCUCCCCUUUCCUCGCCUUCCCGUGAUCUAUGUACUUCACAAGCUUGUGGUGGGAGGAGAUGUUGGUGAAGUUUUCAGGAUGAUCGAGGUCAGACUCACAGAAUUCCUUGACCUUCUUGUACGAGGCAGUAUGGGCCAUCGCAUAGAGGUCGUACAUAUGUGGCACCUCCGUCUUAUUGUGACGCGCCUAAAAGAGAGAGAGAGAGGAAAAAUGUAUUAGUAAAGGGCUCAAGCUAGCAUUAAGAAUGAAUUGCAUGAGUCAUGAAGCAAACCACAUACCCAGUUCUGACCAAACCCAUUUAAGUUGACGCUCCCUUGAUGGUGUGGCACACCAACCAUUUUGCCACGCCUCUCCUUGGCAUUGUUGUGGCUGGCCUCCCACUUUUCGGAGCACCACUGAUCCACCAAGGCCUCCGAACAAUCCAUCUUAUCCACACACCAUCUCAGGGGCACCUAAGUUAAUAAAUAGAAAUUUGAGCGCUACGUGUAAGAAUCAAAUCAAGGAAACUAACUACAAGGCCUUAAUAAUAUGUAAUUACCAUCAUGUAAUGCUCCUUCUCAAUCUUAGAAUCGCGACACUUCGCCUUAUCCUUCCUAAUAUGUCGCGAGGAGUAGUAGUCUCGAACAACCUGCACCCGAACCUCGUGCCGAAAGUUUUGAAGUAGGCGGCGGCAUUCGGUUUCGACAACCUUUGCCGCGUCCUCCUCGUAUCCCUCCUCACACCUGUAGAAGGUCUACAAACGAGACAACACUGAUUAGUACAAUAACUAUCUAUUGUUGAUUUUAAUUGUGUAAAGGAGAAAUUACCCAGAACUGUCUGAUCACCAUGUCGACCCUCGUGUGGCACAAAACACCGUCGAUCUCCACCUCCGACGGGGCCGGGGCACCCAAGUAGUGCUCCCAGAUCAUUCCUACCUCUCGACCCCGACCAGGCAACGUAACAAACCCCGGGAAGUUUUGCCAGCAAAGAACACCAAGGACGCUCUUGGGCUUGCGGACACCCUUGGCAACAAUCCAACCCAUGCAAUAUGACAAAUUAAAAAACAAACAUUAGAUAUUUGAGAAAACGUGAAGGCAAAAGGUUAAAUAAGAGUAAAUUAACUUACUUGUCCCCAUUUGGCUUAAUCGACCACCUCUGCUCGCGGGUCGCCGGCACAAGCGGGAGCCCCAUACUACCAUGCUGGUAGACGGUGCCCCCCUCACCCACCUCCCCGUCGCUCUUAGCAUGGCCACUUGGCUCCGACUGACAUAGAUCAGUCCAGGUAUCCCACUGGGUCUCUUGGGACGUACCCUCAUCCCUACUUUGAUCCAGAGUCUCUUUGAACGAAUCCUCUAGGACACGGGUCUCAUGGGUCGAAGGCUCGUCGACCUGAGGCUCCUGAACCGGAGACCGUGUAGCCUCCACCUCAGACGGGUCCACCCUAGCAGUCAUGUGCUCAGGUGAAUAAGCUUGGGGUGGUGGCGAGGAAGGCGUGGCAGCCACCCUACCUCUCCCGCGGCCACGUGUACCUUUGGUAGCUCUCGGCUUCAUGAGGGCCGCGAGAGUCGAAGAAGCGGCCACUCCAUGCAAAGUAGAGAGAAACAUUGUUCGGAGAGGCGAUGUAGGAAUGGAAGUACCCAUCCCACCACCCGCCGACGAAGAAGGAGCCGUGGAGUGCUUUCGACCCUUUCCCACCAUCUUUCAACACGUGCCAUGACAAAGAGUAAAUGAAAUUUGUACAACAUAAAUACCAACAUGAGCAAUAAAAUGUAUAUAAUUUAAGAGUAUCAUCAUCAUAAAUACCAAGAUCACGAAUAAAAAUUGAAUACCUAACAUGAACUAAAAAUUUAUAUAUGUAUAUAAUAAUAGUUGACUACUUGACAUGAACUAAUAACAAUCUUGAUCGACUAUAUAUGCUUCGUGGUCAAUAAAUGCAUCAUGAUCACCACUAUCAUCAAUAAAUGCAGCAUCAUCAUCACUAUCAGGAAGAACAUGUGGAAGGCCUCCAUUAUGUAAUCGGUCAAGAAGUGAUAGGUCAUCCGCAGCAGUAACCUCUUCUUCUUCCGGCUCUUCCUGUUCCGUCUCAGGGGUUAAGACGGAUUCACUAUCGCUGUCUACUCCAAUGUUCUAGGGUGAAGUAGAGCGGUUCUUGAAACGUUUUUUGGACAUACGCGUUUCUUGGAAAAAUUCUCUUUCAUAUGUGUCUGGGUUAAUGUGAGGUUCGUAAUCCUCUUCAUUGAGGGUAGGUGGUCUAAAACGUGGCGACACUUCAUAAACGACAUCCCAACCUUUCAAAUUUGGAUCAGUUUGGCAGGCCCACGGUAGAUAGAAAACUUGUGUCGCCUGUUGAGUCAUAAUAUAGACAUCAGGAACAUCUAAAUGGGUGUUUUGGUUGAUUUAGACUAGUCCUAUAUGUUCAUGAGUCCUUCUAGUCUCCCUCGGCUCAUACCAAUAACAUUUGAAGACUAAGACGGUCGAUGGGUUUUCACCAUAGAAUAGAAGUUCAUAAAUUGCUUCAACUCUUCCAUAAUACUCGGUACCUCCUUCGCCGAUAGAAGAGACAGAACAAUUUGUAGUCUUUAGGUCGGUCAUAGAUAGCUCUUUGCCAAAGGUACAAAAGUGAUACCCGUUGAUGUUGUAUUUGUCAAAUGAAUGGACCUUAUAGUCAAAACCAUUAGCGACUUGUCUCAACUCGGCAUCCAUAGACUCUGCAUCAGCCUACAAGUUUAAUACGGAAGAAUGGAUGCAUUAGCCGCAAAUUAGACCAAGAAAUCAAGUGGCCCAUUAAUGGUAAUUAAUUACCCUUUGUUUGAACCAAGAGAUGAAACCAGGAUAGUCGCCUCCAUGCAUUGCCAGAAGCUCAUACUCUUCGACGGAAUCCUUUUCGAUGACCGCUCCAUCCAAGAAUUCGGCGAUGUAUCGACUAUAUCAAAUAUCUAGGAAUAAGAGCAGUUCAAAGGAAUUAGAAGUUGCGGAACAAUAAUUUACCGAGAAUUUACUCGAUGUACGGCCGCACUUCUGUUAGUUUGUUAAAGAUAUACAAUGAAAUGGUCCGCCAUUCUUCGACAUCCAAUGAUUUCCCUUUUGAAGCACCAACUGGUGCGAUCUUCCCUUUGAAAAGGCUGAGGUUGGAUCGACCUUUUUUAGGAUCGCCAUGAUUGUACCGAGGCUUCGGGUUAUGCAAAUGAAGAUUUCUGGCUUCGUAGUGUGCUGUCAUGAAGUUUGUUUCCUACUUAGUAAUGAAUGCCUCGGCCAUCGAUGCUUAAAUUCUACGUUUAUUUUUACAUUUAGCUCGAAACAUCUUCUGCAUCCUCUCAGUUGAGAAGCACCAUCGAUUUUGAACGCCCCCCCAAUCUUGCCUUGGUCGGGAGAUGCAAAAUCAAAUGCUGCAUUGGAUUAAAGAAGCUCGGUGGAAAGAUCCUUUCUAAUUUGCAGAUCAACUCUGCCGCCAACCCUUCCAUUUCAUCUAGCACGCCAGGCGAUAGUUCUUUCACACAAAGAGAAGAGAAGAAAUAGCUCAGCUCUGCCUGUACUAGCCAUUCAUCCUCAGGGAUAAAGGCAUGCAACAUCACCGGGAUUACCCGCUCAAUCCAUAUGUCCCAAUCAUGACUCUUGAGACCAAAUAUUUUCAAUUUCUCAAGGCUCGCUCCCCUCUUUAGAUUCACAGCAUACCCAUCGGGGAACAUCAACCGCAUUUUCACCCACAAUAGCAUUUCCCUCAUAGCUGGCCUUUCAAGAUUGAACCAUGCCUUUGGCUUCGCUACGCUUUGAUUUCCUUUCCGUUGUUGCAAGUUUUGUAACGGUCUAUCACAUAGAGCCUCCUGGUCGAUUCUAGCCUUAGGAUUAUCCUUUGACUUCCUCUCUAUGCCGAACAAUGUACCAAAAAUGGCCUCCGCAAUAUUCUUUUUAGUGUGCAUCAUGUUGAUGUUGUGUGGGAAAAUGAGGUCUUUGAAGGAAGGCAGUUCCCAUAAGCAUGACUUGUGAGUCCAAGCGUGUUCCGUAUUAUACCUUUUGAAAUACCGUGGACGCAAAGGAUCAGGCUCGAGAGCGUUUAACUGAUCAAGGGUCUGUUGGUCUGUCAACGCAGCUGGUGCAGUGUUUUUGACAACUCUACCUUUGAUGAAAUUCUUCUUGUCUUUUCUGAACUUAUGGUCAGGAUCCAGGUACUGUAUAUGCAUGUCGUAGCAAGAAAACUUGCGACCUACCUGCAUCCAACGAAACUGAAGAGCUGCCUUGCAUGUGGUGCACGGGACACUUCCAUGCACAAACCAGCCAACGAAUAUUGCAUACGCCGGAUAGUCAUGCGUCGAGUACAUGUACCACACAAGCAUUUUGAAGUUUUUUUCGUAGCGGCAUCGUAUGUGUUGAUCCCAUUAUCCCAGGCUUCUUGCAAUUCAUCCUUAAGCGAGUGCAUGUACACAUUCAUAUUCUUCCCAAGAUAGUUGGGCUGUGGAAUUAUCAACGCCAGGAAAAUGUUUUUUCUUUUCAUAAUAUCUCCGGGGGGAGAUUGAGUGGAAUGACAAAUACAAGCCAACAACUGUAAUGUGCUGCCGUCAUACCAUACACAUUGAACCCAUCCGUGCUGAUGGCAACCCGAGAAUGCCUUGGAUCUGCCGAUUUAUCCUUAUGUAAUGCAUCAAAGUGCUUCCACGCAAAAGCAUCUGAAGUGUGUACCAACAACUUGUCCCAUCCGCAUCUAGUUCGGUUCUCUUGCCCAAUUUGUGCCAUGUCAUAUGUCUGGCCGUCUCUUCGACCAUGAAAAGACGUUGAAGUCUUGGUACGAUUGGCAGAUAUUGAAGAACAUUAAUGGGGAUUUUGGUUUGAAUCUUCUCACCCAUACGUUGUCUACCACAAUAUACCUAGAAGAAUUGCAAAUGGGGCAAUAGUUCAAGGCCGCAUACUCAAGCCUAAAUAAGGCACAUCCAUUCUCACACGCAUGUAUCUUCUCAUAGGGCAUCUUAAGUACACGAAGGAUUUUCUCUGGCUUGUAUAGGUUUGCAGGCACUACAUGGCCUAUGGGUAGAAAGCGUCCAAAUAUCGUCAUCAUCGCGUUGUAGCAUUCUCUGCCUAGGUUGAAUUGAGCCUUCAGAGCCAUUACUUGCGCGAUGGCAUCCAACUGACAAAGCUCAGUGUGCUCAUGGAGAGGAUGUUUUGAAGACUCCAACAUUUCAUAGAAGGCCUUUGCAGAUUCUUCCAUCUCAUCGUCCAAAUCCCGAGCAUUAUCAAAGUCUUGCACCAUGUCUUCGAUCCCGGUACCAUGCUCGUCGGUGCGACGACGAACCAUCUCAGCUCUGGCACGUUGGUCAGACUCACCAUGAAAUGUCCACACCGUAUAAUUAGGCGUAGAAAUCCACUUCUGCACGUGUUUACCCAUUUCAAACUCUGUCUGCUUUUUCCAGUUGUCGCAGUUGGGACAGGGGCACCAUGUUUUUUGAUGGCCAUUUGCAAAUGCGGCUCUCACAAACCCCCUGGUUUUUGUUAACCAUUCAAUGGUCAUGUCUUUCUGACUAGGGUGACGAGUGUACAUACAAGCACGAUCACUCAUCUUGUCUAGCUACCUAUGGGAACACAAGAAAUAUAUAUAUAAUUCAUCAUCUAUAUUCAUCCGCUAAUAAAGUUUGUCAGUUUUAUUACGUCCAUGCAACCUACAAGCUAAUAGGUAAAGAUAGGUCCUAAUCCCACCCGAGUAUGUGUAGAUUGGGUUCAUUUUCCCAUGCUCUGCUCCGGAUCCAACGCAAAAUUUCGACAACACCUCCCCGUUGUUCUCCUGAUACACGUCUCGGCAAUAAACAGAGAGGAUGUGUAACCAGAGAACAACAGGGAGGCACUGAUGAAAUUAUGCAUCGGAUCCGGAACAAAGCAUAUGGGAAAAUGAACCCAAUCUACACAUACUCGGGCUGUCCAUGGAUACCGUUGGACAAUUCGGAAGAAUCAUGGUUAUAAAUAUAUGCAAAUGCAUGCAUAUUUAUAACUGUAACCCUUUCGAACAAGAGAUGCAUACUGGUCAUGCAUACUGAUAUAUUAAUUUACCUAUAUCUAGCAAGUUUCAUCCGAACACCGACUAGAGAUGUCAUUUGUACUCACCCAUGAAUGCAGGGGCGGAGCUCGUCGAAUGCACGGGGAUGUCUUCGAACAACAGAUCUCGCAGCGACGAGACAACUACACAUAUAAAUCCACCCGAUCAACACAAAUAUUAGAUUGGAAAACCCUUCAAACCUCGGCAUGAGUACAAUUAGCUAAGUUAUGAGGUAACCAAGGUUCUUGUGAUUUUGUUACCUAACUAAGCUAAUUAUGUCAUUCUAGAUCUAAACUAGCUAAUUAUGUCAUUUUGGAGGAUAAUUUGCUAAGAUGUCAUUUUGGAGCUAAAUUAGCUAAGUUAUGAGCUAACCAAGGUUAUUGUGAUGUUUUUACCUAACUAAGCUAAUUAUGUCAUUCUGGAGCUAAACUAGCUAAUUAUGUUAUUUUGGAGGAUAAUUAGCUAAGUAUGUCUCUCAUUCCAUUAUUAUUUUCUUCUUUUUUCUUCUUCUCCUUUUUUCUUCUAAAUGUUUCUUUUCUCUUUCUCCUCCUCUCCUCUUUCUCCUUGUUCUUCUUCUCCUUCUUCUUCUUCUUCUUUCUUCUAGUUUUUUUCUUCUCUUAUUUUCUUCUAAGUUUUUUAUUUUCUAUCUAUUAUUUUCUUUUCUAUCUACUUUUUUCUACCUAAUAAACUAACUAUCUAAUUUAACAAAAAAAACAGAAAAAACUAACUAUCUAAUUUAAAAGAAAAAAACAGAAAAUAAACUAACUAUCUAAUUUAACAAAAAAAAUUAGGAAGUAAACUAAAUAUCUAAUUUAAAAGAAAAAAAGGGGUGGGGGCACUCACCGAAGUUGGGGACGGCCGGGGCGGCCAAAGGAGGGGGGAGGGACGAGGAGGGGCGGCGCCGGGAGCCAGUGAGGGGAGGGGGCGGCGCCGGGGGCGAGGUGUCCGCUGGGGAGGGGUGGCACAGGGUGCGGUGGCCGCUAGGGAGGGGGAGCCGUGGGGAGGGGGCGACGCUAUGUGCACGCGAGGAGAGGGGGCAGUGCAGGAGUGGCCGUUGGGGAGAGGGCAACGCCGGGGGCGGUGGAGGGGUGGACGGCCGCGGGGUGGGGCUGGAUCCAAGCGCGUGGGUGGAGAGAGAGAGAGGUGGGGGGGGCGGCCGUUAUAGGCACGUCCCCUUUGUCGUCUGCCCCCGCAUGGCAAAGAGACCCACGACAGACGGCAAAGGCGAGGCAGACGGCAAAGAGCCCGUCCGUUGGACCUGGCCAGGCCCAAGGUCCAUUGGGACCCAUCUUGCCUCUUUGCUGUCUGCCCUGGGUCUCUUUGCCGUCCACUGGCAGACGACAAAGUCUGGCUAAUGGCAAAUAGUCUGUUUGCCAUCAGUCAACACUUUACCGACUGCUUUAGGUCAGCUCACGGCAAAGAGCAUCUUUGCCAUCAACCAACAAACGACAAAGAACUUGUUGAUGGCAAAUUACUGGAUUCCUCCAGUAGUGGGAGGGCAGCCGCAGCACUCACGAGUUAAGCCUGCAGCCCCUCCACCUCCUCCUGAAGCUCGCCUAAUUUGAGCUUCUUGGCCGAGGGCGCUCGGAAGUAAAGGAAAUAUCAACCAACAAGCAACAGAUGAGGCAACAAUGAAAGGAGAUGAAGACGAGGGACUUACUCAUCGACCAGGGCCCAGCGGUGGCAGACGCACGAGGGCCCCGAGGGCCCUCCGCCGCUGCUUCCGGAGGUGGAUGGGGUCGCAGAUGCAGUCGCGCGCUUUCCCCUGCCGGGUCCGCCUCCCAGAGACGCCAUGGAAGAGAGGGAAAUGGAGAGGAAGGAGAUUUUCUCGAUGGAGCGAAGGGAAGGAGAGAAGGAGAUCAAGAUUGAAGUGCCUCCCCCUUGACAGGGGUGGGGCAUAUUUAUAGGCGAACCACGACCACCAACCGUCGUGGGAGCGCGAGCGUCGCGGGUCCCACGUGAGUUGCAAGGUGGGCCAACGGGAGCGCUGCCACCCACGUUGUUUCACGUGUCCGCCGAGCGGUCACGUCUGCGAGGGCCGUUGGGCGUGGUCAGGCUGCACCAACGCCAUUCAAUGGGAACAAUGAUGGCCUACGUGGUUCUCGAAGAUCGUGCCAUCGUGGCCUGGUGCACCCGGACACCUUGAGGAGCGAAAGCAUCGCCACACAACAGCUGGACAUGUGUUCCGCUUGGCCCGCAGGCUACUAGGGCCCGUGACGCUUCGAGCCGCCCUCAAGGCUUCGCCGAGAAGCCAACCCACGCACGCAUUGGGCCCGAGGGGCACCGUCGGCGUUCUGGGAAUGGGGUUACCCAGACCUGCCUUCUUGCGGCCUAGGGCUGGCCCACCUCAUCAAGCAAGCCGACGGGCCCGGCAUCACUCAAGGCAAGGCCAUCGUGAGGGGAAAAGCCUCAUGAGGAGGAAUGGCAUCAAAACCCAUAGGGGGCCUCCUCAGGACCCCUCUGGAGUGGCGGAUAUUCCGAGGCAAGGCCCGUCCUCAGGAGGCAAGGAUGACGCAAGGGAAGGACAUGCGAGCAACACACAUCAGGGUGGCGUAGUUUCCACUUUAGUGCAAAGGAGGCAAGGACAUACUGGGGUUCCCAAGGCAUCUUCCAAAAGUUUCCAUUCUGGUGCAACAAGAUCAUGGCCGCCCGCCAGCACGACGGACAUCACCCCUGAACCCGCCCCUGCAGUGCUGACAGUCACUUUGCAGUCGAAGACCACUUUUGGACAGGGGAAGCAUGUUCCCUUGCCCCCUUCAAAAUUGGCCGUUGUGGGAUCCCUUGCCGCUGGAACGAUAAGGGAAGAGGACCCGGACCACCACUAUAUAUAGAGGAUAGGUUGCUUCGUAGAGAGGGACCCCGAUUCACGAGUUCAUCCACUAGCUCCGCACAAAGUCAUGAAGCCUCUAGAGGCCCUCAAGAACACUGUACUACUUCAUCCACCCACCUCCAAGAGAGGCAAUCCACCAAAGCAGGAGUCGGGUUUUACGCUUCGGAGUGGCCCGAACCUGGGUAAACUGCCGUGUUCUGUGUCUUCCUCACCAUCGAGUGAGUUUUCUAUGCCGUCCAUCGAGUAGCGAGCUAGGUGAGGUAGAGCCGAGAGAGAUCUUCGUACACGCCCUUGUGUUCAAACCUUGAGGGUUUUGGGGAGCCCAAAAUCCGACAGAUCCGUUGCCCGUCAUUGAUGGAGAAGCUCGAAGAUCGUCGUAGGUGAGUUUGGGUGGCGGAUUGAAGUGAAGGGGAGUGAAGUAAAGUGGCUAGGGUUUGGUUCGGCGAGCGGAUGGGGACGGAUAUAUGUGAAUGAAUGACAACACGGGCCAGGUCGACGUGGGAGGCGUGCGCGGACACACACGGGCUCCCUCAUCUCCGCCCCAUAUUUGGUCUCGAUAUGAGAGGUACCGGUUAGUCCGGGCAUUUGAGCCUCAUUUGAAAUGCCGGAUCGGGUCAAAAUUUCAUGACUCAUCAGUGACCGUAUGACCUUCUCCAAUGUUUAAGACGGGCAUGAGAUGUAGAUGCUUUUACAUCGGUUUCCUCCGCUGGAGAAAUUUUCCAUAUUCCUAGUUAUGUAUUUACUUACGAUGAUGAAGAAUAAAACUAUAGCUAUAUUUUUUCCUUUGCCUAAUUAUGUUUCCAAGCGUAGGAUAACCUCAAGGGGUUGUGGUUUUUUUCUAUCAGUGGGAGCUUUUUUUUGCGGGAGAAAAUUUGCAUUACUCAAGUGAAGUAGUUCAUACAAUCAACCGUAGCUAGCUCCAUAGCUACUGAAGGACCCUAGCAAAACCAAGUCAUGGUUCAGCCUUCUAAACGACCAAACUUGGCUAUACUAUCACUAACUUUAUUUCGACUAUGGUUUACAUGAGUAAUAAAAGAAUCACGAAGAGACAUAUGGUAUCUAAGCUCCAUUAUAAGCGACGAGUAGACCGAUCUAUCGACCUCUUUGGCCUGGAUCAACUUCACUACAACAGUUGAAUCCAUCUCUAUCUCAACUGGCAGGUCACUUAUCUGUAUUGCAAAGGACAUUCCUUCCAUACAUGCAUUCAACUCCGCUUUGAGAGAAUCCCGACAUGAAAAUAGUUGAAUACAUGAGGAAAAUAUGAUUGCACCUUUGUGAUCUCUAAGUACCAUACGAGCACCUGUUGAACCGACGUCUGCAUAAGAUCCAUCCGUGGACAACUUGACCCAUCUAGAGUUGGGGGCGCUUCACUUAGGACCAAGUCCUAUUGUCGCAUGUGGCAAGCCAGAAGUCUUAUCAUAUGAAAUAGUCGAUCCUCCUUUAAUUGUAACAGAGGAUAGAUCCACCUUAAUGCCAAUAACUGAAUAAAGAUAGCUCACCAAGAAACGUUUAGAAACCUCCAUGGACGGUAGGAGUUCGUGACGAACCACCUCAUUACGGAUGUGCCAAGCCCGCCAAAGCAUCAUAAGCAACAUUGAACGCUCAAUGUCACGAAGAGGCUCCAGAGCAUGUAGCAACCAUUCUUGCCAUUGUUUUGCAUGGUCUCCAUACAAGGCAGCGACCAAACUUUUGUCAUUACGUCCGAUAGAAUACUUGACAAAGUACAUCAACAAAGUGCAUGAAAGCAGUCCUCAAACUCAAUUCCACAUACUGGGAUAGAUCAUUAAUUUCAAGGCCCCUAAUAUGUUCGUUUCUCCAAGUCGGUACAGAGUAUGUAGCCACGCGCCAAGCGAAGUUCCUAACACUUGGGGGGUACAUCAGAGGACCAAAUGAAUUGCCAACAAGAGCGUCGACCAUCAAGACGUAAACUGGAGCCAGUAGAUGUGAUCCUAUGCUCCUCUUCAAAGUCAAAGUGACAAGCACUUUUAACCAAGAAAACAUCAUACUUUCCUAGACCCCAUGCCAAUGUAUCCUCUCCUAGUCACGGUGACGCACGUAUUUUCAGAAUCUCCACAAAAUCCGGGGAUAGGAAAAAUUGUUGUAGCAGUGCUAGGUUCCAGGAGCCAUUCUCAUUCAGCAGGUCCGAGACAAAUCAAAUUCUACACGUAUCUUGUACUGUUAUAGGUUUAUAAGAGAAGGGUCGUGGGCGGCACGGUGCUAUCACUGGGAGCUUUCCUUUCACCGUCGUCAUGAGGAUGGUCCACACGGUUCAUAACUAUCCUUUUUUACUACGAGACGUUUACCUAGCCAACACUUAGAUCCGGCUCUAUCCAAACUUUUUUGAUUCACCCAAACAUUAUCCACUUGUCCGACUAUUGCUAAGUAAUUUUAGGAUACUAAACGGACCCCGUCAUAUGGUAACCGUAGAGUGGCCGAUUGACCCUUUUUUGCAGGGUUUGAUUUCCUUGAUGAUAGCACCAUGCCGUCCACCUGUGCUCUCAGAAAUACCGAUUAUCAAAUGUUGAAUGCAAACACUGUUGGGUAACGUAGCAUAAAUUCAAAUUUUUUCCUACGCAUAUUCAGAUCUUCCUAUGGAGAGACCAGCAACGAGAGAGGGGUGAGUGCAUCGUCAUGCCUUUGAAGAUCGCUAAGCGUAAGCGUUACUAGAACGUGGUUGAUGGAGUCGUACUCGCGGCGAUUCAGAUCGCGGUGUGAUUCUGAUCUAGUGCCGAACUACGGCACCUCCGCGUUCAACACACGUGCAGCCCGGUGACGUCUCUCGCACCUUGAUCCAGCAAGGAGGAGGGAGAGGUUGGGGAAGAACUCCAGCAGCACGACAACGUGGUGUCGAUGGAGAGACGAGGUCUCCCGACAGGGCUUCGCCAAGCACCGGCAGAGAGGAGGAGAAAGAAGGGCAGGGCUGCGCCGAGGGAGAGGGAAAAGUCUGUCUCUCAAUGGCCAAAAACCCCUCUCUAUUUAUAGGAGGGGGAGGGCUGCGCCACCCCUAGGGUUCCCACCCUAGGGGCCGCCGGCCACUAGAUGGGAGAGGGGGUGGCGGCCAGGGCAGGGAAAGGGGGGGGUGCCCUAGGUGGGCCUUGGGCCUCCCCUGCGCCUAGGGUUCCCCCUCCCUUCCUCUCUGGUGCGCAUGGGCUGGGUGUGGGGGGUGCACCAGCCCACCUAGGGGCUGGUUCCCUCCCAAACUUGGCCCAUGUAGCCCUCCGGGGCUUGUGGCCCCUCCCGGUGGGCCUCCGGAACCCUUCCGGUGGUCCCGGCACUUUGCCGGUGGUGCCCGAAACAUUUCCGGCGUCCAAACCCAUCCAUCCUAUAUAUCAAUCUUUACCUCCGGACCAUUCGGGAGCUCCUCGUGACGUCCGGGAUCUCAUCUGAGACUCCGAACAUCCUUCGGUAACCUCGUAUAACAAUUCCCUAUAACCCUAGCAUCAUCGAACCUUAAGUGUGUAGACCCUAUGGGUUCGGGAGACAGGCAGACAUGACCGAGACACCUCUCCGGCCAAUAACCAUCAGCGGGGUCUGGAUACCCAUGGUGGCUCCCACUUGCUCCACGAUGAUCUCAUCGGAUGAAUCACGAUGUCAAGGAUUCAAUCAAUCCCGUAUACAAUUCCCUUUGUGUGUCGGUACAGAACUUGCCCGAGAUUCGAUCGUCGGUAUUCCUAUACCUUGUUCAAUCACGUUACCGGUAAGUCUCUUUACUCGUUCCGUAGUACGUCAUCGUGUGACUAACUCCUUAGUCACAUUGAGCUCAUGAUGAUGUUCUACCGAGUGGGACCAGAGAUACCUCUCCAUCACGCGGAGUGACAAAUCCCGAUCUCGAUUCGUACCAACCCAAGAGACACUUUCAGAGGUACCCGUAAUGCACCUUUAUAGUCACCCAGUUACGUUGUGACGUUUGAUACACCCAAAGCACUCCUACGGUAUCCGGGAGUUGCACAAUCUCACGGUCGAAGGAAAAUAAACUUGACAUUAGAAAAGCUUUAGCAUACGAACAAUACGAUCUAGUGCUAUGCUUAGGAUUGGGUCUUGUCCAUCACAUCAUUCUCCCAAUGAUGUGAUCCCGUUAUCAAUGACAUAUAAUGCCCAUGACCAGGAAACCAUGAUCAUCCCUUCACUAACGAGAUAGCCAACUAGAGGCUUGCUAGGGACACAUUGUGAUCUAUUUAUUCACACAUGUAUUACUGUUUCCUGUUAAUACAAUUAUAGCAUGAACAAUAGACGAUUAUCAUGAACAAGGAAAUAUGAUAAUAACCAUUUUAUUAUUGCCUCUAGGGCAUAUUUCCAACAGUCUCCCACUUGCACUAGAGUCAAUAAUCCAUUUACAUUGUGAUGUAUCGAACACCCAUAGCAUUAUGGUGUUGAUCAUGUUUUGAUCAUGGAAGAGGUUUAGUCAACGGGUCUGCAACAUUCAGAUCCAUAUGUACUUUACAAAUAUCUAUCACUCCACUCUGGACAUGGUCCUGGAUGGAUUUGUAGCGGCGUUUGAUGUGCUUCGUCUUUCGGUGAAACCUGGGCUCCUUGGCUAUGUCAAUGGCCCAAGUGUUAUCAUAGAAGAGUGUCAUUGGACCCGACGCGCUUGGAACCACUCCAAGGUCGGUGAUGAGCUCCUUCAUCCAAAUUCCUUCAUGAGCCGCUUCUGAAGCAGCUAUGUACUCCGCUUCACAUGUAGAUGCUGCCACGACUUCUUGCUUGCUGCUGCACCAGCUCACUGCCCCACCAUUCAAAACAUAUACGUAUCCGGUCUGUGACUUAGAGUCAUCUAGAUCUGUGUCAAAGCUGGCAUCGGCGUAACCCUUUACGACGAGCUCUUCGUCACCUCCAUAAACGAGAAACAUUUCCUUAGUCCUUUUCAGGUACUUAAGGAUAUUCUUGACCGCUGUCUAGUGUUCCAUACCGGGAUCACUUUGGUACCUCCCUACCAAACUUAUGGCAAGGUUUAUAUCAGAUCUGGUACACAACAUGGCAUACAUUAGAGAGCCUACGGCUGAAGCGUAGGGGACAUUACUCAUCUUCUCUCUAUCUGCUGCCGUGGUCGGUAAUUGAGUCUUACUCAAUCUCAUACCUUGCAAAACUGGCAAGAACCCUUUCUUUGAGUUUUCCAUAUUAAACUUCUUCAAUAUCUUGUCAAGGUAUGUACUUUGCGAAAGACCUAUGAGGCGUCUCGAUCUAUCUCUAUAGAUCUUGAUGCCUAAUAUGAUGCAGCUUCUCCAAGGUCCUUCAUUGAAAAACUCUUGUUCAAAUAGGCCUUUAUGCUCUGCAACAUUUCUGUAUUGUUCCCCAUCAAUAAUAUGUCAUCCACAUACAGUAUGAGGAAAGCUACAGAGCUCCCACUCACUUUCUUGUACAGACAGGCUUCUUCGUAAACCUGUAUGAACCCAAACGCUUUAAUCACUUCAUUAAAGUGAAUGUUCCAACUCCGAGAUGCUGGCACCAGCCCAUAGAUGGAGCGCUGGAGCUUGCACACUUUGUUAGCACCCUUAGGGUCGACAAAACCUUCUGGUUGCAUCAUAUACAACUCUUCCAUAAGGUUCCCGUUAAGGAACGUUGUUUUGACGUCCAUUUGCCAAAUUUCAUAAUCAUAAAAGGCGGCAAUCGCUAACAUGAUUCGGACUGAUUUCAGCUUCGCUACGGGAGAGAAAGUCUCUUCGUAGUCAACUCCUUGAAUUUGUCGAAAACCCUUUGCGACAAGUUGGGCUUUAUAAACGGUUACAUUACCGUUUGCAUCAGUCUUCUUCUUGAAGUUCCAUUUAUUUUCUAUGGCUCGCCUGUCAUCGGGCAAGUCCACCAAAGUCCAUACUUUGUUCUCAUACAUGGAUCCUAUCUCGUAUUUCAUAGCUUCAAGCCAUUUGUUGGAAUUCGGGCCCGCCAUCGCUUCUUCAUAGUUCGAAGGUUCACCGUUGUCUAACAACAUGAUUUCCAUCACAGGGUUGCCGUACCACUCUGGUGCGGAGCGUGCCCUCGUGGACCUUCGCGGUUCAGUAGUAACUUGAUCCGAAGCUUCAUGAUCAUUAUCAUUAACUUCCUCUUCAGUUGGUGUAGGCGCCACAGGAACAACUUCCCGCGCUCCGCUACUAUCCUGUUCGAGAGGGGGUGUAAUUGCCUCAUCAAGUUCUACCUUCCUCCCACUUACUUCUUUCGAGAGAAACUCUUUCUCUAGAAAGGAUCCAUUCUUAGCAACAAAGGUUUACCUUCGGAUCUAAGAUAGAAGGUAUACCCAAUAGUUUCCUUAGGGUAUCCUAGGAAUACGCAUUUCUCCGCUUUGGGUUCGAGAUUUUAUGGUUGAAGUUUCUUCACAUAAGCAUCGCAGCCCCAAACUUUAAGAAACGACAACUUAGGUUUCUUGCCAAACCAUAGUUCAUACGGUGCCGUCUCAACGGAUUUAGACGGUGCCCUAUUUAAAGUGAAUGCUGCAGUUUCUAAUGCGUAUCCCCAAAAUGAUAGCGGUAAGUCGGUAAGAGACAUCAUAGAUCGUACCAUAUCUAAUAAAGUGCGAUUACGACGUUCAGACACUCCGUUGCGUUGUGGUGUGCUUGGCGGCGUCAGUUGUGAAAUGAUUCCACACUUCCUUAGGUGUGUGCCAAACUCGUGACUCAAAUGUUCUCCUCCACGAUCAGAUCGUAGACACUUAAUUUUUCUGUCACGUUGAUUCUCGACCUCACUCUGAAAUUCCUUGAACCUUUCAAAUGUGUCAGAUUUGUGCUUCAUCAAGUAGAUAUACCCAUACCUACUCAAAUCAUCGGUGAGAGUGAGAACAUAAUGAUAGCCACCGCGAGCUUCAACGUUCAUUGGACCACACACAUCAGUAUGUAUUAUUUCCAAUAAGUCAGUUGCUCUCUCCAUUAUUCCUAAGAAUGGAGUGUUAGUCAUCGUGCCCAUGAGGCACGGUUCGCAUGCAUCAAAUGAUUCAAAGUCAAUAGACUCUAAUAGUCCAUCAGUAUGGAGCUUCUUCAUGCGCUUAACGCCGAUAUGACCAAGGCGGCAGUGCCACAAGUAUGUGGGACUAUCAUUAUCAACUUUACAUCUUUUGGUACUCACACUAUGAAUAUGCGUAACAUCACGAUCGAGAUUCGUCAAGAAUAAACCAUUCACCAGCGGAGCAUGACCAUAAAACAUAUCACUCAUAUAAAUAGAACAACCAUUAUUCUCUGACUUAAAUGAGUAGCCGUCUCGCAUUAAGAAAGACCCUGAUACAAUGUUCAUGCUUAAAGCUGGUACUAAAUAACAAUUAUUAAGGUUUAAAACUAAUCCCGAUGGUAGAUGUAGAGGUAACGUGCCGACGGCGAUCACAUCGACCUUGGAGCCAUUCCCGACGCACAUCGUUGCCUCGUCCUUUGCCAGUCUCCGCUUAUUCCGCAGUUCCUCCUUUGAGUUGCAAAUGUGAGCAAGAACACCGGUAUCAAAUACCCAGGAGCUACUACGAGCGCUGGUAAGGUACACAUCAAUAACAUGUAUAUCACAUAUACCUUUAACGUUGCCGGCCUUCUUGUCCGCUAAGUAUUUGGGGCAGUUCCGCUUCGAGUGACCCUUUCCCUUGCAAUAGAAGCACUCAGUCUCAGGCUUGGGUCCAUUCUUUUUCUUCUUCCCGGCAUCUGGCUUACCGGGCGCGGCAACGGCUUUGCCGUCUUUCUUGAAGUUCUUCUUACCCUUGCCCUUCUCGAAACUAGUGGUCUUGUUGACCCUCAACACUUGAUGCUCUUUCUUGAUUUCUACUUCUGCAGACUUGAGCAUCGAGUACAACUCGGGAAUGGUCUUCUCCAUCCCUUGCAUGUUGUAGUUCAUCACAAAACCUUUGUAGCUUGGUGGGAGAGACUGGAGGAUUCUGUCAAUUAUAGCAUCAUCCGGAAGUUCGACUCCAAGUGAAGUCAGACGAUCGUGUAACCCAGACAUUUUGAGUAUGUGCUCACUGACAAAACUGUUCUCCUCCAUCUUACAGCUAAAGAACUUGUCGGAGACUUCAUAUCUCUCGACACGGGCAUGAGCUUGAAAAACUAGCUUCAGCUCUGGGAACAUCUCUUAUGCACCGUGUUGCUCAAAACGCCUUUGGAGCCCCGUUUCUAAACUGUAUAACAUGCCACACCUAACCAGAGAGUAGUCAUCACUCCGCGUUUGCAAGACGUUCAGAAUGUCCUGGGCUACUGCGGGAGCGGGAGGGUCACCUAGCGGUGCAUCAAGGACAUAAGCCUUUUUAGCUGCUUCAAGGAUGAGCUUCAAGUUGCGAACCUAGUCCGCAUAGUUGCUACCAUCAUCUUUCAGCUUGUUUUUCUCUAGGAAUGCGUUGAAAUUGAGGUUGACGUUGGCCAUCUACAAUAUUUAUAAAGACAACUUUUAGACUAAGUUCAGGACAAUUAAGUUCAUUUAAUCAAAUUAAGUAUGAACUCCCACUUAAAUCGAGAUCCCUCUAGUCAUCUAAGUUAUACAUGAUCCAUGUUGACUAACCCGUGUCCGAUCAUCACGUGAGACAGACUAGUCACCAUGGUGAGCAACUUCAUGGUGAUCGUAUUCAACCAUACGACUCAUGUUCGACCUUUUGGUCUCUUGUAUUCGAGGUCAUGUCUGUACAUGCUAAGCUCGUUGAGUCAACCUAGGUGUUUCGCGUGUGUAAAUCUCGCUUACACCCGUUGUAUGCGAAUGUUAGAAUCUAUCACACCCGAUCAUCACGUGGUGCUUCGAGACAACGAUCCUUCGCAACGGUGCACACCUAGGGGAAUAUGUUCUCGAAAUUUUAAGAGGGAUCAUCUUAUUAUGCUACCGUCGUUCUAAGCAAUAAGAUGAAAAACAUGAUAAACAUCACAAUGCAAUCAUAUAGUGACAUGAUAUGGCCAUUAUCAUCUUUGCUCUUUUGAUCUCCAUCUUCAGGCAUCGCAUGAUCAUCAUCGUCACCGGCGUGACACCAUGAUCUCCAUCAUCGUGUCUCCGUGAAGUCUUCAUGCCAACUACUACUAUCACUACUACUAUAGCUAACCGUUAGCAAUGAAGUAAAAGUAGUAAGCACAUGGCGUUGCAUCUCAUACAAUAAAUUAAGACAACUCCUAUGGCUCCUGCCGGUUGUCAUACUCAUCGACAUGCAAGUCGUGAAACCUAUUACAAUAACAUGAUCAUCUCAUACAUCAUACAUGCAACAUCACAACUUUGGCCAUAUCACAUCAGAGGUCAAACCCUGCAAAAACAAGUUAGACGUCCUCUAAUUGUUGUUGCAAGUUUUACGUGGCUGAUUUGGGUUUCUAGCAAGAACGCUUUCUUACCUACGUGACAGCCACAACGAUGAUAUGCCAAAGCUAUUUACCCUUCAUAAGGACCCUUUUCAUCAAAUCCAAUCCGACUAGAGUAGGAGAGAUAGACACCCGCUAGCCACCUUUAUGCACGGUGUGCAUGUCUGUCGGUGGAACCAGUCUCACGUAAGCGUACGUGUAAUGUCGGUCCGGGCCGCUUCAUCCCACAAUACCGCCGGAAAAGAAUAAGACUAGUAGCGGCAAGCAAUUGACAAAUCAUCGCCCACAACCUUUUGUGUUCUACUCGUGCAUAGAAUCUACGCAUAAAAAACCUGGCUCUGAUACCACUGUUGGGUAACGUAGCAUAAAUUCAAAAACUUUCCUACGCAUAUUUAGAUCUUCCUAUGGAGAGACCAGCAACGAGAGAGGGGUGAGUGCAUCUUCAUACCUUUGAAGAUCGCUAAGCGGAAGCGUUACUAGAACGCGGUUGAUGGAGUCGUACUCGCGGCGAUUCAGGUCGCGGUGUGAUUCCGAUCUAGUGCCGAACUACGAUACCUCCGCGUUCAACACACGUGCAGCCCGGUGACGUCUCCCGCACCUUGAUCCAGCAAGGAGGAGGGAGAGGUUGGGGAAGAACUCCAGCAGCACGACGACAUGAUGUCGAUGGAUAGACGAGGUCUCCCGGCAGGGCUUUGCCAAGCACCAGCAGAGAGGAGGAGAAAGAAGGGCAGGGCUGCGCCGAGGGAGAGGGAAAAGUCUGUCUCUCAAUGGCCAAAACCGCUCUCUAUUUAUAGGAGGAGGGGGAGGGCUCCGCCACCCCUAGGGUUCCCUCCCCAGGGGCCGAUGUAGCCAGCCCACCUAGGGGCUGGUUCCCUCCCACACUUGGCCCAUGUAGCCCUCCGGGGCUUGUGGCCCCUCUUGGUGGGCCUCCGGAACCCUUCCGGUGGUCCCGACACUUUGUCGGUGGUGCCCGAAACAUUUCCGGCGUCCAAACCCAUCCAUCCUAUAUAUCAAUCUUUACCUCCGGACCAUUCCAGAGCUCCUCGUGACAUCUGGGAUAUCAUCCGGGACUCCUAACAUCCUUUGGUAACCUCGUAUAACAAUUCCCUAUAACCCUAGCGUCAUCGAACCUUAAGUGUGUAGACCCUACGGGUUCGGGAGCCAGGCAGACAUGACCGAGACACCUCUCCGGCCAAUAACCAUCAGUGGGGUCUGGAUACCCAUGGUGGCUCCCACUUGCUCCACGAUGAUAUCAUCGGAUGAACCACGAUGUCAAGGAUUCAAUCAAUCCCGUAUACAAUUCCCUUUGUGUGUCGGUAUAGAACUUGCCCGAGAUCCGAUCGUCGGUAUACCUAUACCUUGUUCAAUCUCGUUACCGGUAAGUCUCUUUACUCGCUCCGUAGUACGUCAUCGUGUGACUAACUCCUUAGUCACAUUGAGCUCAUGAUGAUGUUCUACCGAGUGGGCCCAGAGAUACCUCUCCGUCAUGCGGAGUGACAAAUCCCGAUCUCGAAUCGUACCAACCCAACAAACACUUCAGAGGUACCCGUAAUGCACCUUUAUAGUCACCCAGUUACGUUGAGACGUUUGAUACACCCAAAGCACUCCUACGGUAUACGGGAGUUGCACAAUCUCACGGUCGAAGGAAAAGACACUUGACAUUAGAAAAGCUUUAGCAUACGAACAAUACGAUCUAGUGCUAUGCUUAGGAUUGGGUCUUGUCCAUCACAUCAUUCUCCCAAUGAUGUGAUCCCGUUAUCAAUACAUCUAAUGCCCAUGACCAGGAAACCAUGAUCAUCUAUUGACUAACGAGCUAGCCAACUAGAGGCUUGCGAGGGACACAUUGUGAUCUAUUUAUUCACACAUGUAUUAGUGUUUCCUGUUAAUACAAUUAUAGCAUGAACAAUAGACGAUUAUCAUGAACAAGGAAAUAUGAUAAUAACCAUUUUAUUAUUGCCUCUAGGGCAUAUUUCCAACAAACACGUGUAUCAAAUUAUUUUAGGACCGACACACAGCUUCUGCAGCAACGACAACUCGACCUUGGCCUCUGCUUCGCCGUCGCUAGCAGCCUGGACACUACAGGAAUCAGAGACUUUGUCGUCUGCCAUGGCGGACGGCAAAGGGGAGCACCCCGGAUGGAAAAGCCUUUGCCGUCCGUCUGCAGAUGGCAAAAUGCACGACAAAGAAAAAUCCGGUAAAGAGGUUCUUUGUCGUCUGCCUUGGGCCUGCGGACGACAAAGAAACUUCGCCGGGGGGGGGGGAGACGACAAAGAACAUGGACGACAGAUCCGCGGGCUAGGGCCGUCAAGUGGUAACAGCAGCCUUUGCCGUCUGCUGGGUCCACCAUCCCUUUGCCGUCUGCCAUGGCCCCCUUUGCCGUCUGCCAUGACCCCCUUUGCCAUCUGUGGGCGGACGACAAAGAUGGCAAAUAGUCCUGGCCUUCAGGGCCUUUGCCAUGUGCUGGGCUCCCUUUGCCGUCGGUGGGCGGACGACAAAGAAACCAAAAUGCCCCUGUUUAUUUUAUUUUUUAUUAUAUACAACCAUUUUCACAGGAAUAUAUGAUAUAUAUAUAUAUAUAUUAUACAAAAAUAAUGUUGUUUCCAUACUGAUAACCAUAUUAAAAUAAGUUUCAUCCAUACAUACAUACAUAUUAUGCAAGUUUGAUCCGUACCAAACCAUAUACUACAAUAGUUUCAUCCAUAUAUACAAAAUUUCAUAUCCAUAUAUUACAAUAGUUUCAUCCAUACAUAUUAUCCAAAAAAUACAAGUAACCCAAGCACUCUAUCAGUCCAAGCUUCCGUGAAGUGAAAGUAAUCAACAAAAUGGGAAAUAAGAAAGUUAGAAUAAGAAGACUAGAUGAAGAAGAGAAGUAAGCUAAGUAUAUGUCAUUUUUAAUAAAAUAGGUCAUUUUGGAGCUAAUUUAGCUUACUACAUCAUCUAGGAGGAAACUAAGCUAAGUAUAUGUUAUUCUGGAGCUACUUAGGUAAAAAAAGGUCAGUUAGGAGCUAACUAUGCUUAUUAAGCCAUUUUGGAGCUAACUAAGCUAAUUAUAGGCCAUUUAAUAGCUAAGUUAGGUACAAUGGGUCAUUUUGUAGCCAAGUAAACUUAUUAUGUCAUUUAGGAGAGAACUUAGCUAAUUAUAUGUCAUUUUUGAUUAAAUAGGCCAUUUUGGAGCUAAUUUAGCUUACUACGUCAUCUAGGAGGAAACUAAGUUAGGUAUAUGUCAUUUUGGAGCUACUUAGGUAAAAAUAUGUCAUUUAGGAGCUAACUAUGCUUAUUCAGCCAUUUUGUAGCUAAUUAAGCUAAUUAUAGGUCAUUUAAUAGCUAAGUUAGGUAAAAUAGGUCAUUUUGUAGCCACAUAAGCUUAUUAUGUCAAUUAGGAGAGAACUUAGCUAAAUAUAGGUCAUUUAUUAUGAAAUGGGCCAUUUUUGAGCUAAUUUGGCUUACUACGUAAUCUAGGAGGAAACUAAGCUAAGUAUAUGUCAUUUUAGAGCUACUUAGGUAAAAAUAGGUCAUUUAGGAGCUAACUAUGCUUAUUAUGCCAUUUUGUACCUAACUAAGCUAAUUAUAGGCCAUUUAAUAGCUAAGUUAGGUACAAUAGGUCAUUUUGUAGCUAUGUAAGCUUAUUAUGUUAUUUAGGAGGGAACUUAGCUAAGUAUAGGUCAUUUUUUAUGAGAUAGGCCAUUUUGGAGCUAAUUUAGCUUACUACGUCAUCUAGGAGGAAACUAAGCUAAGUAUAUGUUAUUUUAGAGCUGCUUAGGUAAAAAUAGGUCAUUUAUGAGCUAACUAUGCUUAUUAUGCCAUUUUAUAGCUAACUAAGCUAAUUAUAGGCCAUUUAAUAGCUAAGUUAGGUACAAUAGAUCAUUUUCGAGCUAUGUAAUCUUAUUAUGUCAUUUAGGAAAGAACUUAGCUAAGUAUAGGUCAUUUUUUAUUAAAUAGGCCAUUUUGGAGCUAAUUUAGCUUACUACGUCAUCUAUGAGGAGCCUAAGCUAAGUAUAUGUCAUUUUAGAGCUACUUAGGUAAAGAUACGUCAUUUAGGAGCUAACUAUGCUUAUUAAGCCAUUUUGGAGCUAACUAAGCUAAUUAUAGGCCAUUUAAUAGCUAAGUUAGGCACAAUAGGUCAUUUUGGAGCUAGGUAAGCUUAUUAUGUCAUUUAGGAGAGAACUUAGCUAAGUAUAGGUCAUUUUUUAUUUAAUAGGCCAUUUUGGAGCUAAUUUAGCUUACUACAUCAUCUAGGAGGAAACUAAGCUAACUAUAUGUCAUUUUAGAGCUACUUAGGUAAAAAUAGGUCAUUUAGGAGCUAACUAUGCUUAUUAUGCCAUUUUGGAGCUAACUAAGCUAAUCAUGUCAUUUAGGAGGAAACUAAGCUAAGUAUAGGUCAUUCUAGAGCUAACUUGGGUAAAAUAUGUCAUUUUGGAGCUAAGGUAUGGUAAGUAAACAUCAUUAUGUGGUUAUUAAACACUAGAAAAAACAUACCAUUCUCGUUAGCACGGCGGUGAAGCAUGGUGGCUCUGGCUUGUUUCACAUGGAGAAGGCUCCACUGUAGAAGGGUCGUGCGAUGCAUUUCGGGAGAUAUUCUGCACCAAAAAUCAUGUGCAAUGUGACGUUUGCAUGAUGGCAAUCAAAAGAUCACUGCAUUGAAAUGAAACUCACCGUCCCCGCCAUGUUAAUGACUGGCAUCGCCGGAAGGACGUGGUCGGUCUUCUCGCACAUAGACUGUACAUUUGGUUUCGACAAGUCAAACUUUUAGUUAUUAAUGAAACAAACAUUAAAAUGCAAUAUUUGACAAAUAUGAAGAAGAAACCUACCACUAAGAGCUCGUACAUGGCCGUGUUAGACGCAUCAUUCUGUGCCCUCUCCGCCUCGAACAACACACCCGUCCUCUCCUCCAUCUCCUUCAUCUCCUUCAUCUCCUUAUCCUUCGACGCCAAAAGUGCUUGCGUUGCCUCUCUCUCUUUUAGAAUAGCAGCCUGCAACACAACUCAUUGUUAGCACUGUAAUCAUAUUGGUUCGCACACACAACGUAAUGCGGAAAGAUAGCUAAGUCCAUUAAACUAACCUCGAUGGCGAGAUCGACUGGCCGUGGACGAGGUGUUAUCUCAAGACAGGAGCUUGUUUGGCGUGCCUUUAUCUGCCGGAGAGUGCCAGGACAACGUAUAAGGUCGUCUCCAAUGGCGAUCAAGCCAUGAGGCUUCCCGUUUCCAACUAUCAUCACCAGCUCUGGAUCAAUAGGCCCAUUGCUCGGGUUAAAGUCCUCCCCUUUCCUCGCCUUCCCGUGAUCUCUGUACUUCACGAGCUUGUGGUGGGAGGAGAUGUUGGUGAAGUUUUCAGGAUGAUCGAGGUCAGACUCAGAGAAUGCCUUGACCUUCUUGUAUGAGGCAGUAUGGGCCAUCGCAUAGAGGUAGUAGAUCUGUGGCACCUCCGUCUUAUUGUGACGCACCUAAAAGAGAGAGAGAGGAAAAAUGUAUUAGUAAUGGGCUCAAGCUAGUAUUAAGAAUGAAUUGCAUGAGUCAUGAAGCAAACCACAUACCGAGUUCUCACCAAACCCAUUUAAGUUGACGCUCCCUUGAUGGUGUGGCACACCAACCAUUUUGGCACACCUCUCCUUGGCAUUGUUGUGGCUAGCCUCCCAUUUUUCGGAGCACCACUGAUCCACCAAGGCCUCCCAACAAUCCAUCUUAUCCACACACCAUCUCGGGGUCACCUAAGUUAAUAAAGAGAAAUUUGAGUGCUACGUGUAAGAAUCAAAUCAAGGAAACUAACUACAAGGCCUUAAUAAUAUGUAAUUAUCGUCAUGCAAUGCUCCUUCUCCAUCUUAGAAUCGUGACACUUCGCCUUAUCCUUCCUAAUAUGUCGCGAGGAGUAGUAGUCUCGAACAACCUGCACCCGAACCUCGUGCCGAAAGUUUUGAAGUAGGCGACGACAUUCGGUUUCGAUAACCUUUGUCGCGUCCUCCUCGUAUCCCUCCUCACACCUGUAGAAGGUCUGCAAACGAGACAACACUGAUUAGUACAAUAACUAUCUAUUGUUGAUUUUUAAUUGUGUAAAGGAGAAAUUACCCAGAACUUUCUGAUCACCAUGUCGGCCCUCGUGUGGCACAAAACACCGUCGAUCUCCACCUCUGGCGGGGCCGGGGCACCCAAGUAGUGCUCCCAGAUCAUUCCUACCUCUCGACCCCGACAGGCCAAUGUAACAAACCCCGGGAAGUUUUGCCGGCAAAGCACUCCAAGGACGCUGUUGGGCUUGCAAACACCCUUGGUAGCAAUCCAACUCCUGCAGUAUGAAAAAUUAAAGCCAAAACAUUAGAUAUUUGAGAAAACGUGAAGGCAAAAGGUUAAAUAAGAGUAAAUUAACUUACUUGUCCCCAUUUGGCUUAAUCGACCACCUCUGCUCGCAGGUCGCCGGCACGAGCGGGAGCCCCAUAUUACCACGCUGGUAGACGGUGGUCCCCUCACCCAGCUCCUCAUCGCUAUCAGCAUGGACACUUGGCUCCGGCUGACCCAGAUCAGUCCAUGUAUCCCACUGGGUCUAUUGGGACGUACCCUCAUCCCUGCUUUGCUCCGGAGUCUCCUCAAACGAAGCCUAUGAACACGAGUCUCGUGGGUCGAAGGCUCGUCGACCCGAGGCUCGUGAACCGGAGACCGUGUAGCCUCCACCUUAGACGGGUCCACCCUAGAAGUCUUGUGCUCAGGUGAAUAAGCUUGGGGUGGCGGCAAGGAAGGCGUGGCAACCACCCUACCUCUCCCGCGACCACGUGUACCUUUAGUAGCUCUCGGAUUCGCGGGGGUACGACCUCCUCUCACGGGGCCAAGAGAGUCGAAGAAGCGGCCACUCCAUGCAGAGUAGAGAGCAACGCUCUCCGGAGAGGCGAGGCAGGAAUGUAAGUACCCAUCCCACCACCCGUCGACGAAGAAGGAGGCGUGGAGUGGUUUCGAACCUUUCCCACCAUGUUUCAACACGUGCCAUGACAAAGAGUAAAUGAAAUUAGUACAACAUAAAUAACAACACGAGUAAUAAAAUGUAUAUAAUUUAAGUGUAUCAUCAUCAUAAAUAACAACAUGACUAAUAAACAUUAAAUACCUAACAUGAACUAAAAAUUUAUAUAUGUAUAUAAUAAUAGUUGAAUACGUGACAUGAAGUAUUAACAAUCUUGAUCGUCUAUAUAUGCUUCGGCGUCAAUAAAUGCAUCAUGAUCAUCACUAUCAUCAAUGAAUGCAACAUCAUCAUCACUAUCAGGAAGAACAUGUGGAAGGCCUCCAUUAUGUAAUCGGUCAAGAAGUGACAGGUCAUCCGCAAUAGUAACCUCUUCUUCUUCCAGCCCUUCCUGUUCCGGCUCAUGGAUUAAGACAGAUUCACUGUCGCAGUCUACUUCAAUGUUCUCGGGCGAAGUAGAGCGGUUCUUGAAACGUUUUUUGGACAUACAUGUUUCUUGGAAGAAUUCUCCUUCAUAUGUGUCUGGGUUAAUGUGAGGUUCUUAAUCCUCUCCAUUGAGCGUAGGUGGUCUAAAACAUGGCGGCACUUCAUAAACGACAUCCCAACCUUUCACAUUUGGAACAGUUUGGCAGGCUUACGGUAGAUAGAAAACUUGUGUCGCUUGUUGAGCCGUAAUAUAGACAUCGGGAACAUCUAAAUGGGUAUUUUGGUUGAUUUAGACUAGUACUAUAUGUUCAUGAGUCCUUCUAGUCUCCCUCGGCUCAUACCAAUAACAUUUGAAGACUACGACGGUUGAUGGGUUUUCACCAUAGAAUAGAAGUUUAUAAAUUGCUUCAACUCUUCCAUAAUACUCGGUACCUCCUUCGCCCAUAGCAGAGACAGAACAAUUUGUAGUAUUUAGGUCGGGCAUAGAUAGCUCUUUGCCAAAGGUACGAAAGUGAUACCCGUUAAUGUUGUAUUUGUCAAAUGAACGGACCUUUUAGUCAAAACCAUUAGCGACUUGUCUCAACUCGGCGUCCAUAGACUCUGCAUCAGCCUACAAGUUUGAUACGGAAGAAUGGAUGCAUUAGGCGCAAAUUAGACCAAGAAAUCAAAUGGCCCAUUAAUGGUAAUUAAUUAUCCUUUGUUUGAACUAAGAGAUGAAACCGGGAUAAUUGCCUCCAUGCUUUCCAGAAGCUCAUACUCUUCGACGGAAUCAUUUUCGAUGACCGCUCCAUCCGAGAAUUUGGCGACGUAUCAAAUAUAUCAAAUAUCCGGGAAUAAGAGCAGUUCAAAGGAAUUAGAAGUUGUGGAACGAUAAUUUACCGAGAACUUACUCGACGUACGACCACACUUCUGUUAGGUUGAAGAUAUACAAUGAAAUGGUCCUCCAUUCUUCGACAUCCGACGAUUUCCCUUUCGAAGCACCGGCUGGCGCGAGCUUCCCUUUGAAUAGGCUGAGGUUGGUUCAAUCUUUUUUAGGAUCGCCAUCAUUGUACCGAGGCUUCCGGUUAUGCAAAUGAUGAUUUUUGGCUUCGUAGUGUGUUGUCACGAAGUUAGCCGCCUCCUCAGUAUUGAAUGCCUCGGCCAUCGAUGCUUCAAUUCUACGUUUAUUUUUACAUUUAGCUCGAAGCGUCUUCUACAUCCUCUUAGUUGAGAAGCACCAUCGAUUUUGAAUGCCCCCCAAUCUUGCCUCGGUCGGGAGAUGCAAAAUCAAAUGUUGCAUUGGAUUAAAGAAGCCUGGUGGAAAGAUCCUUUCUAAUUUGCAGAUCAACUCCGCCGCCAACUCUUCUGUUUUAUCUAGCACGCGAGGCGAUAGUUCUUUCGCACAAAGAGAAUGGAAUAAAUAGCUCAGCUCCCCCAGUACUAGCCAUUCAUCCUCAGGGAUAAAGCCACGCUACAUCACCGACAUUACCCGCUCAAUCCAUAUGUGCCAAUCAUGACUCUUGAGACCAAAUAUUUUCAAUUUCUCAAGACUCGCUCCCCUCUUUAGAUUUGCGGCAUGCCCCUCGGGGAACAUCAAUCGCAUUUUCAUCCACAAUAGCAUUUCCCUCAUAGCUGGCCUUUCAAGAUUGAACCAUGCCUUUGGCUUCGCUAUGCUUUGCUUUUCUUUCGGUUGUCGCAAGUUUUGCAACGGUCUAUCACAUAGAGCCUCCUGGUCAAUUCUAGCCUUACGAUUAUCCUUUGACUUCCCCUCUAUGCCGAACAAUGUACCAAAAAUGGCCUCCGCAAUAUUCUUUUCAGUGUGCAUCACGUCGAUGUUGUGUGGGCAAAUGAGGUCUUUGAAGUAAGGCAGAUCCCAUAAGCAUGACUUGUGAGUCCAUUGUGUUCCAUAUUAUACCCUUUCAAAUACCCUAUAUGCAAAGGAUUAGGCUCGAGAGUGUUUAACUGAUCAAGGGUCUGUUGGCCUGUCAACGCAGUUGGUGCAGUGUUUUGGACAACUCUACCUUCGAUGAAAUUCUUCUUGUCUUUUCUGAACUUAUGGUCAGGAUCCAGGUACUGUCUAUGCAUGUCGAAGCAAGAAAACUUGCGACCUACCUGCAGCCAACGGAACUGAAGACCUGCCUUACAUCUGGUGCAUGAGAACCUUCCAUGCACAAACCAGCCAACGAAUAGCGCAUACGCCGGAUAGUCAUACGUCGAGUACAUGUACCACACAUGCAUUUUGAAAUUUUUUUCGUAGCGGCGUCGUAUGUGUUGAUCCCAUUAUCCCAGGCUUCUUGCAAUUCAUCCUUAAGCGGCUGCAUGUACACAUUCAUAUUCUUCCCCGGAUAGUUGGGCCCUGGAAUUAUCAACGUCAGGAAAAUGUUCUUUCUUUUCAUAAUCUCUCCCGAGGGAGAUUGAGUGGAAUGACAAAUACAGGCCAACAACUGUAUUGUGCUGCUAUCAUACCAUACACAUUGAACCCAUCCGUGUUGAUGGCAACUUGAGGAUGCCUUGGAUCUGCCGAUUUAUCCUUAUGUAAUGCAUCGAAGUGCUUCCACGCAAAAGCAUCUGAAGUGUGUGCCAACAUCUUGUCCCAUCCACGUCUAGUUCGGUUCUUUUGCCCAAUUUGUGCCAUGUCAUUUGUCUGCCCGUCUCUUCGACCAUGAAAAGACGUUGAAGUCUUGGUACAAUUGGUAGAUACCGAAGAACAUUAAUGGCGAUUUUGGUCUGAAUCUUCUCACCCAUAUCGUUGUCUACCACAAUAUACCUGGAAGAAUUGCAAAUGGGGCAAUAGUUCAAGGCCGCAUAAUCAAGCGUAAAUAAGGCACAUCCAUUCUCACGGGCAUGUAUCUUCUUAUAGGGCAUCUUAAGUACGUGGAGGAGUUUCUCUGGCUGGUAUAGGUUUGCAGGCAGUGCAUCGCAUAUGGGUAGAAAACGUCCAAAUAUCUUCAUCAUCGCGUCAUAGCAUUCUCUGCCUAGGUUGAAUUGAGCCGUGAGAGCCAUUACUUGCGCGAUGGCAUCCAGGUGACAAAGCUCAGUGUGCUCGUGGAGAGGACAUUUUGAAGACUCCAACAUUUCAUAGAAGGCAUAUGUAGAUUCUUCCAUCUCAUCGUCCGAAUCCCGAGCAUCAUCAAAGUCUUGCACCAUGUCUUCGAUCCCGGUACCAUUCUCGCUGGUGCGACGACGAACCAUCUCAGCUCUGGCACGUUGGUCAGACUCACCAUGAAAAGUCCACACCGUAUUAUUAGGCGUAAAAUCCCACUUCUGCACGUGUUUACCCAUUUCAAACUCUGUCUGCUUUUUCCAGUUGUCGCAGUUGGAACAGGGGCACCAUUUUUUUAUGGCCAUUUGUAAAUGGGGCUCUCACAAACCCCUUGGUUUUGUUAACCAUUCAUUGGUCAUGUCUUUCUGACUAGGGUGACCAGUGUACAUCCAAGCACGGUCACUCAUCUUGCCUAGCUACCUAUGCGCACACAAGAUAUAUAUAUAAAAUUCAUCAACUAUAUUCAUUGGCUAAUCAAGUUUGUAAGUUUUAUUACGUCCAUGCAACCUACACGCUAAUAGGUAAAGAUAGGUCCUAAUCCCACCCGAGUAUGUGUAGAUUGGGUUCAUUUUCCCAUGCUCUGCUCUGGAUCCAACGCAAAACUUCGGCAACACCUCCCCACAGUUCUCCUGAUACACGUCUCGGCAAUAAACAGAGAUGAUGUGUAUCUCGAGAAGAACAGGGAGGCACUAACGAAAUUAUGCAUCGGAUCCGGAACAAAGCAUAUGGGAAAACGAACCCAAUCUACACAUACUCGGGCUGUCGAUGGAUAACCUUGGACAAUUCAGAAGAAUCACGGUUAUAAAUAUAUGCAAAUGCAUGCAUAUUUAUAUCUGUACCCCUUUCGAACAGGAGACGCAUUCUGGUCAUGCAUACUGAUAUAUUAAUUUACCUAUAUCUAGCAAGUUUCAUACGAAAACCGACCAGAGAUGUCAUUUGUACUCACCCACGAAUGCAGGGGUGGAGCUCAUCGAACGCACGGGGAUGUCUUCGAACAGCAGACCUCGCAGCGACGAGACAACUGGACAUAUAAAUCCACCCGAUCAACACAAAUAUUAGAUUGGAAAACCCUUCAAACCUCGACAUGAGUACAAUUAGCUAAGUUAUGAGCUAACCAAAGUUCUUAUGAUGUUUUUUACCUAACUAAGCUAAUUAUGUCAUUCUAGAGCUAAACUAGCUAAUUAUGUCAUUUUGGAGGAUAAUUAGCUAAGUAUGUCAUUUUGGAGCUAAAUUAGCCAAGUUAUGAGCUAACCAAGGUUAUUGUGAUGUUUUUUACGUAACUAAGCUAAUUAUGUCAUUCUGGAGCUAAACUCGCUAAUUAUGUUAUUUUGGAGGAUAAUUAGCUAAGUAUGUCACUGAUUCCAUUAUUAUUUUCUUCUAUUUUCUUCUUCUCUUCUUUUCUUCUAAAUAUUUCUUUUCUCUUUCUCCUCCUCUCCUCUUUCUCCUUCUUCUUCUUCUUCUUCUUCUUCUUCUUCUUCUUCUUCUUCUUCUUAUUUUUUCUUUUAGUUUUUUUCUUCUCUUAUUUUCUUCUAAGUUUUUUCUUUUCUAUCUACUUUUUUCUACCUAAUAAACUAACUAUUUAAUUUAACAAAAAAACAGGAAAAACUAACUAUCUAAUUUAAAAGAAAAAACAGAAAAUAAACUAACUAUCUAAUUUAACAGAAAAAAUAGAAAAUAAACUUACUAUCUAAUUUAAAAGAAAAAAAGCAGAAAAAACAGGGGUGGGGGCACUCACCGGAGUUGGGGACGCCGAAGGAGGGGGAGCCGCGAGGAGGGGACGGCGCUGGGAGCCGGUGAGGGGAGGGGAAGGGACGGCGCCGGGAUCGGGGUGUUUGUUGGGGAGGGGGCAGCAGGGGGCGGUGGCCGCCAGGGAGGGGGGAGCCGUGGGGAGGGGGCGGCGCCAGGUGCCGGCAAGGAGAGGGGGCGGCGCAGGAGUGGCCGCUAGGGAGAGGGCGGCGCCGUGGGCGGUGGAGGGUUGGCCAGCCGCGGGGUGGUGCUGGAUCCAAACGGGCGGGUGGAGAGAGAGAGAGUGGGGGUAGUCGAGCGAGGCGGGGGGGGGGCAUUAUAGGCACGUCCCCUUUGUCGUGUGCCCCCAGAUGGCAAAGGGACCCACGACAGACGGCAAAGGCCAGGCGGACGGCAAAGAGCGUGUCCGUUGGUCUUGCCCAGGCCCAAGGUCCAGUGGGACCCAUCUUGCCUCUUUGCCGUCUGCCUUGGGUCUCUUUGCCGUCAGUCUUGGGUCUCUUUGUCGUCUGGCUAAUGGCAAAUAGUCUGUUUGCCAUCAGUCAUCACUUUACCGUCUGCUUUAGGUCAGCUUACGGCAAAGAGCAUCUUUGCCAUCAGCUAACAAACGACAAAGAACUGGUUGAUGGCAAAUUACUGGAUUCGACUAGUGGGAGGGCGGCCUCAGCACUCGCAAGCAGAGCCCGCAGCCCCUCCACCUCCUCCUGAAGCUCGCCUAAUUUGAGCUUCUUGGCCGAGGGCGCUCGAAAGUAAAGGAAAUAUCAACCAACAAGCAGCAGAUGAGGCGACAAGGAAAGGAGAUGAAGACGAGGGACUUACUCGUCGGCCAGGGCCCGCGGUGGCAGACGCACGAGGGCCCCGAGGGCCCUCCGUCGCUGCUUUCGAGGGUGGACGGGGGUGCAUAUGGAGCCGCGUGCUUCCCCUGUCGGGUCCGCCUCCUGAGGACGCCAAGGAAGACACGGAAACGGAGAGGAAGGAGGUUUUCUCGAUGGAGCGAAGGGAAGGAGAGAAGGAGCUCAAGAUUGCAGUGCCUCCCCCUUGACGGGGGUGGGGCAUAUUUAUAGGUGAACCAAGACCGCCAACCAUCGUGGGAGCGCGAGCGUCGCGGGUCCCACGGGGGUUGCAAGGUGGGCCAACGGGAGCGCUGCCACCCACGUUGUUUCACCUGGCCGCCGAGCAUUCACGUCUGCGAGGGCCGUUGGGUGUGGUCACGCCACACCAACGCCAUUCAAUGGGAACAAUAAUGGCCUGCGUGGUUCUCAGAGAUCGUGCCAUCAUGGCCUAGUGCACCCCUGACGCCUCGAGGAGCGAAAGCGUCACCACACAGCAACUGGACAUGUGUGCCACUUGGCCCGUAGGCUACUAGGGCCCGCGACGCUUCGGGCCGCCCUCAAGGCUUCGCCGAGAAGCCAACCCAGGUGCGCCUUGUGCCCGAGGGCUACUGUCGGUGUUCUGGGAAUGGGGGUACCUAGACCUGCCUGCCCGCGGCCCAGGGCUGGCCCACCUCAUCAAGCAAGCUGACGGGCCCGGCAUCACUCAAGGCAAGGCCCUCGUGAGGGGCCAAGCCUCACGAGGAGGAACAACAUCAAGACCCGCAGGGGGCCUCCUCAGGACCCCUCCGGAGUGGCGGAUAUUUUGAGGUGAGGCCCGUCCUGAGGAGUCAAGGAUGACACAAGGGAAGGACAGGCGAGCAGGAGACAACAGGGUGGCGCAGUUUCCCCUUUAGUGCAGAAUAGGCAAGGACGUACUUAGGUUCCCAAGGCAUCUUCCAAAGGUUUCCAUUCUGGUGUAACAAGACCAUGGCCGCCCGCGAGAAGGACGGACGUCACCCCUGAACCCGCCCCUGCAGUGCUGGCAGUCACUUUGCAGGCAAAUACCACUUUUGGACAGGGGAAGCAUGUUCCCUUGUCCCCUUCGAAAUUGGCCGUUCUGGGAUCCCUUCCUGCUGAAACGAUAAGGGAAGAGGACCUAGGCCACGACUAUAUAUAGAGGAUAGGUUGCUUCACAGAGAGGGACCCCGAUUCAUGAGUUCACCCACUAGCUCCGCACAAAGUCACGAAGCCUCUGGAAGCCCUCAAGAACACUGUACUAGUUCAUUCACCCACCUCCAAGAGAGGCAAUCCACCAAAGCAGGAGAAGGAUUUUACGCUUCCCAGUGGCCCGAACCUGGGUAAACUGCCGUGUUCUGUGUCUUCCUCACUAUCGAGUGAGUUUCCUGUGAUGUCCAUCGAGUAGCGAGCUAGGUGAGGUAGAGCCGAUAGAGAUCUUCGUACACGCCCGUGUGUUCGAACCUUUAGGGUUUUGUGGAUCCCGAAAUCCGACAGAUCCGCUGCCCGUCAUUGCUCAAGAAGGUCGGGGAUCGUCGUAGGUGAGCUUGGGUGGCGGAUUGUAGUGAAGGGGAGUGAAGUAAAGUGGCAAGGGUUUGGUUCGACGAGUGGAUGGGGACGAAUAUAUGUGAAUNNNNNNNNNNNNNNNNNNNNNNNNNNNNNNNNNNNNNNNNNNNNNNNNNNNNNNNNNNNNNNNNNNNNNNNNNNNNNNNNNNNNNNNNNNNNNNNNNNNNUUGAACAGCGACAAUAAACUUGCUGCGCGGAACACUGACGAUGGAUGGUCAAUCAUCCUGGAAUCUCCUCCAUUUGAUCAAGUCGAAAACGAGAAGCCUUGGAGCCGCCGUCUUCCCGUGAGAGACAUUCAGUGACCGGGAAAAAGGUUACUGAGGCGUAUCAUGGUAGAGAAACAACAUUGCUGUUCUAGUAUUUUUCAGCUAGGAGGAGGGAGUGUUUUAAUCAUUUUUCUAAUUGUUGUCGUUUCUUCUGAUAUCGUUGUCUAAUGUCUCUGGUAGUUCCAUUGCUAAUGUGCUGGGAAGCAAACCACUUAUCGUGUGACUUGGUUUAGGUACUGGGUAGCAAAGGUAGAAAAGGAAGGGAAAAGAGUUGGAAAGUGGUUCCACUUGCGUCAAUUCCAGUAGUGUAGAAGUGUAGAUUGACCUCAUUUUGUAUCAGAAUUUACUCCCAUUGCUGAGAAAAGGAAAGAAAGAAAGGGACCGUAGAUCUAUCUGUUCAUCAACAGACCUGCGUUCGUUACCGUGCAGCCUUUCGUUUUCGCUUUCUUCUUUCUGGUCCGGAACGGGGGUUUGAUCGGGACAUGUGGUGUGUGGCCGUGGCCGUGGCCUGUAUUACAAAGCGGCGCAGCGCCUUUCCGGGACGAUUUUGAUCGGCUGAGAGAUCCCGUCCAGUCUUUUCUUUCUGGNNNNNNNNNNNNNNNNNNNNNNNNNNNNNNNNNNNNNNNNNNNNNNNNNNNNNNNNNNNNNNNNNNNNNNNNNNNNNNNNNNNNNNNNNNNNNNNNNNNNUUCUUUCUUUCCUUUCUCAGCAAUGGGAGUAAAUUCUGAUACAAAAUGAGGUCAAUCUACACUUCUACACUACUGGAAUUGACGCAAGUGGAACCACUUUUCCAACUCUUUUUUUCCCUUCCUUUUUCUACCUUUGCUACCCAGUACCUAAACCAAGUCACACGAUAAGUGGUUUGCUUCCCAGCACAUUAGCAAUGGAACUACCAGAGACAUUAGACAACGAUAUCAGAAGAAACGACAACAAUUAGAAAAAUGAUUAAAACACUCCCUCCUCCUAGCUGAAAAAUACUAGAACAGCAAUGUUGUUUCUCUACCAUGAUACGCCUCAGAACCUUUUUUUUUUCCCGGUCACUGAAUGUCUCUCACGGGAAGACGGCGGCUCCAAGGCUUCUCGUUUUCGACUUGAUCAAAUGGAGGAGAUUCCAGGAUGAUUGACCAUCCAUCGUCAGUGUUCCGCGCAGCAAGUUUAUUGUCGCUGUUCAAGUGCGUCCUGUCAUCAGCCUGCCGUAGCAACGCUGCUCGUCUGCUCCUCGCUUCUCUUGGCCGUAUCAAG